AAUCUGUGGCGAGGCCCUAGGGCUCGCCUAUAACUCACCUUUCAAUCCCAAAGUGGGGAGGGAGCUCCAAGUGCACCCAAGCCCGAGACCGUCUGCGGACCUCCAUGUGGUCCGGACCUCCAAGUGGUCCUAGUCGCGCGACACUCUGGAGUACUCGACGACAAUCCCCUUUAUGUGGGGAUAGGAUGGCUAUACCACCCCAAAAGCAGACUGUGAGCUAAGAUCUAUCCUCUCCAAGUGAGGAUACACUACCACUAGGGUCAACAACCGAAUCCAAUCCUCUCCAAGUGAGGAUGCACUAUAACUAGGGUCAACAACCCAAUCCAAUCCUCUCCAAGUGAGGAUGCACUAUAACUAGGGUCAACAACCCAAUCCAAUCCUCUCCAAGUGAGGGUACUUAGGUUUACUAAGUUCUCUAUCCACAAGGCAUUUUCUAGGGGAUCCAUUUAUCCCUAGGUUCUCAAACCUCUAGUGUCAUUUACACUACAUUAAUGCCACUCGUUAUUCUUUAACAUUUGGAUGCCACUCGUUUGUUCUUUGACAUUAACACUAUUUUCUAUGUCAUCAACACCCCCAUCGGGUUCAUCUCUUUUCUUUCGCAUCAUAGGAUCCAUGUUUCGACCCAAUCCUCACCUAAGCUACCAAGCGUUCCAAGUACACUAGGUUAUCAAUUAGAAAGCAUAAGGAAUGGAGCUACUAUACAAUCCCACAAUGCAACAUGUAAGAGAUAAGAUUAAAUGCAAUCUAAGACAUAGAAAGGAGUUCGAAAGCUUCGGGAUGGCACCCCCCACCUUUAAUCGAUGUAGAGGCUUUGGAAAACCUUCUUGGCGAACUUUACGAAAAGGCUUUAGCCUUCCUUGCCCAAGACAAUGCCAAAUCGGCCUUGUUUUGCCGAUAGCUCCACGCUGGCUCGCCGAAUGCUAAAACCGACUUCGCCCCCGCGUUUUGUGACCUAGCAAUUAGGUUUCCAAGGCUUCAAAUGAGAUCAAUCUUAUACUUUCUCAAAAACCCCAUUUUGGAGCCCUAGGUUUGCACCCAUAGCAAACCACCAAUAAAACCCUAGAUUCUUGGGAUUGAUCUACUUAGAAGCAUGCUUAUGGUCCAUUUGACCCAUUCCAAAGCAUCAAAACCCAAAACCCUAAGUUCUAGAAGCUAGGGUUCAAGAGCUUACCUCUUGUGCUACACCAAAGAGAAGAUGAGAGGGAGAUGAAGGUGUCCAAAGCCUUCCUCUUGAUCUCCUUCUCCUUCUCCUUCUUAUUCUUCUCAUUCCUUUCCUUCCUCUCCUUCUUGUUCUUCUUCUUCUCCUUUCCUUUCUAGAGAGAGAGAGCAAGAGAGAAAGAGAGUGUGAGAGAGGGAAUGAGAGAAAUGAGGGAAUGAGAGAGGGGGCGGGCUCAUAAGCCCUUCUAUUGUAACAAUAUCCAGUUUAGUCCCUCAACUUUUCAUCUCUCAACCUGCCUUCACUAGGCAUUCUGCGCCCAGAGGGACCGGUCUCUGCUCGGGGAGACCGGUCCCCGAGAGCUCUCCCUGCGGCCUGGGGACUUCUCGCGUACGGGAACCGUUCCUCACCCGAGGGACCGGUCCCUGGGAGACCGGUCCUUCCUGAGAGACCGGUUCCCGAAAGGGGAACUUUCAGGACUUAGCCAAAUUUAGGAUUUCUGUCACUCCCCGGAUCACACUUUCUUCGGGCGCGUCGACAAAUCCGCCGUAUACAAAGGAAUUUUUCCUGUAUACGAAGCGAUAGCUGUACUUGUAAAUCAAACACUACUACGAACAGUAGUAGAGAGCUGCUAGAGAAAACAAAAGCUAAACAAACUGAGUUUCAUAUACAUAGUCCAAAUCCAAAAUACAAAACUACUCGCACUGGCGAGUUAAAGAUAGGUAUGUACAUGAACUCCAGCAAAACAACUACCUGCAGUAGGGUGCCUCUAGCUCUGUCAGUCGGGUAGGGCUCUAGCUCGCAACGCCCUUGCCUCGAUCCUGAUCCGCGGAAGGCGCAGUAGCCAGAACCUGUGGCUCUGCAAAAAUAUAGGUAACAACGGGGCGUGAGAACUACUGUAAAAACAAGUAGUCCUCAGUGGGUACCGCCCAAAACAACAUCGGUCCACCCACUAAGUCUACAGAAGGGAGCAAGAAUAGCCGAAAAGCAGGAAAUAAACUCAACCGCUACCAAUCACUAUACUAUCAUGCUCUACACUAACCAACUGUAGGAAAUGUCCAAUCUGACCCAAUCCAAUCGGGACUGUAAGCAUACCCGUCCCCGGGACUGUGAAUACACCCGUCCCUGCCCCGUUGCGACUAUCGGGCUCUAUCCACACUAACUGGUCCGUGGAGAGCAAGUCCAACUGGCAUGAGCGACACCAACGCGAAAGCACAAAGCCUGACUCCGGAGUGGCACUCGUGGGCGCUACCCAACCGAGUAUGCAGCGUAUCUCUGUCGAGCUCAAUCAGGCUCCAACUAGCCAAAGUCAAGUGAACAGGGUCAAAACAGGUCUACAAACCAAACCCACGUGCCCUCGGCACAAUCUGUGACCAAAACAAGAAUCUGGGUCCACCGCUAACCCGAACGGCACCCAACGACCCGAAACAGCCUAAACUCUGCUGAAAAAUAAGCUCGGCAUCCCAGCACGAGCGUAAAUGCCUUCUAAACUACCCCAGGUAUCCAUCGCACUGAUACUGCAACGAUACAAUCGAAUCACGGCUCCUAGAGCUAAAUCUGGUAGUUUAAGCAUAUGACGGGUCAAAACGCAGGUUUUCUCCUAAGUCAAAAUUCAAGUCCAACAUGUAUAAUAUAAACAUUCAUUUCAGCAUGCUUUUAUAUUCAUAUUACGUCCAAAAUGCUAAUCGAUGAAUUAAAGCAUGAUAUACAAAAAUCGAACUAUACACGUCGACUAAACAUGCACUUAGGAGCGAAACCGAUGAUACACCCACCUCUAGUGCAAUUCCUGGCAGCAAGAUGGUCUCGGAUCACAAGCAACACUGCUGGAAACACCUCCAAACCAGCAACAAAGCCCCUCAAGAUCUGGAUUUACAAUUCACCCAAAAAUCCAAUAAAAAUCAUCAAUUUCAGCCUUAAGCUUGGAUUUAUCCAAUUCCAAUGUCAAAACUCACCUAAUGAUCUCCAAUUCAGGUGGAGAGGGUUCCAAAUCCAGUACUGGUUGAUAGGGAAAGUGACUCAGCUCCACAAAGCCCCUGCUUCCCAAGUUCACCCCAAGAAAACUCAAGAAUUGGCAAAUUCUGUCCAAAGCAACAGCAGCAGAGGAAAACCUCAGUUCGACCAAGCUAACCUCAACCAAAAUCUGCAAUUCAGGGCUUCGUGGAUUCCUCUGGAAGUCUAGAAUCCAGCAAACCAAGUUUCGUCGAAAUCCGACCUUCCUACGUCGCGCACGAGCCAAAACACUGGAGGUCGUCGCUGAAGAACUGCAGAAUCAGCACCUUGCAAUUCUUGGAGAGGUGGAUCUUGAUGCAAAUUGGAAAGAUUGGAGGGAUUAGGGAUGAAAAUUCUAAGUCCUCUGUGAAGAACAGGUAAAAGAGAUCAAUGGGGACGAAUACCAGGUAUUUAUAGGCUGCUGGAGGGAUAAGAUAAGCCCUAGGAAAAACAGUUGCUAUCCAGUGUUCCUACAGAAACGGGCGUUUCUGGGCGCCCGGAACCAUGUUCUCGGCGACCAGAACAUCCCGACUGCACAAACCGGGCUCCUCGGACUCUCCGCUCGCGGUGUGCUACGCCCGUAAAUGGCUCCGGCGGAACUCACCUACUGCCCUGCCACGCGUCGAAGCAAGCGAUAUUCACGAUGUCGAAUUUCCGGACCCACAUCUGGGCGCCCGGAACAUGGGAUCCGAAUUGGCUUCCAGUUUCAGUUAAAUUCAACACUCGUUUCUGGGCGACCCUAACAAUGUUCUGGGCGCCCGAAUCUGGCAAAACUCCAGAUUUUUGUUUAUUCGCUCUCGCGGACUCAACUCCAAAGCACUUUUUAUAUUUUGGACAUUUUUAACUCCUACAAAGGGUAUUCUCUCGACAGUUAGUCGAUCCUGGAUGAAGUACAAUACUCGGAUUUCGAGAAUUCACUUCCUCACAUCCUCCCCUCCUUAAAAGAAGUUUCGUCCUCGAAACUAACUCAAUUCUUAACUUUAACUCAAACCCAUACCUCAUUCCUCAAAUAAAUGAGGAUGGUGCUUUCUCAUCAGUUCGUCGAGCUCCCAGGUGGCCUCGCGAUCAUCGUGAUUGCUCCACCGAAUCUUCACAUAGGAGAUUUCUCGAUUUCUCAACUUUCGCACCUCUCGGGCGAUUACCCCUACCGGAAACUCUUUAUAACUCAAGUCUUCUUGAAGCUCCGGCGGCUCAUAUAGCAUCGCGUGCUUGGGGUCGUGAAUAUACUUGCGGAGAUUGGAGAUAUGGAACACAUUGUGUACAUCCGCAAGUUUCGGCGGCAAAGCAAGUCGGUAGGCCACCGUGCCGACUCGAUCCAAUAUUUCAUAUGGUCCAAUAUAUCGGGGACUUAGUUUUCCCUGCACUCCAAACCGCUUCACACCCCGCAUCAGUGAAACUUUCAAGAAUACGCGGUCGGCCACCGCGAACUCUAUAUCUCGUCGGCGCCUAUCUGCAUAGCUUUGCUGUCUCGACUACGCCGUGAGCAAUAUCUUGCGAGUAAGGCGGACUUUCUCCUCCGCUUCUCGCAGAACAUCGGGGCCGAACUCUGUACGUUCACCCACAUCGCUCCAGUGUAUAGGAGACCGACACGUCCGCCCAUAGAGAGCCUCAAACGGUGCCAUCUCCACACUAGCAUGAUAACUGUUGUUGUAGGCGAACUCAGUCAUAGGUAGGUGGUCACACCAACUUCCCUUAUAGUCAAUGACACAUGCUCGCAACAUGUCCUCCAGAGUUUGAAUAGUUCUCUCUGUUUGCCCAUCGGUCUGAGGAUGAAAUGCGGUGCUAAAGUCGAGCCGUGUGCCAAGGGCUUCCUGCAGGUUCUUCCAGAAGUGUGAAGUGAACCGGGGGUCACGAUCCGACACGAUCGCUUUUGGCACCCCAUGCAGUCUCACUAUCACGUCAAGGUAUACCUGCGCUAACUUGUCACCCGACCACGUGGUGUGGAUCGGCAAGAAGUGAGCCGACUUCGUCACUCGGUCCACAAUUAUCCAAAUUGCAUCGUGGCCGCCUGUUGAGCGAGGCAAGCCGACCACGAAGUCCAUCGAUAUGUCCUCCCACUUCCAAACGGGAAUUGGUAGGCUUUGAAGCUUUCCCGCUGGAAAUCAACGCUCGGCCUUUACUUGUUGGCAUGUUAGGCACUUUGCCACAAAGCGUCCAAUAUCACCCUUCAUUCCUGGCCACCAAUAGUGCAUUUUUAAUCCUUGAUACAUUUUGGUACCGCCCGGGUGAUCGGCAUAUGGAGAUCGGUGUGCUUCUUGUAGGAUCAACUCACGAAGCUCUCCAUCCUUCGGUACACACCAUCGGUUUCGAAACCGAAGCGUACCAUCGGCGUCUACCCUGAAAUCGCCGCCAUGCCCUUCCUCGAUGUUUCGCCGCACCUUUUGGAGUUCGGGGUCUGCGGGUUGCAGAUCUUUGAGCCUCUCCAACAAGGUCGGUUGGACAACGAAUGCCAUCAACUGAGCUGGAGUCUCGGGGGUAACUACUUCGAGAUCCAGCCGCUCCAUCUCUAGCCAUAGAGGUGAUUGAUUAGUAACCCACACGGCAAGGUUCUUCGCCGACUUCCUACUCAGCGCAUCCGCGACCACAUUUGCCUUCCUGGGGUGGUAGACGAUAUCAACGUCAUAAUCCUUUAAUAGCUCCAACCACCGCCGCUGACGCAUAUUGAGCUCCUUCUAUGUGAACAGGUACUUCAAGCUCUUGUGGUCGGUAUAGAUCUCACAAUGGGCACCAUAUAAAUAGUGCCUCCACAGCUUCAAGGCGAAAAUCACCGCCGCUAGCUCCAAAUCAUGAAUGGGGUAGUUCUUUUCAUAGCUCUUCAGCUGACGGGAUGCAUAUGCGAUCACUCUCCCGUUUUGCAUUAGUACACACCCCAAUCCAAGAUAGGAGGCAUCACUGUAGACCACGAAGUCUUCGCCCUGCACCGGUAGAGCGAGCACCGGAGUCGAAGUCAAUCUUUGCUUCAACUUUUUAAAACUCCGGUCGCACUUUUCGCUCCACACAAACUUUGUGCCUUUCUGAGUCAGGCGGGUAAGUGGAAUCACUAUCUUGGAAAAGCCUUCCACAAACCGCCUAUAGUAGCCCGCCAAGCCCACAAAGCUUCGAACCUCCGUGACAUUCGUCGGGCGCAGCCAAUCCUUGAUUGCCUCAACUUUCCUCGGGUCUACAAAAACUCCACCCACGAAAAUCACGUGCCCCAAGAAGGGGACCUCGCGGAGCCAGAAGUCACACUUCUUUAGCUUAGCAUAUAGCUUCUCCUCCCGAAGGACUUGAAGCACUAUCCUUAAAUGUUCGGCAUGUUCCUCGUCAUUACGAGAAUAGACCAAUAUGUCGGCUAUGAAGACCACGACAAAUUGGUCUAAGUACUCUCUGAAGACACGGUUCAUUAAAUUCAAAAAUGCCGUUGGAGCAUUCGUGAGUCCAAAUAGCAUGACCGUGAAUUCGUAGUGUCCAUACCGCGUGCAGAACGCGGUCUUCUGCACAUCCUCCGGUUUGAUCUUCAGCUUGUGAUAGCCGGAUUGCAAAUCUAUCUUCGAGUACACACACGACCCCUGCAACUGAUCGAACAAGUCAUCGAUUCGGGGUAAUGGGUACUUGUUCUUAAUCGUAACUCUGUUCAACUCUCGAUAAUCCACGCAAAGUCGAAACGAUCCAUCCCUCUUCCGUACAAACAACACCGGGGCUCCCCACGGGGAUACACUUGGCCAGAUAAAUUGCUUGUCGAGGAGGUCUUGCAAUUGACUCCUCAACUCUUUCAAUUCCGCCGGCGCCAUUCGGUACGGAGCCUUCGAGAUCGGUACGGUACCGGGAACCAAGUCUAUGACGAACUCGAUCUCCCGAUCCGGUGGUAUCCCCGGCAACUCCGCGGGAAAUACAUCCGGGAACUCCCGCACCACCAAUAGCUCCUCUAACGUUGGAGCUACUCGUUCCACUUCCACAACAGUUGCCAAAAAUGCCGUGCAACCGCUGUUAACCAACUUCCUUGCUCUCGUCGCCGACACCGUCGCGACGAAGCAUGAGCUUUGAUAAGCCCGGUAUGUGAACUCCUCUUGUCCUGGCUCACGGAACGUCAUCACCCUGCUCUUGCAGUCGAUCGUUGCGUGGUACUUCGAGAGCCAGUCCAUGCCCAGAAUGACGUCAUAAGCCUCAAGCUUUGUGAGUUCCAGUGUUCGGAUAGGCAUAAUCCAGUCGCCUAUUUAUACGGGACACGACGCACACUCCGAGUACGUGUUAAACGUUGACCCAGGACCCUCCACUCGCCACUUGUCACUCGCCUCUAUGAGUAUGCCAUGCAUGCGUGCGAAUGAUCUACUUAUGAAUGAAUGCGUGGCUCCUGUAUCAAAUAAAGCCCUGGAGCGAACUCCGUUAAUUAAAACCAUACCUGCCACAAGGCGAUGCUCCUCCGCCUCCGCAGGUUCCUCAGCUUGGACCUGAGCGGCGAAUACCCGUCCGCUUGGGGCCGAUCGCGUCACUUCAGGUUGACGCGGCAUCAUCGCGCGUCCCGUCGACGCGGCCGUCGGUGGAGCUGCUCCAUAGUGAGCCGGAAUCGCCGGCGCCAAUGCAAUCGAUGGGGCAGGUGAGGCUCCUCCUCCCGGGCAGUCCCGAAUGAAGUGCCCCGGUUGCCCACACUUGUAGCACUUCCCUCGGCCUUGCUCACAGCGUGAGACUGGGUGGUCUCCGCCGCAUACAAUGCAUCGCCGCGCUCCACCGCACUUUUGUUGAGUGCGCGGAUACUUCGGGGGUUUCUUGUAAUGUGUUUGUCCCCCCGAACUACCACUGCCCUGGCAUUUCUUGCCCUUAUCCUUGGACUCAGCCAAAAGCUCACGCUUCUCCCGAACGUGGGCGUCUCCGUGCUCCGCCCAUAGCGCUCGAUCGAAGACCUCCGCAAAGGUCGUGAGCUUGAGUAUCUGCACGGCCUUAUAAAUCCCCGGCCGAAGUCCUCGCAAGAACCACUCGGCCCGGUCCCGGUCAUCCUUUACAAUAUCCGGGACGCAAUCUAUAAUAUGGGAGAAUUCUUGCUCAUACUCUGCCACCGAGCGGUCCCCUUGCUCUAGCUUGCGGAACUUCUCCUUGAGCUUCCGCUUCAAUGUAUCGGGGAAAUAGUUGGCGAACAGCUCCCGCUUGAAUUCCUCCCAUAACAUUGGCGGAAGGCCGGGAAGCCGAUCCCGUUUGACGCGCUUCCACCAAACUUUCGCCGCCUUUUCCAAGCAAUGGGUGGCGAGGUACACCUUAUUUCUCUCCAAAGUGCGCAAGUCUUCAAAGAGGGUCUCCAUCGAGUCAAUCCAAGACUCGACCAUCUCCGGUUCCACCUUCUUGCCCUCGAAGGUUGGCGGAUGGAACUUGUUGAACUUGAUAAGAGCCGCCAACGCGCGCUCUCCCUCCACGUCCUUGGCCGUCACAUCGGGUGUAGCCGAUCCCGAUGCCGCCUGUGGCACGAUCGUUGGCGGUGGGCGUGCCGUCACCGGAACCGCCGCUAUGCCCUCACCUUCUGCCACUCCGGGUACAUGAGUCGAGGGUGCGGGCGGACCACCGCCCUCAUUCAUCGUCACAGCCGCCGCCGCAACCUGCCGCUCCAAAAGAUCCUGGAGUCGCUCGAAUCGGGUCUCCUGGCGCUGCACCACACUGGUCAGCGCGGUCACUUGCGCUUGCAACCAAUCCAUCACGCUCGGUUCCUCCUGCUUAGGCACCUCAGGAGUCGGUGCUGGGGCAGUUCUACGUGUGUAUCGUCUUAGAGUCCCUUAAACGCAAUUACUUGGUCAGUCAUCUUAACCAAUUACCUCGUCGCAAUUACGACGCAUGACGACCCAACAACAAAAUCGGGCGGAAGCACACAAGUGUACUCGUUCUAGAGUCUUGGUAUCAUGUCGUCGGCCGCCGACACAACCACCUCGAGGCAAGAACUCAUACCACUUGAAUCCGUCUCUAAUCACGACUAGAGUCAUAUUACCAACUUUGACCCAAUCGAAUCAACUUCCGCCAUCGUUAUAGGUUCACAUUCCGCUCACGCACCUAUAACCUUAGGGCUUACCAACCUAGGGUCUCCUAGGUCAUCCUAGACUUUCUCUCUUUACUUGCUCUCAUUGCUCUGAUACCACAAAGGCUGUCACUCCCCGCCCCGAAACCACUACCAAUUUGGCACGAUUCGGCUGCUGCGGCGGAUUGCCGAACGGACAGCACCUCCCCUGUCCGCCCAAGACUCAACAACAGGAAUGUGCACAAGAAUUUACCGAGAAAAUUAAAUUCUAAACAUACAUAUUCACAAGGGCACAAACAGUGCCAACAAUACAAAGAGCAAGUAAUCCACAAGAUAAAGCAUGUAAAAUAAAGAGAGUACCUUACUAACUAUUACAAUAGUUUCAUCAUUUUCAUUUACAUCAUUCCCUUAAAUGAGUACAUCAUUCAUCCAAAAUAUAUAGCUCUCCAAAUCCUCACCUACAAUGACCCUCUCAGAAGCAUAGGUGUGCUAAUGCAAAAAGGAAAGCUACUAUACUACCACGGUCUCACUGAUCGGGCGCGAUGCCCUUGCCGCGUUCCUCUCUCGACAACCCUGUACCUACCACUGGAAAUAGAGUGGGGUGAGAACUAUCUUCCAUAGUUCCCAGUGGGCUCGGCCGUCGACUCUGCCGAUCUCCCCACUAGGUCCAAGUGGGCACAAGCAACAACAGGUAGAUAGAUAGAUAGAUAUCUCAAAGCAGUGAAUGCAAUAGUAGGAAAACUAUGCUACUAUGCCCAUAUUCACGAAUAUGAAUGCAUGCAUCAUAUAAUAAAGGUUUGCUAUCAUGCUAACAAAUUCACAGUUAGUCGAUCCUGGAUAAAGUACAAUCCUCGGAUUUCGAGAAUUCACUUCCUCACAAUAAACCCCUGCAAUUGCAUAAAAUCACAUCAUUUCAUGUGAUUUUUGGAGUUUUACGGCCCGACAGCGCAAACCGAGGAUUUUUUAGCCUGGCCGAGACAACCGUUGGUAGGUCUCGACAUGCCGGAGGCCGUGCUCAUGAUUCGGAUCUUAGCCGUCCACUGUGGAGAGUGCGGGAGUAACAAGAAACUCUGCAAACAGUGCGCAUAGUGCCUAAAUGGCGCUUACUUCGCAAACCAGGGCUUCGCUGACCCCAAAGGAGGUGAGCACAUUGAUCAACACAGAUCAGGGAACGUCGUGCUCACUUCCGGGAGCAUCGAGAUACCCUCGGAUCGCCGAAAUAGCAACCCGAAGCCGAAACAGUGCGUAGAAAUUGUAAACUGGACUCACCAGAGCUAGGUGGAGCACGGGAUAGCCGGCGGCAGCCGGACGGCGGGCGAACCGGCAGGAGACGAGUGCGGCCGACCAUAGGGGGCCCGGGCACGCGCUGGCCGGCGGCGGGAGGUGGUCGGUGGCGCGGUGGAGAGGCACGAGCCCGCGAGGCUUAGCUCGAGCUCACGGGUCAACGACGGCCAGGCGGCGGCCGAGGGAGCACCGAGGCUCCGGCGACCGGUCGCCGAAGGUCGAGGGAGGGCGGCGCGGCCGACCAUGGGCGGUGGCGGCACGCAGGGACAAAGAUGACCCCGGCACGGCUCAAACUUGUCCUGGGCGGCCACGGGGAGCUAAGGCGGCAACCGACGGCACGCGGGGACGAUGGGGGCGACGUACGGGAGGUCACCGGAGGUCAAAAAGGGCUACGCGGCCGAUCUAGGACAGCGGCGGCUAGCGGGCCAUGACCUUAGCUGAGCUCAACCCAAGCUGGCCGAAGCUGGUCGCGGGUCGCCCAGGCGGUGACGACGGCAUGUUCGGACGGUGGGGGCCAGCGGGGACGGCGCCGGAGGUCAGGUGUCACGACCCGAGACCGAUCCCUUUGGCUGGUCCGGGCACGUCGAACAGAUGCCGAACGGACAGAGCCUCCCCUGUCUGCCCAAGGCUUAGCACAUGUACAAUUCAAGUAGAAAGAAUGCACAAGCGGAAACAUACAUAAUGGCUUACACGAGGGUAAGCAAUAGCCAGAGUGAAAGAAUAUUAGACUAAACAACUCACAAGUAGAAUGAUUAACUUUUAACCAUUUACAAGCAUUCAACUAUCACAUUUGCCUUUACAUUGCUUUUCAUCAUUUCUUUUUACAUCACAAUUCCUCAAAAUAAAAGAUUACAUUCUUUUCUUUAACAUCUCUAACCAUCAAAUACAAAAGAUGAUAUAUAAGGGAAUGCAUCUACUAGCAAAAUAUGAAAAUCCGACUCGGGUGGUCACUGUCUACAAUGCGAUACCUUUACCGCGAUCGCUCGCCGGCUCACUCGGUUCCGGCUCUGUGGAAAUAGUGGGGUGAGAACUAUAACGAAGUUCCCAGUGGGUUCGGCCCCAAUCUCGCCGACUUUCCCACUAGGUCUAACUCAGGCAUAAUAGAAAGAAAUAAGCAGAUAAGUAACCAACUGUACGAAUGCAACUAAUAUGCCUGAACAAAGCUAUCAAUAAGGAUGCUCAAUAUAACUCAUGAAGAACGCAAGUUUUUUGAUCUCUUGUUCAAUCUCAUGGCUAACCUGUGGGUUUCGCCUCAUUAACUCACCAACUCAAAAUCCCAAUUCGUCGGGGAGACUCCUACGACCCGACGGGGACCGUCCUCUGGGGAACAGCACCAACCCAGUGAUGACAACUCCGGAGCGCAUCGCUCGAGGGGGAGCUACCACCCUUGAGCAAGGACUUAUAGCGAGUAUGAUCCAAUCCUUAACUCCAAGGAUGUCAAGUUCAAUCCGUUCCUUAACUAUAAGGAAAUUAUGCACAAAUGACCUUUAACUCUAAGGUUGUAUGUCAUUGUGUCUCAAUCUCAAGUUCUUUGCAUUCUUUGUUUUCAGUCAUGUCAUUAUACUAACUCUAGUGUUCUUUACGCCACAUUUGUUGUUAAUUCUAGCUUUGUUGUUCUUUAAGCCACGCUUGUUCUCUUUGAUGCCACACACUAACUCUAGUGUUCAAAUGCUUUAGCAUUCAUUAUCCUCGUUUAUGCCACACACUCUAACUCUAGUGUCGUCUUUGCAUUUACUAAUGCCACUUGAUCUACAUGUCAUAGUGUCACAUUUGUCCUCUUACCUCAACUAGGUUUUUAUAUUACAUCUCAUGCAUAUAUAGGAUUUUUAGGUUCUCAACCAACUUAUAAUGCAUUUGUACUCACAACAUGCAAACAUUCACAUAAACAUUAUCACAUUCAUCCUAAAAUGCAUGCAACAAUACACAUAUGUAUGCUCAAUAAGUGACACAUUAGACAUAGAAAGAAUUUCAAGGAGUUUAGAGAGCACCACCCACCUCGUAGGUUUGCUAAGGUGCUCGGGUUCGAAUUUCACGAUUUUUAGCCGCCUAUUUCCUUGCCUGCAGCAAAACGAAGCCAAAUUAGGCUUUUCGCUCAUAACUUCGCAUAGUCUUUUCGUAACGUCAAACCGAAAGCACGAACUCGUCGGAAAUAUCCCCAAUUAGGUUUCUAGAGGAUCAAUUUGACUUUGAAACCCUAGCAUGCAAAAGCCCCAAAUUGGUGCCCUAGCAUCAACAUCAAAACAAAACCCUUGUUUUGAUCUCUUCCACAAGCAAAAACAAGCUUGUUAUCAUCUAAAAAUCCCAACAAAACCAUUCUUAGGUCAUUUGGUUCUCAUUCUAAGGUUUUACCAUGAGAGGGGGCAAAGCUUACCUCAAAGCUUUCCUUUUCUUGCACCCAAGAGGAAGAAGAAGAAGCUUGUUCCACUCCUUGCCUUCUUCUCCUCCAACUUCUCCUCCUUGCUCCACCUCUUGAGGGAAAGAGAGAUAUCCUAGAGAGAGAGAGGGAGAGCUCUUUUGUGAAAUGAAAGGGAGAGAAAUGAGAGAAAUAUCUCAUUUGCCCCUCAACAUAACCCAUAUAAUGCAUAAAUGCAUUUAGGUCCCUCCACUUUCAUCACAUUGCACUGCCCAGACUGGGCAUUUUUCGGGCACGGGGACCGGUCUCUCUAGCAGGGGACCGGUCCCCGAGAGCACUCUUGCAGUUUACGUAGCCGGGGUCCGGUCUCACCCUGAGGGACCUGUCUCUCCCCGCAGCGACCGGUCCCCGAGAGCAAAACUCUCAGGACUUAGCCAAUUUUCCCACUUCUGGAAUUUUACGCGCACGGGGACCGGUCUCUCCCACUAGGGACCGGUCCCCAAGAGCUAGUUUUCCAAUACUUAGCCGUUUUCACAAUUUUCACACCUACGGGGACCGGUCUAUCCCACCAGGGACCGGUCCUCGAGAGCCAGGCUGCGCGCAGAACUUUCUGCUCAGCCCAAUACGCAUACGGGGACGGGUCUCUCCCACUAGGGACCGGUCCCCGAGAGCUCAAAAGCUGCAGUUUGCAGAUUUUUAAUUUUCUAGCUCUUGAAGAUCCCCAACAAUGCACUUUUGCUCUUUCAGACACCUUCGACCUUUUCGAAGCGUACCAACCUCGCACUUUGGUCAUUUUGACUAAAGUUCGAUAUUCGUUUACGGAGAUUUCGGUAUAUUAUAUCGGGCCUCAGCCGAGGGAGGGGGCCCGAUGCGUGUGGUUUACCCUUGAGGUCCACGGCCAGGAAGAUGGCAACUUGGUAGAGAGGAUGGUAGAAGAAAGGCAAUACCGGCUUUUCCGGCGACCAAAGUUGCUCGUCGAAGGUUGGGGUGCGCACACGGCUAGGGCAGAGGGGUGCUGGUGAUGGCUGGGGCGCAGCUGGAGGAGCUGAUCGACUAGGGUUAGGGUUUUGUGCAUGAAACCCUAACACCUACAUAUACAUAUAAGUGUAGAUUUGCAGAAAAGUCCUCCAAACCUGAAAAUUUUCAGCCCAGUCCCUCACAGCGUGUGCAUUUUGCUUGUACGCACCUCGACGCUCGAAAUCGCGCAAAACGGUACAUAAAAUAUAGGGCUUUCCGCGAAUUUUUCAUUUUUCAAUUUUGACCCCUCAGUAAACUUUAUGCGAUUCCCAGAUAUCCGUCAGUCAGAUUUUCGAUCGGAUUGCGCCAGCGCGUUUAGCACGACUGGGGCAUCGAAUCUACAAUUUUAUUUCGUCAGAUUUGAUCGCCGAUUUGUGACGAAACCCAUCCUCUCCGCAUUCCACCAAUAUAUCCAUAUAUAUAUACACAUAUAUUUAUAUAUAAUUGAAAUUUAAAAUUCAGAUUCGAAAUUUCCUUUAUAUUCGAAUUAUAGUUAUUACAUCAUUCCCCCUUAUAAGAAGUUUCAUCCUCGAAACUUAAUCAAGCAUCCCCUGCAAACAACUGCGGAUAUCGUUCCCUCAUAGAAGACUCAAGCUCCUACAUAGCAUCGCGCUCCCACUGAACCUUAACAUACGGAAUGCUCCUGUCCAGCAAUUGCUUCACCUCACAUGCCAAUAUCUGCAAUGGAGCCUCAUCAUAACACAGGUCCUCCCGCAGCUGUAUAGACGUCGAGUUGAUGACAUGGGACGGAUCUGGGAUAUACUUCCGAAGCAUGGACACAUGAAAGACGUUGUGCACCCGGGCGAGACUUGGAGGAUAAGCCAAUCUGUACGCCACCGGACCAACAGACUCCAGGAUCUCAAACGGUCCAACGAACCGCGAACUAAGCUUGUUCUGCAAACCGAACCGCUUGAUCCACCUGGAUGGCGAUACCUUGAGCAACACAUGCUCACUGACCUGAAACUCCAAGUCACGCCUCCGCUGAUCCGCGUAGCUCCUCUGUCGACUCUGUGCAAUCAAAAGCCGCUCUCUAGCAAUGUGGAUUUUCGCCUCCGCAUCCUCCACCAAGUUUGGCCCAAUCACUCUGCGUUCUACGACGUCGUCCCAACAGAUAGGAGAUCGACAUCGAUGCCCAUACAAAGCCGCAUACAGUGCCAUCCCGAUGCUCGCCUGGUAGCUGUUAUUAUAGGCGAACUCCACCAGUGAUAGAUACCGAAACCAUCCAUCACCGUAAUCCAGGACGCAUGCGCGGAGCAUGUCCUCAAGAGUCUGAAUGACUCGCUUCAACUGACCGUCACUCUGGGGAUGGAAAUCCAUACUAAAGUUAAGCUUCGUAUCCAUGGCCCGCUAUAAGGUCCUCCAAAAUUGGAAUACGAAGCGAGUAUCCCGAUCAGAUACUAUUGACACCAGCACACUAUGAAGCCAGACGAUCCCGUCGAUGUACAACUGUGCCAAUCGAUCACGGGACCACGUGGUGUGCAUCGACAGGAAGUGAGCUGAUUUUGUCAGCCGAUCUACUGUUACCCAGAUCGCAUCAUGGCCCCACUGCGAUCGAGGCAAUCCAGUAAAGAAAUCUAUAGUAAUAUGCUCCUACUUCCACAUGGGCACAGAAAGUGGUUGUAGCUUUCUUGCAGGUCGUUAGUGCUCUGCGUUCACUUGUUGACAAACCAAACACCGAGCCACGUGCUGAGCCACAUCUAACUUCAUCCCAGGCCACCAGAAAUUUUGCUUCAAGUCGCGAUACAUCAUGGUUUCGCCGAGAUGAACCGUGUAAGGGGAUCGGUGCGCCUCGAAUAGGAUAUCAUUCCUGAGCUCCGAGUCACUAGGCAUACACCACCUGCCUCUGAAACGGAGAGAUCCAUCAGUGUGAAUAGAGAAGUCCCCUUCCUUGCCCUACUCGAUCUCCGCCCGCACCUUUUGCUAGUGUGGGUCACUCUGCUGGCCGAGCAAAAUCCGCUCAGUCAAUGUAGCUUGUACCACUAAGGUCAUCAAUUGGGCCGUGGCCCUAAUAGAAACAACCUCGAUCUCGAGACGAUAGAACUUCUCUACCAGACGAUCCUGUCUCGUGAUCAUAAAGGACAACUCAGCUGAUGACUAUUUCCGGCUCAAGGCGUCCGCUAACAUAUUUGCCUUUCCCGGAUAAUACUGAAUCGAAAGGUCGUAGUCUUUCAAGAGCUCGAGCCAAUGCCUCUACCUGAGGUUCAACUCCUUCUGGGUAAAGAGAUACUUUAGACUCUGAUAAUCAGUGAACACCUCACAGUGUGCCCCAUAUAGGUGAUGCCUCCAAAGGUUAAGGGCAAACACUACUGCCGCGAGCUCUAGAUCGUGAGUCGAGUAGUUCUUCUCAUACUCUUUCAGCUGGCGUGAGGCGUAAGCAAUGACCCGAUCCUGCUGCAUAAGCACACACCUCAAACCGACCCGUGAGGCAUCACAAUAAACCACGAGAUCCUCAUCAGGCCGCGGCAGAGUCAACACGGAUGCGCAAGUUAAUAUAUCCUUUGGCUCAUCAAAGCUCUGCUAAUACUGUGUAGUCCACAGAAAUCUUUUCCCUUUCCUGGUCAGCUUGUUCAGCAGUGCGGCAAUCUUGGCAAAGCCUUCGACAAAUCACCGGUAAUAACCCGCCAAACCAAGAAAACUCCUGACUUCGGUCACAGUAGUUGGUAUAGGCCACUCGACCACCGAGGCUAUUUUCUUCGGGUCCACCGUAAUGCCCGAUAGAGUCACAAUGUGUCCUAAGAAAGAUACCUCACGAAGCUAGAACUCGCACUUCUUGAGCUUAGCAUAUAACUUGUGCUCUCGAAGUAUCUGGAGUACUUGUCGGAGAUAGUCCUCGUGCUCCACAUCACUCCGCAAGUAGAUCAGGAUGUCGUCAAUGAAGACGACGACAAACUAAUCCAAGUAUGCCCGAAAGACCCUAUUCAUCAUGUCCAUGAAGGCUGUCGGGGCAUUAGUAAGCCCCAAUGGCAUCACCGUGAACUCGUAGUGGUCGUAACGAGUUCGGAAGGCUAUUUUCGGCACAUCCUCAGUCCGGAUCUUAAGCUGAUGAUACCCGAAUUGCAAAUCGAUCUUGGAAUACACCGACGAUCCCUGAAGCUGGUCGAAUAGAUCAUCAAUCUGAGGUAGUGGAUAUUUGUUCUUCACUAUGAUCUUAUUGAGCUCCCGGUAGUCGUUGCAUAGCCGCAGACUACCGUCCUUCUUUUUAACGAAAAGGACUGGGGCACCCCAAGGAGACACGCUAGGUCUGAUGAAUCCUUUAUCUGGGAGAUCUUCGAGCUGAGCCUUCAGCUCCUUCAGCACAGCGAAGGCCAUGCGGUAGGGGGCCUUCGAGAUUGGUGCCGUGCCAGGAACUAACUCGAUGAAAAACUCGAUCUCCCGACUCGGAGGCAUCCUUGGAAGCUCUGCAGAAAAGACAUCCGGAAACUCCCGGACUACAGGAAUCUCCUACAAUGGUGGUGCUGCUCGACAGGUGACAUCCACCGAAGCCAGAUAGGCCAUACAUCCGGCAUUCAAGAGUCUUUUAGUUUUAGCAGAAGAGAUAGUCGCGGCAAAGUAUGAGCUCUUACAUGUUCGGUAGACAAAUACUUCAUCAUCGGGUUCGUUAAAUGUCACCGUCCUCUACUCGCAGUCGAUAGUAGCGUGGCACAUCGUGAGCCAGUCCAUCCGAAGCACCACAUCGAAAUUCUUCAUUGGGAGUACCACCAGAUUCGCCAGGAAAGAUCGGUCAUCCAAAAUGACAGGAUAUAACGGGAAGCACCGAUCAGCUUCUAGAUCACCUCCAGGUGUCUCAAUCCGGAGCGGCACCUCAUGUGGACUCGAGGAAAGGCCAUGUUCACAUGCAAAUGAAUGCGAAACGAAUGAAUGGGUGCUCCAGUAUCGAAAAUAGCUCUAGCUCGACUAAUGCAAAGGGUGACAAUACCUGCAAUGACGUCGCCACCUGUGUCCCUCUUGGGCUGGGACAUAGCGUAGACACGCCCACCAGAAGCCUGGCGCGCCCCGUCAUUCUAGCGUGUGGAAAAGGGACGCCCAGAUAAAGCAGCCGCACUCGAGGCUUCACGAUUCUGUCGCGAUGUGGUUGGGGAGGUAGUACUCUGAGCAGCUUUGUCUCUUCUGGGGCAUUCGGCUCGAAGGUUGCCUGGCUGGCCGCAAUGGAAGCAGUGGCCCCUCCGCUGGGGACAAGUAAUCACCCUAUGUGCUUGCCCGCAAAUCACACAGGAUCGAUCACCCUGUCGCUGGCUGCUAGAGGGUGCACUCCUCACCGAUUGCUGAGUGCGUGGAUGCUUGUGUGGCUUCUUGUUGGAAAAAGAGCCACCACCCAACUUCGCAUGGGAAUGCUUCCCGUCCCCAGAACACUCCAAUGCGUCCUGAUCAGAUCGAAUCUUCUCCGACUCACUUUGUACCAUUAGAGCCCGAUCCAAGCACUCGUCGAAGGAUAUCGCGCCGUGGGGCGCGAUCAAGAGCCGUAUACUGGGCCUUAGCCCCGCGCAAAUAGUCUGGCCUUAUGAUACUCGUUAUGCACCGCAAAGGGGAUCAGCUCGACGAUGCGGGUGAAGUCUCGCUCGUACUUCGCUACAGUGUGGUUGCCCUACUUUAGGCGCUCCAGUUCGCGCUCUAAGCUCUGCUUGGUGCUGCCUUUGAAGUACUGCUCGUAGAGGAGUCUCCGGAACUACUCCCAAGGCGGAUAGAUCUCCGCAAGUUUCUUAUGAAAGUGGCGGAACCACCACCAAUACACCUCUCUCUCUAAGCAAUGAGUAGCCAGAUGGACCAUGUCUUAUUUCUCGAUAUGCAGGUCGCAGAAUAGCUUCUCCAUGUAGGCGACCCAAUGCUCGACUACCCGGCUAUCGUCGUUCUUCGCAACGAGCUUCGGCGGGUCGAACUUUCGGAACUCCGCCAACUUCGCCCGAAUGCGGGUGCCCUCCGCUAUAGGGGUAUCACUACCUUCAACGAAAACCGUCGUGGUGGCCGUCGUCGUCGUCGUGACGGUCAGAGCCGCAGCUGGUGCAGGCAUCACUGGAGGGUCCACGGUCACUAGAGCACUUUGCAUCGAAGGUGGAAAUGGGGGAGCAGCAGCUGCAGUCUGCUAUUGUAGAAACUACUGGAACAUCCCAGAGAGGGCCGUCAGCUGACCCAGCUGCUACCUCGGCCUCGAGCUGCUGUGUACGAGCAUCACCCAGCUGCUCAUGGCCGACCUGCUCCCCGCCACCCCUGCCCGUAGGGGCAUGCUCUCUCGGACCGCCAGAUGCCCUCGCACUAGCGCGUCCACUGCCACGACCUAGACGAGGAGGUCUACCAUGAGCCAUUUGCAAUAAAAAACACCGUCAAGCAAAUAAUUCGACUCGACAAUAUACACCUGAACUCAAGCCCAAACCCCGCACUCGCGUGCCCAUACACCGUAGGUCUUCUUAUGGGUCAACCUAACCAAUGGUUCAGUUCGAUUAUUUUUCAAAACAAACUAUGAGUAGUGCUGUGGUUGUAACUUGACUCUGAUACCACUUUAAUCUGUCACGCCCCGGGGUUCCUUUUUAGAUUUAAAAGCCAAUGUAGAAGUGCCCAAAUUUAAAAAAAAAAAAAAUCUUGAGCCCAGAGUAUAUCAGAUCUGUCACAAAUACAGAGAAUCCGCUAUUCACAUAGACAGAGUCUCUCCUGUAUUUGCACGGCAUCCAAUAAGUACAAGAUACAACCACAACAGUAUGACAUUCACAUACAUCCACCAUUCACAUUCACCAUUAAUUUCAUCACAGAUAUUCAUAAAUUUAAAUCUAUUAGUUUAUAACAUUUCCUACAUGGAAACUCAUUUUGAAACACUAAGAGUCAUGAAAACCAAGAAAAUCUUUCCAAAACCAUUUCUCACACGGAAACCAUUUUCUUCUAAAACACGAUGCUACGACUCAUCUCACAAGAAAACCAUAAUUUUUUUAUUACAUUCACAAAAUCCCAUUUAUCCAAAUAAAGUAAACCACUGAACCAAUAAGUCUAAGUUAAUUAUUUAAGAAGUCCAGUUAAGAAAUUUAACCAAAAUGACGGAUCGGUAGCUCUAUCGAUCGCUAGGACACACACCUCACGAACCGUCCCCACUUGGACCCGCGAUGUCACCUGAAAGGGGGUGGGGGGUGAGAACAUAUACACAUGUCUCCCCUCCCAGUGGGUACCGCAAGCCGACGAAGGUAAGGGGUACUCACCAGUCAAGGAGGAUAACAAAGUAUAGGUAAUGGUAAUACAGUAGCAAUGAUAAACACGAAACGAGAUAUAUAUAUAUAAAUCACUACCGCUACUAUAUGUAUGCAUCAACUAGACGACACGUCCAAAAGUACCCAAUCAAAACCUGUCAUAUCGGUCCAUAGACCUCAAGCUUGUGCCACAACUGCUCUAACCUGUGUACGACCCUAGCAUAAGCUCUUGGAUUUGAAUGGUAUAUGACCCGAGCAUAAACUCUUAGGUCUGAAAGGUAUAUGACCCCAGCACUUAGGUCUGAAAACAUAUAACCCUAGCAUAAGCUCUUGAGCUCACGGGCUGAUAUUCCCAACCACUUUUCCGGAUGAGAACACCCUCUUACGAUGGAUCAGACCACUAGUGUUUGUGAAAUGCAUACGAGUAGUGGCGAUCGAUGCUGAUAUUCUCAAUAGCCAACCGUCGACAACUAGCCGACAAUUCUACCCUUCAGGGUAUACCGACUGCGUAGGUCACCGAGUAAUCCAACCGACCAAGUAGGUCACAAUACCGGAUGCAACGAAUUGACCGACUAGGUCAUACAUCUCACAAAGUAGGGCAAUAAAGAGAUAUGGUAUCAGUGCUAGGCUUAACAUAUAAAAUGCAAAGUGAUAGUAGGAGAAAGGUGGAAUUAAAGGAUGUAACCGAGCGUGUACCACUGUACCGACUUCGGGUCGAAAUAUCCACCUGUACGUAUGUAACACUGGUCUCCCGACUGCAGAAGAACAUCAACCGGACCUACGUACAGUCCAACGGGUUAGAAUCUAACCCACAUAUAUAAAUUACAAACUCACAUUCCCAACUGUCACGCCCCGGAUUACAUGUUUCCCUGGGCACGCGAACAGACCCGCCAUAUACAUAAGAAUUUCUCCUGUAUACGAAGCGAUAGCUAUACCUGUAAACAAAUUCAAGCUACAACUAAUAGUAUAGAGCUACUAAACUGAACUGAAUAUAUAAAUAAACAUCAUGUUCACUAUACAUACAAAGUCUCUAAGAUACAACCAUCCCUCACUCCAGCGAGUAAACGAGCAUAAGUAUGUACAUGAACCAAAAUACCCCAAACUACCUGUGGAAGGUACACCUCUAGCACUGCAGCAAGACUGGAAGGGAUCUAGCUCGUGACUCCCUUUCUACGAUGAGAAUCAGCAACAGCAGCAGCCGCAGACGAAGGCUCUACAAAAUGGGGUCAACAAUUGGGUAUGAGAACUACUGCAAAAAAGAGUAGUCCUCAGGGGUACCGCUACUAACCUCAAAGGCUCACCCACUAAGUCUACAAAAAGUAUGCAUAAGGAUAGUAAAAGAAGCUGGUAAAACUCUACAGCUAUAUGCCACUAUACUAUCGCUAUCCAACACUAACUGGCUGUAGAUAGAUGCAAGCUUUGACCCAAACUCACUAGGGACUGUGAACGCACCCAUCCCGCCUGUUGAAGUUACACCAACCACCACCACCACGUUGGGUUGUUGGUGGAGAGCAAGUCCAACCUGGACACUACGACAUCAACGCAAACGCACAAAACCCGACUUCAGAGUGGCACUCGUGGACGCUACCCAACUGAGUAUGCAAGCGUGUCUCUGCCGAACUCAAUCAAGUUCUCACAGGUUAUAAUCAAAGCAAAUGGGUCUAACUGGCUAACAACCAAAGCUCACGUGCCCUUGGCACAAUCUGAUACAAAUAUAGAAAUCUGGGUCUACCGUCAACUGCGACGGCACUCGACAGCCCGAAACAGUGUACACACUACUGUAAAAAUAAAACUCGGCAUCCCAGCACAAGCGUAAACUUAUCCUACACUAAUCUGAGUAUUCAUCGCAUACUAACAGCGACGAUAUAAAAAAACCACAGCUCCUAAAGCUAAAUCUAGUAAUUUUCAGAAAUGACAGUGUAGGAUCUAUAUGGUUUCUCCUAAGUCAUAUUCUAUAAAUUUAGAAGACCUCUUUCUCAUCCUAUGCAACCGUGCACAAGAUAUACUAACGACCCACGGCUAUGAAAGUCGUACGCAUUCCCUUGCACCCAUGCACUAGGUGCAUUUAAAAUCAUGAUCAUCUUGACCAUGUCAUAUGGGUGUGGCUAAUUCGUACCGCCACCGCCGCCAAAAUAACUGCACUUAUGCUAUAUUUAUAACUUACAUAAAAAAUUACCCAUAUUGUAGUCCGAUUAGAUUUCUACUCUAAUUAAUAUUUAAAUCUUAAAUUUUAAUUUAUCUCCAAUAUAUUUAAAUAUUAAUUAUAAUUCAAUUAAAAUUCAAUUACAAAUCUAAGUAAAUCCUAACACAAAGAGCAUUACUCUGAUGCGCGUGGAACAAAACGAAUGUUUGAAAAAAAAAACCCCAAAAGUCAAAGCUGAGUUCCUUAACACGAGGAUUCCAAGUCUUAAAAAUAUGCGGGGCCCAGGUUGAGCUAGUAAAGUACAUGCGACAAAUAUAAAUUAAGCACCGACCGUCCUGAGAGCAAGUGGCAAAGGGCUUGGUGGUUGGUACCCGAGACUCAAGUUCGAAUCCUAAUUGAUUCAUAUUUUCAGCUAAGUUUAUUUCUAAAUAAACGAAGCGGGUAGUGUACCUAUCUCUCAAAAAAAAAAAAAAAAAGUCAAAUUACUAAAUAAGGCAUACACAAGCAUAUUAACCACGGAAUUAAUUUAAUAAAGGGGAUCUUACUAUAUAAUAAUGGAACCAAUUUAACCUUUCGCCUUUUUGGAUUUAGAAGAGUAAAAUCUCAAUUAAUUAUUAGCUACUUUUGUUCUCAUAUUAUGUGUGUUUGUCCUCUCAACUUUAUAUCGUUAGGUUGUUCUUGUUUACACGGCUUCUCAAUCUUUGCAUGCAAUCAUGCAUGUACUUAAUUAGUUUAUUAUCAAACUAGAGUUUCUGCAUAAAAUAAAUAAAUUUAUUAAUAGUAGUGAAGAGAUUCAAAAGAAAAUAAAGUUUAGUUGUAUUAAUUUUAGAAAUAAAAAAUGAUAUUACUAAACCUAAAUAAUAAAUUAGGUUUUGUAGGAACUCAAUGGCAAUUACAUCUACUUUAUGAUUCUUCUCUAGAUAGCCAAUGAUUUUAGAUCGCCGUCAACUGUGGUCCAGUCUAUAGUAUAAUUAAAUAUAUAUAUAUAUAUAUAUAUAUAUAUAUUGAGCUAGAAUAUUUUUAGAAGUACCAACCUCGUGGUGCUUCUAAGUUUCUAGCCCUUAGAUCUACACCCCGUGGUGCUUCUAAGUUUCUAGCCCUUAAAUCUACUCCUUCAUUACUAAUAACCUUUGGAUCAAACACUAUUCCACCUACCACUAUCAUCCCAACCUUACAUUUCUCCAUCCAAGGAUUAAAAACUCAAAAGUACCAACCUCUUGGUGCUUUUGAGAGUAUUCUAACUCAAUAUAUAUAUAUAUAUAUAUAGAGAGAGAGAGAGAGAGAGUUGAACUAGAAUACUAUCAGUAGUAAACGAGUCGUUUUACUACCAAUUUGUUUUCGAUGAUAGAACUUCCAAAUUUACGAUCGGCUUCGUUGAACAUGAUCUAUACCACUUAAAGUGUUUAGAAAUCAAAUUUUAAAUCUUUUAGACAUCAUUUGCCUAAUGAUCAAAGAGUUUCAAAAUUUGUAAUUUUAAUGGUCGAUAAGAGGCGUUUUCUCGUUUAACAGCGUAAAGAUAUCCAAAUCAAUUGAAUUUUUGUUAGAAAAUUCUUUAAACUAUUUAAAACAAGAUCUAUACUCUUGAUCUUGAUUAUAAGACUCCUAUCAUCAUUUUUUAAAGAGUAUUCAUUUUCAGUUAUUCAUUUUUCUGUUCACUUGAUGGAUAAAAGAACAAAAUCGAAAGUGCAUGAAAUUUGAUUUCUAGGUAGUUUAAAUGGUUUAGAUCAUAUUUAACGAAGCCGAUCGUCAAUUUGGAAGCUCUAUCAUUGAAAACAAAUCGGUAGUAAAACGGUUCGUUUACUACCGAUAGUAUUCUAGCUCAACUCUAUAUAUAUAUAUAUAUAUAUAUAUAUAUAUAUAUAUAGCAGGGCAGCUGUGCUCUCAGGAGCACGGAGGCCUCCGUGCUCCUGAGCCGUUUUCGAUGAUGGAGUUUUCAAAUCGACGAUCGGCUCCGUUAAACUUGAUCUAGCGUAUUUAAAUUCUAAAAAAUAAUUUUUGCGAUUUUUCGAUAUCAUUUACCUAGUAAUCGAAAGGAUUCAAAAUCAAUAAUUUUUAACGGCUAAAAAUAAAAAUCCUAUAAAAAGUAGUGAUAUAGCACUAAAAUUUUCGAUCAGAAAUAUAGAUCUUGUUGUAGAUAGUAUAAAGAAUUUUCUAUCAAAAUUUUAUCUGAUUUGAAUACUUCUAUACCGUUAAACUUGAAAACGGCAGAUAUCAACCAUUAAAAAUUAUGGAUUUUGAAUCCUUUCGAUCACUAGGUAAAUGAUAUCAAAAAAUCGCAAAAAUUAUUUUCUAGAAACUUCAAAUGCGCUAGAUCAAGUCUAACGGAGCCGAUCGUCGAUUCGAAAAUUCCAUCAUCGAAACCGGCUCAGGAGCACGGAGAGCACAGCAGUCCUGCUCUAUAUAUAUAUAUAUAUAUAUAUAUGAGUUGGACUGGGCUACUAUUAGUAGCAAAAUCCCAUUGUUGCUAACAGUUUUUUAGCCUUUGGAUCAACUCUUUUCAUUAUUUCUAACCAUUGGAUUAAAUACUAUAACCCAGUGGGGACCACUCAACCCUAGGGGGACCACUCAACUCUAACCGACUCAAUUCAUCCUGACCUUACAAUUUUUCAUUCAAAGGUUAAAAUUUAGAUAGCAUAAAAAGCUUUUAGCUAUAAUGUUAUUCAGGUAAUUCUUAUAUAUAGUCAUAUACUUAUUAUAUAAAUAGUCGUAUAGUAUAAUAAAUGCCGUUGGUUAAAUCCUUUAACAUGCGGUAAUUCAAAAAUACUGUCAAACUGUACGAUCGAUUUUCAACAUCAAACUAGCCUUAGUGAACCAUCCGCGUUUUAAUCAAACAAGCCGAGUUUUUCUCGAAUCUAUUGAAAAUCAGAUAACUCUAAAAUCACAUUUAGCUGAUUUUAUUUUUAUUACUGCAUAUAUUUAUAAAAAAUAAAUUUGAAAUACUUAUGCAUACUUAUUUGGUAUAGAAACGAUAUUUUUAUUAAAUGUUACAUAAUAAGAAUAAUAAUAUAUGCAUAUUUCUUAUAUGGCAAAAUUAAAAAUGAAUACUAAAUAUUUAUUGUAUUCAUACGACUACUGAUUCAAACCAGUUGUUGGGACUUGGAGUUGAACGCAGUGAUCCUUAAUUUAUGUACAUAUUUUCGGGUUGCCGGUUUGAUUCGAUUUUUUAUAAACUUGCUAGAUAGUGUAUUAGAAUUAGUCAAGUAUAUUCCAUCAUUUUCAAUAUUAUUGCAAAACUUCAAGAAGAUGUAUGCGGAUCUUGGUUUACUACACCACAAUGACUUACUAGUAUGGUAAAUUAAGAUAAAUUACACUUGUGGGCACCAACUAUGUAGCAUGCGGGCACUCUUAGGUUCUAAACUUAGUUUUCUUAUUUUCUAGGCCUCCACUUUACAAUUUAAGUUUACAAUCCGAAUUUAUUUUUGGCUAAUAUAUUGAUGAUCUUAUCUGACUAUACAAAUAAUGUACAAUUAUUUUUGUCGACAUUAUGUAUGACUUUUAUGACAUAUAAAAUCUAUUGUAGUCGUUUAUUUACUUGGAUUGUUAUCUUCAUCAAAUUUCCGCUCAAUACCAACUCAUAUUACGUCAUAUUUUAUCUAUACUUAAACACUCAUUAAUUUUAACGACCCAGCAGUGGGUGCUUACUGCACAAUAUAACUCGUGGCAAUACCGGCUCAAAUGAUUAAGCCAGUUAUUAUUACUAUGUUAAGUCGUCUUUAAACCAAUGACAACCCUCGAUCUAUCGCCUGUGGGUUAUUGGUGUCCAGGACCCCCCGGUUAAGGCGCUGACGUCAUCGGUCCAGUCAAUACACCACGACCAAGUGACAGGCUAUGUGAGGACCUCGUCUCGUAGGCCCGGUAUCCAGACUAUCCUGGCUCAGCGAGACUCACAACAUAUGUCAGCUGUUGCGUGAAACCUGGGCCUGAUUCACUUUAUCUGUACCCCGUGUCCCUUUUAGUUAAAGAGGUAGCGGAAAAAGCGUCUGAAAAUUUGUUUUUAAUGAUGCCCAAAGUGUGCCAGAUCGCCCUACAGAGUUCAACUGUUCAGACGGAAGUAGUCUCCACGUUAUUGCACGGGCGCGCAAAGUUACAGAUUCAAUAGAUCACAUAACCACAACCCAGAUGGAAAUAUUACAAGAAAGGAGACAUACAUUAGUACACCGAUUCACACAUAUUACAAGUAUACAUUCGCUAUUUGAAUAUAAUCCGACAUAUCUAUCGGUUAAAAUAUUUGUCAACCACAAGCUAAACAGGUGGUUGGAAAUACUAAGAUCAACAAAUCACAGAAAUCUUUGAAGCUAUCGCUCUCUAAUAAUCAAGCGUGAGACUUUAUAUAGACUAUAUCAUAACGUUGCUGGCCCGGCACGAGUAUGCGCGGCGUGGUUUAUAUGGAUCACGAAGAUAUGUGACCAGUUUCAUACGAAAGCGAACACCCGACGGUUUAUUCCGUAGAAUAGUGCUGGCUUCAAACCUCUGAAUCAGAUAUCCGUGUCAAAAUUAGUAAAAGUGAAAGAACCAGUAAUAUGUGUCUAAGCUGGAGGUCGUGGGUGGUGCUGGAAUAGCUGCGUUGGUAUAUUUUAUGUAAAUUUAAGCAUGUGACGUUAUGUAAGUGGUUUUUCAUUAUAAGCCAAAGCUAAACGGUGUGGAAAGCGCUAUCGCUUGGCUUAGCGUAUAUGGUACUUCUGCUCGGCUGUCUCUUUUCGAAGAGAGGCUGCGUUGGAUGCCAUGAUUCAUCUCCAUGAUAAAUUGAGCCUGCGGCAGUUGUGGGUGAUCGAUAAUUGUCAGAACAUGUCUCGCGAUCUUCCGCAUGACCUAAUUUUUCUUUGUCAACCCGGACUGGAUGAGGAUUACUCAGAGCCGAGGAAUGUGCGGGGAAGGGCUCGACAUGUAACAUGAAUCGUCACCGCAGUGAUAAGUGGUAGAUUUCUUUUUAGUAUAGCGACUGAGGCGUUGAAGAUUUGAAGAGGUGAUUAAAGUAAGCUGGAGUAGGAACUUGUAUGCGAAUAUUCACUCUCUUUUCGUUAAAUAAGAUUCAGAUGCAUGGAUUUAAAAUAAAACCCACUAGCUGAUCCAUGUUCCAUCUGCAUAAGAAUCGUUGGUGAUACUGAAAUAAACACGUACUUAUGCUUUACUAGGAAUAUACUGGAUAUGAAGGCUGCUGUUAUACUCAUCUCUGACUGUGCGAUAAGCUUCAAAGAUACCCCAAUUUCUUAUAGCAGCCUCGGCUGUGUUGUGAUUUUUUUGCUCUGAAAUACUAGAUCAAAGAAAAGAUAGCACACUGCCUUGCACCGUGGCUUGCUGGCGCUCGCAUCUAAGGUCUCGCCCUUAAUUUAUGAGUCAGAUGACGUACUUUUGCAACAUCGCCCAUGUAUACACGAUGAUGUUGGAGCUUAUGAGGUAGAGUCUCUCAUAUACCACUCAAUCAGCUCUUCUGGCCGCUCUAAGCACUUUCAUUAUGGCAAAUAACUGGUUGGCAAUUCCAACCCACUCAUAUUCUGGAAAAGAACACCCUUCUCUGUGGUGGAGAUCAAACCUCGGGUUCGUGAAUGCGUCCUUGCGUUUUUUGUGUUCAGAGUGGAACCUAAAGUGUCGCCUACUUGUAGGAAGUCAAUAUGUUUAUUGCUUACGUGAUCGGUCAAAUAUAACUCAUGAGGGGUAGCGAAAAUACUAGCUCGACAAUCCAAGCCCUCAAGGGCCACGAGCCGUAUUAGGCAAGAUCUCAGCAACGCUAAUCGAGGCUAAUAAGUCAGAUAACAAUCGUAGCCACUCGAGCGAUAGUAUAGGGUAUCAAAGUAGGGAACACCCAACUAAAAUAUUAAUAUAGUGAACAGAUACAAUCAACUCUAUCUUCCUAAGCCGAUAUCACAGAGAAAUACUGGUAGAGGAAUGCAGAUAUAAAAGCAGGUGGUGAACUCCUUAUAACGGUAAGACGUAGCAGUCAACAGUGGGAAUGUGAAGGAAAGAAAGUCACGAGCGUGCCAUGUACGAUACGGGUGCCAAGUACGACUGUCGCUAUCUGCACGAACGGUCUCUCGAUAGUGAAGACGGACGCGGACCACAUAUCGAAAGGUCCAACGCAGUUAGCGAAUCUAAUCCAUUGCACAAUGUAAUGGCUAACUACAACCCUCGCUCUCGCCCGAACUCCCCACGACGAUUCUCAAAAAGCGAUUAUCGAAUAGCCGGGAAGUCCCGGAAACUUGCACCGGAACUUCAUCGCGCUCACCUUCGCUUCGAACCCACAACGACGCGCGACCGGAUGGUGACCAGCCAACAAGGCUGGGGAGCGAUCGCGUUCAAUUAGCCGAGAGGCACCGCUCGGCAUGAUAUUCCGAACCGAAACCGCCGGUCUAUGCGGAUUGCGCCCGAGAAACUGCUUCCGGGAAUCACUUUUUUGAUUUCCGUAAGGGUUGGGCCGGAUUGGAACGAUCAGUCCGAGACAUUAUCUCAGCCAAAUAUGCAAGCAACCCGAUCUACACACGAAGCCAGACAAACCUAAAGCCCUGACCGAUCAGAUGAAUGCCAUAAUUUGUUCUUUUCCCAUUUUUGUGAAGAUUUUUUUUCUGGCUUUUUUUCUUUCUAGGACGUGCGUGCAAACAGAGUAGUCGUUAAUACGACCGUCGUUACUCGCUGUAAGGUUUCAGCAUGUCGCGCAAGGCCGCGUGCUCCCUUUCGGCAGCUAUCUGCCUCGCCACGCGGUGCGCCAACGAGAACACGCACGCGAAUGUUCUAUAAAUGCUCGCGCACAGCGCGAAGAUCAAUAAUCAAAAACCAGCGCGCAUCUUGCCAUUAUGCCGCCCGGAAGCGUGUUGGCUUUAGGUGAGCACAUGCUUCGGAGGACAUUCGAUAAAUGGGACGAUACAGAGAAGUUGGCAUGGCCCUGCUCGCGGAAGGCAUGAAACGCAAAACUCGAGAAAUCGUCCAAAUUUUUUUAAUGUCCGACAGAACCCAACUGCAACAAUUAACCUGUUGGGCCCGAUACCGCCUCAAAAUGCUUAAGCCCCAGUUAUUUUAAUGAGGUGUCAAGUCUCUUAUCACCCAAUGAAACCCAUUCCUUAUCCGAUGUGGAUUAUUGGCGGUGUAAAGACUCCCCCUGUUAAGUCCUGAGUCCUCGUCAGCUCAAAACACAUCAGCCAAGAUCACAGGGCUAUCGUGAGACUCGUCUGCUAGCCGUAUCCAGACCUGGACUCGCCGAGACUCGCCAACAUGUCCAGCUGACUUGAAACUGGUUAUGAUACCAAAAGUAAACGACCCAGCCCACUAGCAACAAUAACUCGUUGGGCCCAAUCACCGGCUCAAAAUGCUUAAGCCCAGUUAUUAUUAUUAGUGUCUAAGUCUCUUAUAAACCCAAUGACAACCCCAUUCCUAUCCGAUGUGGGAUUAUUGGGGUGUCACAUUAAUAUUUAACCAACUAAAUUAGGCUGUGGAACUUGAUUGCAGUAACUAAAAAAUUUGAAUCAAAGCCUAUAAUAAAUUAAAAUUUGAGAACCAAACCGUCACAAACUUAACAUUUUAAGGACUAAAUUAAAGUGUAAGUUACCCAAAAUAUAUAUAGUAACAUUUGGAAACUACAGUUUACAAAUCAUGCUAUCAUGCUAUUUAAUGGUUCACUUUUCUUUUUUCUGACCUGGUCAAUCGUAUCAUAUCGUAUCAUGCCUAGUAUUUGGUGGUUUAAUUUUCUUCCCAAAUUGUAGUGGCCACAUCAGAACGGCUUUAGAUAUUACUGUGAAAUUUGUUUGUUAGCGGCCCAUUAAUCGUGCAUGGCAAGUAACGUUAAUUGUGCCAAUUUAAGAUGGUCAUAAUUCACCAUUUUACAGCUGUAAGAGAGAGAGAGAGAGAGAGUGAGUGAGAGAGUGCGGAUACAGCUGAUAAUAGUGGCAAAUAAUAAUUUGUUGGACUUAUUAACUACCCAUUUCAAAGAACUUUUUAUAAAAUAAUUCUCUGAAAUUUUAUAAUUUAUAAAAUAAUCUUAUCAAAUUCAUAUUUGGCAAACUAAUUUUCGAAACGUAGUGAAUCAUUCAUCGCAUUCUGAAGACUUCAAGGUCUUUUAAAGGUGGUGAAUCAUUCACAGUAUUUAUUAAGACGGUUAACGAUUCAUCGUUUUCUUCAUAAUUUUUUGAAAAGAGAAAAAAAAAAGUGAGACCGUUAAAAUUGUGCGUAAAUUAUACAGGAAAUAAAAAAAAAAAAGUGAGAUUGUUAGAAUUGUAUAUGGAUUAUUAGAAUUUUUGUUUGAUUAAUUAGAAUUGUAUGGAUAGAUUAUUAAGAUUUUUUUUUUAUUGUUAGAAUUGUAUGGAUAGAUUAUUAGGAUUUUUUAAAUUAUUAAGAUAUGUGAUUUUGAUUAUUAUGAUUGUAUGGAUAGAUUAUUAUAAUUUUUUUAAUUAUUAGGAUUAUAUAGAUAGAUUAUUAAAAUUUUUAUAUUGUUAAAAUUAUAUGUGAUUUGUUGGAAUAUUUAUAUAGUUGUUAGUAUUAUGUAUGGGAUAUAGAAAGAAAUAGUAAAUAAGUAAAAGAAGGUGAAUCAUUUACCGCUUUUGUGAGAAAUUAGGAAGGCGGUGAAUCGUUCACCGUCUUUAUGAAGGCGGUGAAUCAAUGAUUCACCGCCUUUAAGAGAAAAUUAUAAUGUAGCGCUCCUACAUAACAAAAAAAGGGUUAGUUUUCUAAAUAUAAAUUUAGUAGGGUAUUUUGCAAAUACCAAAAUUUUAGAGGAUUAUUUUAUAAAAAAGUCCAAUUUAGGUUAAGCUCUACUGUUAUUAUUAUUUAGGAUUAAUUGCAUAUAAGUCCAUACAAAUACAGUGAAUUAUAAAUAUAUAUUUUUAUAAAGUUCAACUUUCAUAUGUUGUCCCUACAAAAGUUUUAAUUAAUAUUUUCAAAUAUAUUCUUGAUGCUAGUUGUUAAAAUAUAAAUAGUUCUCUAACGAUAACAAAUGAAAGUUGAACUUUGUAGAGAUGUAUUUACAAUACACUAUGUUUGUAGGGACUUGUAUGCAUUUAACCUUAUUAUUUAUUAUUAUUAUUAGGGUGUUUAAUCCUUAUAUUUUCAAUCACUAAUAUUUUUUAUCUGAUGUGGAACUAUUAGGGUGUUAUAAACUCUCUGUUUAGACCAUCUAAUGUGAGACUANUAUAGAUGCAGGUAAAUAAAACAGUAGCUACAAUAAACAGAUAAGGAUGUACUGAAAAUAAACACUACAGCUACUGUAUGCAUGCGUCAACUGACGAUAAGCUCAAAAGUACCCAAUCUCGCUGCCCUAUUGGUCCGAAGACCUCAGGCCCAUGCCACACUGCUCAACCUGUACCUGACCCUCGCAAUGAAGCCCCUGGGUCAGAAGCACAGUACCUGACCCUCGCAAUGAAGCCCCUGGGUCAGAAGCAUAUACCCUCGCAAUAAAGCCCCUGGGCUCACGGGUUGGCAAUCCAACCACUUUUCCGGAAAAGAACACCCUCUUGCGGUGGAUCAGACCGCUGGUGUUCGUGAAAUGCGUACCUGCAGUGGCGAUCAAUAUAGUAUGCUCAAAGAUCAUCCAUCGGCAACUAGCCGACAAUCCAAGCCCCUCAGGGCACACCGACCGUAUAGGCCAUCAGCAACUAAUCGGCUACAUAAGUCAAGAUAACACUGUAGCAACUCGACCGAAUAGGUCAUAGGUAUCAAAGUAGGGGAACCACCCAACCAAAUCAUAAAUAUAGUGAACAGAUAAAUCAACUCUACUCCUAAGCACGAUAUCAACAGGGAAAUAACUGAGUAGAGGAAUGCAGAUAUAAAAGCAGGUGUAAGGCUCCAUAUAACGGUAAGAUAGAGUAAACAGUAGGGGUGAAGAAACGUCACCGAGCGUGCACCACUGUACCGACUACGGGUCGAAGUACCCACCUGUACGUAUCUGACGAAGGUCUCUCGACUGUGAAGACGGCGCGACCGAACCUACGAAAGGUCCAACGGGUUAGGAUCUAACCCACUGACAUGUAAUGCUAACUCACAACCCUCGCUCGCCAGAACCACGACCGGUUUCCCAAAACCGAUUAUCGAAUAAGCCGGAAGUCCCGAAAACCGCACCGGAACUUCAUCGUCGCUCACCCGUCGUUUCCGAACCCUCACAACGACGCGGGUGACCAGCCAACAAGGCUCAGCGACGCUUCAAUUAGCCACGAGGCACCGUCGGAUGAAUUCCGAACCGAAACCGCGUUCUAUCGGCGGAUUUCGCCGAAAACGCUCCGGGAAUCACUUUUUGAUUUCCGUAAGGGCUUGGGCCUUGGACGAUCAGUCCAGAGAUUAUCCUCAGCCCAAACAUGCAGCCAACAGCAUCUAUAACGAAGCAGAAAACCUAAAAGCCCAUACCGAUACAUGAAAUCGCAUCAUUUCAUGUGAUUUCUAGGCUUUUCUGGACCGUGCAGGCAAACCAGAGGUCGAUUAAUCCGACCGUCGUACUCGCUGACAGGUUUCAGCAUGUCGGAGGCCGUGCUCACCUUUCGGAGCACUGCCGGCCACUGCGGUGCGCGCACGAGCGACGCGAAGUUCUGAUAAACUGCGCGCACAGCGCGAAGAUCCCAACUAACUCACAAACCAGGGCAUCUUUGCCGCUGUUGGAGGUGAGCACGAUGUUCGGAGACAUCCGAUAAAAUUGGAACGAUACAGAGAAGAUUAGCAUGGCCCCUGCGCAAGGAUGACACGCACAAAUCGAGAAAUGGUCCAAAUUUUUUUAAUGUAACGACCCAACCCACUAGCAACAAUAACUCGUUGGGCCUAAUCACCGGCUCAAAAUGCUUAAGCCCAGUUAUUAUUACUAGUGUCUAAGUCUCUUAUAAACCCAAUGACAACCCCAUUCCUAUCCGAUGUGGGAUUAUUGGGGUGUCACAGACUCCCCCCGUUAAGGUCCUGACGUCCUCGUCAGUCCAAACACACACAGCCCAAGAUCACCAGGCUAUGUGAGACUCGUCUCGCUAGCCCGUCAUCCAGACCCUGGCUCAGCCGAGACUCGCCACACAUGUCCAGCUGGUGAACCUGGCUCUGAUACCAAAUGUAACGACCCAGCCCACUAGCAACAAUAACUCGUUGGGCCCAAUCACCGGCUCAAAAUGCUUAAGCCCAGUUAUUAUUAUUAGUGUCUAAGUCUCUUAUAAACCCAAUGACNUGGCAAAUAACAUUAUUGUAUUGGUGCAUUAAUUUAAGAUGGUCAUAAUUUACCAUUUUACAGCUGUGAGAGAGAGAGAGCUGAUAAUAAUGGCAAAUAAUAAACUAAUUAAGUGGGAACAAUCAUUUAUUUAAAUCAGAGUAGUGCUUCUGGUUUUUUUCCCCAUCGUUCAUUCACUCCUCUUCAACGGCCUAAAUUUAAGUUUUUUAUAGCAUGUCACUUUGGGACAGGUACUGAUUAUCAGGUAUCUCAAAUAAUAAUAUUUUUGUCUUUUAAUAUAUGAAUAAUUUAGUAAUUUUAUCUCUACUAUAUUAUCAAAAUCUUUAUUAAUUCUAUCUUCGUUUCUUUUUUCUCUUUCUUUGUUUCCUUACAAAUUCAAUUUGUAAGGAACUAAAAUUUAAAAAAUCGACUAAAAACUGAAAAAAUUUAAAGAUAAGAUUAAAAUCAAUUUAGUAAAUUAAAUUAAUUAGACUGAUCAAAUUGAUAAAAUAUAUUAAUAGCUUAGAUUUUUUCAAUAUAAAUUUAUUUAAUUUAUCUACAUUUCUAAUUUUGUUUACUCUAGUGAAACUCUAUGGUGGAGAUUUACUAUAAACUUAAAAUUUAAAUUAUAUAGCCUAAAUUUAUUUAUUAGUAAGUUUAAAUUACUCUAUACUAUUUAGAUUUAUUGGAGGUUUCUGUAUACUUUUUAGGUUCUAAACUUCAAUUUUAUUUUGUUUUCAGCUUAUAUUUUAAAUUACAAUACAUUAUCUUAUUAUUUUAAAAGAUCAAUUUUCACUAUUAAAAUUGAAUUAAUUUUACCUAUACAAUUCUAUUUUAAGAAUAAACUUGAAUAAUACCCUAUAUUUCUAAUCAAUUAUCCACAUUAAAAUUUUUAAAUAGUGAUAAAUAAUUAAUAUCUAAAUUAGAAAAAAUUAUAACUUUUUAAAUAUGUUCAACAUGUUGAAUUUAAAUAUCUGCCCACAUUCAAUUUUUUAAAAUUAGUAAUAAAAAAUUAAUGUCUAAACUAGACGAAUUCAUAAUUAUUUUGUUAAACAUAUUAAAUACGUUAAAUUUACAUAUUUACCAACGUUACAAAUUUUUUUUAAUAGUGAUACAAAAUUAAUGUCUAAAGUAAAACAAUUCUAAAAUUUUUUUAAUAUAUUAAAUACAUUUAAUUUACAAUUUUUUUACCUAUAUUUAAUUUUUUUUAAAUAAAUGAUACAAAAUUAAUGUCUAAACUAUAGGAAUUUAAAAGUUUCUUAAAUAUAUUAAAUAUGUUGAAUGAAAACAUUUACCAACAUUACAAAUUUUUUAAAAAGUAGUACAAAAUUCCUCUAACUUAAAUUUAAAUUUUUAAUCUUAUAUAUUUAAUAUUUAAUAUUUAAAUUCAACGUAUUUAGAAAUAGAACUAUUUCUAAAAUUUAUAUAAUCUAAAUUAAUGCCUAAAUUUGAGAAACACUAAAAUUUCUAAAAUAAAUAUCUAAAUUAAUGCCUGUAUUAAUUUCCAAAUUUGGGUAAUCAAUCAAUUUUUCAAAUUAGUGCAAAUUAAUGCGUAAAUUUAGGAUAUCAAUUAAAAUUUUUUAAAAAUGUUGUAUAGUUUAAUUAUAAAAAUAACCUCGAAUGAAAUAAGCCUUUUACCUGCUAAAUAUUAAAAUUAUAUUUUUACCUUUUAUUGGUUAAUGGUUAAGAUCUUUUCCAUUUUUUAUAAAAUAAAGUACCGAAUCAUUUCUCUUUAAAUCGACCAUUCAGCUCAUUCAUAUUUCUAAAGUUUUGUAAUUGCCAUUUGAACAGAACAAUCACACAACAAAAGAAGAACAACUAUACCAUCAGAGUCAGAGCAGAACAAUAGCAUGACCAAAAAAAAGAACACACCACUAAAACCCCAUUAGCCACUAACUCAAAGCAAUAUUUCAAAUAAUGGUUUAGAAAAAGUCAAAAGCUCAACUACAAUCCCAAUGCAAAACUAAAUGUAUCGUGGAUGCAUAAUAUUUAAAAAGCAACAUAAUUUUCGUGUUUUUGUGAGUUUCACCAGGGUAAAUAUAUAUAUAAAAAAAAAAAAAGAAGAAGAAAAAUAGAGCAAGAUAUUUACAUAUGUUUCUUUUCUGAAAGGAGAAUUAAACAUUUAGAUAGCUGAGUUAAUUAAGAUUCUUCUAAGGGCUUUUUUUUUGCAUUUGGCCCCCUUAAAAAGAUUUAUUUUAAAAGUAGCCCCAAUAAAUUUAUAUUUGUAAAAAUGGUCCUAGUCCUGCCACGCAGGCGUCACGUCAGUGCCACGUCAACGGAACUGGAGCCGGUUUGUUAAAUUGAACACUGUGAAGGUUCACCGUGUUUGGAAAAAAUAUAGUAUAUAUACAUUGCAUUGUGAAAAUAUAGAGGAGAAUAUACGUAUAGAACACGGUGAAUCAUUCACCGUGUUUAAAUACGGUGAAUGGUUAACUGUGUUCAACUUAACACUAUGCCCCUGAUAUGGUGCCUACGUGGUGGGGAUAGGGUCAAAUUUGUAAUUAUAAAUUUGAUGAGGUUAUUUGUAAAAAAAAUAUUUUGAGAGGGCCGAAUGCAAAAAAAGCCCUUCUUCUAAAAAUAUAUAUUAUUUAAUUUCAUAUUAUUUUGAAUGAUACGGAAUGUGAAUUGAUGAUCACCAUCUUUAAACAUGAUUGAGAAUAUUUGAACUCUUUUUAUAAUCUAAUUUCAGAAAUCUUCCACAUUAUUUAUUUGAAUAUUCAAUUAGCUGUAGCAGUAUCAAACUUCACAAUUUUGAUGGCCAAUAUAAAGUGUACUUGAUCGAGAGUAUUAAGUUAUCAAACAAACUAUUUAAAAAAUUCACAAUAUUUGGAUUCUAAAUAUUUCCAGUAUGUAAAUAAAGUUUAAUGAUUAAUCCUUAAUUCAAAUAUCUCAUCAUCAAAAAUGGAAUGAAAAAGUUAUUGACCUAGUGUUCAUAUACAAAUAUCUAACAAAUCCAUCAACACACAAGCGCAUCUAAGUGUUCAUAUACAUGUAAACAUACAAAUAAGUGUUCAUAUAAAUAUACAUGCAUGCCUUUUAACUUCUAUUAGUGUUCAUAUACAAAUAUCUAAUUAACAAAUCCAUCAACACUCAAGCACAUAUAAGUGUUCGUAUACAUGUAAACAUAUAAAUAAGUGUUCAUAUACAUGCCUUUUUAUUUCUGUGAGUGUUCAUGUACAAAUAUCUCACAAAUCCAUCAACACACAAGCACGUAUAUACAUGUAAACAUAUAUAUACAUAUGCAUAUACUUAUACAUAAGUGUAUAUUCUUCAUACACAAAUAUCUCACAAAUCCAUCAACACACACAAACAAACAUAUAUAUGUGUAAACAUAUAUAUACACAUAUAUAUAUAUAUAUAUAUACUUAUAUAUACUUAUAUAUACUUAUAUAUAGUUAAAUGUAAGUUUUCAUAUACAAACAUCUCACAAAUCCAUCAAUUAAUCUACUAGUAUUCUUGCGGACGUGCACACACAUGUACACACACAUAUAAAUAUGAGAGUUAGAUAUGUUUGUAUCUAUACAUAUUGAGAGAAAUUAUUACCCACACUCAUCACAUCUUUACAUUGCAUGCACCAUUCGUAGUUGGCUUCAUUCCUCUGUUCACUAGUUGGACGAUUGGAUUGAAAGUAUUAGUUUGUCAGAUGGUGUGCGAGACACGAACAUGCGCUUGGUGCAAGCAACAGCUAGCUAGUUUCUCAUGGUAUGACACAAACUUUACCAGGAAUGUUGGGAUCGUUGGUGCAAUUCGAGUGUGUCGGUGUGGGAGGGAACUUUGUCUGUGGUUUCAUUACAUAUGCUAGUGACGACUCUUCCUUCAUGGCGAGGCGCCCUUCUCCAUCCAGAGGCCUCGCUCCUAGAAGAGGCAACAUGAGAGCGAAGAUCACUAUGGUUUGGAUGAGAAACUGUACUAUAAACCUCUUGCUCACCUUACAUAUUGGUGUAUACAUGUAUAUAUAUAUAUAUAUAUAAAGAAGACCAAGAGGAAAUAAGGAGAAAAACUAAUGCACUACAAGAAAACUAGAAUAUUGCGGCACAUGAGUAACGGCUAUUUCUACAAGGAGGAGGGAGAUCGUGGAGGAGAUGGUGGCGCUGAUGAAGCCAAUACACAGACACACACACACACACACACACACACACACACACACACACACACACACACACAUAUAGCCGUAGAGAGAGAGAGAGAGAGAAAGAAAGUCUUACACUUUAUCCAUCCAAGGCUCAAUAUGUUCAUAUAGUUUUAUCAAUUUUACUUUUUAAUAUUAAAAAUUCAAAAAGAGUGUCUAAACCUUUGGAAGUGUGGGUAUAAGAUUUAUACUCUAUUUUUUGGUGUACAAGUAGCAUUUCUCUUUCGCACACACUCACUUUUAAGUUGCACUUACACUCCUUUAACAAGCUGAAAUCUAAUCAUAAUAGUUGCAAAAUGAAGAUCAAAUUAAACUGUUUAAAGUGAUUUAUGUUACGGACGGAUUGGGAUCUUGUAACCCUUCGAGUAGCUUCUUGAUGGAAUUGACUCCGGCAAGUCCGAUACAACUAAAAAAGAAAUAUAUAUACAAAAUAUAUAUCAUAAUUUCUAGAAAUUGAAAGUUUCGGUUCGUUAAUAUUUACACCACUUGAUGCAUCGAAAAAUCAAUUCUUAAAAUUUAUGAUACUUUAUAAGUAUGCAUUUUAAAUAAUUUUGCUAUAUAUUUAGAUUUUUAAUUUAGAUCAAUUUUUCAGAUUUAAAUUUAUAUUUUGUGUAAUAUAGAAGGGGUGGUCGAGAAUGGGUGCCUAUGGUAAAAAAAUUGUCAUUCUAUUGUCUUUUUCUUUACCUACGAAAACAGAAAUAUAGAGUUGGACUGGAAUGCUAUCGAUAGUAAACGGGUUCUGUUGCCACUCAUUUAUUUUUUAUGAUGGAGCCUUCAAAUCGACGAUCGGCACCGUUGAAUACGAUCUAUUUCGACAUCCUUUCCCUAAUGAUCAAAGGGUUUCAAAAUUUAUAAUUUUAAUAGUCGAUAUAAUUAAGAUAUUUUCUUAUUUAACGGUGAAAAGAUAUCCAAAUCAAUUGAAUUUUGAUUAGGAAAAAAAAUUUAAACUAUCUAGAAUAUAUAAGAUGUAUACUCUUGAUCUUGAUUACAAGACUCCUAUCAUCACUUUUUAACGAAUAUCCAUUUUCAACCAUUCAUUUUUGUAUCCGCUUGAUGGAUAAGAGAACAAUAUCGAAAAAAUAUAAAAUUUGAUUUCUAGAAGCUUCAAGUGAUAUAGAUCGUAUUCAGCGGUGCCAAUCGUUGAUUUAGAAGCUCCAUCAUCAAUAUCAAAUGGGCGCGCGACAACGGAACUCAUUUACUACUGAUAUAGCAAUAUUAAUUGCAGCUCAACUCUAUAAAUAUAAUAUACUUGUGGACUGUAAUAAAAGAUGUAUAACAUAUAUAGAAUCUUUAUCAUAGUAAAAAAUUGAAGCAUGCCACAAAUGUAGUGGUACUCACUUUAUACUGGCCAGCUUCUUUUAAACUGAUCCAUUUUAUAUUUUCUAUGCUGACCUAGUGUUAGUCAUAAGUCGCACAUGUUAUGGCCAUCUCAUAGCUGCGUGGAAAGGCAUUUUCCCGUGGUUAGUGACGGUACUUAAGUGGCGACGUAACUAGUAAAAUUAAGAUAACGAGAAUCAUUUUGACUCCCGUAAAAUAGAUUUUGUCACGCAACAAAGACCUACUACAAUCUCUCAAUAAAAACAAAGACGUAGUACAAGUGCUACAAACAAGUUGGGUAAUAUAUGUAUAGUAGUUAAGAGAUUCCGCGCGAUGCGGUGGAAAGCAAAUAUAAUAGUAAAUUAUUGAAAAUAUUAAAAUUAUUUUUUUCAUAUUAUGUAUUAAUAUUUUUAAAUAUUAUUUAUCUCCGUAUUGAAUAAUUAAAAAUUAAAGAAUAAACUAAAUAAUGAAAUUAAAGUAUAUUUCUUUCUAAAAAUAUUUAAACCUAAUAAGUAAAAUGAAUAAAUCAGUUUAAAAUAAAACAACAGUUCAUUACAAUAUUAAAAAAGAUAAAUAAUAUUUCUCUAUUAUCAUCAAGAUAGAAUUUACCAAAAAAAAAAAAAAGAAAAAAUUAAGUAGAGUGAAAGUAUUAUGUUUUGACCCUAAACUUUCUUUUUGCAAUCUAGGUCAAACACCCCCAUAGAUAUCCAAAAUUCACCACUUCCAAUAUAUAUGCCUGUUAAAUAUCAUAGAAGCGAUCCAACGAAUUACAAACAGAUUUUGAGAUACACACACAUAAGGCUAACCUAUUAUUAGCAUGAUAAAUGUGAGGAACCCAUAAGAUUCGGGUGUAGUUCCACUGUAACUUUAAACACACGAGAAAUUAAAAGAAAACCAAAAAUAGUUUGAUGCAUGAAAUAAAUUAUUAUUUUAUUUUCUUUUUUACUUCCUGUUGAUAAGCACACAACACAACAGCAGGCUCCACUCAAAACACCUCUAUAUGAGUUUCAUACACAAAUUAAAAUAAUAAUCUUUAACAAUCCACUUAUCUAUACAAGCUUCAUAGUAUGUAAAUGUUUUAGAAAUCAAAAGCACGGAAUCCGUAGCAGCCGAGAAGAGAUCGUCAGAUCAUUAUAGUGGAGAUACAUCAGAGGAAGUCUAAGCUGCGGCCUUUGAUCGAUGUGCGAGUCUUUCAAUUUCCUUUAUAAUCAAAUCUCUCUCUUCUUCAAAUUGCUCAUCUUCACCUACAAAAGCAAAAUACAAAACAAGAACAACCAAAAAUAAGAGGAACAAUCCAGAAUCCGCAGGCAAUUUACUUGCAACAAAAAUUAUUAUAAAUUACUUCAGAAAGUUUUUUGGAGCAAAAAAUACAGCAGCGAGUAAGAGGAAAAAUCUGGUGUCCGCAGGCAAUUAUGUGCGAUAAAUUGCAUCAAGAAGCGGAAGGCCCAACUUGGCCAGUAUAAGUUGAUAGAAUUGGUUCUAGCCUGAAAUGUUCAAGCCCAUGUAACUAAGGAAUGCUACUGCACUAGCAUCCAAAUCUUAUAAAUUCUUGUCCACUUUUGCCAAAUUAUUCAUGCCGCAUAAUCUAGUUUGGCAAACUUCCCAUUGAAGCCCUAACAUUCUUGGCAAAUCACACACAUCCAUCUUCUCAUGGUAUAUGUCCAUGUGGUAUUCCAAAGACACCAUGGACCGCAAAAAUGUGCUGGAUUGAUGUAACACCAAAAUGCAACCCCCUAGAUUUAAGUGCUGAUGAACAUGCCGAGUUGUGCCGUCCUGCUGAAUAACGUGCAUGAUGCGCUAUGGCUAUCCCACAGGAUUGAUGUCUCAAUAAACAAGUAUCGAGCAAUACAUCUCCACAAAAAAGGGGUAUCAUAGCAUGUGCCGCGCAUGUCAUGUCUUCGGUUUUUCUUAUCUUUUCCCUCCCUUCCACUCUCCUUCUCGUGUCUUCUCUCAUAUUUCUUACAAUAAAAAGCUAAAAACUAAGAAAGUGAGGAUUUCUUCUCGCUCUUUCCUCCAAUAUUUACAACUAUUGCCCUUCUUUUAAGUUUGAAGACCUAAUUUCAUCAUUAGAGUUUGAAGCACUAGAUCUAAGGUGUUUUGUAAGUUAUACCUCCUACCCUCGCAUAUCGUAAUAUCCCAUUCUCUCACGCGUUUUUCAAAUAUAGAGCUUUUUUGCCGUUGGAUCUCAUCCAACGGGUUGGAUCUCAUCCAACGGCUGAUAAUAUCCCACAUAUAAUAUUUCCGCUGUCUAUCAUCUUAUCGUAAUAUACAAUCUAUGAGAUGAUCAUUUAUUCUCAAAUAUUAGCUUUAUCCUCGCUCGCAUAAUACCCGCCACUUAUCAUCUUAUUGUAAUACCCUAUCCCCUCACGUGUUUUUCAUAUAUAGAGCUUAAUUUUUUGCCAUUCAUCCAACGAUUAAUAAUAUCCCACAUAUAAUAUUUUCGCUGCCUAUCAUCUCAUCGAUAUAAUAUCUCCAUUACUAUCCCACAUAAUAUUUUCGUUAUCUAUCAUCUCAUCAUAGUACCCAAUCCAUUAUAUUCGCUUUAUCUAUUAAGUUAAUAUUUUUACCAUGCCUCUCAAUAUACUUUCCAUCCACACCUUCUCUGUCGCGGUAUAUAUGUAAGUCGUCCUCCCUAGCACGUCGUCGUCGUCGUCCUCGCGGGCACAUCAUCGUCAUCACCUUCGUCGGCACAUUGUCAUCAUCCUCCUUGCCGAAACAUUGCCAGUUGUUUGCACGUCUUUACCAGUGCAUCAUCGGCGCACAUCAUUGUCAGCGCAACAUCAACACUCCACGCGCAGGCAAAUCGUCGGCAUUCUACACAUUGGCACAUCAUCGGCACUAUGUGCAUUGGCGUGGUGUCUACAUUGGCGCGUUGACUAAUCUUGUUGUUUUCUCUCGCACGUCUAAUUUAGAUUAUAUCUUAAGCUUCCAUGACUCCUAUGUUACAAUAGAUCAUAUUAGAUGUAUCUAUUAAUUAUAACUAGUGAAGGACCCGCGCGUUGCAGCGGGACGAUUCCGUAAAAAUAAAUAAAUAAAUAAAUAAAAUAAAAUAACAAAUAAAAGUCAAGAAAUUAUAUUAAAAAAAAGUAACUAAAGAAUAAGCAACUAUUGCUGUAAUAAAAAUGUAAGAAUUAAAAGUAAGGGUGAAAACUAUACGAAUAAUAAAUGAUAUUUAUAACAGCAAUAAACGUUGAGAACUAAAAUAAUAUAUCUCAUAUUAUAAGUCAGAAAUUAUGACUAAUUAAAGUUUGAGGAUGAAAGUGGCACAUGCCUUAUAGUUUAAAUCAUAAUAUAUUAAAGUUCGAGAAUUAAAAUAUUACACGUCUUAUAGUUUGAAGGACGAAAAGUGUAAAUCCAAUCUUUCAAAAUUUUAUUUUAAUUAUUCAAUUUUUCGAUAUAUUAAAUUUGAGUCAAUCAAUGGUAUUUUGAUUUUAAAAAUUUUAAUGUAUCGCUUAGUUCUACAAAUGUAGAUAGUAUAUUUUAUGCGAUUCUCGCAACUAAAUUUUAUAAAAUAUAAAAUUAACUUAAAUGUCAUUAAUUUUUUUUAAUUUUUAAUAUACAAUCUAUAUCUAAAUGCUUAAUAGUAUAAAAUUAAAAUUUAUAUUUAAUACAAAUAAUCUAAUCUAUUUAAAAAUUAUUUAUAUAUUUUAAAGUUUUAUAUUAAAAAAUAAAAAAAUAGAUUAGAUUUUAAAGAAAAAAAGGAAAAAAAUUAAAAAUUAACUUAAACGUCAUUAUUUUUUUUUAUUUUUUAAUAUACAAUCUAUAUCUAAUUAUAAAAUUAAAAUUUAUAUUUAAUACAAAUAAUAUAAUCUAUUUAAAAAUUAUUUUUAUAUUUUAAAUUUUUAUAUUAAAAAAGAAAAAAUUAGAUUAGAUUUUUUUUAAAAAAAAGAAAAANCUCCCCGCUUCCAGGCCCACGCCCAACCCGCGCCCACGCCGCUUGCCCCUGCGUCUCCGCGCCGACGCCAGCGCGCGCCCACGUAUCUGCGCCGGCGCCCGCUCGAGCCCAUCUCGCGCGCCCACGCGAGCGCCCUCGCCCCCCCACACCCGCGACUCUGCCGCUCGCUGCCACGUGCACCCAAACUGACGAUUCAUAUAUUUAUAUAGAUGUUUGGUUUGAAUUCUCCCAUUCAUUUCAAGUUUUUGUUAAGGAUAUAUAUGUGAGACCCCAAGUAGUCCUAUAUGUGAGAUAUAAUAGAGCUAAACUCUUAACCCGGCUUAAGCAUUUUGGAUGGUAGCUAUAUCCAAGAGGUUAAGAAAGUUAAGCAUGCUAGGACGGGAGUAGUCCUAGGAUGGGUGACCCCCUAGGAAAGUUGGAGCAUCACAGUUGGUAUCAGAGCCAAUUACCAGCCGGAAGUGUGAGAUGAGUUUCGGCUGAGCCGGAGUUGGAAUGACAAGGCUAGUGAGACGAGUCUCAUAUCGCCUGGUACUUAUGAGUCUGAGCCUGACGAGCACAUCAGGGCUUAAAUCGGGGGAGAUUGUGAGACCCCAAGUAGUACUAUAUAUGAGAUAUAAUAAGGCUAAACUCUUAACCCGGCUUAAACAUUUUGAGUGGUGGCUAGGCCCAAAAGGUUAAGAGAGUUAAGCAUCCUAGGACGGGAGUAGUCCUAGACUCCUAGGAUAGUUGACCCCCUGGGAAAGUUGGGGCGUCACAAUAUAAAUUGACAAAAAUAGAAUACGUCACACAAAAUACAACAUGUUCUUUAUAGCAGAUCAUUUAUUACCAUGAUUUCAAUCUUUUCAAGUUAAAGUGGUAUAGGAAUUUUAAAAUUUAUCCAUGAUAAUUGCUAAGAACCUAACAAUAUGAAACUGAACAAAUUGAAUUAUUUUUUUUGAACAACCAAAAAAUUAAAUAAACUUUUGAAAAUUAAAUUACUUUUUUUAACUUCAUUNCCGACGCCAGCGCGCGCCCACGUAUCUGCGCCGGCGCCCGCUCGAGCCCAUCUCGCGCGCCCACGCGAGCGCCCUCGCCCCCCCACACCCGCGACUCUGCCGCUCGCUGCCACGUGUACCCAAACUGACGAUUCAUAUAUUUAUAUAGAUGUUUGGUUUGAAUUCUCCCAUUCAUUUCAAGUUUUUGUUAAGAAUAUAUAUGUGAGACCCCAAGUAGUCCUAUAUGUGAGAUAUAAUAGGGCUAAACUCUUAACCCGGCUUAAGCAUUUUGGAUGGUAGCUAUAUCCAAGAGGUUAAGAAAGUUAAGCGUGCUAGGACGGGAGUAGUCCUAGGAUAGGUGACCCCCCUAGGAAAGUUGGAGCAUCACAGUUGGCAUCAGAGCCAACUGUGAUGAGUUUCGGCUGAGCCGAGAUCGGAAUGACAAGGCUAGUGAGACGAGUCUCAUAUCGUCUAGUACUUGUGAGUCUGAGCCUGACGAGGACAUCAGGGCUUAAAUCGGGGGAGAUUGUGAGACCCCAAGUAGUACUAUAUAUGAGAUAUAAUAAGGCUAAACUCUUAACCCGGUUUAAACAUUUUGAGUGGUGGCUAGGCCCAAGAGGUUAAGAGAGUUAAGCAUCCUAGGACGGGAGUAGUCCUAGGAUAGUUGACCCCCUGGGAAAGUUGGGGCGUCACAAUAUAAAUUGACAAAAAUAGAAUACGUCACACAAAAUACAACAUGUUCUUUAUAGCAGAUCAUUUAUUACCAUGAUUUCAAUCUUUUCAAGUUAAAGUGGUAUAGGAAUUUUAAAAUUUAUCCAUGAUAAUUGCAAAGAACCUAACAAUAUGAAAUUGAACAAAUUGAAUUUUUUUUUUUUGAACAACCAAAAAAUUAAAUUACUUUUUUUAACUUUAUUUUUUUUUGCAACAUACAUUGCAAGUACACUGGGAGGAUAGUAAGCAUCUGUGGGAUGCUUACAGGAUGCUGCCGUGGCAUCUUAUGCACUACACUCCGAUGCACCCUACAAUGCUCCCAAAAGGAGUGUUAAACCAACUGCUUUAGGGGAAGAAUUCCCAAAUUAAAACUAUAAAAAGUCAGAAACUUUGAGGAUGGAUCUACUAGAACCACUUUAGCUCUACACCCAUUUAGACAAAUGGGCGUGCAAUCAUACAUAUGGCAAGAUAAAUGAGGAACAAACUGCUGACUUGCAAGAAUAAAAAUUUUGGUUUGCUUUCCUUUAGAUCUUAAAGAAAUACAAGUUAUUAGUACUGAUUGGUCACAUUUACGAACAACAAUUAACUUUAAAAUAACGACGUGACAAAAGAUACAACCUGAAAAUCUUACAUAGACAAAAAGUUUACCUUUGCUUGUGGGAAGAUUGUGUAGUAGCUUCAACAACUCUUCAUGAUUGUCUAUCAAUACCUCGAUAAUUUCACGUGGCUUAUUUGGAUUGGCAACAAAUACCUGUUUUCAGGAGGGGAAAGAAACAGAUUAUUUCAUGAAUUGAAUUUUCACUUAACAAUAUUGCACACAUUUUCCGGUUUCCCACUUCAUUUAUUUCAUGCAAUGAAGUUCUUAUUCUUCAUUGAUUUACGUAAACGUACAAUUUCAUAGAACAACAACAAACCUAUUUAAUGGGUAGGACAUUUAUAUCUAUCACAGCAGUCACUGACAAAGGUUUAUUUUCAUAUUUUUAUCCUUACAAGGGACCUUUUUGUCAUAAUAUUGAUUUAAUGCUGUAGAUUCCCAUUAGCUUUAAUUAAUUCAGUAUGUUUAUCCACAGCAAUUUGGUCUGAGAAAUUUAGCACACCGUCAUGCUGAAAAGUUUCAGAAUUGCUAGAAAUUUUAUAUAUGGCCCAUUAAUCACAACAUGAACCCAUAACAUAUAAUAUAUUUAUAUUACUAAUUAUUUUAUUAUAUCAUAAUCAGCGUGAUUCUGAUUGCGUUACUGUUCAUAACUUCAUAUACACUCGUAUUAGUUGAGAUUGCAUUUUCUGCAUAUAGGAAUGAAUCAAUAGAUAGUUUCCCAUGCUCGGAAUUUACAUUGUACUCAAAACAAGAGAUGUAGUUCCAGGUACGCAUAUAUGAGAUGCACAUUGCCAAUUGGUGGCAAAGCCCACCAUGCUCCUAGAAACACAACCAGGCCAAAAUGCCUAAACACAAUGUUUCUUAAUUUUAUGUUUCAUUUUCAAAUAGAAAUUUAUUUAGUUAUUUCCACUCAACUGAUACAAUUGUUUAAUUUUUUUAAAUUUCAAAAAAAGAAGGAUUAAGGAAAUAUGUUUCUAAGAGAUAACAGUACCUUAAAAACAUGGAAAGCACAAAUCUGGAUAUUUUUGCUUGAAUCCUGCAUCAGCAUUACAUUGGUUAUAAUAGGCAAAGCAAAGAAAUUUCUCAAGAAGUAUGAAUAAUAGAACAAAAUUUGAUAAAAUUUUUUUGGAUUUGGUAAUCAGACAUUAAAAGAGAACAAAACAUGGUACAUAAAGGAUAGCAUAUAUAUUGCUGUAUAUAAUGAAAUAUAAAUCUAUCAAAUAUAUUUUAGGGUAAACUUCAAAUUACGCCCGUGGUUUAGCUCAUUUUCACUUUGCCACCGCAUGGUUAAAAAAAAUUUCACUUUGCCCCUAGGUGUUUAAUUUUUAUUUCACCAAAAAAACACUAUAUUAAAUAGGGUCGUAAAGUAAAAAAUUUUAAAGACCAUAGGGUGGCAAAGUGAAAAAUGCUCUAAACCACAAGGGCCCAAGGUAAAACUUUUUAAACCAUGGGGUGGCCAAGUGAGAAUGAGCUAAAUCACAAGGGAACAAACUGAAACUUCUUGAACUACAGGGUGGCAAAGUGGAAAUGAGCUAUACCACGGGCAAAUUUGAAGUUUACCCUAAUAAAAAAAAAUUGAAGUUUACCCUAUAUUUUAUUAUCAACUUCAAUCUACUUCAAUCAAAAAGAAGACUCCUUAGCCAAAUCGUGAGACCAACAUAUGCGACUUGUGUUAAUGUGGUGAAAGGUCAUUGUCAAGAGGUUAAAAAACAUCUGGAGCAAAUCCAUGUGCCUGCUCAAAUGUAAGUGCUUGUUCACUAUGUACACUCUAGUGUACGUGAUACAUUGAUAGCCAACAAACUCACCUCACAUUGUGGUAAUUAGACAUUCACUACAAGUACAGGUUGCCCAAGAGAUAUAAUAUUAUUACUUUAGGGCAACAGCUAAAGCUACGCAUUGUUGGUAGUGAUGGGCUGAAAAGGGGUAUUUGUACUAACGUAAAUAAAUAAACUAAUCUAGAUAACUUUUAUCAAGGGACAAAAUACAAGUGAGAGACGAGAACUGAGGUUAUUAGCUUAGCCAGGGUAAAAGGCGAAUUAGACAUACCCUAAAGUACUUUUUACCCUUUUGGUUGGUGAUAUGACGAGUACUAAUAAAAUAGAAGCAACCCCCAACUGAAUCCAGGGUCUGCUCUGUGGGUAUGAUCCGAUUAAGACGGUCACGAUACCUCAGCAUCCGACAGCGGUAACCAAAGAAGCAAGAAACGGUGAUGAAGACUUCUAUGUGUCUUUCUACGUACGUUCAGUGUGCUAUUUUGUAUGUUCUCUAGAUUAGUCAGCUGACUCUGAUAAAUUAAUGUAUUCAUGAAACACCUCAUUCUACUAUUUUUGUCUGAGUUAUGUGGAUAACUACAACUAUUCAGUACACUGACAGACCAUCUAAUUCAAGCUUUCCAGCCUUAAGAGAAUGGUCAAGCCUUAUUACAAGAUAACAUAAUUUGGAAAAAAAAGCUCAUUGUAACCUACACUGCGAAUGACAGAAUCAUGAAAAAAAGAGAAUAGACCUUCGCAAUAAUUUUUUAUUCUUUUCAAUACAUGGCCAAAAGAACAAAAAAGCCAACAAAAGGAAACAGGAAAAUUGCAUAUUUGGUCAAACUAUGAGGCACGCGAUAGUUUUGUCCUCAAGCUUUGAUUUGUUGUAAUUUUUGGGUCGAACUAUCAGAAUUGUUGCAAUCAAGUCCCGCAAUCUAAUUUAGCUAACUAAAUUUUACUGCAUCGUUGAUAUAAAAGUAAUGUAGCAUCAUCAAUCACAACACUACUGCACCUCUAUAUUAACGGUAUAUUAAUAUUUAGUUAGCUAGAUUAGAUUAUAGGAUUUGAUUGCAACAAUUUCGAUAGUUUGAGCCAAAAAUUGCAACAAUUUAAAGUUUGAGGAUCAAAGUGACAUCACCCUCAUAGUUUGAGGACCAAAUGUGCAAUUUACCUAAAGGAAAUUAUCAUUUACCUUCAGCAGUGCCAUCAUAAUUCUCAAGUAGCGAACUUCCAAAAUGUAGCGCUUCAUUAUUUGUGAAUUUGGUGGUUCCAAAAGAAACUCCGAAAGAAACUGAAAUGUACAGACAACAUAGUUUAUUCACUAUUUCUCAAUAACCUGAAAUUGAUAAAAGAAAUCAAUGCAAGUCCUGGAUUAUCUAACCUUCACUGAUUGCCUUCUUGUUACAUAAUUAGCAGAAAUCAAUAGCUUUUCAUAGAGUUCAAAGAACUGUAACAAAAUUACAUAAUCAGAUGACUUGCAUUAAACACAUUGAGCAUUAUGUAAUAUAAUUUGCAUAUUGUAUAAGAAAUUUGAGCAUCCAUAAGUAUUAGUAGGUAAAAUGCAAGCUUAUAAGCUGACCUGUUCGUAAUGGGUGCUCAAGAACUCAGAUACUUCAGUUUCAUGCUUAGUAAGCAAAUCCUGAAGAAUAUUUACUUUAGAUUAAAAACCCACAGAAAAUUUUUAAUAGAAAACCAGGCAUCUCAGGUAACAAUGCGUCAAAAAUAUUGAAACAGGACCAACCUUGAACGUGGCUAGAGCAUCAGAAGCAAUAUCGAAGUUUGGCAAUUCAACAUACUUGAAGAACAACUCAAAACUGGUGGACUCCAGUAUAUAUCUGAAAGAGCACUACACUGGAAAGAUCAAAAUUUAUUGGCUCUAUGGAUGAUAAAUGAUAGUAUAUAUGAAACUUAUAAAUGCUUCUCUUGUGAGGCAGUCUUGUUCAGAUGAUUCAGUCGUUAAAGUAAAUAAAAGAACGCAGAACAACUCAGAAUUAGAAGAAGUUUAUCUUCUUGUCGAUCUAGCAAAGUAGAAUUAUAGAAUCUAAAGCAAAAGAUAGUCAAAUACAAAAGCAAAUAGUCAUAUUUCCAGAAUCAUGAGAUAUGUUUUGCAUGCCAACAUAAAAAAUUUUGCUGCAGCCAUAAGUAUAGCCUGAAAGUUUAUCAUAUUUUCUGGCCAAGGAGCCAUAUACAAUGAACUCAAUGAAGAGAUAAAGCAAGCUUUCCUAAUCACUACUAACUAUUUGACUUUGAGCUACGAUCAUCCACAUAACACACAUUCACCCAUCCAAAUUGCUAGCUUCCUUGUAUGUCGUGAAAGUAGUUAGUCCUUUAUUAAUAUCCAAAAUAAGUAAUCUGGCUGCUCAUCUAGUGUACUAGCUGCUAACAGGCUCUCCAUUGCAUUACAUUAAAACAGUAUUUCGCAGCUCUAGUACUAACUUCACAUAUUUUUUAUGUUAUCCAGAAAGACAGAAUUACAUAAUGCAAUUUAGGUAUAGUGCAGGCAAUAUGUUUCAACAUUCUGUUCUGAACGAUUGAUGCUAGACCUUAAUCGAAUGAAGUUUACUAAGAAUUUUCAUUUAUGUACUGUAAUGUAUCCAAUUACCAUUAACAUUUUAAUCAUUUGCUAGUCCUUAUGUCACGAAGUAAUCAAAAACAUUCUAUUCAUGGAAGAGUUUGUGCAUCUUGUAUGCACGAUUAAAUAAAGAACAUGAUUCUAUAUGUACAUCUAUAUUGUUGCUUCACAGAUGCUUUCAUCAAAAGGCGCUGCCACAUAAGGAAAAUAUCUGAUUAACAAGGUCAGGAGCAAAACUAAAAAUUAAACUUGUCUUAAAUUAGAAAUGGUCUUUUCCAUCGUUUGAAAAAGAAAGUACAUAUAUAGAAUGUUUAAUGUGCCCUAAUUUCUUGGAUUCAACCUGCUCAAUAUUGCGGCCCUAUAUAUCUAGAGAGAAAAUUAAAGAGAAAAUUUCUAGUAAGUCAAUGGUGGCAGCAUAGGGCUUGGGACAAUCCGUUAUCGAUGAGUUUUUCCUGGCCCUUUCCAGAUUUGUUAUGUAGGAGCGCAUAUUCCUGUUUAAAUGAAUAUUUGCAGCACUUCUAGUAUUGGGUGUAUAUCGGUCUAGGGUUUUUAAAAGACUGCUGUCUUUUGCACUCCAUUUCCGAUUGUCACAAAAUUGUGUCUAUGCCUAUGAAUAUUUGCUUCAAAGAGAAGCACAGAAGUUGAUUCUGUUUCUUGUUUUCUGCUCUCUAUUUUUUUAUUCUCUUUGGCAUUAGCAUUCAAUGAACUUGGAAACUAGGGUUAAUCUGUCAGUUUAUGAAAGUUACAAACAUUACCAUAUCUAUAGAGUCAACAAUUUAUAAGGAGGAACUACUGAACUCAAGCACUUGAUGCUGUUACUUAACACUAUCUUUUCGAGAUCCAUCCUGUGGAGGUACUUAAAUUGGACCAGUGAUCGACAACUAGGUUUUGAGCCACCAUCCAAAUAGCAUUAAAACUGAGAAUCAAAUUAUUCUAACUUCACAUAUAUUUCAUAAAUAAGUAAAUCCAAACAGAAAUAAGAUUUAGCAUAUACAUAUAUUCAGACAAAUAAGUAGCCUAGUCAUCACACAAUCGGACCGAAUGUGUCGACAUUAGAUAGUAACAUAAUGAAUAAAAAAAUUGCAUCAAUCAGGUGAUUGAAGAUCCUAAACCCUUACUUUGCCAGUGUUGGAUAUUUGAUGCAUUCUCUCAACAUAUUGCCACAGUUCAACGCAAUUUCCUUGUUAUUGUAGCUGUUGUAACACAGUGUUCAUUAAAUCAAGUUUCAAAUAGGAGUGCACAUUAUCAUAUAUUGAAAUACUUACCACCAAGAAAACAAAACAUACACAAAUUAGACAAAGGGAAAUGGUGUAUAAAACGAAGCAAAAGAUAGUUAUUGUGAAUUUUUCUACUGAUGUAAAACAUUUGCUAUCUUCUUCAUUCCAGCUUUUGAAAAAAAAAAAAACGAAAAAAAAACGAAGCAUCACCAUAGGGUUUCUAAUAAUGAAAAUCUGCAAUCUUUUUCAGGUAAAAGCAAGCACCACUAAGGAUUCAACUUAUACAAAGAAAUUGAGUUUUUUUUUAGUGAAAUGUUUACAAACCUAUCAAACUCAAAAUAGCCACAGCCUACUACAAUUGUUGUAGUCAGCACUCCUACAUAACUGAAUAUUUACCUGGAAAACAGUUAUGCAAUCCUUCUUUAGAUCAGAGUACAAUCCACCUUAGUGCAAUUCACCACAUUCCUACCUACCCAAUAGAUCAAUCCAUAAAUACACUGCUCAACUGUUGCCUCUAUUAUCCCAACCAUGUAUAAUCUAUCCCAUGACCAGACAGAACAAUGUUGCAUCCAACCUAUUUCUCAAUCCUCAAACAGCACAAAAUCUUUCCUAUACUUCUGAGAAUCAACAAACUUUAAAAAGAAAUACAGAGAUACUGUUGUUGUUGAGGGACCAACUUGACAACUUGUCAACUUGUCAACCUUUUAAGAUGAAGAAAGGGGAAAAUCACCAGAACUGUAGAUCAAGCAGCUUCCGCCAUAAAAACAUGGUAGCCUAAGCCGUAGGCCCAUCAUAUGAUAAAAUAACCUAGGGCCCACAAUAGAUAAUAGAGGAAGAUCCAGCAAUGUAGUUAUCUUCACUAUAGCUUCACGGUGAGAGCUACGUUUGAUCCAUAGCUGAGCAUCCGAAGCAGUCCCCAGGAAAGCAAUCACAACAUGUUUUUCUUCUUUCAUUCCUUCCUGAUCAAGUAAUAGACAUACCUGUAAUUCUGUACGUAAGUGAUGACAGCUAGGCAGCAGUGAGAAGAUGGAUACAUAACUCUAAUCAAUUCAAGCGCACUUCAGAUAUUGGUAUCCUCCAUGGGAUGGAGAAACCUCAGUAAAUGGCUGAGCAGAGUUGGGGAGAAAGAAAUAUUAACCUUGACGAGAUUCACGCAUCGAAGUGAAAUGGUGUAAGGUAAUUUUUUAAAAAAAAGAAAAUAUUGGUUAAGCUAGAUCCUACUAUUCAAUUUGAGUGCACGGUCCAGUCAAGUUACUACAGUUUUAAGUUAUAUUUAUCUAUUUAUGUAGGAUGAACUUUUGCCAAAGUGUCCUGUAGUUAUUUUGGAGUUUUCUUAGUUUAAUCAAAUGUGCCUUAAUUAGUAGUACAUAAUUGGUGCAGCUUUUUGAACAAUAGCUUAUGUGCUAGGCAAACACCACAUUUUGGCAAACAGAAAAUCCAGAGCCUUUGUUUAGAAUAGAAAAUGAUCUUUGCGGCCAAAAAAGUAGAAGAGGCGAUUUGUAUUAUUGUUUCUAGCUUAAAACAGGAAGCUAUCGGAGGGACUUCAACAACAAAAUCUGUUAGAGUUCGUUCAGACAAUUCUACUCAAAAGAAUUUCUACAAAAGCUCUAGAAGGCUCGAAGAUGUCUUCAGGAUGGUUUGCAUCGAAUCAAAGAGAGAUAUGGAUAGCUAAUAACUUCCCUAGAAGAGUCCAUUAUCGAAUCAACAUCAUUUUUAGAUAUAGUUUUAAGAGCUGACUUCCCUAGAUGUAGUAGUUUUCAGAGCCGGAUAGGGAAUUCUAACAAAGUAGGAACCUAGGUAGAUUGCAAUCAUUGACCAAAUUGGAAUUGUGGCUUUAUUAUGAAAAGUUCCCUAAAGAAGUGGUCCCAAAGGCCCAAAAGAUUUGGGGGAGAAAAAAAAAACCAACAAUGACUUAAAAAGCCAGGUAGUGUUAGAAUAGGAGAAAUCUUCCAUUUGAUCAUAUACAAUGGCCAUGAGCCGACUUUCCUCCAUCUAUAUUUUCUUUCGGGUUCUCUUUCUUCUCUAUUUUAUCUUUGCUUUCUCCUGGUGCUGCUCUCUUUUCUGCUGUCAUUCAUAUAGAGAAUUCCGUGAAACCCAUUGCAAUAUUUAGAUUCUCUUCUCCAUGAAGAUUGCUGCAGAAAUAUUGUUUUACACAUUUUGCAAUUUUAGCAGCGCUGCUAUCAGACAUGAGUUACACCUCUUGACUACCCCACAAGCCUCUGCUCACAAUUAUUGGUACCACAGCAUCUAAACUAUUGGUUUAUUCCUUUUUCCACAUAGCCUUGACUAGAGCAACAUAGCAGUAUAAUCUUGUUUCCUAUUUCAGCAAGCUUAUGUUCAAACACAACUACAUCUGAUCAAUAUGAACUCCAAAGCCUACUAUAUAUGUAGGCCCACCAGUCUCUUGCGAAGAAAUAUACUAAAAUUUUCCAUACAAAUUUUAGGGCCAAAUCCCAAAUUUUAAAGGUUUUUAUGCAUCACAUUUAACUAGUUAAUUUAGAGAAAUUGACUUAAAUCAAUGCUUAUUUCAACAGAAGAGCCAAACAGAUGAUCACAGAAAUUUUGCUAAUAUAAGGAGAAAACGAAUAAUCCUUGACUAAGGUUUCAAGAAAUGCACGACUUACCAAACAACAAGGAAAUCCAAAAGAUCCAAGUGAUUCUCAAUGUACUCCACGCAGCAAUAACUAGAGUUAACCUGCUGUCUUAACAAGAUGCACCAGGAGUGAACUAGAUCUUUUCUAGCCUGUAAAUAUAUUGCUAAUAAGCUUCAACAUAAAAAAAAAAAAAAAACCAUAAAAACUGCACUAUAAGCUGGAAAACAUACUUCCCAACCCAACGUGGGUAACUUUUGGACAAAGAGGGAGAGAACAUCCUCCUUGCAAAUUUCAAGAGCUAAUUGCUGAAUCUGUUCUUGACUUGGUUCAGAUUCUCCAUCUCCAGAAAGUAUCUGUCUCAAUGAAACAAUAUUUUUUUCGACUUCUUCAAGUGCCUGAAAGAAAAAUGUAACGUUUCGACAAAUAAAUAAUUAUAAAAUUGUUUAUUUACAAACGCUGAAAGUGAAGCGCAACACCUAUUUAUUCAACCUGAACACUGGUGGUUCCUCACUGUUAAAGCUAAACUAUUAAAAACUCAUUUGUAAUUUAGUCCUCAGAUGAACAGCGAAAGAGGUUAGAAACAGAUGCCACUCACCCCCAACCCACUCAACAACACUUGUUACAUGUAAAGAGAUACAAAAGAGCAGGUAUCCUCGACAUUAUGAAUAAUGAACAGAGUAAUCUUAAAAAUUCCAAAUUCAAAUAUGCUUCAACAUUACACUAUCAUCACUAAUGGCUUUGAGGAAUGGGAGAUCAAUAAAAUUCAUUUAACACAUUUGAGUAUGAACAAGUUAGCAAUAAUUUGGAGCUGUUCUACACGAGCAACUCUUUGCCUGGAGUGACAAAAUGGUGCUUAAUAAGCCAAAGCAUAGUGACAAAUAUAAUUAAAUAUAAGUGUUUUCAAAAAUUCAUGAAUAUAUAUGUUGCAAAAAGUGCCAGGUGGUGUUCAAUAGAGACAGGUAAGGAAAUGAUCCUUUUAUUAGUAUGUGGUUCCAAGAUAAAAAAUUGUGAUAAAUGGAUAUAUCCUUUUUAUAUGUCAAAUAUAAUGAGGAAAAGAAUCAUACAUAAUUCUCAGCUGUCAGGAACAAUGCCAAUUAUAUGGAGAACAACUAACAACAUAAAAUUUUUGCCAACAAAAAUGAUCAGUACAAACAAAUAAUGUAAAGGACAGCCUGACUGUCAACUCAUAUUAAUAGUUCAAGCACUUUAGUUUGCUAAAACAGUAUCAAAAAGAGCAAACAAGAGGAAGCAUUUAUAUACACCUAUAUGGUUAGCUAGGAAUAUGGGCUUCUUGCACCAUAGUAUGGAAAUUUAGCAUAACUUGGUGCUUACAGUGUAUAGUUUCAGCUUUCAAAACUAAUAAUAUCAAACUGGGGACGAAGAUCCGGAAUAGUAAUUUGAUAAUAGUAAUAGCCCUAGUAAGUAGGAAGUAAAGAAAUUUCUAUUCUAGUUCCAUUUGCUUAUGAUAAAAUGCUAUGUUACUGUAACAACCUGACUCACAAGCAACAAUAACAUGUUGGGCCCAAAUCACUGACCCAAAAUACUUAAGCCCAGUUAUUAUUGUUAGCAUUCACAGUCCCUUAUAUUCCAAAUCAUAACACAUUCUAUCCAAUGUGAGAUUAUUGGGUGUCACAGACUCUUCCUGUUUUGGUCCUGACAUCCUUAUCAACCCAAUCACAUACAUAACUCAAGAUCACCAGACGAUGUGAGGUCCAUCUCACACUUCUCGCCGGUAAACUAGCUCUGAUACCAAAUAUAACGAUCUGACCCACUAGCAAUAUUAACUCGUUAGACCCAAACUACUAGCUAAAAAUGUUUAAGCCCAGUUAUUAUUGCUAGGAUCUAUUAUCUCUUAUAUUCCCAAUCACAAUCUCGUUCCCAUCUGAUGUGGAACUAAUAGGAAAUCAUAGUUACUUUAGGGCGAAAAAAAAUCUAACAACUUUUAUUCUUGCAUUUUGACAGAAAAGUAUAAUGUUAAACCAAACAAAGACAUUCCAUAGUGUCAUAAUUAAAUGUUCAGGAUGCAAAUGCAAAUGACUCCAGGGCAAAUUACAAGAAUUGAUUUACAACUAAGGAUUCGAAAAUUAGCAUAAAAAUUAUAUUCUUUCAUCAUAAAAUCUGUCUGAUCCGAAAUUUAAUUUGAUUGAUAAUCUAACAUAGAAAGAGCAAAAACAAAAGGUGAUAAUGGUGAUUGCAGCACAAAUCAUUAAACUAUCAAAAUUCACCACACAAAACACCGAAAUUUAGAAAAACUAAGCAAAACUCAUCUCCAAUAUCCAUUGGCAGAACAAAAUAAAAGCAUCAAGAUGGGACUAGUCAAACAAAACCAUUGUAAACCACUAAUAUUGGGACAAAUGAACAAAGAACAUCACUAACAGAAACCAACAACACAUUAUACUAACAAGAUCACAACUCAAAUCACUUAGGGAUACAAAUUAAUCACAUCAAACGCAGGAAUGGAGAAAUGUUAAUCAAAACUUACUUGCAAUAUCUACUGGGAGAACAAAUGAAUGCAUCGAGAUAGAAUUAAAUUGGCCCCACAAUUGAUGCAAGGAACAAAGAACACCACCUAUACAUACCAAGAAUACAUUUUUUCAACAAAUCCACCACAUCAAACUUAGGAAUUGAGCAAAAUUAAGCGAAACUCAUCUCCAAUCUCUACAGAGAGAAUGAAAUAAAUGCAUCGAGAUGGGAUCUUGCAAAGAUUUGAUAAACCAAUCUUGAACCAUCACAUUGGUACAUAUUCCUACAACAAGAUCGCUGCCACUCGCAUAGGCAAAGAACACAAUUUCACCACACGAAGCACAGAAAUUGAACAAAAUUAGGAAAAACUUAAUUCCAAUCUCCAUGGGAGAAUCAAAUAAAUGCACCAAGACAUGAAUUUUAUAUGAUGGGAGAGACCACCAUUGAACCGAUGACAUUUGUACUUAUUCUUACAACAGGGUCACCGCCACUCAAAUCGGCAAAGGAGGCAAUUUCACCACACCAAACACAGAAAUAUACAAAAUUAAGAAAACCACAUUUUCAAUCUCCAUUUGAGAGAACCAAAUAAAUGCAUCAAGAUGGGGCUUUACUAUGAUUGGCUAAAACCACCAUUGAACCAACGCCUUUGGUACAUAUUCCUACAACAAGACCGCCACUGAAUUCAACUAAAGGACACAAUUUCACCACACCGAAUACAAAAAUUUAAUUAAAUUAAGCAAAUUCCAUCACCAAUCUCCAUUGGGAUAAUCAAAACAAAUGCAUUGAGAUGGUAUUUUUGCUACUAGUGGAUAAACCACCAGUGAAUCAACAACAUUGCUAUGUAUUCUUACAACAAGAUUGCCGCCAUUCAAACAACUAAAAGUACACAAAUUUUCACAACACCAAGCAGAGAUUAAAUAAAAUUAAAAAAAAAAACUCAUUUCUGAUCUCUAUCGGGAGAAUUAUAAAUUUAAAAAAAAAAAUUGCGUCAAGAUGGGAUUUUGCUCCGAUUGAAUAAACCAACAUUGGACUAAAGACAUUGGUACGUAUUCUUAUAGCAAGAUCGCCGCCACUCAAAUCACUAGAAGGACACAACUUCACGACACCAAACACAGAAAUUGUGCUAAAUUAAGCAAAACCCAUCUCCGAUCUCAAUUUGGGAGAACCAAAUAAAUGCAUCAAAACUGAAAUUUGCUGAGACCGGGAGGAGAGGGUGAAACCUUGGCGACGGUCUUCGUGUCGAGGGCGAGGAGGCUCUCCUUGAUGGCCCUGGCGAGCUCGGGAGGAGACCUGGCGAGCUCGGGAGGAGACGCUCGGGGCUUCGACACCUUGAAGAAGAACGACAUGGCGGCGGCGACCCAAGGGUUAGGGUUUGGGAUGGGUGGGGGAAGAGCACUAGGGGGGAGUAUAAACAACGUGGGAUGUGAUCGUCGUUAUUGUCGUAGGAGGAGGGGAACGACAAAGCGAAAAGGCAACGGAAAGCGCGGAUUCCCUACAAGGUCGGUUGAUGGAAAUAUGAUAGAAAUAUAACUACUACAGCCGAGUUGCCGGGCUUGUAGGGGUGGAAACGAGCGAGCUUGCACUACCUUAUCUCCGCUUAAGUUUAUCUUAAAAUUAGAAAAAAUUUUAAAUACCAUUUCUCACUUUACUAUUCUAUAGUUUUAAAGUAUAUCACUUUCGUACCAUAUAGUUUUAUUUUUCUCCUUUUUUAUUCUCUUUACUAUUUUUUUUGUUAAAUCAGUAACAAAGUUAAAACUAAAAAGUAUUAAAACGAAUAUUCGAUAAACUAUAUAUAAAGUAUCUGAAGUUUUUUUGUAUAUGAUUUAACGAAAAGUUAACAGAGGAACUGACGAAAAGAAAUAAAUGAAACCACAGGAUACUAGAUUGAUACAUUUUAAACCACGAGAUACUAAAGUGAGAAAGUGUGAAACCACAAUGUGGUAUUUGAAGUUUACCCUUAAAAUUAAUUUUGAAUCUAAAUUUAAGCUCAAUGUCAACUUGAUAUUAAUUCGAACUAAGCUUGAGCGAGUCUAACUUGGAGUCAAGCGAACUCAAGCCCUAAACGAGCCGCUUGAAAUUAUUAUAUCAUGCAAUUUAUAGCUUAAUUUUUUAUAAAUAAACAUUAUCUAAAAUUUGAUACAAAAAUAUAUCUAGUAAUUCAAUAUACAAAGUAAAAGCAUGAAAUACAGUAUUAUAAUAUUGAAAAUAUAAUUUAGGAGAAACAACAUUGUCAGCAAGUGAAAGAGAGGGAAAGAGAGUAAUAAUAGUAGGAUUUUGAUGUUUUUGGCUCACUAGUAAUAAUAACUCGUUAGGCCCGAAGUGUCCAAGUCUCUUAUAUAACCAAUCACAUUCUCCUAUCCGUCGGGCCCAAAGUAUCUAAGUCUCUAAUAUAACCAAUCACAUUCCCCUAUCCGUUGGGCCCGAAGUGUCUAAGUCUCUUAUAUAAUCACAUUCCCCUAUCCGUCCGAUGUGGGAUUAUUGGCAUAGCUAGUCAUCUUGUCAUUCAGACUCCGACAUUGUCUAUCCGUCCGAUGUAGGAUUAUUGGCAUAGCUAGUCACCUUGUCAUUCAGACUCCGACAUUGUCUAUCCGUCCGAUGUAGGAUUAUUGGCAUAGCUAGUCACCUUGUCAUUCAGACUCCGACAUUGUCUAUCAUUCAGACUCCGGCAUUGUCUAUCACAUUGUCUUUCAGACUUUGCUCAGCUGAGACUGACAACACAUUUCUAGUGGGUGAACCGGCUCUCAUACCAAAUGUAACAAACCAACUCACUAGCAAUAAUAACUUGUUGGACCCAAACACCGGCCCAAAAUGCUUAAGCCCAGUUAUUAUUACUAGUGCCUAAAUAUCUUUUAUAGCCAAUCACACCCGGGCCCAGCGGAAGCCUGCCCGACACGUGCACAGACUAGCCGUGUAUACCAAACCUCCCCGAUAUACACAAGGCGUCUACUAAACAAGAAAUGAACAAGAGUAAGAAUCCUAACAAGGCUAUCAGAGUGAGUGACAUAAAAUCACCAAUAAUCAACAACUACGACAUCCACAAAAUAUACAUAGGUAUAAACAACUGAAUCCAAAAGUCUAAUACAACUCUAAACAUGAACAUAAUACAUCUUUUCCACAAAUACAGAAAAGAAAGAUGACAUCGGGUUCAUCUAUAAAAACUCCGUAGAAACUCUAGCUAGUCGCUAACCCCUUGCCACGAUCCCUGGCCUUUCCCGCCACGAAAGGCUCUGAAACAAAAACCAAUAACAAAUGAGGGUGAGAACUAUUAAACAAUAGUUUCCAGUGGGUAAGCCGCCGAGAGUGGCGAAAUAGACCACUUGGUCAACUGAGGCAUGCUAUAGUAAGGUAAGUAAACAACAUAGGAAUAACAAGUAAUUAAACAUGUUCAAUUUCAAGUCAUGCCUCUACUAAAGGAUUAACUAUCAUUAUAUGAUGUUCUAAUAUCACAUGUUCAGUUAUAUGCCAAUGCUAGUUUACAUGCAUGUCCAAUUUACUAUAUUGCCGCAUGGAGUAAAUCAUACUGUUCAAUGCUAUUUUAACAAUGCAUCUAUACUAAUCAACAUAGGUGUAGGUUUACUACCACUAGAGUUGUCCAUGCUAUUAAUGACUAACAUAAAGUCUCAUUAAUAUGAAUGUCCACAAGUCCAAGAAAUAUGCUUAUUCACAAGUCCAAGAAUUAUGCACUAUCUAGUAGUGGUUAUCACAUUAUACUUUAGGUGUCAUUGUUCAAUUUCAUCUUGGACCUACACAAGUGUAGUCCGAUUUGUGCCGCCUAAUGGCCCGUGGUAGUCCAACAUUCCCCUUCUAGGAAUAAGCCUGUCCCACGCCGAUCCAGUAAGCACCCAAUUCCCGCACGGGCGAGCUUAUGUCACACAGGCCAACUCCGAAGUGCCGGUUUGUGGGGAGCGAUCCUCACAAGCAUGUGUGAAUGAGCACAAUAGCAAGCAAGCAUGAUCAUCCAUCUCGAGUACACGGUCGUCAUGUCUAAAAUAUGGUACAAGCACUAACAACCCAAAGGUCCAUCUCUAUGUCAUAGUGUAAAGGUUUAACCGUUUACUAAGUCAAAUGCCACUUUAUGACAUUAAUGUUCUCUAUGCCUAGCACAUGUCCAAUGAGUCCACUAAUAUGCACUAAGCAUGUCCCGUAAAUCCACUAAUAUACACUAAGCAUGUCCCAGGGAUCCAACUACUGUACACUAUGUCAAGCAUAAGUCACUAGUACUCCAUAAGCAUAUAAAACUUGUCUUUGUCCUAACUAGGAUUAGCUCACUAUUUGCUCAAGACUCAAAUGAGGGCUCAUACACCCUAUCCCGUUAUAACCAAGGAUGUUACUUCUUAUGUCAUAUGCAAAGAUAAUGCAAGAUGUUCACAAAAUUCAUAAUGCAUGUCAUGCACAUGCUUUUCUACCAAUGCCUCCACUACAUGGAGUAAAUAUGCUCUAUCAAGCAAGUGAUUUCAUUCCACUAGAGUUAUAUGUAAUUAUCCCAAUUAUGGUUCGCCCCACAGGCGUCGUAAUCUCAUUACACAUGUCUAAGUCAUGGAAUGUAGCUAUCAAUCUCUUAAGUCGAAUACAUUGUCAUAUGUCAAGUCCUAGUUAUCCCACUAAGUUAGAUAUAAGGGAAAGCUUCAAAUACCCCUCUUGUGGUUUCACUUUUUCUCACUUUAGUACCCUGUGGUUUAAAGUGUAUCAAGUUAGUACCCUGUGAUUUUGCACCUUUUCACUUUAGUAGCCUGUGGUUUAAAGUGUAUCAUGUUAAUACCUUGUGAUUUGGCACUUUCUCACUUUAGUACCAUGUGGUUUAAAAACUGCAGGGUACUAACUUGAUACAAAAAUAAAAUCAUAGGGUACUAACUUGAUACAAAAAUAAAACCACAGAGUACUAACUUGAUACACUUUAAACCACAGGGUACUAAAGUGAGAAAGUGCGAAACCACAGGGUACUAACUUGAUACACUUUAAACUACAAGGUACUAAAUGAAAAUGUGCGAAACCACAGGGAGGUUUUUUGAAGUUUUCCCUAGAUAUAACGAGCUUAGCUUCAUGUUAGCCUUACUAUUCACUAGGUCACAAUGUCACAUUUAUCUUGUCCAUAACACGUGUAGUUCAACAUGCAAGUUGAUCACCUUUCUACUCCAUUCACUAUGGACACACCAAGUCAGGAACCAUUAUUCUUUUCUAACAUACUUCCUAAGAUUCAUAAGAGUUAAUCAUCAAGAAGUGCUUCUUAGUGUACAAGUUCACAUUGUAUGUCUCUACUUUAUAGAGCUUAAAUUUUCCUACACAUAACAUGUAUGAAGCAUGCUUUCAUAAAUUCUACCAUGUCAUGAAUAACAUGAAUAUGCACCAAAUUAUGUCUUAUAACUAUAAGGAAGACAGAGAGGGAGUUCACCCAUUUCGGUGAGGUCAAACCCUCCGGAUAUUCCUCGAACUCUUUCGUUCCUUUGAAUGAAGUUGUCCACCAAGCUUCUAGCACCUUAAAAGAAUUUCUAAGAAGGUUACAAGUUUCGAACGAACAUCAUACAAAAAUAUUCAAAAAUCAAACCUAAAUAGGUAGAAAAAUACCUUUACCCAAGAAGAACUUGAUCAAAGUCCCAAUUGAAGUUACAAAGCUUCAAAUCCAACCUAAAUGAGAGUUCUACACUCAUCAAUUAGGUCCCAAAAGCCUCAAAUCAAGAAACCCCAAAUAAAACCCUAGUUUUUCCAAAACUAGGUUUCAUCUACAAAUCUUGCCAAAAAUCACAACUAGAUAAUGCAAGAUGAGUACUAACCUCAAGCAAAGCUCCAAACCAAGAUAUCUUGAGCUAGGGUUGAAGAUUGAUCCACCAAGAAGCUCCUCUCUUCACAUCCAAGCUUUCUCCAAGGUCCACAAGCUUGCCACCAAGAAGAGGAAGAAGAAAAGGAGAUCAAAACCCAAAUUAAAAGAAAUUUGAAAGGGAAAAUCUAGAGAAAGAAAGGGAGAAAGUCCUACCUUUCCUCUUUUCCAAGCUCAGCACAAAAGAGGGCUGUGGGGGAGAAAGGGGUUAUAUAUACAAGUUGUAACAAAUUCCAAAAAGCCCUUCCAAACACCAGAAAUUACAAACUGAACGAACUGCAGUUUUUGCACUACGUACCGGUACUCGGGCAAGAGUAACGGUACCCGGCAACCAGAUCUGCCAAACCCGAGCCUCAGUCAAGCCAUCUAUUUACGGCGUACUAGUACCUGCUUGAUGCAGUACCGGUACCCGACACCAGUUCCGAUACUCGGUAACCUAGUAUCGAUACCCAGCACCUCUCAGCCCAAACCCAAGAGCAGCUCUCUCAGUUUCGCACUGGGGUUCUAGUACUUCACCCAGGUACCGAUAGUCGGCACCCCAAAACCUGAAUUUUCAGAUUUUGGUGCUAAGUACUCCUUCUCGCGUUCUCGCAAGACGAGUAAUAGGUCGAUGCUCAGUCAACGACCUUCAAAAAUACCAGGGAUAGCUCAAAGCGCUAUUCAGACACUGUAACCUCGCAAUUUGCUAAGGUUCAGGGUGCUACAUACCUAUUCUUAUCCGAUAUGGGAUUAUUGGGGUGUGUCACUAUAUACAUAAAAUUAAUAUACAUAAUAUAUAUAUUAUUAUAUAUGUCACGCCCGGGUUCCAGCAGAAGCCUACUUAAUACGCACACAGACCCGCAAUAUACCUAAAGUAUACAAAGCAUCUACAAUAAACAUGUUAUGAAUAAUACCAAGGAAUAGUAAUAUCUAACAUGAUAUCAGAGCCUAAAAUACAUACUAUACUCUAAAGGCAAAUCACAAAAGAGGUAAACUACUAACAUGAAUAACUUCCAAGCCGCUCAUACAUCCAACAUAAACAUCUCUAUAUAUGUGGUGGUCUCUAUACAUAAGUACAUAAACCUCUCCAGCUCACUCAAAAAGAGAGGUGAUCACCUAGCGAGACUCCGAGCUCUGCCUAACUAGACGCGACCUCCUUACCGCGAUCCCUAGCCUCUCUCGCUGUGGAUGGCUCUGAAAAUAAAACAACAAUAAAUAGGGCAUGAGAACUAUUAGUCAAUAGUUCCUAGUGGGUAAGCCAAACAAUAAUAUGCAACCCGUAUAACACCUGAUUAUGCAUGCUACAUCAUGUCCAUUAUUGUACACUAUUUAGUAGUGAUUAUUUAAUUAACAUCUUUAGUUAUCUUUACUCUAUUUAUAAGGAUCUACACAAGUGUAGUCCGGCUUGCGCCGCACCUAAUGGCCCCAUGGUAGUAUACACUCCCCACGACAAUCCUCUUCAGCACUCAAUCCUACAUGGGCGAGCAUAAUGUCGCGUAGGCCAACUCCGGAGUGCCGGCUUGUGGGGAGCGACCCUCACAAGCAUGUGCGAAUGAGCACAAUGGCAAGCAAGCAUGAUCCACAAUACAAAGCUCUCAAUCCUCAUGUCUAAAAUAUGUAAUGUCCUCUACCGACCUAUAGGUCGGAAUCUAAAUCCAAUAUCAAGUGCUAGUCAUUAACUAGGUUAUCAACAAUAACAUGAAAUUCAUGCUAGUUUUAUCAUGUAUGUACAAAUUCCCAACUUGUUUAUACAAGUAUGAUAAUCAUCAUAUAAUGAGUUUAAUGCAUCUAACUCCCUACUUCAUAGAGAUAUGACUUGCCAUAUAAUGUAAAUACCUCUAAUACAUCCAACAACUCAAUUAUAAUUUUACUAGCAUAUUAUGCAUGCUCUCCAAUUCAUGAAUAAUAAUAAGAACAUAAGGGGAGUUCACCCAUUUCGGUGAGGUCAAACCCACCGAACACUGGUUGACUCCUUUUGAUCACUCAAAUGAAGAAGCUUCCUAGCCUCCAAGCACCCUAACAACCAUUUACGAUUAAUUAGAGAUCAAGCCGCGACUUGCUCUUGGGUUCCAGGUGUCCGUGGCGGCCCGGUGAUGGCCGGAGGAGCUCGGGGCUAUGGCGAUCCGUCGCUGGAGGCAGAGGGAGGGACGGUGCUCCCCGCUAUGAGCGGCGGCGACGUGCGAUGGCCAAGGAGGCUCGGCCUCGGCCCGCACCAGGUCUGGGCGACCGUAGUAGUCACGAGCGGUGGCCGGCGGUGCGCGAGGACGGCGAAAAUCGGGCGCGGGAGGUCCCCGGUGCGCACAGGGAGGCAGGGCGACCCACCUCGAGGCGGUUGCAGCUCGCGGUUGCGAGCUGACUCAAGCUCGGCCCGAGCUGCAGAAGAUGACCACGGAUUGCCUUGGUGGCGCCGGCGACGCGUGCGGGCGGCGACGGCCUGUGGGGACGACGUCAGGGGAGUUCCAGGAGCGUGGUGCUUUCAACCCUGAGCAGCAGCGGCGCGAGGAGAGGGAGAUCUAACCACCUCGGCCAGAUCUAUCCAAUCUUGGUUGCAGCUUGCCAGGGCGGCGGCGGCGGCGGCGGCACUCGGGAGCGGCGGUAUCGACAGGGAUGGUCGCCGAGUUGGGGGCCUGCUGUAACACACUGGACCUUUGCAAAUUGCGAGGUUCGAGUGGUUGGUCGUGUUCUGAGCUUUCCAGAUUUUCUGGUGGGUUGUUGACUGUGUUGCGACCUAUGGCACGUGUCCCGAGAUUUGUGGUACAAAGCCUUGCACCAAAACCCGAAAAAACGGAAUUUGGCUGACUCUCGGAUUGAGUUCUGGCGGGCUUGUACCGGUACAAGGUUGUGCUUGUACCGGUACAAGGCUGAUGGUUGUACCGGUACAGCCAUCGAAGCUUGUACCGGUACAGAGCCGCAGAGCCCAGCAACCCGAGCCUCGGGUUUGGAUUUCGUGGACCUUGUACCGGUACGGAUAGGUGAUCCAAGUGUGUACAGGACUCGAGUUACGGCGAAUUGCUGUAAUCGAGAGAUCAAGUGUAUAGAAGAUUUACCGCUAGAACAGUAGAAAGUACAGUGUUCAUUUGAGAGAUGAUGUAUCUCCAGGUUUUAAAGUAGUAUACAUUGUAUACAUAAAAUUCGUAAGAUUCUUAGUAUUAUUUAUGUAAAUCAUACUUGUACGUACGAAAAAGUUAAAUACCUCGUAUAUAGUGCUAUAUACUCUUAAAAAGUAUACUAUCCGAUCCAGUUUGGGUGGUUUUAGCUUUGAAAGCAAAGCGGCUUGCCUCCAAAGGUGUUCGAAGGAUCGUGGGAUCCUUGUAGUUUUCUUACCCCAGUGGGUUUGCUUUGCUUCUCGCUUAUCGAGUUUGUAAUUGGAUCUUCGUUUUCCGGUUUUGAGUGGAGUGUUCUUCUUUAGGAGAGGAUUCGAGGUUUCCCCUCGAUCUUAGGAAGGUUAGAUAGGAUCUCCUUCCAAGAUUAGGUUAGUUAGUUCGAGGUUUUCGGGAUUUUAGUUUUACGGGUUUUAUUCGGGAUUUAGAGGUUAAAUCCCAAAGUAGUGCUUUAGGAGUUAUUUUGAGAUAAAAUCUCCUUCUCUUGUUCACCUAAUGGAGAACCUUCGAAAUUCAGUUCGAGAUUUACGAGGUUCAGGUUCCUAGAGGGGACUUGGUUCGAAGUUUUGUUUCGGGGUUUCCACCUUUUCGGAGGUUAGUUCGUUUUCUUCGUUUUCUCUCCAAAUUAGAGAAUUUUAGGAUGGUUUUAGGUUUAUCUAGUUUUCCUUUAGUUUCUCCCGAGGGAAUGGAGAGGAGAACGACCAGGGUUCGAGUCCUCUUCUGGGGAUCCCGCACCCCCAAUGAUUAUUCUUCAGGUGUUAGCGUUUUUCGGGGGACGUCAAGUUUGACGUGCUUUAGUCGGGGGAACAUGGUCAUGUGCCCGAGAANNNNNNNNNNNNNNNNNNNCUUGAGACUUGGACUAUGCUUGCUUGCCAUUUGUGCUCAUUCGUACAUGCUUGUGAGGGUCGCUCCCUACAAGCCGGCACUCCGGAGUUAGCCUACGCGACCUAUGUUCGCCGUGCGGUAUCGAGAAGCCUACGGGGUCGGGAGGGAUAGACUCAUUCCUAGAGUGGGAAUGUUGGGGCUACCACCGACACUUAGGCGGCACAAGCUGGAUUACAAUAUGUAGAUCCUAAAACAUGUCUGAUUAAUGACAUUGAACCGGGAAUGGAUAAUCACUACUAGAUAGGUUUAGUAGUUGAAUUACAUUUAUAUGCUUUUAGCAUAGUGUUGAGACAUGUAGUAUACUUGAUAGUCUUUUAUUGCAUUAAAGCAUAUUUGGUUACCAUGACAGAACCUAUGCAUCAUGUAUUGAUAAAGGUUAAUGACAUUAACUAUUGCCAUUAGACAUACUAUUAUGAUAUCGUAGACAUACAUCACCAUGACAUCGUGUAUACUUGAGUUUAGUAAUUUAGCAUUUUAAUUAUGCUUUUAUAUCGCAGUCAUUAUUGCUAUUAUUAUUGUACUUACCUUUUUUUUUUCUUGGGGCCUAGUGGUGCAUAGAGCUGAGGUCAGUAAUUGCCCACUGGGAACUAUAAAUUAUAGUUCUCACGCCCUCUUUUUCUCGAUGUUUUUCAGAGCCUUCCACGCAGGGAGAGGCCAGGGAUCGCGAAAAGAGUAUCGCCUCGGGCUAGCGCGCUUACCGAGGGAUCGUUCGAUAGGUGGUCUACCUCUCGUGUUUUCUUUUUGUGAGAGGUUGAGAGUUGUACCCGUAUAUGUAUAGAGACCACCAUUUUUGUACUUGAGGCAGAUGUUGUAUUACACUAUAUCUUAUAGUUUACUUUUAUUAUUUUUAAUAGUUUCUUUCACUCUUGCUCUGAUAUCUCUAGAUGUAGGCUAUUUCUUGCUUCUAUUUCCGCUUUUAUUAUAGACGCCUUAUAUGUGUUGACAUAUGGCGGGUCAGGGCGCGCUACCGGGAGGGCCUCCGCCGGUCCCGGGGCGUGACACCUGCUGUCAGAGGUGGAGCUCGAGGGUGUGGGGUCACCCUGGCAGCAAUGCAAGCCGAGAUGAAGGGAGGAGGUUGUGAGAGAAGUAGAGAGGGAGGCUGAGUGGGGCUUUUCCGGCGGCUGGGAAUGCUUGCCGGCGACUGGGGCACGCGCACGGCUAGGGCACAAUGGUGCUGAUGAUGGCUUAGAUCAGCUCCAGUUGAGGAGAAGACCAAGGGCUAGGGUUUUCCUCAUGAAACCCUAGUUGCCAACCUUAAAUACCAUGUGUACAUUUGCGAAAAGGUCCUCUAAAGCUGCAUAUUAAAAUCCCAGUCCCUGCCAGCGUGUGUAUUUUGCACACAAGCCCCUCGACGUUCGAAAUCACGCAAAACGGCGCAUAAAAUAUUGGCCUUUUCGCGAUUUUUUCGUUUGCCGACUUCGACCCCUCAGCGAACAUUUCGCAAUUCCCGAAGAUCCGUCCGUCGGAUUUCCGAACGGAUUGCGCCAGCGCGUUCAGCACGACUGGGCAUCGAAUAUAGCAUUUUGUUUCAUUCAAUUUGAUCGCAGAUUCACGACGAAACUCAUCUACUCUCCAAAUACCAAAAACCACAUAUAUACCUAUAUGUGUAAAAACAAUAAACCUCCUUUUUCUCGAAAAUCGUGUAUCAGAUCUGAAAUCUGUCAGUGCCAUUAGUUCCAGAAUAGCUGAACCAUUCAAAACGAGCUAUUGGAUCGCUAUGAACGGAGUCCGAUGCGCACCAGAAGCCAACUCUACUCAUCAGCCUCUCCGAAAAAUCGGAGUUACUAUUCACUUUAAGUGAUUAGUAUUUAUCGCGAACUUCUCCAUUCUAACUCGUUUUCUCCUGAAACUUGACGAGUGCUUAUGUAAUUAAAUUACACACAAAAACAUUGUCAACAGAGAGUUUAGCUACACUGCCAAAAUCUCAAUCCUUACAAUAGACUUGAUGAUUGGCUCUGGUUAUGUGAUCAUUUUGAUUUAGAAGCCUUCCAGUGUCACACCCUGUGGUCCCUUUGUAGUUUAAAAACACAGCGAAAGUGUCUAAAUUUUUUUUUUUUAAACCUGACCCCUAGGGUAUGCCAGAUCCGCCACAAAUACAGGGAGUCUACUGUUCACACGGACAGAGUCUCCUCUGCAUUUGCACGGCGUCGCACAAGUACAAGGUACUUAAACAGAACACAACCACCACAACUGAAUAUAUAAACAUUCAACAUUCAUACAUUCAUACACCAUUCACAACAGAUUCACAUUCAGAGUUUUAAUCAUAAAUCCACAACCAUUAGUUUAAAAUAUUUCCUACCCGAAAACUGGUUUUGAAAUACUAAGUCACGUAAACCACGAGAAAACCUUUUAAAAAUUGUUUCCCACACGGAAACUCUUUUCUUUUUAAAACACGCUAUCAUGAGCAGUAGAAAACCAUUUUCAUUUCACAAAAACUCACAAAUCCUUUAUUACAUGCAUGAAAUCCCAAAUUCAAAUGUAAUAAGAUGCUGAACCAUAUAAACUGUCUAAUUCAAUUAUUGAAGGAAGUUAGAGUUUAGAAUUUAAACUAAUGGAUGGGUCUGAAAGCUCUACCGAACGACUAAGAGCGCUCCUCACGAACCAUCCCACUAGGAUUAACGACGUCACCUGUAAUGGGGGCGGGGGGUAAGAACAUAUAAAUAUGUCUCCCCUCCCAGUGGGUACCGCAAGUCGACGAGGGCGAGGGGUACUCACCAGUCACGGAGAAUAAACAAAGGUAUAGGUAAGUGUAAUACUGCAGCAACAAUAAUACAUGAACAGGAUGUAUAAGAACAACUAUCGCUACUAUAUGAAUGCAUCAACCAGAUGACAAGUCCAAAAAUACCCAAUCUAAAACCAAUGCUCUGUUCGUCCGCACCGCAAACCUCAAGCCUGUGCCACUGCUACUCUACCAUGCAUAUAACCCCUCAAGUUGGCACCUGCAACCACUUUUACAAAAAAGAAUACCCUCUUGCGGUGGAUCAGACCGCUGAUGUUCAUGAAAUGUGUACGACUAUUGGGGGUUCAAUGCUGAUAUGCUCAAUGGCCAACUGUCGGCAACAAGCCGACAAUCCUCCCUUCAGGGCACAUCGACCGUAUAGGUCAUCAAGUAGUCCAAUCGACCAAGUAGGUCACAACCGUGCAAUAAGCCGACCAAAUAGGUCACAGAUACGAGAUAUGAAAACCGUCCAACCAGGUCACAAAUGCGAGAUAUGAAAACCGACCAACCAGGUCACAGAUACGAGGUAUGAAAAUCAACCAACAAGGUCACAGAUAUCAUAUGCAGAUAAAUCUACUCUACUCAUCCUCAUGAUACUAAACAUGAAAACAACCGAGUAGAGUAAUACGGAAACAACAUGGGUGCAAGGCUCAAUAUAUAUAAUAUGCAAUAUAAACAACUAGGGGUGAAAGGAACGUCACCGAGCGUGCACCACUGUACCGACUUCGGGUCGAAGUACCCACCUAUACGAAUACGGUACGAAUCUUCCGACUGCAUAGGAAAUAACAACCGGACCUGUCUACCAGGUUAGAAUCUAACCCACCAACAAGUACCACUAACUCACAAUCCCCACUCAUAGCCCCACGGGAAUCAGUUUCUCAAAACCGACUGCCGUAACACGCCGUAAGUCCCGAAAACAGCAUCGGGACUCCGCCGGGACUCACGAACUGUCCCAGAACACACCGACUCGGACUACGAGUCACCCGCUGCCACUAAACACCAUUAUCCAUGGGCACUUGGCAGCAAACACCUCGCCUCACAUCGAAACGAUUAUCGUCGGAUAAUCGUUCCGAUCCGGGUUUCCGAAAGUGUCGAUUUCAACACCGGAAGCCACCGUCACUCACCUGUCAUUUUCGAACCUUCAAAACGACGUGGGUGACCAACCAACAAGGCUUAGUGACAUAACAAUAGCUCACGAGGCACUGUCGGAAGAAUUUCGAACUAAAAUCGCGUUCCGUCAGCAGAUUUUGCCGACAAAUGCACCGAAAAUCAAUUUUUGAUCUUUGAAAAGGCCGGGGGGCUUGGAGAACCAGUCCAGAGGUUACCCACUACCCACACAUACUGCCAACAGCAGCCACGAAAUAAGCAAUUGCAUAAAAGUCCUCCCGAUUGCAUAAAAUCACGUUAUCUUAUGUGAUUUCUGGGCUUUUAUGGUCCGACCGUGCAACCCAAGGGUCAUUCAGCUAAGCCGAGACACCCACUGACAGGUCUCGGCAUGCCAGAGGCUGUGCUUACCCUUCGGAGCACUACCGGCCACUGUGGCGGCCGCACAAACGACGCAAACAUCAGUGAAACAGCGCGCACAGCGCCUAAAUCGCGUCUAUCCCGCAAACCAGGGCAUCUCUGACCCUAACGGAGGUGAGCAUGAUAUUCAGCACGAAACAAAGGUCAUCGUGCUCACUUCCAAAGCUAUCGGGGUGCCUUCGGAUCGUCGGAAAGGCGACCAGAACUCCAAAACGGUGUGCAGAAAAUUAACAACAGCCUUACCGGAGCAGUGGGAGCACGGGUUGGCCACCGGCGGCCGGACGGUGAGCGCUCCGGUAGGGGACGGUGAGUGCUCCGGUAGGGGACGGUUGCGGCCAGUCAGUAGGGUCCGGGGCAGGUGCUGGCCCGCGGCGGGCGGCAGCCGGUGGCGCGGCGGCAGAGAGCAACCCGCAACUUGCUCUCGGGUUCACGGGAUCCGUGGGGGCCAGGCGGCGGUCGGAGGAGCACGGGGCGACGGCGAUCAGUCGUCGGAGGCCGAGGGAGGGGUGGUGCGCUCAACGGUGGGCGGCGGCGACGCAUGGAGACCCUGCGGGCUCCGGCUCGGCCCGCCCAAUGUCUGGACGGCCGCAGAGAGUGGGAGCGGCGGCAAGCGGCCUCGGGGGCGGUAGCGAUAGCGCGCGGGAGGGUGCAGGCGGCCAGAAGGAAGCAGGGCCCCCGAGCUAGGGCGACUGUGGCACGCCGGCCUCGAGCUAGGCUGAGCUCGGCCCAGGCGGUUCAGGGUUGGCGGUAGAGAGCUCGGGGUGGCGCCGGCAACCCACGGGGUCGGCGAGGGCCGGCGGGGUUGGCACUGGAGAUGGGUCUCGGCCAGAGGGGGCGAUCACCUCGGGUUAGGGUGACUUCCAAAGGCCAACAGCCAAUGUGGUGGAGACAAGAGGAGGGAGGAGUUGAGAGGGAGGUUUUCCGGUGGCUGGAGCAGCUUGCCAGCGGCCCGGGCGUGCGCAUGGCGAGGGCAGAGAGGAGGUGGGAUGGUUAGGGUUAGCUGGGUGGACUAGGGCAGCAAAAGGGUUAGGGUUUUCAUGGAAACCCUAGCUCUUUAGCUUUUAUACAAGAUGGAAAAAGUGCAAUUUAGUCCACCCCUGCUCAUUAAUUUCAACUCAGUCCCCGUCAAUACGUGAAUUAUGCACACAAGUCUCUCAACGUUCGAAUUUGCGUGAAAUGGCGCAUAUAAUAUUAGCCUUUUCUCAGAUUUUCCGUUUCGCCGAUUUCGACCCCUCCGAGAACAUUUUGCGAUUCCCGAAGAUCCGUCCGUCGGAUUUCCGAACGGAUCGCUCCAGAGUGUUCAACAUGACUGGGGCAUCGAAUCUACCAUUUUGUUUCGUCCGAUUUGGUUGCCAAUUUGCGACGAAAUUGACCCUCUCCACUCUCCAAAAACCACACCUAUACAUAUAGAUCCAAUAAAACUCUUUUUCUCGAAAAUUGUGCAUCAGAAUCCAAAUCCGUCCAUGCCAUUGGGUUCGGGAUAGUCGAACCAUCGAAAAUGAGCUAUUGGAUCACUAUAAACGGAGUCCAUUACGCACCAGAAGCCAUCUCCACUGAUCGGCCUCUCCGGAAAACCAGAGUUACAUCACUUUAAGUGAUUAGUAAUGAUCGCGUAACUUCUCCAUCCUAACUCUUUUUCUUCUGAAACUUGACGAGUGUUUAUAUAAUUAAAUUACACACAAAACAUCGUCAACAGAGGAUUUAGCUACACUGUUAAAAUCUCGGGUAUUACAUCCGGGUAAUACAAUUUUUUAUUUCUUUAAUUUCAUGGUGAACAAGAAGUAUAUUGUUAUUUUGAUUAUUAUGAGCAGGUUAAUAUACAAAAAUUUAUUUGUAUCUCUACCAAAAAUAUAGUUAUUACACUUCUUAAUAUGUUAAUAUUAAAAAUUGUUUUUUAAUUCUUCUUUACAGAGACGUUCAACGGCCAACUCCAGUAACCGAGGAAAUUUACCAUAUAUUCAUCGAGCGGGUACUAGGACAUUUGUGGCUACUCGGCAUAAAUUGGUAUAUUUUAAAAUUUUUAAUCUAGCAUAAUUUAUUUUUCAUGAAUUGUACUAAUGUGUUAUAUUAUAACGCAACAAUGUGGUGAGAUUGUCUUAUUCAAGGGAUGUUAUCAUAAUGGAAAAGGAUGGGCCAAUGAUGAGACAAAAAAAAAAUAUGUUAGUUCUUACCAUUUUUGAAUAUAUGUUAAUAAAUUAUUAUAUAAAAGAUAUAGUUAAUAAUUUUUUGAACAUCAUAUGUAUUAGAUUAACUGUUUAUAUUAUUUCUUCUAAUUAUAGGAAACUAUGGUGAAUAUGCAAUCACAACCUCCUUCUGACGAGAAUGAAGUUCCUACGAUUGCGCAAGAAAUUUGUGCUCAAGCACUUGCCACUAGAUAUGGAUGCAUACCUGGGCGAGGUCAUAGUCCAAAGCAUAAGUCACGACGUGAAGUUUCAAAAAAUCAAUCAUCACAGCUACAAGAAGAAUGGACAAAUACAAAGACUCUUCUCGAGACCCAACAAUCUCAAAUUGAGACUCAACAAUCUCAAAUUGAAACUCAACGUAAGGAGACACUACAACAAUAUUGAACUAUUGUCACGCCCCGGGGUCCCUUUUAGUUUGAAAAUACAGCGGAAGUGACUAGAAUUUUUUUUUUUUUGAAAACCUGGCCCCAGGGUAUGCCAGAUCCGCCACAAAUACAGGGAUUCCACUGUUCACACCAAUAGAGUCUCCCCUGUAUUUGCACGGCGUCGCACAAGUACAAGAUGUAAAACAGGAUACAACCACAACUAAAUGAAUAUACAAGUCAUCAUACAUUCAAUAUCCAUACACCAUUCACCACAGGUUCAUAAACAUAGAUCUGAAUAUAAAUCCACAACUAUUAGUUAAAACGUUUCCUACCCGAAAACUUAUUUUGAAAUACUAAGUCAAGAAAACCACGAGAAAACUCUUUUGAAAGCUGUUUCCCACACGGAAAUCUUUUCUUUUGAAAACACGCUAUCACGAGGGGUAGAAAACCUUUCCUUUUUUACAAAAAUCCAGAAAUCUUUAUCUCAUUCAGAAAACCAACUGAAAUCUUGAAUAAUUAAACAUAAUGAAAUACUGAACCAUAUAGAUGUCUAAGUCAAUUAAUGAAGGAAACUAGAGUUUAGAAUUUAAACCAAUAGACGGGUCCGAAAGCUCUAUCGACCGCUACGACGUGUCUCAUGUCUCGUCUCAAACCGCACAGCCCGCAAUACCUAAAAAAUGGUGGGGGAGGUGAGAACAUGUAAACAUGUCUCCCCUCCCAGUGGGUACCGCAAGCCGAUGAAGCCGAGGAGUACUCACCGGAUCAGGAAGAGAUAAACAAGGUAAUGAGCAGAUAUACUGAAUACAGUAGCAAUAAACUGAAAGAAAGUAGGAACUAUACUGAAUAACGGCUACCGCUAUUGUAACUAAAACAGAAAGCAUACAUGAAUAUCUACUAUAGUAGCAAGACAACUGUAAAGUAAGAGCUGUAAGUAUGCAUGCAACGACUGCUACUAUAGACAUAUGCGUCAACUGGAUGUAUAGACCAAAUAUACCCAAUCUGAAAUCUGUUGCUCUGUUGGUCCGCACGUGAAUCUCAAGCCUGUGGCCUGGAGGUCCGCACCGCAAACCUCCUGACAGUACCACUGCCACUCUACCAUGCAUAUAACCCCUCUAGGGCUCACGGGUUGACACCUGCAACCACUUUUCCAGAAAAGAACACCCCUUGCGGUGGAUCAGACCGCCGGUGUUCGUGAAAUGCGAACGAGUCUCGGGCGGUCAAUGCUGAUAUGCUCAAAGGUCAACCAUCGGCAACCAGCCGACAAUCCUGCCCACAGGACUCACCGACUAUAUAGGUCAUCAACUAUAAGAAAGCACAAGAACCGACCACUUAGGUCAAUUAGGAUGGAACGACUCUACAUCCUCUCAAAAGUAUGGAAAUACUGCUCGAUAGGUCAACUAAAGUAUAGAUGCAAGAACCAACCAAUAGAUCACAAGAAUGUAUCACUAUAAUCUGGAACUACCGUCAGCCACUAGCCGACAAUCCUACCCCUCAGGGUACACCGACCUCAACGGUCAUCGGACAACAGAAGUCAAAGAACCGACCAACCAGGUCACUAAUACGAAGUAUAAGAAACCACCAACCAGGUCACCAAUACGAAGUACGAGAAUCGACCAACCAGGUCACUAAUACGAAGUACAAGAAACCACCAACCAGGUCACCAAUACGAAGUACGAGAAUCGACCAACCAGGUCACUAAUACGAAGUACAAGAAACAACCAACCAGGUCACUAAUACGAAGUACGAGAAUCGACCAACCAGGUCAUAGGUAUCACAAAUAGAUAGACUACUCUACUUCUACACCUGAGUAGAGUGUAAUGUAAACAAUAGAGGUGCAAAGCUCAACAUAUAAUAUAUGCAUGGAUAAUAACAAAAGAGCAAGGGUAUGAAACCAUCACCGAGCGUGCACCACUGUACCAACGUCGGAUCGAAGUACCCACCUAUAAGGAUGUCGCGCAUGUCUCCUAUCUGCGAAAGAAUGACAACCGGACCUACGGAGGGUCCACCGGGUUAAUAUCUAACCCACAACUAAGAAAUACUAAACACAUAGCCCCACAAAUAAACCUACGGGAAUCGGUUUUCCAAACCGAUCACCGUAAUACGCCGGAGGUCCCGUAAUCGCAUCGGGACUCCGCCGAGACCCAGUAACUGUCCCGGAACACCCUGACUCCAGAUAUGAGUCGCCCGCUGCCACUAAACACCUAUUUUAGUGUGACAUGGCAGCAAAAACACUAACUCGACGCGGAACGAUUAUCGUCGGAUAAUCGUUCCGAUUCGGGUUCCCGGAAGUGUCAAUUUCGACACCGGAACCCACCAUCGCUCACCCGUCGUUUCCGAACCCUCGAAAUGACACAGGUGACCAGCCAACAAGGCUCAGCGACGUCGCAAUUAAUCACAAAGCACCGUCGGAAGAAUUCCGAACCAAACCCGCGUUCCGUUGACGAAUUUCGCCGAGAAACGCGCUGGAAAUCACUUUCCGACUUUCGCAAAGGCCUGGGGCCUUGGACAAUCAGUCCAGAGGUCACCCUCUACUCACACAUGCUGCCAACAGCAGCCGCGACAAACCAAAAAGCAUAAAAGCCCCUCUGAUUACCCGAAAUCACAUUAUUUUAUGUGAUUUCGGCGCUUUUAUGGUCCCCUACACAAACCAGAAGUCAAUUAGCCAAGACGAGACACCCGCUGACAGGUCUCGGCGUGUCGGAGGCCGUGCUCACCUUUCGAAGCACUGCCGGCCACUGUGGCACGCGCACGAGCGAUGCGAAAAUCAGUGAAACAACGCAUACAGUAGGAAAAGCAUGCUUAUCUCGCUAACCAGGGGCUCGUUGACUCUAAAUGGGGUGAGCACUGUGAUAAGGACUGACAGACGAUCACCGUGCUCACCCCCGGAGGCAUCGGAACAGCCUCGGGUUGCCGGAACAGUGACUAGAACAAGAAACUAUGCGCAGAAAGGCUGAAAUCAAGCUUACCGGCCAGGGGUGAGCUAGGGCUGGCCGGUGGCGGCCGGACGACGGGAGCGCUAGCGGAAGGAGGCUUCAGGCAAUGCAGGGAAGCCAGGGGAUGCAUUUGCCGGCGUCGGAAGGCGUCGGCGACGACGGCAUUUGAUGCCCUAGGCACCCAAACCCGAGGAGGACACGGCCCAAAUCCGGCCGACAGGGAGCUCCGGUGACGUGGUCGCCGGCGGUGGGCGAGUGCGGCCGGCCAGGCGGAGCCGGUGCUCAUGCCGGCCAGCGGCGGAAGGUGGCUGCGGCUGUGCUGGAGCAUUCCUAGCCCGCGCGGGUUCAGCUCGAGCUCAAAGGGUAGCGGCGGCCACGGCGGUGGUCGGAUGAGGGUCAGGGCAACGGCGGCACGUCGUCAGAGGCCGAUGGAGGGUGGCUCGCCUUGCUGCAGGCGGCGGCGACGUGCGGUGGCCGAGAUAGCUAGGUCUCGGCCCGCUCAAGGUCUGGGCGACCGCAGAGAGGGAGAGCGACGGCCGGCGGCGUCGAGAACGGCGGAGAUGGCGCGCGGGGCCACGCCGGAGGCCAGAUGAGGCAAGGCGGUCGGGCUAGGGUUGCUAUAGCUCGCAAGUCCCGAGCUUAAGUCAGCUCGGGCCGUGCUUGCCUAGGUUGCCCGCGGCUUGCUUGGGCGGUGCCGGCGGCGUGCGAAGACGGCGGGGAUAGCCGGAGACAGCGCCGAGGAAAGGUCUCUGCCCAGGAAAGCUUCCAGGGAGGGUUUGUGGCAACUUCCCAAGCAGCUUCGGCAGAGAGGAGAAGAGGGUGGCCGAGAGGGGAGGAGAGAAAGAUGAUGAUGGGCUAUCCGGCGGCUGGAGCCGUUCGCCGGACGUCAGGGUACGUGCACAGGCAGGGCGGGGAUGAAGGUAGGGCGGCUAGGGUUUGCUGAGUAAACUUGGGCAGCAAAAAGGCCAAGGAAAACCCUAGUUGCCACAUUUAUACUAAGUGUCAAUUUGCAAGAAACCCCUUCAAAGUCAACUAUUUACAGUUAGGUCCCCUGCCAGCACGUGUAUUAUGUGCCUAAGUCCCCCGACGUUCAAAUUCACACAAAACGGCGCAUAAAAUAUUGGACAUUUUCGCGAUUUAACCAUUUUGCCAAUUUGACCCCUCAGCGGACUUUUUGCGAUUCCCGAAGAUCCGUCCGUCGGAUUUCCGAACGGAUUGCGCUAGCGCGUUCAGCAUGGCUGGGGCAUCAAAUCUAGUAUUUUGUUUCGUCCGAUUUGGUCUUUGAUUUGCGACAAAACCAACCCUCUUUGCUUCCACCACAUAACCACCUAUAUUAAUAUAUGUGAAAUCAAUCAAACCCCUUUUUUCCGACAACCGAGCAUCAGAACCCAAUUCUGUCAAUGCCAUUGGGUUCAGAAUAGUCAAGCCAUUAGAAACGAGCUAUUGGAGUCCUAUGUUCGGAGUCCAAUACGCACCAGAACCCUUCUCUACUCACUAGCUCAUCCGAAAAGCCGGAGUUACUAUUCACUUUAAGUCAUCGGUCCUGGUUGCGUAACUUCACCAUUCUAGCUCGUUUUUUUCCGAAACUUGACGAGUGCUUAUGUAAUUAAAUUACACAUAAAAACAUCGUCAACAGAGAGUUCAGCUACACUGUCAAAAUCUCAGUCCUUACAACUAUGGAGACAAAAUAUUUAGCGACAAAGUAUUUUUUUGUCGUUAAAAGCAAUUAAAUAGCGACUAAAUUUAAUGUUCGUCGCUAAAAAGAAAAGAAGAGAUUUUGUAAAAUGUCAUUAGCGAUAAUUUACCUUUAUUGCUAAAACAUAGUCGCUAUUAGUUUAAUGAGAUCACUUUUUUCUUCCCUAAAUUAAUUUUAGCAACAAACGAUAAUUAAUAGCGACAUAACCUAACGUCACUAUAAGGUUGAAUAAUUAGCGACCAUGUACGUGGUUGCUGAAACUCAAUUUUUAGCAACAAAUUAAUAUUCCGUCACUAAAAUAUUAAAAUUUUGUUUUAAUUUAUGUUGCUAUAUAUUUAUGAAAUAAAAUUUAAAUUAUUUUAUUCCUUUAAAUUAAAUAUUUUACUUUAUUUAAAUAUAAUAUUUUUUAUUAGUACUUAAUUCUUAUAAUUUUAUUAAUUAAUUAAAAUAUUUGCAAUAUUGAUGAUUUGAUAUAAUUUUGAUCUUAUAUGGUUGUUUCAAAAAAUAUUAUGAAUUAAUUCUUUUAUUAAAAAAUAAAAAUAUUUUAUUAAUUAAUGGUGGAAUCAUUAAUUAAUUAUGAAUUAAUAAAUUUUUUGGACUAAAUUAUAUAAUUCCAUAUGGUAAAAUAAAAAAUUUAAAACUUAAAACAUAUAAAAGAACUAUUAUAAAACAUAAUACAAGUUGAGGGGCCAAAACAAAAAUUUCCCAAAUCCUCUCCAUCGCGCCUCAAUAUUCAUUUACUCCACGCGCCGUACGGGGCACUUCCCACCUCUAGUUUUCUCCGGAAGCUUCAUCUAGGGUUUUUUUUUUCUCUUUUUAUUUUUUAUUUUUUAAUUAUCUUCUCUCCAAGUAAAAAAAAAAAAAAUUCUCAGUUGCUCUUUCCGUUUUUCCAUCUGCAGGAUAAAAAGUAGAACUCUUUCCGUUCUUCCAUCUGCAGGAUAAAAAAGAGGAUUUUCUCCAUUAUCUUCUAGUAAGAAGGAGGCCAACAACUAGGACCCCACCAAGAAAAAGGUAGAUUGAUUUAGAUUCUUUUUAUAAAAGUAUUUGUUUCAUUCUUUACCUUAAAAUAAAUGGGUUGAUUUAAAUUUUCUUGAAAAAAAUAUUUAUUUUAUUUUUUUCUGAUUUUAAAAUUACUAGUUAAUAAUAGAUUUAACUAUUUCUAGAUUGUGUGAUUAUGUAAGAAAGUAAAAGAUAUAUAACAGUUAUUUUUUUUUCUAAGGACUAAAUAAAAAAUUAGAUGGAGCCCGCGUUCAUAUAUGUGUUUAAGUACAAAAGAGGAUGAAAAUGACCUCUUCCUAUCUAUAAUUUUUUAUUCCUAAAUAUAAUGGGAGAAUAUGCAAGCUACUAAAUUAAAACAAAAUAGUUAGAUAGUACAUUCAACUUUGGUGCAUUCAUGAAUUUUUAAUGUCACAAUCUAUUUUCUUUUAGCAAUUUAUUUUAUUUAUACUUUCAUUUAGAAUGGGACAUAUACAUAGAAGGACAUAAAAGGGCAUAAAAGAGCAUCUAUUUUUUUAUUCCUAGAACUAAUUAAGUAAGCAUGAAAUUAAGUUAUUAAUAAAUUGAUAAAAGGUAUGGCAGAAUUUUUGUAAUAUAGUAUUUUUUUUAAACUACUUUUGUCAUAUUUAGUAUUUCACAUAUUUAUACCUCCAUAUGGCUUUGUAUUGGUAAGGUUGGGCUUUAUGCGAUAUCAUGUAUCUCGCAAUCUCAAAGGGAUAAAUAUGUAGACACCAACUGAACUUAUAGAGGUUUCGCAGAUGAUCUCUCUUGAACUUUCACUUUUGGCUAGUAAAUUUUCUAUUUUUUUUUAUUUUGUCAAGUUGUUCAACAAAUCCUUCUGCAGAAACAAAAUUAUUGAUUAAAUAGUUAUUCUCGGCAAAUGUCUUAUAUGUUAUCUUGUGAAGUUUUAGAACAUUCUAAUGCUUGGGAAAAAGCCAGAAAAAGCGAAGAUGGAUUCAUUUUUCGUCAAUACUAAUAUUUUUUUCAUUGGUUUAACAAUAAGUAGGAUUUUUUUUUCUCUUUUGGGUAUUUUAAAGCUUUACAGGAUUCAUUGUAAGAUGUCGUUAAUAGGACUGUUCAAUUAGUACUUCCCAUAUUUGUCAAUAUUUAAGGGGUCUUGUUAUUAAUAUUAGAAGUUCAGCAGGUCAUCUGACAAAGAUCUGAAGAUUAGGAGGUUAUCUUACAUUUUUUCCCAGUUCUCAAUGCCCAUACUUUGUUAAGCCUAAGAUAAAAUAUUCUUCAUUUUCUUACUUAACCAUACAAAUAUUCAUUUGUAUUUGUUCUCUAUUUUUAAAAUUUAUUGCAUGGUUAAUUUAUGGCAGGUGUUAAAGUGAGAUUCAUGAAAGAAUCUCAUUUAGUUUCAAGUGGGAUUCAUAAAACAAUCUCAUUAACGUUUCGCACAUCUAUUACCGGUCUAAAAUGACUCAUUUAGUUUUACAUUUCUAAAAUGACUCAUUAACGUUUCUCUAACUUAUUUUUUGCUUACAGAAAAUAACAAAAUCAAUGAGUAUUAAUUUAUUUAUCUAUUUUGUCUUAUUAUUUUAGUCUUUUGUGAAAUUCUAUAAUGGAUUACUUAUAUAAAGUACUAAUUAAUUAGGUAAAUUUUAUUGUCUCAUCUUUAAUAAAAGUUUUUUAUUUUUUGUGCAGAAAUAUGCGAGUGGACUAUAUCAAAGCAAGCCAACUAUAAAAAUUUCUUAAAAUGAAAUGUUGGUGUUUUUGUUGAAAAAAUAUUAGUGAUCAUGUAUUAGAAUGAUUAAUCAAGAUUAACUAUUCUAGAAAGAUUCUUAGUCGGAAAUAUUUUGUUUGUUUGGAUUUUAAAAAUACUUUGAAUUAGAAAUAUAUUUUGGUUUGUUUGCUAAUUUAUUAUGAUGUUUGGUGAUAAUUUGAAUUGUAAAAUGUGAAAAAUUGUCAUAUAAAUAGUGGAUGGAUAUUGUUUAUAGAUUGAUUGUUGAAACUACGAUCAAACUGUUCGUCGCUAAUAUAUGAUUGCUGAUAUAUAUUGAUAGAUAAAUUUGCGACCAUAUUCUUUGUCGCACAAUAUUCAUUGAAUUAAUUACUUGUUAUUGAAUUUGCGACAAAUUAUUCUUGUCGCUAUACUAUCAUAAAAUAAUAAAAUAAAAUUAUUAAAAAAAUAAUGACUUUUAGCGAUGACUAGAUGUUGUUGCAAUUAGGCUAUAUUUAGCAACGAAAAAUAUUAUCUAGAUGUAUAUUUAGCAACAAAUUACGAGGUCACUAGCGACCAGUUAUUUUGUCGCUAUUAGUGCAUUUACAGUGACAAAUCUUUAUUUGUCGCUAAAUAUAACAGUUAAUAGCAACCAACUAUUUUACUUCGUCGCUAGAUAGUUUUAGCGACGGGGCGGUAGCGACGAAGCUAAUUUUGUCGCUAAAUAGAAAUAGCGACAAAAUUUCAUUCAAUAGUGACAAAUAGUGUUGGUCGCAAAAGGCCUAAAUUUUUGUAGUGAGAUUGAAUGGUUAAAGACUAUAGUGCAAUAAAUCAUUUAGAUGCCACUAAGAAAUGAAGAUUCUCAUUAUACGUUAUUUUUUCUCUCUCUCUCUCUUUAUUAUGUAUAAGUAGGUUGUAUCCUCCUCUCCUUAGACGUAAUCGUCGAAGUUAAUCUGUUAAGCUUUCAAAAUAGGCUACUGAGGUAAAACGGUAAGACAUAGCUUUUUUAGAGGAUUAUAGUAGAUACCAGAAGAGCUUUCUCCUAUUUUCUCCCGGAAUCUGGUUCGUGUCAGAGAAAGGAAAAUAUAUUUAUUUAUUUUAAUCCUUCUCAAGUCCUUAAAACCCUACGAUAACCGAUACUAUUAUUAUUUUUCUGAGUGAAAGAUUUCGUUUCGAAAGAUAGGAGGAAAUCCGAUAGUUGCUUUGAAAUUAUUGGUUCUCCAGAACCGAAAAUAAUGUACGUAUGGUAAUAAAUAAACCUCAAAGUAUUGAUUCUCCAGUACCGAUCGAAAAUAAUGUACGUAUGGUGAUAAAACAUAAACCCUCCACUCUCACCUCGUCAAAACUCUCUACUCUUCCAUCAUCAAAACCCCUAAGUAAAUCAAAAUAAAGAAAAUAAUACAAUAUACGUACCUCAAUGUACGUAUAUAUAUAUAUAUAUAAAUAUAAAGUUUAGUAGUAAUUUUUUAUACUUUUUAGAUUUUUUUCUCUCGAACGGUACAGUAGUAAGAAUAACCCCUAAGUAUAUCACCAAUCAUCAAUUCCCGAUAAGCGUACAUAUUCCUCAGCUAAAGUUACUCUAGAAGAGUGGCCACCAUUUCGUGGGCUAGCUAGUCAUACAAAGAUAAAUAACUAAAACAAUACAAACUAAAUCUCGAAGUCGUCGAACUGCAAGCUUGACGUAAAGAAGUAAUCCCUUUAAGAAAUAAACUUCUAUAAAUUAUAUCAUAUCGGAAUUCUGAAGCAAAUAGGCACAUACCUUUUAAAACCACACGUUGUAACUUUUCUAGAGAGAUGCCCAAAUUCGUCCGUGGCUCCAUCACCAUAUUCGCCAAANNNNNNNNNNNNNNNNNNNNNNNNNNNNNNNNNNNNNNNNNNNNNNNNNNNNNNNNNNNNNNNNNNNNNNNNNNNNNNNNNNNNNNNNNNNNNNNNNNNNNNNNNNNNNNNNNNNNNNNNNNNNNNNNNNNNNNNNNNNNNNNNNNNNNNNNNNNNNNNNNNNNNNNNNNNNNNNNNNNNNNNNNNNNNNNNNNNNNNNNNNNNNNNNNNNNNNNNNNNNNNNNNNNNNNNNNNNNNNNNNNNNNNNNNNNNNNNNNNNNNNNNNNNNNNNNNNNNNNNNNNNNNNNNNNNNNNNNNNNNNNNNNNNNNNNNNNNNNNNNNNNNNNNNNNNNNNNNNNNNNNNNNNNNNNNNNNNNNNNNNNNNNNNNNNNNNNNNNNNNNNNNNNNNNNNNNNNNNNNNNNNNNNNNNNNNNNNNNNNNNNNNNNNNNNNNNNNNNNNNNNNNNNNNNNNNNNNNNNNNNNNNNNNNNNNNNNNNNNNNNNNNNNNNNNNNNNNNNNNNNNNNNNNNNNNNNNNNNNUUUUUUUUUAUUAUUUAUUACCCUUCAUAAUAUUUUAAAUAUUUUUUCUGUUUCUUUUUAACGUUUUUAUUUGUUUGUUAAAUCUACAGACUAUAAAUUUUUACUAAAAUAUUUCUACCCGCCGCAUCGCGCGGGUCCCUACGCUAGUAUAAAGUAAUAAUUAAUUAGGUAAACUUUAUUAUCUCAUCAUUAAAGAAGUUUUUUACUUUUUGUGCAAAAAUAUGCGAAUGAACUACAUCAGAGCAAGCCAACUAUAAAAAUUUCUUAAAAUAGAAUGUUGGUGUUUUUGUUGAAAAAUUAUUAGUGAAUAUAUAUUAGAAUGAUUAAUUGAGAUUUGAAUACUUUAACUAUUCUAGAGAGAUUCUUAGUUGGAUAUAUUUUGUUUGUUUGGAUUUUCAAGAUACUUUGAAUUAGAAAUAUAUUUUGGUUUGUUUGUUAAUUUAUAUAUGAUACAUGGUGAUAAUUUGAAUUGUGAAAUGUAAAAAAUUGUUAUAUAAAUAAUGGAUGGAUAUUGCUAAUAGAUUGAUUGUUGAAACUGCGACCAAACUGUUCGUCGCUAAUAUAUGAUUGCUGGUAUAUAUUGAUAGAUAAAUUUACGACCAUAUUAUUGGUCGCAAAAUAUUUGUUGAAUUAAUUACCUGUUAUUGAAUUUGCGACAAAUUAUUCUCACCGCUAUACUAUCAUAAAAUAAUAAAAUAAAAUUAUUAAAAAAAUAUUGACUUUUAGCGACGACUAGAUGUUGUUGCAAUUAGGUUAUAUUUAGCAACGAAAAAUAUUAUCCAGAUGUAUAUUUAGCAACAAAUUACGGGGUCACAAGUGACCAAUUAUUUUGUCGCUAUUAGUGCAUUUACAGUGACAAAUCUUUGGUCGUCGCUAAAUGUAACGGCUAAUAGUGACCAACUGUUUUACUUCAUCACUAAAUAGUUUUAGCAACGGGGCGGUAGCGAUGAAGUAGUGACGAAGCAGAAUAAACGAACCAUCUUCAAACCUCCGAUAGUAAACACAAUUAUCGUAUAAACUACUGCUAUAACCAUGCUUGAUCAUAAACCUGUCAAACCGCUUAUACCACUGCCUCGGUGCCUGCUUCAACCCGUAGAGAGAUCUUUUCAAUUUGCACACAAGAUUUUCCUUCCCCGGCUGAACGAAGUCUUGAGGUUGUUCUAUAUAAAUUUCUUCUACUAGAUCCCUAUGAAGAAAUGCAGUUCGAACGUCAAGCUGCUGAAGCUCUAAAUCAAACAUAGCCACCAUAGCUAGAAGCAUCCUGAUCGACGGGUGCUUUACCACCGGUGAGAAGAUCUCAUUGAAAUCGACUCCUUUUACUUGCGCAUAGCCCUUGACUACUAACCACGCCUUGAAUUUUUCUGGUUCUCCAUAUGCACCCUACUUCUUUUUAUAGAUCCAUUUGCAACCGAUGGAUCUCUUCCCUUCCGGUAAUGGAAUCAGAUCCCAUGUCUGAUUCUUCUGUAGAGACUCCAUCUCUUAGGUCAUAGUUGCCAUCCAUCUGCCACUAUCUUUGUCCUGUAUCGCCUCCUAAUAGGAAGUAGGAUCAUCUGAUGUAAUUAAUAAGGCAUAAGAUACUACAUCCUCCAACCUGUAUCGUAAAGGUGGAUGGAUCUGUCUCCUUUCCCUUCCUUUAGUGAUAGAGUAUGGCUCCUCCGAAGUGCUUUCAAUCGGAUCGCUUUGUGUACUGUGAUCAUCGUGAUGGUGGGGCUGCUCCACCUGAUCAUCUACACCCUCUUGCCGCUCCACCUGUAUCUGCUUAGUUUUCGACUGUUCUUCAUGUUGAGCCUCCUUAUGAUCUUUAUGCGGCAUAGAUUUUUCGUCAAAAACUACGUCCCUGCUAAUUACCUUCUUCUUGGCGAUAGGGUCCCACAGCUUAUAUCCUUUAACCCCUAUAUCGUACCUAAGAAAUAUGCAGCGUUUUGAGUUGAAUCUAAUUUUCUACGCUGAUUUUCCUGGAUAUGGACAUAAGCAGGACAGCCAAAGGCCCGUAAAGAGGAAUAAUCUGUAAGUUUACUUGUAUAUACUUCCUCCGGUAUUUUGAGUUCGAUUGCUGUGGCAGGAGAUUGAUUCAUAAGAUAGCACGCCAUAUCACUACUUCAGCCCAGAACUCCUUUCGCAAAUUUGCACAUAACCUCAUGGAUCUGGCACGUUCUAGCAGUGUUCAGUUCAUCCUUUCUGCUAUCCCAUUCUGCUGUGCAAUAUCUGGAACCGUGUAAUGACGUACAAUACCCUCAUCCUUGCAGAAUUUCUUAAACUCCCGAGAAGUGAACUCUCCACCAUUGUCCGUUCGAAGAACCUUAACUUGCUUUCCAGUUUAUUUUUCCACUUCAUUCUUCUAAUGUCUGAACUUUAUACAUACCUCAAACUUUUCCUUCAUGAAGAAUACCCAAGCCUUACGGGAGAAAUCAUCGAUAAAUGUAAUAAAACAACGAGCACCACUUUUCGAAGUCACCGGAGCCAGCCCCCACACGUCCGCAUGGAUGUACUCAAGUACACCUUUACUUUUAUGACUGGAGGUCCUGAAACUCAACCUUGGAGGUCCUGAAACUCAACCUUUUCUGUUUUCAAAUAAACAAUAUUUGCAGAAAUUAAGUUUACAGGAUUUAAUACCUUUGAGUACUCCCCUUUUAUGCAGUUCCAACAUCCCUAUUUCACUCAUGUGGGCUAGUCUUAUGUGCCAGAGCUCCGUAUCAUCAGCAUCAUGAUCUUCUAUGGAAGUUACCACAGCGCUUCCAAUCACCGACUCACCGAUCAGCCUAUACAAAUUCCCUUUCUUCUCUCCCUUCAUGAUGACCAGGGUACCCUUUUUCAACUUAACAACUCCACCUAAAAUGCUAACUGAACAUCCAAUAGAGUCAAGAGUACCAAGUGAUAUAAGAUUCAACUUGAGAUCCGGAAUGUGUCUCACAUUCGUUAACGUCCUCACCACACCAUCAAACAUUUUUAUUUUUACUGUUCCGAUACCGACCAUCUUAUAGCUAGUGUGAUUACCCAUCAUAACACUACUGCCUUUACAAGACUUAUAAGUAUCAAAUAAAGACCUGUCUGGAGACAUGUGAUAAGAACAACCCGAAUCCAAUAUCCAGUCACCAAGAGAUUUAGAAUCUGUUGUAACCGUCAAAACGUCCUGACCGAAAUCGCUGGCUAUGCUCGCCGUAUCUGCAGAGGAAUUUUGCUUUUGCAGCCAAACCUUCCUCCUUUUGCAGUUCUUUUUCAUGUGGCUCUCUUUCUUGCAGAAGUAACACUUCACUUUUUUUUUGAUUUUGACUUGGAACGGGAUCUUCAUUUACCUGCAUUACGUACACUUGAUCGUCCCCUUCCUCCACCUGUAUCAUUUACGACCAAGCCUGCACUGCUUUCUUCGAUACUCGCCUGCAACCUGAUCUUUUCAGAUAAAAGUGUCGAUGCAACAUCAUCCAUCUUUAGAGUUUGCUUCCCGUACAGUAUGGUGGUCACCAAGUGAUUGUAGGACAACGAAAGUGAUGUAAGAAAAAUCAACGCCUUAUCGUCCUCGUCAAUCUUAAAUUCUUGAAUGAUCCACAUCACUUCUGGUUCUAUUGUAACAAAAGAUUCCCUUUUUAUGUGGAAAAGACCCGUAUCAAUAAUUAUGAUCUUACAUAUGGACAAUUCCGAGCAAAUCUGCAAUAAUUUUAUUAAAGGUGUUCAACUGUUCCGUUAUUUUCGUACCUUCCUUCAUGCGUAGCCCAUAUAAUUUUUGUUUUAAGUACAACACGUUCGAGAGGCUUUUUGUCAUGUACAGCUUCUCUAGCUUGUUCCACAUGCCGAUUGAAGUUUCUUCAUCCAUAACGUUAUACAUUAUCUCAUCUACUAGGCACAAUAUAAUUGUAUUCAUCGCCCGCAGAUCAAUAUCCUUCCAAUCUUCGUCGCUCAUUGAUGUUGGCUUUUUUGAUUUUCCGAGCAACGCCUUAUGAAGGCCCUGUUGAACCAGAAGGGUUUUCACUCUUCUCUACUAGAGACUAAAGUUUUCUUUACCAUCACAUUUCUCCACCUCAAAUUUAGAAGACGAGACCUUCGACAUUUCUGAUGUAGUGCGAACCUUAUGCUCUGUUACCACUUGUUGGGAACUUGAUGGAUAGUUCGUCAUGCGCUACCAACAAAUAUGCACAAAAAAUAGAGAAAUUUGAUCGAACGGUAAAAGAAAUAAAUACAAAAAAAAACCAAAAUUUAUGUAGUUCGGCAAUUGCCUACAUCCACGGGGAGAGCGAGAGAGAUGUAUUCCACUAUACGAAGAAAUAGAAGUACAAGCUUACAUCUUAUGUCUUCUCAGGAUAAAAAUCAAGAGCCUUAUGGUGAAUCCCAUCUUUCUCUUGUUCUAACGAAAACUCCAAGAAAAUGCCAAAAAAACUUUUCGUAAAACCGAGAAGACUAAAUUAGAGAAGUAUAGAAAAUUUUGACCAAAAAAAAAACUUUACGUUGUUGCUUUGAAGAAUCCGAACUGCUCAGACAAUUUGGUGAAGAACCGCCGCUCCGUCGCUAAUUUCAAUCCAGACGUCACAUGCGAGGCCGCGCACCUUUUCUUGAUCGGCUAUAGUACGACUUUAAGAACCGGCCACCUUUUCUUUUUAAUUAAUUAGCCUCUCUUUAAUUAAUUUUUGGCCACACCCACAUCUGUACAUGCAUGUACAUAUAUAGGUAUAGUUCUAACUCCUUAUCCUAUACUCCAAUUUAUAAUUAACAUGAAUUAGACUUAUGCAUGGAAAACCGAAUCCGAGUCCAACUUAAUUUGAAUCCACCGAUAAGAAUCCUCAUGAGAUCCUGUCUAUUAUUCCAUAGACCCGAUGCAUGAACCAAAUCAAUAAAAAAGAAGGUAUAUCUUUAACAUCAUCUAUCUAUAUAUUAAAACCACAAACAGGGACUAUAAAAGUAAGUAUCAACAAAUAUAAUAAAUAUAAUAGAUUUUCUAUAAAUACUUGUAAUAAAAAUCAUAAAGUGAAAAAUCAUUUAACAGGGAAUAAUACUUGUAAUACUUGCAAUAAAAUCAUAAAUUUCCUAUCAACAGGGAAUAUUACUUGCAAUAAAAAUCAUAAAGAGAAAAAUAGAUACUUGUAAUAGAUUUUUUAUCAACAAAAAUGGAUCUAUAACUUAAGAAAUAAAUAAUUUCCUACCAACCGUUUAACAUAAAAAAAAGCAUUUUAGUUAAAUAGGGAUUAAAGUUACCUCGUUAUGGUUCUUGUUGUUAUUGUGGUCCAUUAGCUUCAAAGAGACAAAAAUAUGGUUCGAUUGCUUCAGAUAUGGAGUUAUGUUGAAGUGGUGGAUUCGGAUUGCUUUGGAUCUACAGAUCAAUGAAGGUCCUGUGCUUCACGGCUUGGGUGUAUAUGGAUGAUCCGCAUCAGCAAGGUGUCCGUAGGUUUUGAGGGCAUUGGGGAGCGGCGUCAAGGAGCGGCAUCGAGGCAGUGUCUGCAAUUAGGUUUAGAGGGCUUCGGGGAGCAGUGUCGAGUGAUGCAGGGACGAAGCCAGAAUUUUAGUUCGGGGGGGCCCAAAAACACAUUAUGCAAAAAUUUCAACCUAAGUAAAUAAAACGAUUCAAGGAAAAUCAAAAGUUAAGGUGCGUGUCUCAAUUAAGAUAAGGUAAAGGAGUUGUCUAAAUCAAAAUGGCCUGUAGCUAACGGGAUCUGAGUACAUGUUUACCAUAUAAAAGACGAAUUGCUCAUCGAGCAAACACGUAACCGAGAUGAAACUUUAGCAAAAACCAUAUCGCAAACACAGAGAUCUAAAUUUAACACAGAGAAUAUAAAGAACGGAUCGAGAUUACGAUGAGCCAAACCUUGCACGCUCCUGCAUAGGCCUUCGACUCAAAGUGGUGCUUAUCUUCCAACAUGAUUCCAAGCUCCCAAAAGAGCAAUCCAAAAAAAAAACCUGCACCAAUUGAGAUCGAGAUCAUGGUCAUGAUCGAAGACGUGAAUUGAAUCGAAAAAACAAUUAGGUUAAAAGAGAAGUUUAAAAAUUUUGCUUACCAUGCAAAAGUUAGAAUAGUGCUCGGCGCUCCUUCAAAUCACGAAAUCCAUCAAUAAUUGAAUCAACGGUGAACUUCUCGGCAAUUUCUCUUUCAAUAUACACGAUCAAAGAAUUAGUAAGAAAGUCAUCAUCCAUCUUAUUCCGGAGAUCGGUUUUGAUAAUGUUCAUAGCAGAAAAUGCUCGUUCAGUAGUUGCAGUUGAAACUGGAAGAAUCAAUACAAGUUUAACUAAUCGGUAGAGAAGUGGAUAUAUUUCUGACUUUCUUGUUGUUACUAACCAUUGACAUAACUCAUAAAUAGUUGCCAAUUUUUGCAAGUCGGAAUGUCGCGAAAUUUCAAAUUCAUAAUGACGAAGCUCUAUUCUCAACCCUUCUCUUUCAAAUUCUGUAAAAUCUUGAGGAUAAUACCUUUUUGCAAGAUUACAAAUAUCAUCAAUAUUAAAAGAUUUGCAACCAUCUUUAGGAUCCAAAGCACAACUUAGAGUAAGUAACUCUAUCAUAUUGUCACUAAAUCUUGUAUUCAAUUCUUGCAAUUGACAAUCUAUUGCACCAUUAAAAAUAUCAACUCGAUAGUGAUGCUCAAGUGUAAUGUGAUCUCGUUGAAGGCGAGCACGACCUCCUCUUCCCACAUAAGGAGCUGACAUAAUUGGAACUUCUAUGUCAUGCUUUGCACAAAAUAACUUUACUUUCUCAAAAAGAGAAUCCCAUCCUUCAUCUCUAAGCUUUUGAAUAAGUGAUUUUGUUGAUGCCACAAGAUGCAUAGCAUUAAGAAUAUCUUGAGAUUUACAUUGCAAAUGUUGACAAAGAAUGCAGCUCACCUCCGUUAUUUCUUUCAUGAGAUGUAAAAUAAACACAAAUUCGAAAGAUGUCAUUGCCUUAUGAGCUAAAUGUGCUUCACCGCGUUGAGCAGCAUUGGAUCCUUCAUCAAUAAUAUUCUCUACAACUGUACAUGUUGCUUUAAACAAUUUUAGCAAACUUGUAAUAGAUUUGAAGUGUGAACUCCAACGAGUAUCACCGGCCUUUUGCAAACCGCCAACUUGAUUGAGUCCGGUUCCUGUCUCAAGCUCAUUCUUUUCAAUUAGUUCGGCAAAUUCAAAACUAUGAAACUUCUUUAGUUCAUCAUUUCUCUUGGUAGAAGAUCCAACAAUGUUGACUAUAGUACUUAAUUUUGAGUAAAAUUCAUAAAUCUCAAGAACAUCUUUAGAUGCCGCAACCAAAGCCAAUUGGAGACGAUGGGCUAAACAAUGAAUAUAGUAAGCAUAGGGACAAUCAUUAGAAAUUAAUGCUUGUAAUCCAUUCCAUUCACCUCUCAUAUUACUCGCCCCGUCAUAACCCUGGCCGCGAAUAUUUUGAACAUCAAGACUAUAAUGAGAAAGAACGGAAUAAAUUGCAUUUUUCACAGUUAAUGCUUUAGUAUCCAAGAUGUGAACAAGGCCAAAAAAUCUUUCCUCAAUAAAACCUUGUACAUCAACAAAUCUCAAAACGAUAGCUAAUUGCUCCUUUUUUGACUCAUCGCGUGCUUCAUCAACCAUUAUAGAAAAUUUCGAGUCACCAAUUUCAUCUCGAAUUUUUCUUCUUACUUUCUCUGCUAGAACUUGCAAAAUUUCUUUUUGCGUAUCCGGCGAAGUAUAAGAAGCAUUUUGUGGAGCAUUUUCUGAAAUAACUUUUGCCAUAUCUUCAUUAAGAAAAGAGAACAUCUUCAACAUUUUCAGAAAAUUACCCCGAUUAAUAGAUUCUUUACUUUCAUCUCGACCUCUCAUAGCACAUCCUUGAAAGGUAAGAUAUCUAACUGCAAUUAUUGAUGCUUUAAGACGUAAAUGAUUGUUUGCCUUUUGUUGUGACGUAUGUCUAUGAAGCACAUUCUAAAUAUGUUGAGAUUGUUUCAUCAAUUCUUCGCAAGCUCUUUCGGCAACUUUAUGAGGCGAGUUUGGUACUUUACCUACAUGAUUUAGAAAAACACAUCUUUUUCUAUUUUUUGCCUUUCUUCCAAUUGUGAAAACCGUCAACAGUGAAGGCAUUUUGUGAAGAAAGCACGGUAGACAAAAUGCCGCAUCUUUGGUUGGAGAAUAUUCUAACCACGAUUUGAAUGAUUCAAACCAUGAAGGUUGGAAACGACGCUGAUGAGAAAGAGGCCCACUUUUUGGAUAUUCCAAAAGUUUCGGUUCAUAUGGACCACUAAUUAUAUAUGCCCGUCGAACUUCAUCACGUUGUUCAACAGGAUAAUCCCAAAUUUGUGGUCGUAAUGCAGGAUCACGCUCAAAGGGCAUGUUAUUAGCCUCCUUAGCUUCUAUUCUUGGAGAUUUCGAACGACAAGUUUGGGAACCCGAAGCCUCAUCUCUAUAAAUUGCUUCUUGUUCAUUAGCUUUCGAAUUUUCAGUACUUUUUCUUUUAAAAAAUGAAUCGAGUGUAGUUGUCUUUCCCAUUAAAAUAAUAAUGGUCUAGUUCUCUAGAGAUCUACAAAAAUUAUAUCAAAAAAAUCAAGUAUUAAGAUUUCAUUUAUAUAAAUAUAAAGUAAUUUGCAAAUUAUAUAAAAUUGUAUAAAAAAUAAAAUCUAAAAAUAUAUUAUAAAUAAUAAUUAUUUAGUAUUUACUAACAGUUAGCCUAGAAAAGGAAAAGCUUUUAUAGUUUUAUUCAAAAAUAAAAAAUUCAUAAAAAUUUAAAAUUUUGGAUCUACUAUUUUACUUCAUAUUCUCAAAUACUAAAAGUUUAAAAUCUAAUAAGUUGCCAUUUGAAAGUCCGACAAAUUUUUAAAAAAUUUUAAAAUUAAAAUUUAAAUACGAAUAAAUUAUCGUUAUUAUUAUAAUUAUUGAUCAUGAUCAAAGUAUCAAACAAUAUAUGGAUUAUGGACAACUCAAAUUAUUAAUAAAUAAUAAUCAAGAAGGUAAGAAGCAAAAUUGCAAUUUGCAAAUAUUAAAUAAUCCAAUACGGCAAUACCAAAUAGGCAAACACAAUUAUAUAUUAAUUAUGCAAAGCAAAUUAAAGUGCUAAAAUAUAAACAUUCUUAUUGAACUAAAAUAAUCUAAAAGGGAGAGAGAGAAUACCACCACGGCGCCACCGGUGUAAGGAUUUUAGGCUUUUAGCACGCCGCCGCAGUCCGCACCGUGGUUGAAUGGGGCGUGUGGGCGACUCGGCCCUACAAGGCUGCCACAGUGCGACGAGCGGACGAGAAAAAACUAAUUGCGGAGUGCGGCGGAGCCGCGGAGGGGCAUAGGCCGAGGUGCUGAGCCUAAGCGGCGAGGCGGGCAGGCGGCGAGCAGCACUGGCAGUCGGCGCGGCCGCGCGGCGGUCCAAGAGGCGAGAAAGAGGCCCGCGGAGCGGCGGAGGGGCAUAGGCCGAGGCGCCGAGGCGUCGAGCCCAAGCGGUGAGGCGGCGAGCAACACCGGCAGCGGUAAGCGGCGCGGCCGCUCGGCGGUCCAAGAGGCGGGAGGCCGGAGGCGACAGGGGAGGGAUUGAGAGAGUGAUGAAAAAGAAAACGAGAAAGAGAGAGAAGAGAGAGGGGGGGGGUUUACGUAAUUAGGCACUGUAACUUGUGACUUGUGAGAGAGCGUGGGCGGCACCGCGGCGGGGCGUCAAUCAUGAUGCAUCAGCCAUCAUGGCGUCUGGGUGGCGGGAGACUUGGCCCACAAGCAACUCUAUUGCCCACUGGCCACUUUGUAACAAAAUUACAUUUUGGCCCCCACACUUUAUAAAAUUUUAAUUUUUUCAGGAACUUAAUACUAGAGCUUAUUGUAAUUUUCAAAAUAUUGGGGGGGGGCCAUGGCCAUUGUGGGCCCCAAUAUGGCUCCGCCCCUGGACGCCGCAGUCCGCACCGUGGUUGAAUGGGGCGAGUGGGCGACUUGGCCCUACAAGGCUGCCACAGUGCGACGAGCGGACGAGAAAAAACUAACUGCGGAGUGCGGCGGAGUCGCGGAGGGGCAUAGGCCGAGGUGCUGAGCCUAAGCGGCGAGGCGGGCAGGCGGCGAGCAGCACUGGCAGUCGGCGCGGCCGCGCGGCGGUCCAAGAGGCGAGAAAGAGGCCCGCGGAGCGGCGGAGGGGCAUAGGCCGAGGCGCCGAGGCGUCGAGCCCAAGCGGUGAGGCGGCGAGCAACACCGGCAGCGGUAAGCGGCGCGGCCGCUCGGCGGUCCAAGAGGCGGGAGGCCGGAGGCGGCAGGGGAGGGAUUGAGAGAGUGAUGAAAAAGAGAACGAGAGAGAGAGAAGAGAGAGAGAAGAGAGAGAGAGGGGGGUUUACGUAAUUAGGCACUGUAACUUGUGACUUGUGAGAGAGCGUGGGCGGCGCCGUGGCGGGGCGUCAAUCAUGAUGCAUCAGCCAUCAUGGCGUCAUGCGUGGCGUGGAGACUUGGCCCACAAGACAACCCCAUUGCCCAUUGGCCACUUUGUAACAAAAUUACGUUUUGGCCCCCACACUUUAUAAAAUUUUAAUUUUUUCAGGAACUUAAUACUAGACCUAGUUGUAAUUUUCAAAAUGUUGGGGGGGCCAUGGCCAUUGUGGGCCCCAAUAUGGCUCCGCCCCUGGACGCCGCAGUCCGCACCGUGGUUGAAUGGGGCGAGUGGGCGACUUGGCCCUACAAGGCUGCCACAGUGCGACGAGCGGACGAGAAAAAACUAACUGCGGAGUGCGGCGGAGUCGCGGAGGGGCAUAGGCCGAGGUGCUGAGCCUAAGCGGCGAGGCGGGCAGGCGGCGAGCAGCACCGGCAGUCGGCGCGGCCGCGCGGCGGUCCAAGAGGCGAGAAAGAGGCCCGCGGAGCGGCGGAGGGGCAUAGGCCGAGGCGCCGAGGCGUCGAGCCCAAGCGGUGAGGCGGCGAGCAACACCGGCAGCGGUAAGCGGCGCGGCCGCUCGGCGGUCCAAGAGGCGGGAGGCCGGAGGCGGCAGGGGAGGGAUUGAGAGAGUGAUGAAAAAGAGAACGAGAGAGAGAGAAGAGAGAGAGAAGAGAGAGAGAGGGGGGUUUACGUAAUUAGGCACUGUAACUUGUGACUUGUGAGAGAGCGUGGGCGGCGCCGUGGCGGGGCGUCAAUCAUGAUGCAUCAGCCAUCAUGGCGUCAUGCGUGGCGUGGAGACUUGGCCCACAAGACAACCCCAUUGCCCAUUGGCCACUUUGUAACAAAAUUACGUUUUGGCCCCCACACUUUAUAAAAUUUUAAUUUUUUCAGGAACUUAAUACUAGACCUAGUUGUAAUUUUCAAAAUGUUGGGGGGGCCAUGGCCAUUGUGGGCCCCAAUAUGGCUCCGCCCCUGGAGUGAUGCUACCUGUGGAUUGGAUGGUAGGAGGGGUGGGAGGGGUGGAACGGAAGGAAAGAGAGAGAGAGAGAGAGAUGGCGAAAGAGGUACGGUGUUUGAUUUUGGAAGAAAAGGAAGAGAGAGAGAGAGAAAAAAAGAUGAGAAGAGUAAAGUGAGUUGGGAUUGUGAUUCUCUCUCUUGCUUUUUUCUUUGUUAACUGACGUUAGAGAGAGUCUCCCAUUUAAUCCCUCACUAGUUUGCACGAAUCUCAAAAAGCAUCUAAUGGUUAAAAAUACUAUAGCACAGGGGCUUCUAUACUAUGGAUAGUAUAGAAGCCCAACUCUAUAUAUAUAUCAUUGUUAUUACAUUUAAAACAAUACAUAUAUAUAUUAAUGAUUAACAAUAAUAAAUCAUCAGACUAUAAUUAAAGUAUAUGCUCCCCCAUCCAUUAAGUUAUACGAAGGAGUCAUGACCCCACGAGAGUGCUUCGAUUAUUCCUUUCUUGGGAAGCCAAACCAUGGUUAAUUAAUUCGUAAAUAAAUUCGUGAAUAAUUACGAAUUAUUCACGAAUUUUUGAAGAAACAAAUUACAUAGCUGCAUACGUAUUUUUUCAAAUAAUUCAAAAAAAAUAUUUUUUUUCAUCAAAAGUAAUUAUUAUUCCGAAUAAUUUGUGAAUAAUUUGCCCCCUCCCCCAAAAAAAAAAAACUACGCUCGCUCGGGGACUCGCGGCCAGGUCGCGGGCCUCGCAACUAAGCCCAAAACAGAGAAAAAAAAAACUUUCAGAAACGUUUCCGAAUCACCUCGCCCUUUCCCCCUCCCCCCAUAUAUUUUUUUGAAUUAUUCACGAAUUUUUGAAGAAACAAAUUAUAUAGCCGCGUACGUAUUUUUUCAAAUAAUUCAAAAAAAAUAGAAUUUUUUCAUCAAAAAAGUAAAAAUAUAAUUUUUUUCAUCAAAAAAGUAAUUAUUCUUCCGAAUAAUUUGCGAAUAAAAAAACUACGCUCGCUCGGGGACUCGCGGCCAGGUCGCGGGCCUCGCAACUAAGCCCAAAAAAAAAAAAAAAAAAACUUUCAGAAACGUUCCCGCAUCGCCUCGCCCUCCCCCCCUAAAAAAAUCACUCGAUCAAAAAGGUUUUGCCCUAUCUUCUCACCAGUCACCCCUGCGGCCCUGCCACCGACCCCAGCUCCCAGCCCCCAGCCCCCAGCCCUUCCCCUCCCCAUCUUCCCUUUUGGCCGCUCGCCGAACGCCAUCGGAAGCCCCCGCGGGUCCACAUCGAAGAUCGGGUUCUUCACUCUUCAGAAAUCAGAACCCUCCUCGUCGCCUCUUCCGCUUCCGCUUCCGCUUCCGCUUCCGCUUCCGCUUCCGCUUCCAACGAUGGGUCAGUAAUCGGAUGGUUCUUUACAAACCAUGUACGAAUAAGAGUUUGAAGAUGUCUAACUUUAAGAUUUCCUGCUCCUAACAUUUGUCUUAGAUUGUGUCAAGCUCCCAAGAUUUCCUGCUCCUAACUUUAAGAUUUCCUGCUCCUAACUUUAAGAUUUCCUGCAGCCAGAGAGUUAUCGUGGGGCCGCACACCGCUCGCCGUCGGAAUCCCCCGCGAGGCCGAGCACCACUCGCAAUCUGGUUCUAACUUCUAAGUUCCACAGUUCCACUUUAUCUGGUACAAAACUAUAAAUUUAUAUUUUUUAUGACUAUGAUUGGAGUUAAUAUUUGCUAUUAUAUCCAUGUUAAGUGGCUAUUAUAUGAAUGUUAAGUGCUAUUAUAUGCAUGUUAAGUUGUUGUUACUUGUUGUUACGUUCAUUAAUUUGCUUGUUGUUGUAUGAAGACUCAGAACCAAUGAAGUGGGAUUUAUUACUUAAGAGUUAGGUUAUACUUGAUGCAUGAUUGAUGGGUAAUUCUAAUAUUCUUUUGAUGUGAUUUUAUUCUUUCGAGAAUCCAUGAUAACUCUCGACCUUUUGUGGUUAAAUCAAGAGUCGGAGUUCGCUGAUUAUAAUUACUAAAGCUUUUUGUGCUUGUAUGCUUUAUGUUUAUUCAAGCUUUUAUGUAUGCUUAUAUGUGGAAUUGUGAACUUUAUGUAUCUUUUAUUUGUUUACUGUUUAGACUUUAGAUAUGCAAGUAUGCACUAUGCAAAGUGCAAGUUUUAUCUUAUAUUUAGUUUCCAACUAUGCUUGUACGUGAACCUUCUAUGUAGUGAACCUUCUAUGUAGUUUCCAACUAUGUGAACCUUCUAUGUAGUGAACCUUCUAUGUGAACCUUCUAUGUAUUUAGUUUCCCACUUGCUUGUAUGUGAACCUUCUAUGUUUUAUAUGUUUUAUUUAGUUUCCAACUAUGUAGUUUCCAACUAUCUUGUAUUUAGUUUCCAACUAUGCUUGUAUGUGAAUCUACUAUGCUUGUAUGUGAACCUUCUAUAUUUAUAUUUAAUUAUAUUUAGUUUCCAACUAUGUUUUAUAUUCAAUUAUUUAUUUAUUUUGAGGCAUAAUAUAGUUUGCUAUUUUUUUUUUUUACUUAAUUAGCUUAAUUUUGUAGCUCUUUAUUCUUAUAUUUUUAAGAAAUAUGAGUAUUUAUGCUAAUAGCAUAAAUUUUGAGAGAAAAAAAAACUUAAUUUAAUAGCCGAAUUUUUGAUCCCGAAUUUUUAAUUAGUGAACGUAUAAUAUCCGUAUAAAUCACGUAUCCGAAUAAUUGGCGAAUCUGUUUUUUAGCCGUAUUUUUCAACGAAUUUAAAAAUUAGAAGAUGAAUUUAUCCGAAUUAUAUCAGUACCGAAUUUUUGCCGAAUCCGAAUUAACUAACUAUGAGCCAAACUAAUCACAAUUUGGCCCUGUUUAGCAUUUCUUCCUAGAAGUGAUUUUGGGCUCAAAAUUACUUUUGGGCUUAGUAGAGCGUUUGACAACGGGAGUUUGAAAAUCUGAUUCUGCUUAUCAGAAUCAGAAAACUGAUUUUUCAACCCGUAGAAUCAGAUGCUAUAAAAAGCUACUUCUUCAAAACUGAUUUCCGCAAAAGCAGUUUUCCCACUUAAAAUUUUUUAUAAAAAUACCAAAAUUACCUCUAAACAAAUAAUACAAUUCUACUCUACUCUUUUAUAAUUAAUCUUUCAAACUACUAUCUUCUCUCUCCCAUCUCCUUCUACAGCCGACUCUCCACUCCAACAAAUUUUUUUUUUCACUUUCCUCUCCUCUCUCCUCCAUCUCUCUUCUUUCUUUCUCUUCGGCAACGUCUUUCUCUCUGGCGACGUCUUUCUCUCUGGCGACGCCUUUCUCUCCGGUGAGUCUUUUCUCUCAGGCAAACCUCCAAGGUACCCACACUUUUUUUUUUUAUGCAGAUUUCUCUCCUUCCCUCUCUUUCUUUCUUCAUCUGCUCAGCCUUUCUUUGUCGGAUCCGCACCGGCGGGAUCUGGCUUUGCUAGAUGAUCCAGCCCCUGAUCCGCACUGGCGGGAUCCAAAAAAGACGAAUCCCGCUAGCUUGGCCGGAUCCGCGCCGGCGGUGUCCAACUUUGCCGGAUCCGACCCCAGAUCCGUGUCGGCAGAUCCGAGAUCAAAGACGGAUCCCGCCGCGGCAAGAUCGGCAAAGACGGAUCUCGCCGCUUGACCGGAUCGCAAGAUUCAAGCCGGUGGGAUCCGGUAAAGACGCCUCCGACAAGGAUGGAUUUCAUGACACCAUAAUUUAUCUUCUAACUAUUUUUAUAAAACUACAAAAAGACCAACCUGCAUGAUAUUAUUUGCAAUCUUUUUUUGAUAAAUAUAUAUUGGCAAAUUAUAUAAUAUUUUUUUGCAACCUUUUUUGAUGUUUAAAUUAGAAAUUAGUUGUGUUUUGAUUAUUUGAUUAGUUUCUAAUAUGUAAUAUUUUAAAAAUUUAUUUAGUUUGUAGUAUUGUCUAGUUUGUAUGCGAUGUUUCGGUUAUUUUUUAUUUUGUAGUAUGCAGCUAUGGCACUUCCAGUGUUUGAAAGGCGGGGCGCAAAAAGGCGCAAGACUCUCCUGGGAGCCUAGGCGCGAGGCGCACUGCAGAAGCGCGCGCCUCAAGAAGGCGAUGCGGCACAUACAUUUAAUCUUGAUAUUCUACAUUAAAAAAACUCCAAAAUAACUAUACAAAACUAAAAUAACUAUAAAAAAGUAAAGAAAACACAUGCAUAUAGGUUCUCAAGUUAAAAAAAAUAUAUUUCGACUUUCAACUUAAAAGUGAUUGUGGUGCCAAUGUUUUCAUUUGGCCUCAAGAAGGAGGAGGGCGGUAAAAGAAGAGAGUGGUAGGAGGAGAGGGCGGUAGAUGGAUUUCAUUAGGGUUUUUUUAGGUUUCUUUUAGAUUCUUGUACUAAUCUUAUCGGGCUAAAACAUAAAACUUAUAUCCGAAACCCAAUUACCCGAAAACUUUAAUCCAAAAUCCAAAAAAUAUUAAAUAUGCCGAGGCGCGCGCCUUAUGUGGGCCUCGCGCCUCGCCUGAGGCGCGCGCCUUAGGGCCUAGGCACGCGCCUCAGCAAUAGCACCUCGCCUCGUUAUUGCUGAGGCGCGGAGGCUCGCGCCUCGCGCCUAGGCGCUGAGGCGCGCGCCUCGCGCCUAGGCGCUGAGGCGCGUGCCUCAGGCGCGCCUUUUCAAACACUGGGCACUUCACAACUUUAUUAGGAUGAGUUCGACGCAAGAUGAAGAGUUCAACAAAUGUGAUCAAGAUAUGAAUUAUAUGGCCAAUAUUGAAAAAGAUGAAAGCAGUACAAGUAGUUCGACACAGAUUUAUAGUGGAGUAACAGAUGAUUACAUCAUGACCCAAACUCGCGAUUGUAUUGCUGCCUCAUUGAAGAGCACAUUUAGAUAAAUUAUUAUCCUAAUAGAUAUUUAUAAUUAUACACUUUUGUUAUAUUAAAUAGUUAUUAAUAAUUUGAAAUAUUGACAUGUAAUAUUAAUUAGUUUUAAAAAUAACUAAUGUUAAACAACAUUACAAAAUCACUUUAGCAAAAAAAAUGCCAAAUAGUUUUCUAAAAUUACUUCAAUAAAAUUAUUUUUCUAUCAGAUAUAGCUAAACACUCUACAGUUUUUAAUAAAAAUUAUUUUUUAAAAUCAAAAUCAAUUAUAGAGAAAUCACUUUUUCAAAAUCUUGGGCAAACGGGCCUUCCUCAUGCGGACUCUUUCGCUACCCGAUUCCUCUGAUUGAAGUUCCCUCCCUCUCUUCAGUCCACAAACCAACGAUCCCCUGCUCCCCCCUUCGACCGCUUGAUUCCUCCACUCCGGAAAACCCUAGAGCGACCAGUUCCUUUCCCCUGCGAUCGCCCGAUUCCUCCGAUCGAUAGAUAAUCUUGGUACACUGCUCGAUAUCAUGUUGGAGCUAGGGUUUCUGGUUGGGAGAGGUAAUUUAUCUAAUCACCUUCAAUUUAGCAAUUAGUUUCAUCAUAUGUUUGGCUAUUUCACGAUUUGCUUUUGUUUCUCGUGAUUGUAUGAUGAACCCACUCUCUUGGUGAUUUCGUAUGUAUCUUUUCCGGCUUUUGCUCUUAUUAGAGACCACGAACCCUAGAUUCAUAUACCAUUGCUUUCUCGCGGAGACCGCGAAACCCUAGAGUUAGGUAUCAUUGCUCAACUAGAUCAGAUGGAUCUAAAGUCUAUGAUGAGGUUGCCUUGCCAAGGCAAUAUCAGAUAGGUGUCCCUCAGAUCCUAUCCUAAUUACUUCAUGUGGUUUAAUCCAAUUCAUUUUUUAUUUUUUUACUAACAUUACAUAUCUUUUGAUGACCGUUUUACUUUUAGCAACCAAUUUAUCCGUAUGUACUCUGCUUAGGGUUUUGCAAGAUGCAGAUGAUUGAUUACCAAACGAGUCAUUAGGACAGCUGUUGUGUCUUCUUACAGAAAGGUUUACGAUAGGAGCAUAAGAUAUUAUUAAGCUUAGUUAAUUUGGUCUCUUCUGUCUUUCUUCUACACUUCUUUGUUUUGAUAUGAUUUUUUAUUGUAUCUCUUAGUUUAGAAUUUGCAAGUAUGAUCUUCUAUUUAUUAUAUAGUUUUUAUUUUUACAAUACUUGAUUGCUCUUGAUAGUGCCCUGUGCAACUUUUUUUCUUUCAUAUGUACUUUCUGAACUUUGCAGUCCUUAUCAAAAUUUCUUUUUGUUAUUUUUCAAGUGAGUAAUAUUAUCUUCUUUUCAUUUCGAUUUGUAAUUAUACAUUCUCUUUUCUUUCUCACUUGAUAGUCCCUUUUCCUGCUAGUGAAAUAUUUGUUUCCAAUUGAAACAGACUUAAUAGAUUGGGCGGCAAAUAAAUUGUUAUUACUUAAUUUAGAUGGUUGUAGGGGAACACACUACUACUGCUAAUAUUUAGCUAGCCUAAAUUAACACGUAAAUUUAUAUUCAAUUUCAAAUAAUUGUUUGCAAGAAAAAAGAAAAGCUCUUUUCUCAAUCCUCCCUUGAAUUAAAGUUGACUUGCACCUCUGCGAUGGGAUUUUGGGGGGAUUCGAUUUUUGCUAUGUGAAUUCCUCAAACCAAACACCAUAAUGAGAGUCACUCAUUUUGAUUCUUUUUGCAUGCCUCAGACCUUUCAAACCAAACAAAACCCUAAAAGAGUGACUGUCUUACCUAAAUGAACUCAAGUUAUGAUAUGUUGACCGUGUCACACCUCGGGGUCUCUUUUGUAAGCCAUUUAGAAAUUGGGCUAUCUUUUGUAAAUCAGAGUCUGCGGAAAAGCACCUAUUUUUUUUAACCUUGACCCAGGGAUGUAACAGACCCGCUACAAAUACAGAAAAUUUUCAUUCCAGAUGGAUAGAGUUUCUCCUGUAUUUGUAUGGCGUAGGCCAAAGGGUCAACGGGUCAGGUUUUACUACAACUACUUGAAAUGCGUUUGGAUAACAUCCUUUUUCAAUUGGGUAUGGCUUCUUCGGGGAACGAUAACACACAAUGAUCAUCAUUUCACAAGUUUUCACAUUACACAAUUAGCUGUCCUUAGUCACCAGCAUUCCACAUCACUUUCGUUUUCAUUCGUAUUAGUUAAAAGCGCCUCCCACACGAAGGCUUCACUUUGAAACUCUAGUAUUCCCAAAAUCCACGCAACGCUAAAAACCGCUUUGAAGACCGUUUCUCACAUGGAAACUUUUAUUUUAGAAACAAGCUACCGCAAUGGGUAGAAAUUCAUUAUUUGCGAAAAUCACGAGUAUACUUUAAAAACUUCAUUUGAAAUCCAAAUCCAAAAUCUCACAUGCAGCCAAAAAUCUCACAAAUAUUCAAAAUUUACGGAUAUCAAGAUCCACGAGUAAAUCCACUGAACCACAACACUGUCUGAUUACUAACAAGUAUGCAAUAAGCAUCAAAUCAGAACUGAUAACGUAAGGUCGGGAUCUCUAUCUCACGCUAUCUAUAGCCUCACGCACCGUCCCAACCCUCACAGCCUGAGCUACCUGGAAAAAAGUAGGGAGUGAGAGCAUGUAAACAAGUCUCCUCCUCUUAGUGGGUACCGCAAGACAACGAAGGCAAGCUGUACAUACCGACAGAUGGAAAGGAUAAACAACAAUAGUAAUAAGUAAAUCGUGUAUAAUAACAAUGAAUAACAACCACCGAUAAUCACCAAAGAGGCUACUACUGUAAGGUGAGAUUAUAAAGUAACGACCAACUAUAAUCAACGGUUAAACUAGUGCAAUAGCAAUGAUAACUGAACUAAAAAUAACUAUGAUAAUGGUAUGGAUAACCACUACUGCAAAGGAAGAUAGAGAAAUGACUAUGGGCCAACUGCAACUGAUAGCACAAGUAUACCCAAUCAACUGUCGUUUGCCGUAUUGGUCUAAGGGCCUCAGGCAAUGCCAUUCCUGGUCUAAUUGGCAUAUGACUCUAGUAGUAGGCCGCUAGAGCUCAUGGGUCGGAUGUACGACCACCUUUCCGAAAAAGAACACACUCUUGUGGUGGAUCAGAUCGCUGGUGUACGUGAAAUGCUCACGAGCUGUGGCAAUCGAUGCAGUAUGCUUAAUGGCCAACAACGACAACAAGCCGAUAGAACAAUCCACAACCAUAUUUGACCAAAUCCGGUCUAAUAUUUCCGAAGGAAUGUCACUAUGUCACUGACAUAUCAGGUCUAUGUGCAAGUACAAAAUGUCAUUAAUGAUGAAGUCAUGGAACGAUAAUCAAUAACUGGAGUGUUACUCUACCACUAGAUCAAUUAUGAUACUGCAAGACGAAACAACCGUAGAUUAACGAGCACCAAGUAGUGUGUAAGAUACUGAGCAUAUAAUCAUGAUAAGCUAUGCAAAUCAAAGAGGAAAAAGAUAAGAAGUCACCGAGCAUGAGCCGCUGGACCUACUUCGGAUCGAAGUACCCACCUAUAUCAGCAGUCGGACCUAGCUCCCGAGGUGUGUAGAAUCAUCGACCGGACCUACGAUAGAUCCACCGAGUCAGGGUCCAAUCCUUUAGCCUCAAAACACAUCGCUCGCAAACCCCAAGUCGCUCGCGAAAUCGAUUUUCCGAAAUCGAUUCCUGAACUCGCCGAGAAUCCCGAAAACGCACCGGGAUGCCCCCAGGACCCACGAAACGUCCCGAAACACACCGAAUCAUGUUGUGAGUCACCCGCUGCCCCUGAAACACAUCCAAUUGAGUGUCCGGGCAGCAAACACUUGCACCAAGGUCAACUCGGUCGACACCGGUCGACCGUUUUGUUCCGAGCUUCCGGAAGUGUUCACUUUGGCACCGGAAGCCUCUGCCGCCCAUCGGCUGCCUUUGAACACACGAGGGGACCACGACGGCCAGCCAACGAGGCUAGGCGAUGAUUUCUGGGGCAACCACGUCGCCGAAAACUCAUCUCAACACGAAAUCGCGUUCUACUGGCGAUAUCAGCAAAACGCUCCGAAAUCCUACUUCCGAUUGCACGAGGGCUUCGAAAACUAGACAAUAAGUCCAGAGGGUCACAAUCAGUGACCACGCGCUGCCCGAGGCAGCCCACACAGCCAAUAUUGCGUUUAAACCCCUAAACAUUCCACAAUUCACAAAAUUGCAAUUUAGGGUUGUUACCAUAAUCCGUGUGCCAUUGGGAUGAAGCAAGAGUACCUAUGGACAGGUCUCGACGUGUCGGACACCGUGCUUGCUGUCCGAAGUGAGAACGACGUUCGAGGAGCGUGUUGGAGCUUCACGAAGUGCUGCGACAAACGCAUACCGGGAGCAAUGAUGACUGCGCAGUGAAAUGGAGUCUCUCUGGCAGGAUCCGAGGCGAGCAUGACGAUCAAUGAGGGUUAGAAAUUGUCGUGCUCCUUUCCGGAGGUUUGGGGACGCUUCGUGUGGCCUGAAAAAGCACAAAAGGGCAAAAGAGCCCUAGUUCAAGGGUGUAGGGAGCACCAUGGUUCCGGUCGGCAGCUCGGCGGCGUGCGUGGGCCUUGGUCGGGCGCGAAGGGGUAGGGGAGCCUCGUGCUCCCCUCAGCCGGCGCUGGAAGCGGCGGUAGCGGCGCCUCAGGAAGGCCUGGCCCGCAGGGCUAGGGCUAGUGCUAGGGCUCGGGUGGUGGCGGUAGUGGCCGGGGAAGCCACGGGGCAGCGGCAACGACUCGCCUGAGGCCGGAGGGAGGCGGCGGUGAUGGCCUGAGGCGGCGGCGGCGGCGGCGGCGGCGCGGCAGAGACAGGGCCUCCCUCUACCCAGAUCUGCACCGAGAGGAGCUUGAUGGCCGCGGCGGCGCUCGACAGUGCUGGGGCCGUUGGGGAGGGUCGCCGGAGGUCCCUGCUAUGUGGGGCAAGGCCCGAGGGGGUGUGUGGCCUCUUCCUAGAGCUUCGGUUCCAGAGAGUGAGAGAGGGGGUUCAGGGAGAGAUUAAGGGAAAGAGAGAGAGUGAGGUGGCCGGCUGGAUUUGGGUAGCUAGCGGCCGGGGAGGGGCGUGGUGCACUUUGAGAAGAGAGAGGGUGUCGGCUGAGUGUGAAUGGGUCGAGAACAGAGUUAGGGUUAGGGUUAGGGUUAGGGUUAGGGUUGGGAGAAGAGAAACCCUUAGUGGGUGUUUAGGCCUCAAGUGGUAAUUUUGCGAAAAAGCCCAUGAAUUCCAACAAUUCUUAAUCCAGCCCUUCACGGCACGCGUAAAACACAGAAUGACACCCCCAUGUGCGAUUUCGUGCAAUUUGGAACAUAAACUAUUGGGGGAUUCUCCAAAAUUCGAUUUUCCCUAUUUCGACCGUUCCUUGGUUUUCGCGCAAUUGCGGUAAAUCUAUCCAUCAGAUUUAUGAACGGACUGCUUUGGUGCGUUUAGCACUGCCGGACCUUGGAGAUCACGUUUUUGUUUCGCGAGUCACGGAUUUGUAUCAAACCCCACACACACACACACACACACACACACACACACACACAUAUAUAUCCCAGAUAUAUAAAUUCGAAAUUUGAAUUCAAAUUCAAUUUCUUAUUUGAAUUCCUCAUUUCAAAAUAUCCCAGAUUUUACAGACCGACCUAAUAUGACUAUGCAAAUCAAGUUGACUCUUAAUACACACUAAAUUUAGUGAUCACCCACUUAAUCUUUUAUAAGCAAGGCUAACUCUUAAUAGAUACUAAACUCAUUGCUACACCAUUUAGUAAUUCGACCCAAUUACAUGAAUUGAGAUACAAAUUGUCAAAUUGAGAUUCGAAUCACACAGUUAUUUCAAUACUUGAACCAAAUUUACUCCAUUACUCCUAUUCCAAAAUAAAAUCAUUAUUUAAUCAUUUUCUUGUGAUUCAGCUGUGUCAUCUGAUAAUUAUUUAACUUUGGUGUUGAAGUAACUUUUGAUUUUUCAAGUGCAAUAUUUAACUUAUGCACUUACGCCUUUUCUAACUUUGGAUUUAAAAUCUAGUACCAAAUUGAUGAACUUGUGGUUACUAUUUUAUGUUCCAUAAUAUUUUUGGAAAAACUUCAACUAAUUUGUCUUUGACGGUUUGAACAUUCUGUGGUAAUUUCAAACUUGAUAGCGAUUGCGAACGGAAAUCACUAUAGAACUUUACAUGCAUCAUGUCACUUGCAUCACUCACAUGCAUCACAUAUUCAAAUGCAUCGUUUCACCAGCAUCACUUCAUAUGCAUCAUUUCACAUGUAUCACGUCACAUGCAUCAUAUAUUCACAUGCAUCAUUUCACCAGCAUCACUUUAUAUAUGCAUCACGUAAAAAAUAACCCAAGUUCCUCAAGCCAGUAAAAGAGUGUCACCAGAUUCUAAAGCUAUAGUUAGGAAAGGCACAAGUUACUCCAAAUGUUGAACUUUGCAAAAGAAAGAAAAAAGAAAAAAAAAAUCAAAAGAUAUUUCCAAACCAAAUAUGAAAUAGUUUUAGUUUUGUUUCGCAUAACCAAAGCUGAAAUAGUUGUAGUUUUGCUCUGCAUUUGUUUUUGUGAUACAAUCAAGUAGUAGGAUCAAUUUGGUUCAGAUAUUGGAGUUACAUACUAUUUGAAUCUUAAUUUGAUAAUUUGUAUAUGAGUUCCUGUGAUCGCGUUUAAUUAUUAAGGGUGUUAGCACUGUGCUUAGUAUAUCUUAAGAGUCGAGCUUAUAAUUUGAGUUUAGUGGAUAUUUAAUGUAAUGGCAUUACUUGUUAUUUAGUUGGUGCAUUGUGCUUGAUUUUGUUUGUCAAUUAAAAGACAUGAGAAAAGAGAGGAAACUGACCCUCUUCAACGGCUUUUAGUUUGCAUUUUGCUUAUUCAUACGAGUGAUUUAUAUAGCUUAGGAGAAUCUAUAUGUAAAAGUGCAAUUGUUCUGGUGGGUAAUGUUGGACUAUCUGGAUUCCGAGUACCAUGUCACUGAAGUUUCACCUGUUGUUGUGUGAAUAUUGGAUGACCUGUUUAUGGGACAGUUUCACUACUUAACGCUUUGAUCCAGCCCGGCCCUUAAAUCCGGGUCCAAAUGUAGGCCUAAAGCCAGGAAGCUACACGUCUUGGGCUUCACAUGCUUAGUAUGAAGUUUGGGCGAGCUUAGCAUCAGUGGAUUCUAGCUCUGGCUGGUUUUAAUAGUUUCUUUUAACAUGGCUCGUUUGAAAAUCUGGGCCUCAAUAUAGGACCAAGGCAGGGAUUCUUCGGCUUUACGGGUUUAGUAUUAAAUUUUCUUUUUGGAGAGCCAUUGGAUAAUAAUUUUCGUUCUCAAUUUAGUUUGCCUAGUUAAUCUUGACUUUUGUGUUAGCUGGUUUUGUUAGGUUAAAAUAUGUAACAACUCAUAAUAACGCAUAUUUGGUGUGAUUCGAAGUUUUACACCCUAUUUGCCAACGCCCAAAUCGCUAAACUGGUUGGGUUCGAUCUCAAUAUUCCUUAUUUCCAUUGUUUGGAAAUUUAUUACUCUAUGAUUUGAAUUGAUUUGCACUGAUUUUGGGUGGAUUUUCAUAGGUGUACAAGAAAUGAUUCAGAGGCAGGAUAUACUGUACUUUUCAUAUCUUUUUUUAAUCCAAAGCUUUUUAUUACCUCAAGGUCUUUUGAGUUAAAAAAAUUGUCAAAUUGCUGAAUAAUGUGUAAAUGAUUAAAUUAAGUAGUUGGUAUCUCUUUUAGCGUAGUUUUUUUUCUUUUUAUUUCAUUUGCAUAUUCUACGUUUAUUUUACUUUCUUUCUCUUUAUCCCCUCAUGUUACCUACCUUUCAUCAUUCUCAGUUUUCUCCUCUAUCUUUUAAUUUUUUAUUAUUUAAAGUCUCUAAGACAUCCAAUGGUUUUUUUAUGUUAUUAUUUUCUAUUUUGCUACACAUUUUAUAUAAUAGUUGUUUCUUGUUUUUAAAAAAUAUUCUUGUAUUUCCUCCUUAUUUUUAUAUAAAUUUUUUUGUUGCUGAUUCAGAAAUCCUUAUUCCUCUAGUAAGUUUUUGGAAUCUUUUGUUUUCACUUUCUUUUUCUAGUUCUUUGGUGUUUCGGUUCUUUCUUUCUUUUUUUUUUUUUCUAAGCAAUGUAUUUCCUAUCUUUAGGAAGUUUUGCCCUUGGUUUCUUUCCUAUCUAGUAAGUUUUGCUAUUGCUUCAUAGUGUAAUAUUGUGUACCUGCUUUUCUUUUUGCCUCUUACCUCAUAAAAUAACACACGAUAUUGUUCACCCAAAACUAGCUUCCUGAGAGAGACUUCUUUUUUUUCCGGUUGCCUUUGUUGCCUUUUCGUGUCCUUGGAUAUAAAUUUUCUUACGUCAAAGCAAAAGGAAGUUCUCUUGUUCAUCCCUUAUUGAAUUUAUUUAAUUUUAUGCUGAAUGUUAUUACAUAUUACUUUUGUUUCUUUUGUUUUUCUCAUUUUAUUCUUGCUACUUUUUCGCUCUCUUAUCUGCUGAUUAUUUAUCUUGAUGCUUCUGUAUGUGCAUUAUGGGUUUUUUUUAAGAGUAAAGAGUGGUUAAUAUGUAUUAUCAUGGACACAAUUUUCUAUGUUAGUUGUAUAAGUGAUUGUUGUUGAUCUUAUUUAUGAAAUUAUGUUCCGAUAUUUGUUAGUGUCUUCUUCCAAUUCAAUCUUCACUUUACAUAUAUAUCCAUUUAAUGUUUUGAAUUAACCAGAUCCUUCUAUUUUCAUCAUGUUUACUUUCAUUUCUUAUUUCUCCUUUUGUUUGUUCUUCCUCCUUUUGUUCUUUUCUAUUUUUUGCCUUUAUUUUCACUCUCUGUUUGGGUGGUACAAUCGUUCUUUAGAGCAAAGCUAAGAAGUUAUACGCUAAUUUAUAUGAGGUGAUUUAUCUUAUUUAAAAAAAAUAACUUGAAUGCUGAAUAUAAGAUCUAAUUUUAAAUAUUUGAUAACAUUUCUUGUCAUUUAAAUGUACAAAUUUAUAUGAGGUGAUUUAUCUUGUUUAAAAAAAUAACUUGAAUGCUGAAUAUAAGAUCUAAUUUUAAAUAUUUGAUAACAUUUCUUGUCAUUUAAAUGUACAAAUUAAGAGGGUAUACUGAAUAAGAUAUUUAUGCAUCCAAAUAGGGUCUAAGGGAAAUAGAUUAUUGAAGUGAGGAAUCUUAACAGUAGCUUACAAUUCUUUUACUGAACUCAAUUUGUGCAACAACGAAGGGCGUAAAUCCAGUUGCUUGCUUUCUUUUUAAAUCUAUUUUAUGAUACUUAAAGUAUCAUAAAAAUAGAUUGUAACUGAUUCUUUUAAAUCUAUUUUUUAAAAAAUGAAAUUAAAUGUAACAGAUAUAUAUAUUUUAUGAUACUUAUCAUAAAAAUAGAUUUAUUAUAUUAAAUUAUAAUUUUAAAUUAUUAUAAAUAAAAAUUUUAAUAUAAAUGUAUGAUGGAGGCAGUAGUAUCAGUACAUAGAAUAAUUUCCCGAAACCCUUCUUGCUUUCUGUUGUCCGGAUCAGUCGCCAAGCGCUCGCUCUGCCCGCACGAUCUUCUCCUCUCCUUUUCAAAGUAUUCCUUUUCUGUCCUUUUGUUACAAAACCUUCGCGCGUCUCCACUUCACUACUAGUUUUGUGCACAAUCUCUUUAUUUGAUCUUAUUGAGGUUUGCGAACUAUGGGAGAUCGAUCGCUGUGGAACUUGUUCAAAUCGUUUCGUAAAAUUACACAAUUUUCUGUUUUGUUUAAUGUUUUGUUUUUCCUUUGGAGAGUUAGGAGAAUUUAAAUGCAAUAUGUGCACAGGUUCAUGGGCUUUUUUUUCCUUUUUCUGAUGAAGAUCAGAGCACCAUCAUUGUGCCUGAGGAAAAACUUAGAAAUUUAUUAUUUUGAUCAUGUUAUGAUUUUUUUUUCUGGAUCCUAUUUUCAGUAAUAAGUUAUCUUUGUGUAGGGCCCUAGUAAUAUGGCUUCGCAUUAUCAAGCUGCUUUAUUGGUUGCUUCUCCAUCGUAUCCAAACUCCAUUGCUUGGUCGAACGAAAAUUUGGUGGCUAUUGCAUCAGGCCAUAUCAUUACUAUAUUGGUAUGCAAACAUUGUUAACCUUGCAUUACAUAGUAUUUUACAUUUAUGUUCUUAAAUGUUGUUAAAUUGCUUUAUUUGUUAUUUAUCUUGCACGCAUGUUGUGCUCUUGCUAGAACCCAGCUUUGCAUGCGGGUCCUCGAGGUCUCAUUACGCUUCAUCCUGAUAAGCCAUUUCCUAUAGGAGUUGUUGACAAAGAAGGUUGCAUCCUUUCUUUCAAUUUUUACUCUCUUUUUUUUCUUUUUUUUUUUCCUCUUUAUACAUAACUUUGUCAAAUAAUUGGGUUUUGCGAGAAUGUAGUUACUUUUCGGCCUAUUGUUUACAUCGUCACUUGAUAUGAAAUUUUGCAGAUCUUCUUAGUCCAUGUUUAAUGCCUACAAGUUUGUCCCGUGAUGUUCGUCCAUGUGCUCGGUCGAUUUCGUGGUCUCAACCGGGUUUUGCAUCUAACUCGGGGUAAACACAAUUUCGUCAACCUUCAUGACUCUUGAAAUUGCAUAAGAUUUUGCUGGUUUGUUGAAUUUGGUUUUUUGGUAUUUAUAUAUGACUCACUUUAGAUGCUUGCUGGCUGUUUGCACCACUGGAGGUCAUGUGAAGUUAUAUCGCGCUCCUUUUUGUGAAUUUACUGCUGAAUGGAUUGAGGUAUCCAUUAUAUUUGAAUUUCUCAUUAUAAAUGUUAAUAUUGCGUUCCAUCCUUUUGAAUAGACACAAAAAUAAUCAUAUCCAUAACUCUCUUGCUUAUGAUAGGUUGUGGACAUCUCCGAGUUGCUUUUUAAGCAUCUAGAAAGUACUGAGUUUGGAGAGCAUAAUGCUUCUGAAUUUCAUCAGAAGGUUAGUUCUUUAAUAGUCUUUUUUAAUUUCCUAAAUAAACAUGCUACUGCAUCUAACCGUUUCAUCAAAUAGAUAGUAGCUUCUGAGAGUUCUCUGUGUUCUGUCUCUUUCUUGCCAUGAAAAUUCUUUUCAUCUUGUACCAAAAGCAAGGCAGCACAGGCUGCACAACAGGGAGAGGUUGCGCUGAAGAGUUGGAAGAAUCUCUUUCCAGUAAGGGCUCUGGACGAAGAAAAAGAAAGACUUUAGGCAAAAGGUCAAUUUUCACCUUUUAUUUGGUAUUCAUGCAUUUUGCCUAUAUAUGAAUAUGAUAUGUGGGAAUAGUCUUAAUGUAUAGUCUAUAUGUCGUAUUGAUCUUGGGAGCUGCAUACAUCUUUCUUGAGGUUUACUAACAUUAGUUGCUUUUGUGAGGAUUGGUGACCCUUUUUCUUACAUAUAUUAUUAGAAACCAUAGCGUAGUCUGAUCUAAGCAAACUGCAAGUUAUUAUUUAUGUCCUAAUGUCUAGGUUUAUUUGUGAGAAUUAUUGAAUUUUUUGUUUCAGACUGACAAGUUCCUUUUCAAAUUCAUAUUAUGUUUUCUUUUGGUCACUUUUAUCUCUCUUAUUCAAUGUUAAAUGAUUGUAUAUAGGCAUUACCUAAAUUAUAUAUUAGCAUUGUCAUCUUAUCUAGGGUUGUACUAUAGAUUCAGACAUAUUCAUUGUCUUUCCUAUUUUUUUUUUUAAAUUUAUUCUCUUAUCAAACAUUAAAUUUUGUAGAGAUGGGGCCAAUGAAGAAUUUGUAGAACUCUCUUAUUGUUCAAAGAAGGCGAAAUUAAGGGAUAAAGGUGGUCGUCUUGCAGCAUCCAAUACGGCUACUCCAAAUAAGGUAUCCAUGUGUUCUCUUCCUGAUUUUGCUUUCACCGGUAAUGCUUUGAAGGGGAUAAAAAAUUUUGAGUCAUGCAGCGAAAAGUACAUCAGUUGUUUGUUGGGGGUGUGAAUAUUUCUGGUUGGUGGUUCAUUUUGUAAAUGACAUGUUAUCUCAGGUCAUUGAGGUUGAAUCUGGAACUUUCGUGGUGAAUGAUCAAAGUUUGCCAUCAAGAGUUAAGGGAAGAUCAUCUUUGAAUGGAGAAAACAAUUCCUUUCCUCUAAUUACAGCAAAGCAGUAUGCAUCUCGUAGUGCUUUACUAUCAUCCCUCGUAGUGGCAUGGUCUCCAGUUGUAACAUUAUGCGGAAGCAAAUGUGCUAUUUUAGCUGUUGGAGCUAAGUCCGGUAAUAUUUCUUUUUGGAAAAUUUGCACACCACAAUUCUACACAGUGGAGCAUGAUGGAGUUCCAGCUGAUGCAAUACUCAUCGGGCUUCUUCAGGCGCAUAGUGCAUGGAUAACAGCAAUUAGUUGGGGAGUUGCCACUUCAAGUUGCUUAAAGUCCCAGUUAGCUGUGGCUACUGGUAGUUGUGACGGAAGGUGAUUUUUUCUUUUUUCCUACCGUUUUGCGACUUUUGUCCUUCUCUUCACUUCUUCUUUCUAGUAUUUGCUAGGCUCUUUUUAAUCUAUAUUUUUCUUUUCAAAAAAAAAACACAGCGUGAAGAUAUGGUUGGGAGAUGUUCAAAGACUAGUUCAAUCUACAGAGGCAACCAAUAGGUCCUUUUCCUUACUAACUGAGGUAAAUUUUUUUAUGCAUACCACUCUCAUGACUACAGAGCAUGUACAUGCGAACCAUAUUUUGUUAGAACUAAUCUUAUGAGCUAAGAAAAUAGAUUGCGUAUAUAGGAAAAAAGAAAUUGUAGUAGUCAGUCCGCUCACCCCCUCCCUUUAUUAUAUGGUUUGUGCCAGAUGUUAUAUGCUGAUGAGGAGUAACCAAGAAAACAACCCCAGUUUUCAUUAGUAGAUGUUAUACCCUGGUUAGCAGUCAUCUGUUAUUUGUGGACUUGAAUUCAACGUCCCAUUUUAACUCCUCUCAUCUUCAACAGGUCACAAAUGCUACAUCAGCCCCAGUUUCAACAAUUUCGUUGAUUGUGCAAGCUCAAUCUCAAGAUAAAAUUAUUUUGGCAAUUGGAAGAGGAUCUGGAUCACUUGAAACGUGGAUAUAUUGCCUAUCUAGCAACAAAAUUCAAUGUGCUGGCAUUUCUGAAGCACAUGAUCAAGUGGUAUAUGUACAAUUUGAUGAAGUUAGAUGUCAUUGAACUCAUAUUUACAGUGCCGACCUGUAUACUUUUUUGCAGGUGACCGGUCUAGCUUGGGCUUUUGAUGGUCAUUGUUUGUACAGCUGCAGCCAGGUUACUUUACAUUCAUUAAUCAUCAAACAUAUGUUAUUGACUAGUAUCUGUUUGUAAUUUUUUUGCUUCAAAAGAAAAAAGAAAAUACAUUGUAGCUUUGAGAUAGCACACGUCAAAUUACAAGUCUAGUGGAAUUGUAUUAGGGCAUAUAUAUAGUACAUCUUUGCUGGUUUACUGACUCAAGUUCAUACCUUGACAAUAGGACAAUUCUGUGCGUAGUUGGACUUUACAUGGAAGUCGUCAACGCCAAGUUCCUUUCCCUUCAAAUUUUCCAGGCAUAAAAAAUUCAACAAAUGUACAUCAUUUAGGUUUAUUUUCCUGCUAUUCUUGAUUUCCAUCUUUUCCCCUUUUCUUAUGGAGUAUGAAACUCAUAUGCAGCUCUCACAAGUAUCUGACCAAUGCUUUGGCCUUGCACUUGCUCCUGGAGAAUUGAUGGUUGCUGUGGUGAGCUCAAUCUCUCAGAAGAUCGCUUCCGUAUUUAUAUUUUCUGCUAUUUAUUUAUGUUCUUUAGACACGCAUAAACGCGAAAGGAGUUGGUUCCAAUCUUUAUAUAUCGUGUCGAUAGUUUUUUAUUUACUUUGCAUUUAAAUCAUGAUCUAACAAGAUCAUUACACUUCAGGUUCGCAGUUUGGAGACUAAUCUUUUGAACCAAAUGUAUCAAGCCAGGUGAUUGAUUUCUCUAGGAGUAUUUAAACUUAUGAUAGUAUGUGAUCCAUUAGUACUUUGGAGACAUUUUGUGGUAACGUGAUGUAUAAAUAAAACUGCUGAAACUAAAAUUUUCUUGUUGGUGUUACUCAGAACUCAGAGAGCGGUGGUUGAGUUUUUCUGGACUGGAGGACAGCUCCUUGAACCAUUGGAGAAAAACGUUAGUUGUGGUAGUAAACCCUCAGAAUUAUCCAAAAGGGAGUUGCAGUGUUGGGAAUGCAACAUUUUGUGGUCUUUAAAGAAUUUUGAGAAUGGCGAUAAGCUACCUGUCCUAUGGGACACUAUAGCUGCAUUGCUAGUCCUUAAGAAGUUGGCACCUACUUUUGUUCGAGACUUGCUCUCAAAGUGGAUCUCAAGUUGGUUUCCUGAGAAGCAAGAAAGCGGAUAUAUGGAGAAGACCUUGUUGCAUGUUCAAAACAUGUUGUCCGUGAUAAGUUCUCGCAGAAUACACCUCCUCAACAUAAUCUCUAGAAGAUUAAUGCCAAGAAAGGAAAAGGCUGAGGUACCUAAAUGGGAGCAGCAUAACUUCAGUGAUAAAACCUAUGUUGAAGGAGAGACGGAAUUGUGGCAUAAUUUUCUUGUCAAUAGUGAAAGAGAGCUGACAGAGAGGCUUGUUGCUUCAACUUUUACUACUGUUCUAAGUCGUGCAGCUCUUUCGCCCGAUUCUUUUUCCGUUGACACAAGCUGGUUCCCAAUUGGAGUGGCUCAAAUGGAGCAGUGGGUUGCCAUCAACAGUAAAGUAGUGCACAAUCAGCUUAAAGUACUUGGAUCAAAAUUUAAAGAACUAGGAACAAGGUGUUUGUAUUUCUUACCUCAUCAAUUAUUUAAAUGGCUUUUCAUUUCCUCCCAAUUUAUAAGACAGCCUACUUUUUCAUCCACAAUUGAAAUAUUCAGCUUAAAUCAAUUUCUUUCUUUCAUAUACUUGUGUUCUAAUAUCUGAAUUUAUCUUUAAUCAUCUAGGAUCGAUUCGGUAUGUGAAUACUCAAAGAGUGAGGUAUGCAGCUUCUGCACUGGCCCAGUUCAGUUUAAAUCCCCAGAUGUUGCCUCUUGUGAAGGCCGCAAAGUCGAAGGUGGGGAAGUCGAAAGCCAUAAAUUAUCGAGAUGUGCCGUUUCGAUGAAGCUGUGUUCUAUCACGGAGCCAAUGUGGUUUUGCUGUUGUUGCAAUCGGUGGAUCAAUAAAUUGGCCCCUCAAGCCAUCUUUACCAUGCCUAGCUCUCCAUUAGAUGUAAAUUGUGGUUGCGGAUCUUUUGAUCUGGAUGAAGUUUGUUUACCGUUGUGCCCUUUCUGCGGCAUAUUGUUACAGAGAUCGAUGCCGGAGUUUUUGCUGUCAGUUUGCCCGGUAUAAAAACUAGCUUGAGGAUUUCUCAAAUGAAAUGGUUACAAAUUGAAAAAGGGCCGAGGUGCUAUUUGAAAAUAUUCUGCAGUUGAGGGGGGAUCGAUUUGCGCUUUUACCGAGCAAAAACAAGCAGCUGCAGGGAGGGAGGAGGGAAGAGGGAGAUGAAUGAGACGAGCGCAACAGCAAGCGAUCCCCACGCGUGCGCGCAGGAGCGAGAGGGGGUGGUGGGGGGGAGAAGGGAGAGGAAGGAGACGGAGACCAGCGCAUCGGCAAGCAAUUCUAGGCAACUGUCGACAGCAAGUCCCUACGUGUUGCCGAAGAUCUCCCCUUAGGAUCUCCCCGUCGACUAUGCUGGAUUCCUCGUCGUCGUCGUCUUCGGCUUCUCUGGUGUCAUGUUCCGAAUAUGUGAAUAUCUUCGCUCUAGAUCUCUCUCAGAUCCGAAAAUAUCAGUGAUUCAUCAAUUAAGAUAAUGGAUGCCUUAGUGUUUUGUAUGUCUUGUGAUUUUAUUUGUGUCAUGCCCCAAGGCCCUUUCAGAAGCCUUUUUUUAAUAAAAAGGUAAAAAUUGAAAAACAGUCCAAGGGGAAAAAUGCUUUUUUUUUUUUUUUUUUUGGAAACACCUUGCCCACAAGACGGAUAGAUCUGCCACAAAUACUAGAAUUUCUCGAGUAUUUUUUGUAUUUGCAUGGCGUAUCAACUUGCUGCGUACGACAGCCAACAAUCUACACUCACAAAGAUCUAAUUAAAUGAUGUAAACUGCCCAUCCGCCAAACAUAGAAAUUUAUUUAUUAUUUGGAAGUGUUUCUCAUAUGAAAAUUUUAUUUUAAAACUAGGGAUUUACGAAAAAGUUGAAAAUCUUUUAAAAAUUAUUUCUCACAUGAAAUUUUAACCUUUUUGAAAAAUGACUAUCACGAAGGAUAGAAAACUUUUCUGCUAUAAAUUCACAAUACAAAAAUCAACAACUUAAUUAGAGCUAGGCUGGAAUACUAUCAAUAGUGGUGCUAUUAGUUUUUUAGUCCUUGGAUUGAGAAAUAUGUAGUUAUGAUGAUGUGGGACCCCUAGGGUUGAGUGGGUGGUUGGUUAAAUAGUAUAAUCUAACGGAUAAAAAUAAUCAAAGGGGUUAAUCUAACGGCAGAAAAUUUGAUAGCACAAAGUACUUGGUGCUAUCUAUAAUAUAGCAGCCGAACUUAUUUAAUUAAUCCAAAGAAAAAUAAACUUAACUGAACAAUUUCAAUAUAGAACUUAUUUAACGAAUUACCAUAAAUGGGUACAGAAAGAGAUAAUUAGAAUCAAUCAAUGGAUAUGCACGUGACCACCAGAGCUCACUAGCUACACUGCACCUCACGCAUCAUUCUGACCCUCACCGCUUAUGUCACCUGUAAAAAUAGGAGGUGAGAAACUAACAUGAGCUUUCCCAGUGGGUAUCGCAAGCCAAUGAGGACAAGUUAUACUCAUCGAAAAAUGAGAGAGUAAUCGAUUGUAGUGAAGAGGUACAACAAAUACAAUAACAAUAAUGAGUUGAAAGAUAAUAAUCAAGUGUAAAUAGAAAUACGAUUAACCGCUACUGAAAUGUAAAACAAAAUGCAAAUAUGCAUCAACUGGAUGGAUAGUUGAAAAAUGCCUUAUCAACCUAUCAUGUUGGUCUAAAGAUCUUAGGCAAUGUCAUAUCGCGCUCAACCACCUAGUAUAUAACCCUAGCAAAGUAACCGCAUUGGGCUCAUGGGUCAGAAGUAUAUACCAAACGACGGGGCGUAAUAAUGUCAUAGUGCAGAUUUUGUACAUUAUAAAGUCCAAUUUCGGCAUUAAAAUUCUCUACAUGCAAGUUUAAGGAGUUCUAACUUAGGAAGGCAGCAUCUCACGGUAGAAUUGAGGUUUCCAAUCUAAAAUUUGACAAAAGGUAGAUCAUCCUACCUUUCUAUCAGCUGGAAGUGAAGUCCCCCCCCAAGUUUCUUAGCUUCAAUACAGGUGGAGAAGUCGAAGUAAUCACAGCUCCAAACAAGAAACUUGCUGGAAAAGGAAUUGGAUUCAAAAAUUCAUUGGAAACCCAAUUUGGGUCCGAGAACUUGUUAUAUUUGGUUUAGAUUUGUAGUUAUCUAAAUUGGAGUUAAAUCCUAAUCUAAUUAGGAUUAUAUAUAAUUUAGAUUUAAUUUGGCAUAUAUGGAUUAUGAGUCGGAAUCUAAUUUCUAAUUGAAUUAGGAUUAGACUCUACUUAGGAGACAUGUAUUAUAAAUACAUGCUACGGCCAAAUUAAUUGCCGCGACUCAAAUUAAGAGAGCCAUGCAAAAUUAAUUAAGUUAUUGGUGGCCUGCCGUGCUCUAAUUAGAGGCAAACUCUAAUGACGCCGCAUCUAUGCUAAUUCUGUACGGUGGCAGCAACAUGAGCCGAGGGAGUUGGAGCUCUAAUUAGUUGAGUAUCUGAGAAGGAGCCGCACAUGCCAUGCUAAUUAAUUAAGGUGUUGUUCCGUACGGUUUGAGGCGCCGGUGACUAAUCAGAGGCCAUGCACUAAUUAGUGCUAAUUUGGAAUCCGUACAGAUUGGGUUGAGAGAAGCUCUUUUUCGGAGUUGCUUGUUGCGGCGUUUCGGAUCUAAUUAAGUUUUGGUCUUUUGAGAGAUCUUCUUUGUACUCCGCCUUUUCGACAUUAAUAAAUUAUUUGCUCCGUCUUCGCCCGUGGACGUAGGCCGUUGGCCGAACCACGUAAAUAUCGGUGUGUUCUUUCCGCUUAUCUUUUCUUUUCUUGCAUUAAAUUAUUUUCUGGAUCUAUUUUUCGCCGUUCCGAUUUUAACAGAACUCAAAUUAACUAAUAAUCUCAGUUUACUAACUUGUAAUUUAGGUAGAUGUAGCUCCAAAAUCACCAGAAGUGAAUAAAAAACUAACAAGAAUCCAGCAAAUCCUCAGCUAGAAAGAAUCAGAUCGAGAAAAACCAUCAAAUCCCAAUAGCACUCCAAAUCAGCACAAUUCUCAAAUUUGCUCCAAUUUAGAGCUAUUUACCUGGAAACGAGAUGCUAGGAUUGCUCCACAAUCUCUUCGUUUUCUACUACAAUCACGAAUCAACACCUCAGCAGCAAUUGGAAGCCUCAAAACAGCCCAAGAUUCUAAACUGUUGCAGCUGCUGUUGCUGUUCUUGCUGUCUUGCUGCACUCGCAGGGAAGAGGGAGGAGGAAGGAAGAAAAUUGAAGGAGAAUUGAUAGAGAAUUGGAGUUCACAGUGGAAGGGAAAUGUAAAAGGGUCACUUGGGGUCGCAGGAGUUACUUUAUAGAAGAAAUGAUUGGAUAAAAUGAGCCCACGGAUCAAAAGUUUCUUAAACUAUAGGAAUUUAAAUGAAGAGAUUUAAUUCCUAUAGUUACUUUAAAUUAUAGGAAUUUAAAAGUUUAUUGAACAUAUUAAAUACAUUGAAUUAAAAUAUUUACCAACAUUACAAAAUUUUUAAAUAGUAAUGCAAAUUAAAUUCUUCUAACUUAAAUUUAAUAUUUUAAUUUUAAUUAUUUAAUAUUUUAAUAUUUAAAUUCAACGUAUUUAGAAAUAGAACUAUUUAUAAAGUUUCUAUAAUUUAAAUUAAUGCCUAAAUUUGAGAAACACUGAAAUUUCUAAAAUAAUUGCCCAAAUUAAUGCCUAUAUUAAUGUCUCAAUUUGGGUAAUAAAUAAAUUCCCAAAAUUAGUGUAAAUUAAUACGUAAAUUCAGGAUAUAAAUUAGAACUUUUUUUAAAUAUUGUUGUAUAGUUUAAUCACAAAAAUAGCCUCAAUGAAGCAACCCUUUUACCAGCUAAAUGUUAAAAUUAAAUCUUUAUCGUCCAUUGAUCAACAGUUAAGAUUUUUUUUUUUAUUUUUUAUACAAUAAAGUACCGAAUCAUUUCUCUUAAGAUAUUGAUGAACUUGUAAAUACUUGGAUGUCUUGAGACUCUGAAUCUUUGUACCUCCUUUUAGGAGAAUAACAAUGCUGAAAUAUCAUCAAAUAUGGGACUACAUGUAGUAUCCCUCCAAUUAUUCCAAGUUGCUGCUGGUGUUGGUGAUUAGCUCUCUCUGCUCAUUUGAAUUCCAUUUACUUCUUUUCUGCAAUUGUGCGCGCGGCAUGUAUCAUGUAUGACAGCACAUGUUGUUCUUUAUAAUUUGGAACGUUUGAUUGUCGAAACUUUUCUUAUUCGUGAUAACAUGCCUCAACUUGGGCUUCUGCACUAGAAUAGCUCUUCGAUGUUGCAAGGUAAUAAGAUAGUGGAGCUAGCUAUUGAUGUAUCUAAUGUUGUUCUACUUGAAUAAGCGACCCGCUAUCUCGAACUCCCAUCUUUUGAAUCGAAUUUUUGAUUCCGAGAAGAGGUGCCUCUGCGUGUGUUUCACAUGGUGUUUCAUUGCAUUAUCUUAUGCUUGCACAUAAUAAUGAGCAAAAUAUAAUAGCGAGAAGCUACACAUGUUCGAUGCGAAUGACUACAUUAUUUCCUAUAGUAUCCACUACAAAGGACAGCAAUUACUGGUGUUAGUACAAUCUAAAGUGUAUGGUUACUAUACAAUUCUAAUAUCUGCAUCAGAUGAUUGUAGAUUUUGUCUUUGGUCCUUGAUCUUUAUAGAAACUUGUCAUGCUAGGAACUUCUUGGUUCUCAGUGAGCAAGCAAGCCCUUGAUCACAUUAUGGUUGGGAUAAGGCUAUAAUUUAACAUUCGAAAUUGGCUUCUAAGCUAAGCUUUCAAUAAGUAAAGUGAUUUCCAAUAUUACAUCAAAAUUUGGUAUCUAGUGAAAUAACACAAAUUCGGUGGAUCAAAUUUUGAAUGUAGUAUUAGCUUCUAAAUUGCCAAUAAGCAGUAGUCAGACCAAAGCUUACUUGGAAAUGUAGAAGUAUCGAGCUGAACAAUACGGUUUUGCUGGAUCGAACUGUUAGCAAUAUACCCUAAAGCCAAUCGGUGACAUAGGCUUAUGGACAUAUUAAGUAUUUUUCUUAAUUAAUAAAGGGCAAAUUUUAUUCAUAUUUAUUAUUAGUAGUACAAUACAUUUAUAUGAAUCGUCCGUUGAAUCUUCGUUAAGAAAAUAUAUUCCUAAGAGUUAGGAAUUUGAGAUAUAUAUUUUUUUGUACAAAAUUCUUAAAUGCUCUUAGCCAUAGGAAUAUCAUAAGGACGAUGAUAUUUUCGGAUAGGGGGGUGCAUGCUACACCUCUAUGUUGAGAUGAUGAAUCUCAAGUUAUUAGUGUAGGGACACUAAAGUAAGCAUGCAGGUGCUUGUUAGCGAACAAGUAUACUGAGCGUGACUAUUUAGUUGAACAGUCACAUGGUUCCAUAUUCGCCAGUGACUAGUUCUUUGCUACAGUCGUGUGAAGUACUCCUCGGACCUGAGGCAUCAUGGUUGCUUCACAUAUAGAUUGCUACAGUUUGGCUGCACUAAUACUUAGACUCUAAUCAUUGGUCUACGUCUGGUACUGAUUGGCUGUAGUAGUUUAUAUGGGGAGGCAUGUGAGUGCGCAAUAAGGAAUUCAAUACUCUCGAUUUUGAGAGAGAGAACGCCCUAUGUAGGUUAUCAGACUCGAUUCGGAAAAUCCCUAGCCAAGGUACGUGGUGUGUGGAAAGAGUUUCCAGCUGUGUUACCAUAUUGAGUCGGUUUUAGAUAUUCUAGUCAUACGAUCAAAUAAUAAGAUUUGGCGAGUAACCAUAAUUUUAGUUCGAUCGGGGCGUUGUGUGUUGCAAGGAAUUAAUCACACGGUAACUGUUAGCAGGAAGGUUCGUUUUUCAUCAUCAUUCUGGAUUGCCGUGAUAUACUUCUAGGUGUCGCUCACGGAUAGUGAGAGAAGUAAAAAUAAUUUAAAAUAAAUUAUUUUCUAGAUUAGAAGAGUUCUAAUUCAAUAUUGACGGCUUCAUUAGUAAAUGACACACCAAAAUUAAUGUGAAGGAGAUUCACAUUAUUCUUUUCUCUCAAUCUUUCGUCAAGUUCACAUUAUUUCAUUAAAAGAGAAAGUAGAUAUCAGAAGACUGCUAGCACCGUCUUCGUAAUCUACAACUCAUCUGUUCCGUGCGACGGAAGACAUUGGAUCUGCAUUAAUUCCGUGUGGAUACGCGUAGAGGCUGGGCACGUGCGCGGCUAAUCGGAAUCUCAGUUUCAACCGUACAGUAGAUCAACAGACCUUAACUGGUCCGAGGUGAUGUCGCCUGAACUUCAAAUAUGUUUAGGUUAGAUUAUUAUUUUACACUGUAACAUGAGAAUGAUCCACUGGCACUGGAGUGAUUUGUUUUUGAUUUGGUUCAUAUGUGAUAUGGAUUUUUGUUUUGGAAAAAUUUCUAAAGGUACAAUAUUUUUUCCGCUGCGAUUUGUAUUUUAUUUUUGUGCCGAAUAAAUUCUUACAGUGGUAUCAGAGCCGAUUCUCAUGUUCUAUGUAAAAUAUUAACGAUUUGUACGGUUUGAUUAAAAUUUUGGAACUUUUUUGAUUAGAUCGAUAUUGUUUUUCUUAAAUUGCACAUACUGCGAUUUAUUGGUUUCACACUAUAAAAUAAAUACGUGGAGACUUAAGAAAAACAUAUUAUUGAGUUCCAAAAUUUUUAAUCGAUGUUUAGAUCGAUUUGGUUAUUAUAUUCUGCAUACUUUUUUAGAUGGGUGAUGAUCAUGAACCUUAGACAUCUGUGAUUUGAUUAUGGAUGUAUCUGUGAUUUGAUUAUGAAUGUAUGUGUGAUGUUGUAAUUUUGUGUUUAUGGUGUAUUUUGUAAGAUUAAAAAGGGCCUGCGUGCCAUCUUUAUUUUAAUUGGGAUCUGCGAAUCCCUGUAAUUUUGAUUAGAUGAAAUAAGGGUUAUUUGGAGAAGAGUGCACAUCAAGCGUUGAUGGAUUGGCGUCGGCAUCAAAGGAUGUAUCAGAUCCAACAGAAGAAGAUGGCUAAAUAUUUGCAAGCGAAAUAAUCUCAAGAGUUGAGAAUAUGUGUGUAUCACCCUAUAGACCGAUUUGACUCAUCGGCUCGAGUCGAAUCAGAAAAGUCCAUGAUCAUCCCUAAACUAUGCAAUUAAUUUUUGUGUUUGUGAUAACUGUGAUUUAUUUUAUAUGAGAUAUAACAUGUGAUGAUGAGACCGAUAUAAUUUUAAAGUUUUUAAACUCCCUACAAAAUAUUAAGUUGAAACGAAGGGGCAUUUGAUGCUCUAUCGUGGCCUUCCACCGAUCACAAGAUGUAGCAUUGUUUCAACAUUGAGUAGUCACGCAUGGUCCCAUGGGGCUACUUGUGUUUGAACUAUGCGAACAUCUUGCCAUAGGAUGCUACAAUAUGGCAUUAUCAAUGGAUCCAAGAAACCGUCCGAUGAGGGUCUUUUGAUAAUUCCAUAUUUGUAGGAGAGGAGGAUUAGAUUUAACUAAGGUUGUUGCGCCAAGGAACCGUCUGGUGAGGCGUAAAAUCCUUAGAGGCCGAAGGACGAUUGGAUUGCACAUAAGAUGUGUCGAGGUAAGAUGUUACCCGUUCAUUAAAUUGCGGCUUUCCAAGAAACUGUCCGGUGAGGUAAGUCGUAAUUUAUGAAACCCCAAUCACCACUAAGAAAUCUAAUGGAUGAGGAUUUUCGUCUUUCUACUUAGGGAGUGUAAAAAUUCGAUAAAAUUAGUGGGAGGAGCCUUUUAAACUAAAAGACCCUAGUUUAAUAGGUUAAAAAGAAAAAUACUUAUCUAACUAAAAUCUCUACUUUCUGCAGACAAAAUGAAUGCCUCUAACCCUCUUUCUCGCAUAAUGGAAUAUAACCGAUUAACCGGCCCUAAUUACCAAGACUGGCUUCGUAACCUAAAAAUUGUUUUAGGUAUUGAAAAGCUUGAUUAUGUUCUUCAAGCUCCAAUUCCCGAGCUUAUCGCUGAAGCCACACUUGAAGAAAUUGAGGAGAGAGACAAGUGGGUUGAUGAUGACCAGCGUGUCAAAUAUUACAUGCUGGCCUCUAUGUCGAAUGAGCUGCAACAGUAGCAUGAGAACUAUGUUCGAGCAUAUGAGAUGCUUGCGCACUUACAAGAGUUGUAUGGUGCACAAAGCUGAACCGCAAGAUAUGAGAUAUCAAAGCGAUUGUUUAGGGCUCAGAUGACUCCAGGCACGUCAGUCAGUGAACAUUGUCUUAAAAUGAUUAACGAUAUUUCCAAGAUAUGAGAUAUCAAAGAGACAAGUUUCCGCUGCCUAUUAUUUCCAACAGUCUUAAAAUGACUAACGAUAUGGAGCAGCUGAUAAACCUCGGCUUGAACUUGGACACAGACUUGCAGAUCGAUCUAGUUCUACAGUCUUUGCCAGAAUCGUUCUCUCAUUUCGUUAUGAACUUCAACAUGAAUAAGAUUCAUGCCACUUUGUCCGAGCUUAUGAAUAUGCUAGUCAUAGCGGAAAGCACGUUGAAAACAAACGGGAUGGCGAUGGCGGUUGAGAGAACUUCAAAAGGAAAGUUCAAAGGAAAGAAAAAGUUUUCCAAGCUCAAGUCAUCGAGAGGAGUGAAGAAAGUCAAUUUUAAGAAAUCCGACAAAGGCAAGGCUAAAGGAAAAUGUUUCCAUUGCGGAAAAGAAGGGCAUUGGAAGAGAAAUUGUAAAGAAUAUCUUUCUACCCUAAAAGAAAAGUUGAAAAGGGGCCUUCUGAAGGUACGAACCAAAUGCUAGUCGUUGAGGCCAAUAUGAUUGGCUCUACUUCUUCUUGGGUAUUAGAUUCUGCAUGUACCUUACAUCUUUGUAAUUCAUUGCAGGAUCUAAAGGGAAGUAGAACACUGAAGGACGGCAAGGUGACCCUACGUGUAAGAUAUCGAAUCCUCGUAUUAAUAAUCCACUUUUGGUCAAAGUGACCAAAGUGUGGCGAGGGGAAUGCUUGGACAUAUUCCAUUUGACAUUCCAAGGAUGUUGGAAGGGUCAAAGUUGAGUUCUAAUAGAGUUAAUUGAGUUUUAGCAUUUCUCGGCGCAAAACAGAAGUCGAACAAAUGCUAAACUGCAGUCUGGGCACUUGGUACCGGUACAACAUUAGGGUGGUACCAGUACCAUGUAUUAAACCGAGAGUAGUAGCUCUCGGGUUGGCCUCUGCGUAGUCGUGUAACCAGUGACAGAAAUCCCUGGUACCGGUACCAACAGUAGAAAACUGCGGAGUGCAAUUUGUUACAAAUGGCAAUUAUUUGAGGGGCUUUUAUGUAAUUGUUACAGCUUAUAAAAGGGUCCCAACUCCCUCUCAUCUGUUCUCAGCCAGAGAACAUUUCCUCAUCCCUUUUUCUUUCUCUUUCUCUCUCUAGAAGCUCUCCAAAGGGUUGGAGCUUGAGGAGGGUUCGGUGGAGAUCGAAGCUUAACGUAGGAUUUCGUCUUCUACAUCUUCUUCCUCGGCUUGAAGAGGCUUGUAGAGAGGUAAGCUUUUAAAGCUUUAAUGGUAGAUUUCUAGGAUUGAUGUUUUAUGCUCUAGAAAUGGUUUUAGUAGAGUUCUUGGAUGCUAGAUAGAUGUAUAUUACUUGAAUCAAGAAGUUUUAUGGUCGAUUCUUGCAAGAUUUAAUAUCUAGGGUUCAGAAAUGGGUUUUUGAAAAAUAGAGAUCGAAAGUUGGGAUUGAUCUCUUUAGUACCUAUUUGCUAGGUUUCCUGACGCGCUGGUGAAGACGGUUCGGCGAUCCGUUGAGCCUGCGCAAAGAUAUUGCCGAAAAGGGCGUUUCAGCUUCGUUUCCGCUUAGAGGGCCGUGGCGGCGACGGAAAAUCACGAAAUUCGAAUCCUCGCGUCUUGACAUCACCAGAAGGUGGGGGGUGUCAUCCCGAAGCAGUUGGGCUUCCUUUUAUGUCUAAGUCGUUUUAUCGAUCAUAUUUUCAUAGGUUGCAUUAUAGCAUUAUGGGAUGUAGUAUAGUUACAUUUCUAUUUUCCUUGCAUGUUCCUUAGUAGUGUAGCGUUGUGAGCUUGACACAAGAAUCUAGGGUGCAUGAGAAUUAGAUUUGGUAACAUGGAAUCCUAUAGUGAUAAGAUAAGUGGCAACUUGAAUUUGAAAUGACGAUAAUAGUUGACGUUGAACUAGUGUAGUAGAAACACUACAACAUGAACAAGUGGCAUAUAAACUAGUUGAAACACUUACAAUAAUGAUUUGAACGAGUGGCAUCGAAUCUAGUAUAGCAACACAUUAUGACAUAUGACAUGAUUCUAGGGAUAGUAGAGUUCCCGAUUAUUGGAUUAUGCAUUGGAAUCAGUGCGGUAAAGGCACUAUGACCCUUAUAGAUAGGGUAUCCUCAAGUUGUGAGGAUUAGACCAUACUCACUAGUCUGUUUACACUUGGCGUGGUCGCUCAACCCAAGUAGUGGUCUCUGGAGUACUUCACGACAGGGGCAGACAUAGUUGUCCCGCAGACGGUCUCGGUAUGCGAGUGCAGUUUCUCCUCACCUAUGAGAUUGAAAGAGUGAGUCAGGGCAAACCUUCGGGUUAGCCAAGUUGAUUGAGUAUUGAACAUGAAGAGCAUAGUAGAUUUGCAUUCAUAUCAGGAGUAGACAUAGUGUAUGUUAGUAGAUUGCAUAACUAUGUUUGUAUUUUAUUCAUGACACUUCAUGCAUUGUUUCGCAUUUGAAGGCAUAGUAGAAUAUAGCAGUUCAUUUCUAUCUAUCUAUCUAUCUAUCUGCUUAUGCUUGCUUAGACCUAGUGGGAAGAUCGGCAGAGUCGGCGGCCAAACCCACUGGGAACUAUAUUUAUAUAGUUCUCACCCCACUUUGUUGCAUGACCGAGUUCGAGUGGACCGAGCGAGGACCGCGGUAAGGGCAUAGCGCCCUAGUAGCUAGCGGCUUUUCCUUUUGCAUUAGAGUUUUCCAUGUAUAUAGAUAUCUUGAUAUGUAUAUAUUGGAGAGCUACUUAUGUUUAUAGAUGUUGAACUUGUAUUACAUUUUAGAGAUGUGAAUGUAUUAUGUACAGGUUGUAUGAAAAUGUAUUAGCUAGAUGUUUCUCUUUUAUUCACUUGUUUAUCUACUUGUGAUUCUUGCUCUCGCUUGUUUAGCACUUGUGUGCUUCAUGUAUAUUGUUUAGGUUUACCUGGGCAACUUGAUGUACAUGACUCUGUUGUUAGCCUUGGGCGGACAGGGAAGGUCCUGUCCGUUCGGCGUCUGUUCACGUGCCCGAACCGACCAAAUUGGCAGUCGCGGGGCGCGACACUACGUGUGGGUAAUGGAGCAAGCAUUGCUGUGUUAGUCGUAGGGAGCUGUUCUUUGAGACUUCCAUCUAAACAUAUUUUAGAAUUAGAGAAUUGUUAUUAUUCUUCUUUAGUUGUUAGGAAUUCGAUUUCUGUUACAACUUUAGUUCGAACUGGUUAUCGUUUUAUUUUUGAAACUAAUGGCUGUUUUAUUUAUUUCCAAAAUAAAUUGAUAGCUACUGGUAGUUUAGUUAACAAUCUCUACUUUCUAAAUCUGGAUGGAAAUGUUGCUAAUAUUGGACAUAAAGAGAAUAAUUCUCAAAUGAAGAGACCUAGAGAUAAUAGUCUGAACCAAAAGUAUCUAUGGCACCUUCGACUAGGUCAUAUUGCAGAGGAUAGGAUAAACCGACUGGCCAAGGAUAGACACUUGGGAACUUGUGCUUUAGAAUCUUAUCCAGUUUGUGAGUCUUGUUGUAAUACACUGAACUUUCGCAAAUUGCAGAGUUCGAGUGUGUGGAUUGAAAUGUGGAACUAUCCUAUAUAUUCUAAAUGACUUGGACAAGUUUUUGAACAAGUUAGAGAGUGAUUGGAGGGUUAAAAGCAAGAAAGUGCGCUGAUCUGGCGAAAUCAGCAGUUUUCUGCUUGGUGUACCGGUACAGCCAUCAUGGUGUACCGGUACACAAUGGUAAAACGUGGCAGCAAGGUUAUAUUGGUAAUUCCAUAUCUUGAUCCUAUCUAUUUGAAUCCAGCACGACCUCUGGAGCUCCAUAGAUAAUGCUAGAGCUCAGAGAAAGGCCCUUGCACCAUUUUCUCUCUCUCUCUCUAGGGUUUUUCUCUCUCUACAAAGAAAUCGCCGAUUUUGCUCGUUUUCGUCGCAACGUUGGUUUUCCGCUGGUUGCCAGCGUCGCUGAGCCUACGUGGACGUGUGAGGGAGUAUUUUGGAGAGCUUUUCACAGCUCUGGACCAGUAGAGUACUGGUUGGAUGUUCGAUAAGGUAACCGACUCAACUUUUCUGUUAUCAACGUUCUAUUCGUCAGAUUGAGUAUUGAUUUCGGGCUUUUUUUUGCUUCCAACUGUUUAACUGUUUUAAACUGAGGUUUCAGCAAGUAAAUAUGAGUGAAUUAGCUGUGAAUGAACCUCCUUAGAUCAGGGAUAAGCUACUUUGAAGCUUAUUAGAGAUGUUUAGCUGUUUAUGAAGCUAUUUUGAACCUAUACGCGGGUUAGUUGAUCAAAUUGAUGUAGUUUGAGCUUUUCUCUUCGCAGCAGGUUUGCGAACUAAAUUAAGCUAGUUUGGUGACCUGGGGAUCUAGUUUGGAAGGUGUUCUAACCAAGGGUAAGCAGGAAUUUCAGCUAGAAAUUUAAUCUCGCAAGACUUCGACUAUUAUAGCUUAUAAUCGACUUUAUUGAUGCCGUUUCGGUAUUGUUCGUAGCGAGAGGGUAAUUGACCCUUGGACCGCCUUCGACUGGCAUUGGAGGGCCUUUUGGAAGCUUAACUUGAGGUAUUACACUAGCCCAAAAUAGGGAUUUAAGGGGUUACUUUGUACUAAGUGCAAAUUAGGCCGAAAUCGGACAUUUCGGUCGUCUUUUUGACACGGUGUUGAUGUUUGUUUUCAGCAGGAUUGGAGCCUUGGUGAGCUGAUUAGUGGGACUUCUUGUGACUAUUUGGAGGAGCCUAGUACUAGGUGGGUUCGACCUAACCAGAGCAAGUGAAGCUCCCCUAUGUUCUAUAUGUAACUAUAGAAUUGGUUUAGUAGCGCAUUUUUAUGAUUAUGCGAUUAAUAAAGGGUUUGAUAUAUUUAUCAUCACAACAUUUGAUAUAAUUGAAAUAGAACCUCUAUGAAGUAGAGUGGAUACACACAUGCAUAAAGUAUUUAUGUUCAUGUUUAAUUCAGUUGAAUGACAUUCUAGUACAAGUUACUAUGUUCCUAGAAAGUAGAGAACAAUGACAUGCUUGUAACUUUAUUGAUUAUAUAGUCGAGAACGAGAACAUGUUUUAUGACUAUGAAAGUUUCGAAUGUCAUAUGUAAAUUAGCAUUACUCUCACAUGUUUAUUAAUCUAGUGGAUACUAGUUGUGGUCAAUAUUGGUUAUAUUGGAAUUCCGAUCAAAGAAUCGAGAGCGAGAAUAUUGUGAGCUAAAUUGUGAUAGUUGAGACAUGUUGGGCUGUGGACUUUGCUUGCUUGCCAUCGUGCUCAUUCGCACACGCUUGUGAGGGUAGCUCCCUACAAGCCGGCACUCCGGAGUUGGCCUACGCGACAGUUGCUCGCCCGUGCGGGAUUGGGUGCCGAAGUGGAUUGCCGUGGGGAGUGUACACUACCACGGGGCCAUUAGGCGCGGCGCAAGCUGGACUACCUUGAGCAGGUCCCUGUGAAUGAAAGGAAAGUGCUAAUGGAAAUUGGAUAGUAAUGAAUGAUUACCAGUUACAGUGUACAGUAGUGACUUACACAUUUUAUGCUUAUGUUCAUGUUAUCUUUAUGCUUACCGUAGUUGCUAAGCUUUAUGUAACCAGUUAAUUCAUUACUGUAGAAAGUAUCAUUACAUGUUGCUUACAUGUUUAUUACUUGUUAGCAUUGGAAAUAUAUCAUGCAAAUUACCGCUUUUAUUUUCAUUUAGUACAUCAUGAGCCUAGUGGUGUAAUUCGCCGAGGCUGGCGGCUUACCCACUGGAAACUAUUGUUAAUAGUUCUCACGCCCUUUUUGGUGGUUGUUUUUACAGAGCUUGUUACAGGAGAGGCUAGGGAUCGUGGCAAGGGAGUCGCGUCUAGCUAGACUUUGCUAGGAGCAUGCUAGUCGAUCACCUUGGUACUCGGGCUAUGGCCGACGGUGAUGUCCCUAUGUAUAGAGAGACUACCAUUGUAUCUACUUUUUGUAUACCCGUGAUGUAUAUUUACUAUUUGGACCGAGAACUACAGUUGUGAUACUUCUCUUUUGUCGAGAUUUUGGAUUGUAUAGUUGUUGUUCUUUUGCUUUUAGUAUAUCGACUUGUACUUUGCUCUGAUAUCAGGAUAGGAUUUUCUAUGUUCUACUUCCUAUCGAUUGCUUCUUUGUAGACGCCUUAUAUACUGCAGGUGUACGGCGGGUCUGUGCACGUACCGGAUAUGCUUCCGCUGGUACCCGGGCGUGACAUUUGUCUUCAAGGCAAAAUGGCCAAGUCACCCUUUGUUGGACAAAGAGAGCGAGCCACAGAGUUACUUGCCAUUGUGCACUCAGACGUGUGUUGACCAUUUAGUGAAACGGCUUGAGGUGGUUAUCUCUACUUUGUGACUUUUACCGAUGAUUAUUCACGGUAUGGGUCUGUGUUUCUUAUGAAACACAAGUCUGAAACCUUUGAAAAGUUCAAAGAGUUCAUAUAUGAAGUAGAGAAGCAGACAGGAAAAAGUAUUAAGGCUCUUCAAUCAGAUCGAGGAGGCAAAUACCUUAGUGCAGAAUUUCUAAAUUAUCUCAAAGAAAACGGUAUUCUCUCGCAAUGGACACCUCCUGGAACCCCGGAAUUGAAUGGAGUUUCAGAAAGAAGGAAUUGUACUUUAUUAGAUAUGGUACGAUCGAUGAUGAGCUUCACACACUUACCUUUAUUUCUUUGGGGUUAUGCUCUAUUAACCGCAGCUUACAUUCUAAACAGAGUGCCUUCAAAAUCUGUUCCUUGUACUCCGCAUGAGAUGUGGUUUGACAAAAAAACCGGGUCUCAAUCAUUUAAGGAUUUAGGGAUGCCUAGUUUUUGUUAAAAAACUUAAAACAGAUAAAUUGGAGGCUAGGUUGGAUAAAGGAAGAUUUAUUGGUUAUCCCAAGGAGUCUAUGGGAUACUAUUUUUAUCUUCAAAAUGAACAAAACGUGAUUGUUAGCCGACAUGCAAUAUUUUUGGAAAAAGAGUUUGUCCAAGAAGGUGGUGCCGGAAAGGAGAUAGUGCUCAAAGAGAUGGUCUCAAAUGAGCAAACAAUUUCUCUAGAACAAUCUGAACAAGCUAUUCAAACUGAACCCACUAUUACACAAUUACCUCGAAGAUCUAGUAGAAUAUCCCAACCUCCAGAGAAAUAUCGAGAUUUCGUUAUGGAAUGCACAAAGGAAAUGUUCCUCAUUGGCGAUAGUGAUCGCAAGGAUGAUCCUACCAAUUACGAAGAGGCGAUGUCAGACAUCGACUCAAUAAAAUAGCAAGAAGCUAUGAAGUCCGAGAUGGACUCAAAUGUAUACCAAUCACAUAUGGACUCUUGUUGAUCCACCGAAGGUAUAGUACCUGUUGGUUGUAAAUGGAUUUUCAAGAAAAAUAUUGGUGUGGAUGGAAAAGUAGAGACAUACAAGGCGAGACUUGUAGCAAAAGGCUACAGUCAACGAGAAGGUCUCAACUAUAAAGAAACGUUCUCUCCUGUGGUCAUGCUUAAAUCCAUUUGAACGUUACUUGCCAUAGCCGCAUACUAUGACUAUGAGAUAUGGCAAAUGGACGUAAAAACUGCUUUCCUCAAUGGAUUCAUAAAGGAGGACAUAUAUAUGCAGCAGUCUGAGGGAUUUGUGUCUGAUAGCCAGAAACAUAAAGUAUGCAAGCUUCAGAGGUCCAUUUAUGGAUUGAAGUAGGCUUCGAGGAGUUUGAACACAUGGUUCAAUGAUGCAGUCAAAACGUUUGGCUUCGUGAGAAAUCAAGAUAAACCUUGUGUUUACAAGAAGACUAGUGGGAGCCAGCUUGUCUUUCUUGUAUUGUACGUGGACGACAUUCUUUUGAUUGGAAAUGAUGCAGGUUUGAUGACCUCUGUCAAGGUUUGGUUGUCUCAAAAUUUCUUAAUGAAAGAUCUAGAAGAGGCAGCCUAUAUUCUCGGAAUUAAGAUCUAUAGAGAUAGAUCUAAGAGGUUAAUCGGUUUGUCACAGCAGAUGUACAUAGAAGAUGUGUUGAAAAGGUUCAACAUGGAAAGUUCCAAAAGGGGUCUUCUUCCUCUUAGACAUGGAAUUAAUCUUUCCAAGAUGAUGUGUCCUAAAACACCUGAGGAAAGAGAGCAUAUGAGCAAAAUUCCCUAUGCUUCCGCAAUAGGAAGUCUCAUGUACGCUAUGCUAUAUACAAGACCAGAUAUCGCACAUGCCGUAAGUGUUACGAGCAGAUAUUAGUCCAAUCCAGGUGAAGAACACUGGACUGCUGUGGAGAAUAUCCUUAAGUACUUGAGAAGAACUAAAAAUUUGUGUUUAGUGUAUGGUGGAAAUGAGCUAACGUUAGAAGGCUUCACAGAUUCAGGCUUCAUGUCGGAUGUUGAUGAUAGAAAGUCAAUAUCAAGGCAUGUCUUCAUAUUGAAUGGUGGGGCUAUCAUUUGGAAGAGUUCCAAACAGAAUACAAUAGCAGAUUCCACCACUGAGGCAGAGUACAUUGCAGCAUCUGAGGCAUCAAAGGAGGCAGUUUGGCUUCGAAAGUUCUACGGAACUAGGAAUGGUGCCCUCUAUUGAAGAGCCAAUGCCACUUUACUGUGACAAUAAUGGAGCUAUAGCGCAAGCUAAAGAACCGAGGUCUCACCAGAAGUCCAAGCAUAUAGAUCGACGCUACCACAUCAUCCGACAAUUUAUAGAUGAGCGUCAGAUUGUUGUGUAGAAAGUAGCAUCCGUAGACAAUAUAGCGGAUCCCCUUACUAAGCCGCUCACACUUCGAAAGCUGGAUGUGCAUUUAGAAAGAAUGGGUAUGAGAUACAUGAGCGAUUGGCAUUAGUGUUAGUGGGAGAUUGUUAGUGAUAAACCCUAAAGCCAAUCGGUGACAUAGGCUUGUGGACAUAUUAAGUAUUUUUCUUAAUUAAUAAAGGGCAAGUUUUAUUCAUAUUUAUUGUUAGCAGUACAAUACAUUUAUAUGAAUCGUCCGUUAAAUCUUCGUUAAGAAAAUAUAUUCCUAAGAGUUAGGAAUUUGAGAUAUAUAUUUCUUUGUACAAGAUUCUUAAAUGCUCCUAGCCAUAGGAAUAUCAUAAGGACGAUGAUAUUUCCGGAUAGGCCGGUGCAUGCUACACUUUUAUGUUGAGGUGACGAAUCUCAAGUCAUUAGUGUAGGGACACUAAAGUAAGCAUGUAGGUGCUUGUUAGUGAACAAGUACACCGAGCAUGACCAUUUAGUUGAAUAGUCACAUGGUUCCAUAUUCGCCAUUGACUAGUUCUUUGCUACAGUUGUGUGAAGUACUCCUCGGACUUGAGGCAUCAUGGUUGCUUCACACAUAGAUUGCUACUGUUUGACUGUACUAAUACAUAGACUCUAAUUAUUGGUUUACGUCUGGUACUGAUUGGCUGUAGUAGUUUAUAUGGGGAGGCAUGUGAGUGCGCAAUAAGGGAUUCAAUACUCUCGAUAUUGAGAGAGAGAACGCCCUAUGUAGGUUAUCAGACUCGACUUGAAAAAUCCCUGGCCAGGGUACGUGGUGUGUGGAAAGAGUUUCCAGCUGUGUUACCAUAUUGAGUCGGUUUUAGAUAUUCUAGUCUUAUGAUCGAAUAAUAAGAUUUGGCGAGUAACCAUAAUUUUGGUUCGAUCGGGACGUUGUGUGUUGAAAGGAAUUAAUCAUACGGUAACUGUAAGCGGAAAGGUUCAUUCUUCAUCACCAUUCUGGAUUGUCGUGAUAUACUGCUAGGUGUCACUCACGGACAGUGAGAGAAGUAAAAAUAAUUUAAAAUAAAUUAUUUUAUAGAUUAGAAGAGUUCUGAUUCAAUAUUGAAGAAUUUGAUAUUGAACUCUAUUGCCGAAUGAUAAUGGACCUUUGAGGUCACACACACUAGGAAUUGUGUGCAUCCAAUAUGACAAGAUGAGUUUAAUACACUAAACGGUUUAGUGGAAAUAGUGUGAAAUUAUAAUUUGAAUAUUACGAAAGAUUUAAUCUCUAAUUAGACUAGAGAAUAAUUAAAUAUUCAUAGAUUAUUAUGAGAUAAUUAGAUUAGAUUUAAAUAUGAAUAUUUAAUUAUAAUUUAAUGGAUAAAAUCUAAUUAAAUUAAAUUUAUCAAUGAGAGAGAUAAAGAUAAAAUACCCAUAAGGAUAAGUGUAAAUUUACUUUUCUUAUCCUAUAUGGCAACUAAUUGGAUAUGAUCCAAUUAGUAUGGAAACUAAUUGGAUAUGAUCUAAUUAGUUACAACAGAUUGCGGGAUGUGCUGAUUUGUACGAUUUUAUUAAGAGAUGUACAAAGAGGAGGCACGGCUUCAUUAGUAGGCGACACACCAAAAUUAAUGUGAAGGAGAUUCACAUUAUUCUUUUCUCUCAAUCUUUCGUCAAGUUCACAUUAUUUCAUUAAAAGAGAACGUAGAUAUCAGAAGACUGCUAGCACCGUCUUCGUAAUCUACGACUUAUCUGUUCCGUGCGACGGAAGACGUUGGAUUUGUAUCAAUUCUGUGUGGAUACGCGUAGAGGCCGAACACGUGCGCGGCUAAUUGGAAUCUCAGUUUCAACCGUACAGUAGAUCAAGGGACCUUAAUUGGUAUGAGGUGAUGUAGCCUGAACUUCAAAUCUGUUUAGGUUAGAUUAUUAUUUUACACUGUAACAUGAGAAUGAUCCACCAGCACUGGAUUGGUUUGUUUUUGAUUUGGUUCAUAUGUGAUAUGGAUUUUUGUUUUGGAAAAAUUUCUAAAGGUACAAUAUUUUUUCCGCUGCGAUUUGUAUUUUGUUUUUGUGCCGGAUAAAUUCUUACACGAACUAUUUGUGACGAGUUCUAUUGUUGGUUUCUUCUGAGGUGACUCUUCUUCUAUUAAUGUCUCAUAUUUAAUUUUCAUUUCAUCAAAUCGAACGUCUGUGUGUGGUUGUGUCACGCCCCGGGGUUCUUUUGAAAAUCCGUUCUAGAAAAAACCAACGAAAAAAUAUAUAGUUUUUUUUUUAACACCUUUAAAGACACCCCAUGACGCCCACAGACCCGCCACAUGGAUAAAGGAUCCCCUGUACAAACGGACAGGGUCUCCUUUGUACAUACAAACGGACAGGGUCUCCUUUGUACAUACAUGAUGUAGCACUUGAAUACAAACACUAACUACAAAGAAAGUCGUCUGCAACUGACAUAAUCAUCUGGCAUAAAAAGAAAUAUUUCCUUCGAUCACCCUCCGCACUCCCGGGAGAGUUUCUAACAAUUCAAUAGCAGACUUCAUAGCAAAUCAUCUCUCUUACGACUUGCUUUCCUAAGGUCUGCCAAAAGUCUAGAGUUCUCUAAGUUCUGACAAUCUAUCCUUAAGCUUUGAUGCUAACUUAAUUUGUCACGCCCUAAGUUGUAGUUGAAUCCAGGCUUGCCAACAGAUACGUUGUAUAUACAAGUAGCCCUAUGUACACGAAGCAAAAAAGUACUUAUAAUCUCUACAAGAGCUAUUACAAGCAAGUGCCAAAGUGGAAAUAAAAGCUGCUUAACUAAAAGAAAUUCAUUGUACAUACAUGCUUAAAAAUAGUACACAACUAAAUCCACCAGAUACACUUACAUCUCACAUAAGCUGAAAUAAAACAUAUCUAAAACUAUAUGUACAAUGGACUACCCUCCCAAAAACUAGCUAACUCAGGUACUCCUCAAGCACAUCCAGCAAGGACAGGCAGUAAUCUAAUUCGCGACUCCCUUACCUCGAUCAGUAGUAGUGAUAGGAAUGGAGGGCUCUACAAGAAAAGAAGCAACAAAGGACGUGAGAACUAUAAAUAAGUAGUUCUCAGUGGGCACCAUCACCAAUGCCGACUGCCUACUCACUAAGUCUACAAAAGCUGAAAGAAAAAGCUGGGUACGUAAGGAACUAUAAGUAGUGGUGUUGGAAAGAAAUCUACAGCUACUAUGCAUCUAUACUACUAAUGCUCAAGUAAAAACUACUAUGAUGAUGAAUGCAUCAACAAACUAUAGAGUCCGUACAAACAACUCAAUCCACAUAACUGCCUCCAAGUCCGGUCAAGCUGAUGCCAACCUACUACCACUCACGACCUUCGCAGGUGGCUGGUCCAAGGUAGAUCCCCAAAAGGGCUGCUGCCAUAUCAACGCGAAAAGGUUUUCACUUCGGAGUGGCACUCGGGGAGCUACCCAGCGGAGCAAAUGCGUAAUUUCCGUUGAACUCAAAUUUGGCUCGUGCAGGUUGUAGUCGAUACAAAUGAUCAAUUAUAUCAUAAAACUAUGGCUCGUGUGCCCCAGGCACUAUUCGAUGCAAAAAUUGAAAAUCCGGGACCAUCUUCAAUCCAAACGGCACCCCACUAUAGACUUAGUCUAAUAACUAUUGUAAAAAAUUUACUCGGCCCCUUAGCACAAUAGUAAACCCAUCCUACACUAAUCCAAACACUCACAACCCUCUACCAAGUACGAGACACAGGUACAAACAACUACUAGUGCUAAAUCCUAACGAUGGGGCGUCAAAAUGAAAUACUGCAGAUUUUUUUUUUUUAUGUUUUAAGCUCAAUUUCAGAUCUAAAUUCUUCUAUAAUAGGUUUAGCAUGCUCACAGUUCAGAUUUCAUCAUUAGUCAUGCCAAUCCAAAGAUUUGAAGCUAAACAAUUUAACUACAAUUGUCAUAUCCCGCGAUCCGCCUCUUUGGUCGGGUUCGGGCCGCCAACAGACUGCCGAACGGACAGAGUCUCCCUUGUACGUUCUAGGCGUCGCAACAGUACAAUACAAGAGGUUCCAAACAGGAACAGUAUUCAUACACUGAUUGCAUAAGGAAGGUAUCAAACAACAUAAAUACAAACUAUGCUAUUACAAACAUUUACAUACCUGCAUUUUUACAUAUUAUAUUUUCCAAUUACAUUCAACUUCCAAAUACAAUCAUUGAUUUCAAAUUAUUACAAGUUUGAUCUUUCUAUUUCCACCCCUAAGCUAGACUACUUCGGGGUACCACUAUCUCUGGUCACAAUGGUAGGGCGCUAUCUACGGAACUACGCCGUUUCCUCGCACCGCCGCGCCGCUCGCGUGUCAACCUGAAAUCCCCCAAAACAACGUGGGGUGAGAACUAUAUCCAUAGUUCCCAGUGGGUACGGCAACCCAAGGGAGAAGAUCAACCCACCAGGUCCAAAGGAGGCACUGCAAUCAUGUUAGUCCAACAGAUAUCCACAAAGAAUUAAAUACAUGCGUAUGCCUCAAGACAUGUAAUAUGCAAAUGUAAAUCAUGCAAUCAACUAAGUAGAUCAUCCGAUACUACUUUUUAUCUCGCUAUCCAUAGAUCAUGUCUACCAUUUAUACCUUUUGCCAUUUUAUAUCAUUGGUCAUUUGCUCCUAAGGUUUCCUCUACCUUAGUCAAGCUAACCACCCGACUCGGCCUCGAGUCAAUCCUACGCGGAGUACCGCGCACUCUGCUGCGUCCACAGCCCAAUCAUUUGCCUUUUUGUAAUCCAAUCUUUCCGGCUAACCCGAAGGUUGAGUCCCGACUCACAACCAAAUCCCUACAAUCGUGAGGAGCAUCCACUACACUCACCUGGGACCGUCUGCGGGACAACUACGUCUGCAACUACUGUGAAGUACUCAGGAGACCACUGUUUGGGUGGAGCGACCACCGCCAAGCGAAACAGACGUAUGUGAGCAUGAUCCAAUCCUCCAAGAUGAGGAUACCCUACCAACUAGUGGUAAUCAAGCCGGGAUAAACAUCAAUCCCAAUCCUCAUAUAUAAUGAGUAAUCACAUUGUCCCUAACUAAUGCCACAAUGUCACAAUAUCUCUAGCUAAUGCCACAAUGUCACAAUGUCUCUAGCUAAUGCCACAAUGUCACAAUGUCUCUAUGUUCUCAUUGUUAUGUCAAUGCCAUUUCCGUUGCCACAAUGUUCACAUUUUCAUAUGCAUAUACUUUCUAACAUAUUCUCAUAGUGCAAACAUCCAUUUAGCAAUGCUAUAAUAUGUUAACAUGCAUAUUCAUCUAACAUAAUCCACAAUGUCAACAUUUACAUGAAUCCGACACAUAUUCACAAUAUGUCCACAUGCAUAUGUAAUCUAGCAUGAUCUCACAAUGUCAACAUUUAUAUACCAUCUAGCAUAUUUCUCAUAAUGUCACAUGCAAAUACUUUGUCGUCCAAGGUAGUCGAUACAUAACAUCUCAUGCACUUACAUGGUAUCCACCUAUGCAUUCAUUUAUGUAAUCAACUACCACUACAUAUAUCAAUGACAAACCACUUCACUUUGGCAUGGAAGUGACCUAAUUACUUCGGUGAAGCACAACCCACCUCGUAACGCUCUCCGAUUGCUCGUAGUCACUUGCAAUCGGGCUCCCGCGGCAGACGUGAUUCGGUUCAGCUCGAUCUCGAAAUCGGCAAUCGAACACCCACCAAUCCGCAACCUAGAGUCACCCGGGGCUCAUCUCUAACCUUCAAUUAGAGAAUCAUGGGAUUAAAUGAGAUCAAAACCCUCAUUUGCCCAAGCCCCCAUUCUAACCCUAGCAUGCACAUAUUCUCCAAAUAACCCAAAAUUAAAUGGAGCAACAUGCUAGAAAUACUCUAGAAACUACUAGGAUAUUAAGCAUUAAGGAUUUAACCAAAAUCCAAACACUUACUGAAAUGUGAACGCCGAGUCGAAAGCACGCCGCUCCAACGGGCGCACGAAGACUCGAUCCGAUGCUCCCCAUACGUUCCCAAGCUCGCUUUUCGCCAAGCCCGCAAAUUUGAAAGAGAGAUCUAGAGAGAGAAGGGAGAUAUCUAGAGAGAGGGAGGAGUUUCUCUCACUACCUCCAUGUGUGUGGUGUGUUGUGUUGGUGCUUGGGCUGAGGGAGAAGGAGAAGAAGGGUUGAGGCCUGUCACGCCCCCACCCCGAAACCUCUACCAAUUUGGCACGGUUCGGGCGCGGCAAACGGAGGCCGAAUGGACAGCACCUCCUUUGUCCGCCUAAGGCUCAACAACAGAUCGAGUACAAGAAUUUACCCAGGAUUUUAAAUUCUAUAAGUACCCAAUCAACGGGGCACAAACAGCGCCAACAACAAAGAGCAAGUAAUCCAUAAGAUACACAAGUGAAAUAAAGAGAGAACUUACUAACUAUUACAUCACAUUUGCAUUUUUUUCCUCAAAAUGAAUACAUAUUUUCAUCAAGUACAUAGCUCUCCAAAGUCCUCACCUACAUGAAUCUCUCUCAAUACAUAGGUGUGCUAAUGAAAAAGGAAAGCUACUACUCUACCAAUAAUCCUCACUGGUCGGGCGCGAUGCCCUUGCCGCGGUCCUCGCCCGGCAAACUUGUACCUAGCCAUGGAAGUAAAGUGGGGUGAGAACUAUCUUCCAUAGUUCCCAGUGAGCUCGACCGCCGACUCCGACGAUCUCCCCACUAGGUCCAAGUGGGCACAAGUAACAACGAAAUAGAUAGAUAUGUAUAUCAAAGCUGUAAAGACAUAAUAGGAAAACUAUGCUACUAUGCCCAUAAUUAUGUGAAAUGAAUGCAUGCAUCAUUUAGUAAAGGUUUACUAUCAUGCUAACAAGUUCAAUCCAUGUUCAAUAAGCAAUGUCCGAUGACAAUAUUAACUUUUCAUUUACCCAAUCUAUGGCGAAACUCUUGGGUUCGCCUACGCCUCACAUAUCCAUCCCAUUCGGUAUGGAGUCUCCAUGUGCCCUCGAACCCGGGACUGUCUGCGGACAUCCACUCUGUCCUAAUCGCCCGACACUCCGGAGUACUCGACGACAAUCCUCUCCAUGUGAGGAUAUGGAUGGCUUUACCAUCCCGAAUAACAGACCGUGAGCUUGAUCUAUCCUCUCCACGUGAGGAUACUCUACGAACUAGGGCCAACAUUCUCUCGGAACUCAUCCAUUCCGACAUUCAUGCAUAUCUACUUAGCUAUACUAAGUUCAUUGUUCACGAGUCAUUUACUAGGGAAUCCACCUAUCCCUAAGUUCAUGAACCUCUAGUGUCAAAUACACUACAUAAUGCCACUCGUUCUGUUUUUUAAACAUUUAGAUGCCACUCUCUAUGUUACUAAAUAACCAUCGAGAUCAUCUCUUUCCUCUAGCACUGUAGGAUCCACGUUCCAACCCAAUCCUUACCUAUCCAUUUCACCAAGUAUUCCAUGUACACUAGAUUAACAUUUAGAAGCAUAAGGAAAAGGUACUACAAUGAAAUCCUACAAUACAACAUGUAAGAGAUGGGAUUAUAUGUUAUUCUAAGACAUAAUAGAGAGUUCGGUUGCUUCGGGAUGACACUCCCCACCUUUUGAGGUACGAAGGUUCUAGAAAUGCUUCUCGCCGAAUGUUACGACGAGGUCUCGACCUCCUUGGUCCAAAACGGUGCUUAAUCGACUAUAUUUCGCUGAUAGCUUUUCACCCGCUCAACGAAUCGAAAUCCGACUUCGCCCCCGCGUUUAGAUACCUAUCAAUUAGGUUUACAAGCUAUCAAAUGAGAUCAAUCUCAUAUAUUUCCAAAACCCCCAUUUGGGUGCCCUAGGGUUCACAUCUUGCAAUUUGCACCAUGAAACCCUAGCCUCAAGCUCUAAUCCACCAUUAAUGGUGCUAGAGGUCCAUUUGACCUCAUUUCAAAAGCCAAAAAUCCAAAAGCCCUAAGCUUAACCAUACUAGGGUUGGUAGCUUACCUCUUGAGCUACUCCAAAAGGAUGAAGAGGGAGAGAAAAAGGUGGUGGAGAUGAUCUUCUCCAAGCUCUCCUUCUUCUUCUUCUCUUUUCUUUCUUCUCCUUCUCUUUUCUUUCUUCUUUUCCUUGAGAGAGAGAGGGAGAGCUAAGGGAGAGAGGGAGGGGUGUUACGGAGUAGAUGAGAGAAAGAGAGAGAGCUUUUCUCUCUAAUACUCUCCAUCUAAUGUAACAAAUGCAGCUAAGCCCCUCAACUUUACUUCCCUCAAACAGCUCUGCCUGGGUAGAUUUUGCGUGGAGGGACCGGUCCCUGGUCGGGAGGACCGGUCCCUUAGGACCUUCCCAAAAUUCACGCGUACGGGAACCGGUCCCUGCCCGAGAGACCGGACCCUUGAGGACCGGUCUUUCCUGAGAGACCGGUUCCCGAGAGCUGACCUCUCGGGACUUAGCCAAAUUUCCACUUCUCCCGCGGGUUUCACCUACGGGGACCGGUCCCUCAGCCCAGGGACCGAUUACAUCAGGCAAUCCCGCAACCACUAGCUACUGGGACCGGUCCUUCCCUGCCAGGGACCGGUCCCCGAGAGCAGAAUCUGCCAAGUGCAGAUUUUGCAUUAUUCGCUCUCGUGGACUCGAUUUCCAAAGCACUUUUUGUAUUUUGGACAUCUCCAACUUUUCCGAAGCCUUCCCACUCGAUAAUUAGUCGAUCCUGAACGAAGUACAACUCUCGAAUUUCGAGAAUUCACUUCCUUACAAGGCCUCUUCCCCUAUAAGUCAACACACAAUUACCAAUCAGUCCCUGCACUUUCUGGGCCAUUUUCGGGCUCAGGGUCUGGACCCCGUAGGUCCAGAAAACCCGAAAUUCCAGGACUUAGCCAAAUUUCCAGCAAUUUCAGCUUUUGGUCCGUUUUCGCUCGUUUUCGCUCCCGGGGCCUCCAAUUCAUUUCAAAUCGCACCGAGACCCCCGAAACACGUUUUCGAGCGCGUUUAAACCAUCCUUUCAUCCACGCUUUGCUGGAUUUCGGCCAAAGUCCAAUCAUAGCUUUUCGAGUUCCGUUUUCGCGCCCGACGCGUACCGAAAACACCCGAAUGCUCUCGAACUUCACCGGAACUACUCCAAUAACUUUUCGAGCAAGUUCCCACCGAAACUUCAUAACCGUAGAAGUUCGGUACCUUACAACAAUAGUAUAUUUACUAACAUUUUUGCUAAAAUUUUGCUAAAAUUUGAACUACAAUAGUAUAUAUGCUAAAAUUUUUGCAACUAAAUAAAAAUUUCGCCGAAUUUUGUAAACUAAAUCCACCUUGUGUACGUGGGCAAUUAUAUAUCAAAGGAACUACAAAAGCAUUUAAAACUAGAACAACCGAAUUUAUUAAAUGUAACUAAACUUCAAUACACAAGAACUUAUUAUACAACUUGAUCCACACAAAAAUAACAAGUAACAUACUCUCUAUUUAUAGAGUACGAAAUAACACAACUUUUCACUAAAACAAGCAUUCUUUCACUGAAGGACACAACUCGAAACUAAAUGACGCAACCUUAAACUAAGAGACACAACCUUAUGAAUGGACAAAUCCUUUCAUAAAGUACACAACCUUUCAUCAAAAGAAGUAAAUAACAAACAAAUAAACAAACUUAUAAUCUAACAUUCCCCCUUAAGUUUGUUUAUGCAUAACUAUUGUCGUCUUCUUCGACCAAAUCUUCAUAAUCUUGAAGUCUUUCCUGUAACGUUGUCUUGUCUGAAAUCAAACUUCUAAUUUUGGAGGCCUGCUUAUUGAUUGCAUUCUCCAGGGAUAUGUUCUCUAUAGUCAGUGCCAUAUUUUUCUUCUCUAAGGAAAUAUUUGCUUUCUUCAAAUUCUUUGCAAAUUUCUCUGAAUAAAUAUUUCUUUGAUUAAGAGACAUCAUACCUGUAAUGUGAGACCUCAAAUAGUCCUAUAUAUAAGAUAUAAUAGGGUUAGAACUCUUAACCCGACUUAACCAUUUUGGGUGGUGGCAAGGCCCAAGAGGUUAAGAGAGUUAAGCGUGCUAGGACGGGAGUAGUUCUAGGAUGGUGUGACCCUCCUGGAAAGUUGGGGCGUUAUAGUUGGUAUCAGAGCCAAUUACCAGCCGGAAGUGUGAGAUGAGUUUUGACUGAGCCGAAGUCGGAAUGACAAGGCUAGCGAGACGAGUCUCACAUUGCCUGGUACUUGUGAGUCUGAGCCUGACGAGGAUGUCAAGGCUUAAAGGGGGGGAGAUUGUGAGACCCCAAAUAGUCCUAUAUAUAAGAUAUAAUAGGGGUAGAACUCUUAAUUCGACUUAAGCAUUUUGGGUGGUGGCAAGGCCCAAGAGGUUAAGAGAGUUAAGCGUGUUAGGACGGGAGUUGUUCUAGGAAGUUGGGGCGUCACAUGUAAUACUCAUGAAUGCAAAAUGCGCCACUUCAUGUUCUGCUUCCUUCUUGGUCUUUUUCUUAUCACCCAUAUAAGUUGAAUUUCCAAAUUCAACAAACAAAUAAAAUUUUGAAACGUGAAUAGGUCAUUCUUGAUAAGUAUGAUAUUGUGGUAGCAGCAAUUUCAUCUUUGACAGUAUUCUUGAAGUAAGUUUUUGUAGGACACAUUCACUAUCACUUUAUUCUCCAUAUUUCUCUUUUCUUUCUUAUUAAAAAAAAAAUCAACUCUCCAAUCAAUAUUUACUAGUGAAGGCCUGCGCUACGCUGCGGGAAGUUUAUAUAAAUUUAGUAUAAUAAAUAAAAUAAUGUGAAUCAUGAAUAGAUGUCGUAUUAAAAUAUAAAUCAGAAUUCAGAAACGUAUUAAAAUAUGAAUCAGAAUUCAGAAUUUAUAUAAAAGGUAACUUAUAUGAAUUAAAGUAGAAUUCUGUUAAGCAAUUCAGGAUUCAGCUGGUUAUUGUUUGAAGUAAAAAAAAAAAAUUGGGCCAAUAAUAAUUGAAAUUCAUAAUAAGCCCAUUCAUAAAUGUGAGUUGGUGGGCCUUAUGAAAGCCCAUGCAAAUAAAAAAAAAAGGGCUUCAUUUCAACCCAUUAUUAUUUGAGCCCAAUAAAUUAAAGUGGGCCCGAUUAACGACGGUCCACACCCACACCCUAUAAAAUAUCUAUUUGAAAUCAUAACCUAUUCAAAAUCCGAAUUUCGAAUUUCGAAUUUUGAACUCCCAACAAAUUUUCAAAACAUCAUCCAACAAUCCAUUCAAAAUUCGAUUUCGAAUUCGAAUUUCGAAUUCCCAACCAACUCCAAAAUAUCCUCCAACAAUCUAAAUGCAAAAUUCGAUUUCGAUUCGAAUUUCAAAUCCCAAACCAAUUCCAAAAAUAUCCUCCAAUAAUCCAUUCAAAAUUCGAAUUUCGAAUUUCAAAUCCCAACCAAUUGUCCAAAAAUAUCCUCCAAUAAUCCAUUCAAAUUCGAAUUUCGAAUUUCGAAUUCCCAACCACUCAAAAUAUCCUCCAGCAGAUCCAUCAAAAUUCGAUUUCGUAAUUCGAAUUUCGAAUUGCCCAACCAACUACAAAAUAUCCCCAACAAUCCAUUCAAGAAUUCGAUUUCGAAUUUCGAACUUUUCUUCCAACGCAAUUCCCAACAAAUCUUCCAACCACCCAUAAAACCUAUUCAAAAUUCAAUUCGAAUUCGAAUCCCUUAACGCAACUCCCAAAAUAUCUUCGCAAACUAUCCAACAACUCAUGUCAAAAAUUCAAUUUCGAUUUUUGAUUCCCAACCACUUCCCCAAAUAUCCUCCACCAUCCAAUAAUAAGUCAAAUUCGAAUUCGAAUUUUGAAUUCGCUAACUAACUCCCCCCUCCAUUAUAAAAUACGGGAACCGAAAUCAAACUCGCGGGAGAAUUUUUUUUUAACGGAGACUAUACGACAGCAAAAGACAAAAAAAUGAUAGAUAGAGUUGCUACAGCUCGUUCCGACAUACAAAAAAAAAAGAAAAAGGAAGAUAUUCGCGCGAGCGCGAAAAGUAGGAGGAAUCGCCGAGCCGCGGAAAGGAGGAGAAAUCGCCGACCGCAGAAUCAGGAGAGAAAUCGCCGGACCGCGAAAGGAGAGAGAUCGUAUCGAGCCGGAAGCUGAGGAAUCGUCGAGCUGAUGUCAUGCCAUUCCGUCAUUAUGAUCAGUUGAAUCAAGCAGUAAAAAAAAAAAAAAAAAGAAGAAAAAUGAAGAAAUAAGAAAAAAAGAAAACCAAAAAAGAAAAAAAAACGAGAAAGAAAAGAAAAUAACAAGAUCUCUUCUUCUUCCACCCCCGCUCUAAUUUUUUUUCAUUUUUUUGUGUCCUGCGAUUGUUAAGUGCCAUCCAUACACAUCUAGAUGCUUUGCGAUGGGCAGAGUGGAGGGAAUCUUUGAUCCCCGUUUCUUCUCGGACUCUCAAUACCCCAUCCGAAGUCGUUGAUGACGCAUAAGGUGAUUACAUUGCCGCGACUAUCUCCAACAUCGUUGGUUUAUACUUUCGAAAGAAGGGGAGGGGAAGUCUUUGAUUCCCCGUUUCUUUCGGACCCUUCAACAGUUUUUUGAAAAGUCAAAUCAAAUUUGCCGAGCCGAACAGAUUCGCGCCGACGUCAAUCAAUUCACCGACACAUCUAGGACCAUUGCCGUUUGAUAGACUUUCGAAAGUGAAAAGAGGGGACUUCGAUUCCGUUUAUUCGAGCCCUGUCGAACAUUCUCUUCGAAUUCAAGAAUAAAUACCGAUGGCCGCACAGAUCCACGCGCAUCGUCAUGCAACUUUGUACGACCCGUCAAUCUGGCAGCAUACGCAAGAAGAGGGAGGACAUCUUUUGAAUCCCCGUUUCUCUGACCCCAAAUCAAAAUUAAAAAGGGGAUUCUCGACCCCAAAUUGGAACUCAAACGGGGAUAUCUUCGGAUCCCAAACAAAAAUCCAAUACGGGAAUUUCAUUCGACCCUAAAUCAAGAUUAACGGGGAUCUUCAUUCUGACCCAAAUCAAAUCCAAUUGGAGAUCAAAUCGGGAUUUCCUUCGGACCCCAAAUCAAAAUGAAAAUCAAAGUCCAAAUGGAAACAGGAAAAUCCAACGGGGACUUCUUCGGAGCAGCCGAAUCAAAUUGGAAAAUCAAUCUAAUUGGAGAGUCCAAACGGGGAUUUCUUUCUUCGACCCAAUCAAUCCAAUAGAGAAUCAACGGGGAUUUCUUCGACCCCAAAUCAAAUCAAGUCAAGAAAUCAAGACGGGGAUUUUUUUCAGGACCCCAAAAUUAAAUCCAUUGGAGAAUUCAAACGGGAUUCUUCGGCGACCCCAAAUUAAAUUGGAAAAUCAAAUCCAAAUUGAAAAAUCAAACGGAGAUUUAUAUUCCGACCCAAUAACCCAAAUCGAGAUAAAAAAGGAAUUUCUUCGAACCCCAAAUCAACAAAAUCACAAGAAUUUCUUCGAUCUGAAAAUCAAGUUGGCAAAAGAGGAAUGCCUCGAAGCCCGAAAUAAAUUAAAAAAGAAAAUCAAUUCACAUAAGAACCAACACUCGAACAGCCAAAUAAACCCAAACCCAAACCAAACCUAGUCCACAAAUAAAGCCCACAAAUAAACCCAAACUCCGAACCCAAAUAAACGGCCAAACCAAACCAAACGCUUAUCCACAAAUAAACCGACAAUAAACCCAAACCCGAAUCCAACAAAACCCAUAACCCAAACCAAACAAAAUCAAAAUCAAGUCACAAAUAAACCCAAACUCGAAUCCCAAAUAAAACCCAAACCCAAAUCAAAUCCAAACCUAAAACAAAUACAGUCCACAAUGAACCAAAAACCAAAUCUCAUGGAUCUAUCCAUGAACCAAAACCAAACUCAUGGACCAAUCCAAUGAACCAAAACCAAAUCUCAUGGACCAAAUCCCAUGAACAAGAACCAAAACGCUCAUGGACUAAAUCCAGAACCAAAAACCAAACCUCAAUGGAUCAAAUUCCAUGAACUAAAUACCAAACCUUAUGGACCACAAUCCCAUUGAACCAAAACCAAACUCAUGACCAAAUCCGCAUGAACCAAAAACCAAAUCUCCAAUGGCCAAAUCCCUAUGAUACUCAAUAACCAAACCUCAUGACCAAUUCCAUGAGCCACAACUAAAUCUGCAUGAUAAAAUCAUGAACGCAAAACCAAACCUCAUGACAAAUCUUCAUGAACGCAACAAAUCUCAUGGACAAAUCCCAUUAACCCAUAACCAAAUCUCAUGAUCAAAUCCAUAACCAAACAUCAAAUCUCAUGACCAAAUCCCAUGAACCGAUACAAAUCUCAUGGACCAAAUCCCAUGAAGCCAAAACCAAAGUUCAUGUACCAAAUCCGACAUGAACCAAAACCAACCUCAUGGACAAAUCCUAUGAACCAAACCAAAUCUCAAAUGGAACCAUAAUCCCAUUGAACCGCCAUAUUCAAAUCUCAUGGACGCGAAUAUCCAUGAAACUAAAACCAAACCUCUAUGGAUCAAACCCAUGAGCCACAACUUAAAUCCUCAUGGACCAAAUCCAUAACGCAAAACCAAUACUCAUGACCAAUAUUCCAUAAACCAAAACCAAACCUCAUGGACCAAAUCCCAUGAACCAAAACAAACCUCAUGGACGCAAAUCCCAUGAGCACAACUAAACUCCAUGGACCAAAUAUCAUAACCAAAAUCAAACCUCAUGGACGCAAAUCCAUGAACCAAAAACCAAAUCUCAUGGCCCAAAUCCAUGAACCAAAACCAACUUAAUGGACUCAAAAUCCAUGAGCCACAACCAAUACCUCAUACCGCAAAUCCCAUGAGCCCACAACCAAACCUCAUGGACCAAGAUCCUCAUGGACCAAAACCAAACCUCAUGAACCAAACCAAACCUCUCAUGGACCAAACCAAAACCUCAUGAACCAAAACCAAACCUCAUGGACCAAUCCGAGCAUGAGCCAAAACCAAAACUCAUGGACCAAAUCCGCAUGAGCUCAAAACCAAAGCCUCAUGGACGCAAAUCCCAUGACCAAAACCAAACCUACAUGACAAAUCCCAAUGAGCCAAACAACCUCAUGGACCAUAAUCCAUGAACCAAAACCAAAACUCAUGACAAAAUCCCAUGAACCAUAAUCAAACCUCAUGACCAAAUCCCAUGAACGACAACUAAAACCUCAUACCAAAUCCCAUGAAACCACAACUAAACUCAUGGAUCGCAAAUCCCCAUGACAUAUACCCACCUCAUAAUCAUAGGCCAAUCCUAUGAGCCAUGAACCAAAUCAUCUUCAAUCUCAUAAAACCAAUACCCCAUAGCCCAUGAUACCAAUUACCAGAUCUCAUACCGCACAAUCCUAUGAACCAAUACUCCAGGAUCUCAUACCUCAUAUCCCCAUGAAACGCCAAUUAGCACUCUAGUAUAUAGAGUUAGUAGCGAUUAGGUCUUUAACCACAUAUUUAUUAGGGCGCUAAUCAACCUGCAAAUUCAACUGAAUGCUCAACAAAUAAUACUUAGGAUGCCAUAAACGCGGAGAUACGAUCCUCUCAUCCAAGAUAUAAAGGCUCUCUUAAUCGAAGGUGCCCAAUCUCAGAGGGUAAUUACAGUAGAAUGCCUUGCUCUAUUGGACCAUUGGACUCGCAAUACCUGAUACCCCACUACAUCACAUAUAAUACUCAAUCUGAAAUCAUGAAUACUACCCCAACGGCCCGAAAAUCCAUCGACCGGCGAGGGUGCGUCAUCCGUGGUGCAGACAAAAUGGCCACGGCCGGCUGGGACAUAGCUUCUUCUUUCCAUCUUCCGAGACUUAAAACAAAAAAAAAGAAAAAAAAAAUAAGGUCCUAACUCUACCUUUUUUCCACAAGGAAAUGCACACCAUUAAUAGAGCGUUGUCGCUGGCAUCCAACAAACCUCAAUAAUAUGAGGCUGGUUCCCAGUUGCUUGCGCACGUCUCCUUACAUUCGAAAUGCAGGAACCUCAAUCCAAUUUGGCACAUUCCCGAAGAUGUUCGACUGCUGUCAUGGCUUAAUUCUUGCUGCACUGGGGGCAUGACCCUCCCGCCGCCUCUUCAUAGCAUGUAUCCAUCGGGUCAUUUUCUCGGCUACCAUCCUCGAGGAAGACGACCCAAUGUGGUCAAUCCCCAACCCUCCUCGCUGGACGCCAUAGGCGAACGACUCACUUCCAACCUGCAUCCAAAGAGGCCAUGGAGUCUGAGGAAGACUGAUAUUCCCGAAAUGCAAGAGUGCACGAAACUAUCAAGUAUUCGAUAGCUGCGCUUUCUAAUGAUACUACAACCACCUAUUCCUCUAAUGAGAGUGUCCUUUAAAGGAAUAGCCGCCGCCUUAACUCCACAGGGAAAAGUUGCUCGGGGCAACGACAACCAAUAACGUUCAAGAGCCCAAAUGACCAAUCGACGACAAUGUCCGUUAAACUAAGGCAAAAAAAAAUAGGGGCCGACAAAAGAUGAGCUAACAUCGUAGUGAGCCAUCCUCAUUUAAACUAAUAUUAGUCUGAAAGAGCAUAUCACUUCCAAUUGGUCCUAAAAAAGAAAAAAAAAAAAAAAAAAAAAAAAGAAAAAGAAGGUGGAUGGACAUGUACUUAAAUUUUUUUUUUUAUAAACAUGGAUAAAAUAUGAGCCACUACCGACUGAUUGUUCCACAUUCGGACUCAGGGUAAAUUGCAUAGAAAAGUUCUCGUGGGUAUUGUAAUACAGCUGAACUUAUUGCAAAUUGCAAGUUCGAGUGUGUGCAAUGGUGUGUGAUCACUCCCUACAUGUUCUAAAAGGUAGAACAACGUGUUUGGACAAGUUUUUGAGAGUUGAUUGGAAUGCAAAAUACUAAGAAAUGCAUUGACCUGCGAAAUUUACAUUUUCUGGGCUUGCUGUUACCGGUACAGCCAUUACUUGUACGCGGUACAGAAGCUGGCAGAUUGUGAUAGGCAGGGACCAAAUUGGUCAUUUCAGACUCACAUCUUGUGCUACCUAUUUGGAUCCCAGCACGACUCUUGCGCUUGCUGGAGUGUUGCUGAGCCCGAAGAAGCAACCUUGCAUAUUUUUCUCUCUUAUCUCUAGGUUUUUCCUCUCUCUACAUGUAAGAAUUAGCCGAUUUCGCAUCGUUUUUCGUCGUCAGGCGCAUGCUGUUCUUCGCUGAUUGCGAGCGUCGCAGCGCCGUUGUGGGCACUUCAAGAGAGCGUUUUGGAAGGAAUUUCGGCAGCCCUGGACAGUGGGAUGCUGGUUGACAGCUUGAGAGGUAAACGACUCGGAUUUCUCUUAAUGCAACGUUACUAAGUAGUCCGUUUACGUGUUGCGUUUUGAUAUUGCUUCAGUUGCUUUAACCUGAGAUUUCAAGCAAUUUAAAGUUGGAUUAAUUAGCUGUGAAUUAAACCUCCUUAGACCAGGGUUAAGCUACUUCUACAGCUUAAUGGAGAUAUUUAGUCCUUUUAUGAAGCUAUUUUGGAACGAAAAUGCUAUUGUUUGAGCGAAUAAUGCAAAUUGGGGAUUUCCUUCGCACAGGUCUUUCGAGCUUGUUGAGCUGAAUUUUGUACCUUAGAAGCUGGUUGAACUGCCUACACCUAGGGAAAGCUAGAACUCAGUAGAAAAACUGAAUCACAAGUUUCCGGCUAUAUUUAUUAAUAGUCCAACUGAUUUUGACAGCCGUUUUGAUAUUGUUCGAGCGAGACAGGUAUUUGACCCUUGGAUCGCCUUCGUUUGCAUUGGAGGCCUCCGGAAGCUUAACGUGAGGAAUGAACUAACCAAAAACAUGAAUUGAUGGAAAUUGACUUCCACUUUGUAUCUACAAUUAGGAAUUGCCGGAAAUUGGAAUUGUAGUAAUCGGCCUCGUGCGGUUUUGGUACCUUAGUUUUCAGCGUCAGGUUUUGGGAGCCUUGUUGAGCUGAUUCUUGAGAAGUCUUGUGACUGCUUGAGCAUAGUACGAGGUGGGUCGGACCUAACCAGAGCAAUGAAGCUCCUCUAUGUUCGAUAUGUCACUAUGAGAAUGAUAUACUUUGUGUGUUAUUGUCACUAUGUAGUUACUAAAGGAUGGGGACAGUCCGUGUGAUUAAGCUAGCAUAAUGGAAAUAGAAUCCCUCCCCCCCAACCUCUAUAAGUAGAGAGCACUCAAUCGCAUAAGUGUCUUUAUGCUUAUAUUUUAUGUUUAUUUAGUUAAGUUAACUAAUGGACAUAAUGAAUGAUGAUUUUGGAAUAGAGAACCAUGAACAUGUCUUUAUCUCCAUGAAGUGGAAAAGAUUCUAUAUUGCUCAUAUGUAAAUUCGCAUUAUACCCGCUGUAUCUUACUAACUAGUGGAUCUAGUUGUUGUUAUAUUUUGUUAUAGUUUAUACUGAAAUGUGAUCAAAGGAUCGAGAACGAGAAUAUCUGUGAACUAUACAACAUUGAUAAUUGAGACUGUUGACUGUGGACGCUUGCUUGCUUGGCCAUAGUGCUCAUUCCCCACACGCUUUUGAGGUAGCUCCCCUACAAGCGCGGCAACUCCGGAGUUGGCCUAGCCGCGAACAGUUGCUCGCCGUCGGGAUUGGUUGCCUGAAGUGGAUUGCCGUGGGGAGUGUAUACUACCCGGCAUUAGGGCGCUCGGCGCAAGCUGGACCUACCUUGAAGUAGAUCCCGUGAAUAAAGGAAAGUCGCUAAAGAAAAUUGGACAGUAAUGAAUAAUUACGCAGUUAUGUACAGUAAGUUACUUCAAUCACCUUAUGCUACGUGUAUCUAUAGUAGGUACUGCCAUGCUUUCUAUCUCUCAGUUGAUUCAUUUACUGUUGAUCUAUGAUCACAUGUUGUUCCAUGUUCAAUAUAAUUGUAACUUGCUUAUGAAUUGCUAGCAUUGAAAAAUAUAUCAUCGACAAAUUAUGUCUUUUAUUUCAUUCUGUACAUCCUUGAGCCUAAGUGGUGUAAUUCGCCGAGGCUGGCGGCUUACCCCACUGGAAACUAUGUAAUAGUCCUCACGCCCUUUUGUGGUUUGUUUUUAGCAUGAGCCUGUUAGCAGUGAAGAGCUAGGGAAUCGUGCAAGGGAGUCGCGCCUAGCUAGGGACUACUAGGACGUGGCUUAGUCGAUCACGUUGCUACUCGGCUAAACGGCCGAGGGGUGAUGUCCAUAUAUAUAUAGAAGCCACUCAUUUGGACAAUCUAUUCUUUUUUGUAAGCAGACGCCUGAUGUAAUAUUACUUUCGGGGUGAGAAUAUAGUAGUGUUACUUCCCUUUUUGCUGAGUUGUCAUGUUUGCUAUACUACUUUGGAUUUUGACUCGGGUUGAUAUCUCUUGUAUAUCGACUUGUACCUUUUGCUCUGAUAUCAGGAAGGAAUCUCGUUGUUUAACUGUCCUAUCGACUUGCUUUCUCGCUAGACCUUAUAUAGCUGGCAGGUGUAUGGCGGGUCUGUGACGUGCCGGAUAUCUGUGCCGGGACCGUCCGGCGUGACAGAUUAUAGUGUUCGUAUCUAAGCCCUAGGUUGAAGUCUUAGUAGAACGCUUGUAAACCUUAGGCUGUGGACUAUACAGGAUAGCUCGUGAGAGAUCGAGUCUAGUCGAGGUUGUUGUUAAGCCGAAAGUACUUUGGAUUUGGUACUCGUAUAAACUCCGAAUAGUUAGGAGUUGAUUCGGGUGUGAAGUACUAACUUGCCAAAGAGGGUACGUGCCGGCCGACCACCGUGACAUCGGAAGUUUAGUAGUCGUUACAUUUCCAUUACUUUCGGCUGAUAGUCGGUUUAUAUCCUCAAUGGUGUGGUUCAGGUAUAAUGGGUUUAUUGACCUAUGUUUGUUUUGGUGUUGCAGGUUCAAGAUGCCCUACACUCGUUCUGGAACCGCUUGGGCGGCUAGCGGCCGCUUGGCGGAAGAGGUAGAGACUUCCGUCACGUCGGGGUCCAGAGUUCCAUGAGUUGGGCAGGAUCAGCUUGCGAUCGUUGACAGAGUUGGUUACUCAGCAGCCGCGGCCACGACAGAAUGGACCGCCUGCGCGUCGGGAGCAGGACAGGAUAAGAGUUAGAGGAUCUAUUAUCUGCGGCGACGACCGAUAGAGAGAUUCCAGUUCUUACCGAUCCGGAUUUCUGUAGCCCUAUAGUACCAAAGGGGCACCACAAGUGAGAGCCAGUCACCGUACCUCGAUACACCCCCAGUACCGAGGCCCGAGAACGCCGAACAGGAGAUAAUAGUACCACCACCAUAGUACCAUGUAGCAAUAGCCUGGGAUAUGUGUUACCCGGAGAUGGUGGGGGUUGAGGACGAGAGCGGAUGAUGGAAACGACUGAAAAUUCGUCGCUGGUGCAACACCAAUGUCUGUUAUGGGGAUGAAAGCAGAUCAUUUGUGGGUGGUUAAAAAAUGGUUAAUGCAUAUGGAGAAAUCAUAUUCUAUGACACUUUCGUUGAGAGCGGUACCGAGUUUGGUUUGCGAAUUGGGCAUCACUGAAUGGCCGGGUGAUGCUUACAGUGGUGUGUGGGGGUGAACAUCCGGAGGAUCCCCGUGCUAUUUGUCUGCUAUCUACGUGAACAGGUUCAAAGAGUUUUGUUGAUCUACCUAUUUUCCACAGAGUGUGAAGAGCAGAUGGAAAGGGAUCUGAGAACUUGAGACAGGGACAGUACAGUGGCUGAGUACGAGCGAAGGUUCUCUCGAUUACAUGUUGCACUUGUGUUCCUUUUGUAAGUCCGAGACGAUGAGGACAAGCCGUCUCUUUAGGUGGGUUUUGCGGCCGAUGCGAUUUCAAUUGGUCCAGGCGCAAACCUCUCCACUUACCGGGAUGUCGUGAACCGAGCCUUGAUCGUGGAGAAAGGCCGCGGAAAUCAUGAAGGAAAGAGACGUUGUGGUCGAGGUAAGGGAAAGAGAAGCCAGUCAGCUGAGAGCAGUGGUCAAGCAGUCCUUCAGGAGACCGCCAAAUAUCCAGAGGGGACAGUCAGGACAGUCGAGGGGUCGAGGUUCUUUAAAGUACCGGGGAAGCACCCGAUGCGUCGUCGACCACGCGAUGUUUAUCUGUGGUGGGCUCCGUACCCGCCACAGUGUUCCACGCGUCGGGGCAACGCUGUUUUCUUUGCGGCCAGGAGGCCAAUUUCGUUCAGAGUGUCCGAGAGUUCUUUGCCCCUGCACCCUCGUCAGGCUUCUGCACCUGCAUCUUCAGCUCGAGCCAGGGCACCCGACAGGCGCCUAAUCAGUCUAGGCGACCACCAGGACAGCGCAGGUCGCAGAGUUCGGCAUCAGGGUCGAGUGGCGCAGUAUGCCGCGACUGAGGCGCCAUAGCAGUAACAGGAGGUCGUAAGCAGGUAUUUAUAUGCUUUACAGAUAUUCGUGUUUCGUGGCAUUAUUUGUAUACUGGUGCUUCGGCAUUUCUUUUAUGAUCGGGCGUUACGCCGAGUUCAUACAUACUAGUUAGUAACUCGUAUUUGCAUUUGGGACGAGUGAUUGUACCUGACCAUACCUGGAUAUUUGAUGAGUAUUGCCCUCGGCCAGUUGAAGGGUAGGCGACUGGAUCAUGCCAGUGGAUUACUGGCACUACACAAACUAGGUGAGUUUGAUGUAGUAUUGGUAUGGCUUGGUUGACGACAGUAUUAUGCCACCAUAAGAUUUGCCACAAACAGAAGUGACCAUUCGGAACGGAGUCCCAACAGGGAGUUUGUUUAUAAAGGGUUGCCAGAGUUUCAUUGUUCGCUACAUGACCAUCAUAGCUCUUGCUCGAGCACGACAGUUUAUUCGGAGGGGUGUGUAGCCACUUGGCUAAGCAUUUAAAUGAGGAUGGAAAAACCCAGAUGAUGAUAUUCCACCAGUUGUGCGAGAAUUCGAGGGAUGUUUGCCAGCUGAGAUUGCCCGGUCAUGCCACGCCUGAUUAGGGAAGUGGAGUUUGUGAUUGAUCUUGUCCCUGGCACAACUCCUUAUUUCUAAACGCACCCUAUAACGCAAUCGGCACCCGCUGAGUUGAAAAGAAAGCUGAAGGAACAAUUACAAAAUCUUUUUAGAGCAAGGAUUUAUUCGACCGAGUGUAUCGCCUUGGGGAGGGCACCCGUGUUAUUUUGUGCAAGAAGAAAGAUGGAUCUCUACGAUUGUGGCGUGGAUUAUCGAGAAAAUCCACAAGUCACAAUCAAGAAUAAAUAUCCAUUUGCCGUACAGAAUUGAUGACUUAUUUGAUUCAGCUCAAGGAUCGACAGGUGUAUUCGCAGAUUGAUUUGGCAAGUCUGGUUACCAUCAGCUUAAGAUCAAGCCUGAAGAUGUCUCUGAAAACCGCUUUUAGCCACACGUAUGGCAUUAUAUUACAUCAUGCUUUUUGGAUGCUAAUGCGGCCAGCAGCUUUAGAUUUAAUGAACCGUGUCUUUAAGCCCUAAUUUGGAUAGAUUCGUAGUAAGUGUUUAUUGACGAAUUAUCUUGAUCUAUUCUCGAAGUGACAACGAGCAUGAAGAAACCAUUUGAGAGUGGUGUUGCAAGUACUGUCGAGAAAAAGAAACUUGUUCGCAAAGUUAAAGAAAUGCGAAUUUUGGCUUGAGAAGUGGCAUUUCUCGGCCCAUGUGAUUUAAAGAAACUGGGAUAGCUGUGGAUCACAGAAGAUUGAAGUCGAUAAAGAUGGCCUAGCCGACCAGUGUCCACAGAGAUUCGGAGUUUCCAUUGAUUUGACGGAUGCAACUCACUGUUAGGGUCGGUUAUCGCAGCAAUUUCGAUUUGCUUCUCGAGCAAAUAAAAAUAAAAAUAAUCCGAUAUUUUCUAUUAUCCAAAUAUAUUUGCCUAUGACGGAAUGCUAACCACCCUAGGGUUGGUUUGCACAGCAAUGUCUGAUGCUUCUGCAGGCAAAAUAAAUAAAAAGAAAAAUAUAUAUAUACUUACUUCCUGAAAAAAAAAAAAAAAGGUGAUGACAUAUUGUCUAAAUUUUUAGAUAAAUGGGUAAAAGUAUGAGGCCACCAGCGGACUUGAUUGUUCACCGAUCGGACUUCAAGGGUAAAAAUUGCAUAAAAGUUCCCCCGCUGUGGUAUAACCCCACAGGCAAAAUUGGAAUCCCGCUGUGCAGAAAACCUUUCGAGGCUCACUGCAAAAGUUAGGGAAGGACCUGGUGAAAAACCCAUAUGGCGCCAGAUUUACCAAGAUUCUUGAGGCAAAAAUAAACAAAAAAUAAUAAUAAAUCUGUGUUCGAACCUAACUCACUUAGGGUUACGGUUUAUGCGUACAAUUUCAAUUGCUUAUCAAUAAAAAAAAAAAGAGAUAUUUCUUGGACAAAAAAAAGAAGAGAAGAAAAAACACAGUCAACAGAGGGACUGAACAAAAAAAAAAAAAAGGUUCGAACAAAAAAAAAAAAAAAGGAAAAAAGGAGAUCGAGUAAAAAAGAAAAAGAGGAACGAGCAAGAAAAAAAUAAGAAAAACUCUGACUAAAAAUAAAAAAAUAAAAAAUAAAAAAAGAGAAAAAGGAGCACCUUUUGCCGCGCGUGAAACUCUUACGUCGAAAAGGUGGUGGCGCAAUUUGUUUUGAAAUAAAAAAAAAAAUUGGGCCAAUAAUAAUUGAACUUCAUAAAGCCCCUUCAUAAAUGUGAGUUGGUGGCCUUAAUGAAAAGCUCAUGCAAUAAAAAAAAAAAAAAGGACCUUCAUUUCAACCCAUUACUUAAUUUGAGCGCAAUAAAUUAAAGUGGGCCGAUUAACGACGGUCACACCCACACCCUAUAAAAUAUCUAUUUGAAUCAAUAACCUAAUUCAAAAUGCCGAAUUUCAGAAUUUCGAUUUUGAACUCCAAAAAAUUUCAAAACCAUCAUCCAACAAUCCAUCUCAAAAUUCGAUUUCGAAUUCGAUUUUCGAAUUCCCCACCAACUCACCCAAAUAUAUCUCACAACAAUCUAUUCAAAAUUCGAUUUCGAAUUCGAAUUUCAAAUCCAACCAUUUCAAAAUAUUCUCCAACUAAUCCCAUUCAAAAUUCGAAAUUUCGAAAUUUCGAAUACCCCAACCAAUUUCCAAAAUAUCCUCCAAUAAUCCAUUCAAAAUUCGAAUUUCGAAUUUCGAAUUCCCAACCAACUCCAAAAUAUCCUCCAACAAUCCAUUCAAAAUUCGAUUUCGAAUUCGAAUUUCGAAUUCCCAACCAACUACAAAAUAUCCUCCAACAAUCCAUUCAAAAUUCGAUUUCGAAUUUCGAACCUCCAACCAAUUCCCAAAAUAUCUUCCAACCAUCCCAUAACCUAUUCAAAAUUCAAUUUCGAAUUUCGAAUCCCUAACCAACUCCCAAAAUAUCUUCCAACUAUCCAACAACUCAUUCAAAUUCAAUUUCGAAUUUUGAAUUCCCAACCACUCCCCAAAUAUCCUCCAACCAUCCAAUAAAUAAUUCAAAAUUCGAAUUUCGAAUUUUGAAUUCCUAACUAACUCCUCCCCUCCCAUUAUAAAUACGGGAACCGAAAUCAAACUCCGGGAGAAUUUUUUUUUUACGGAGACGAUACGACAGACAAAGAACAAAAAAAGAUAGAUAGAUUGCUACACUCGUUCCGACAUACAAAAAAAAAAGAAAAAGGAGAUAUCGCCGAGCCGCGGAAAGGAGGAGGAUCGCCGAGCCGCGGAAAGGAGGAGAAAUCGCCGAGCCGCAGAAAGGAGGAGAAAUCGCCGAGCCGCGAAAGGAGGAGAGAUCGUCGAGCCGCGGAAAGGUGGAGGAAUCGUCGAGCUGAUGCAUCCAAUCCGUCAUUUGAUCAACAGGUAAAAAAAAAAGAAAAAAAAAAGAAGAAAAAUGAAGAAGAAAGAAAAAAAGAAAACAAAAAAAGAAAAAAAAAAGGAAAGAAAAAGAAAAUAACAAGAUCUCUCUUCUUCCCCCCGCUCUAUUUUUUUUUCUUUUUUUUGGUCCUGCGAUUGUAGCCAUCCAUACCAUCUAGAUGGCUUCGAUGGGAGAGUGGAGGGGAAUCUUUGAUUCCCCGUUUCUUCGGACCUCUCAAUACCCCAUCCGAAGUCGUUGAUGACGGCAUAGGUGAUCUACAUUGCCGCGACCAUCUCCAACAUCGUUGGUUUGAUACUUUCGAAAGAAGAGGGGAGGGGAAUCUUUGAUUCCCCGUUUCUUCGGACCCUUCAACAUUUCUUUUGAAAAUGUCAAAUCAAAUUUGCCGGCCGAACAGAUUCGCGCCACCGUCAUCAACUUCACCGACGACAUCUAGGACAUUGCCGGUUUGAUACUUUCGAAAGAAGAGGAGAGGGGGAUCUUCGAUUUCCCGUUUCUUCGGACCCUUCAACAUUUCUUCGAAAUGUCAAAUCAAAUCCGAUGGCCGAACAGAUCCACGCCAUCGUCAUCAACUUUGUCGACGUCAUCUGCAGCAACGCAAGAAGAGGGGAGGGGAAUCUUUGAUUCCCCGUUUCUUCGGACCCCAAAUCAAAAUUAAAACGGGGAUUUCUUCGGACCCCAAAUUGGAACCAAACGGGGAUAUCUUCGGAUCCCAAAUCAAAAUCAAAACGGGAAUUUCUUCGGACCCUAAAUCAAGAUUAAACGGGGAUUUCUUCUGACCCCAAAUCAAAUCCAAUUGGAGAAUCAAACGGGGAUUUCUUCGGACCCCAAAUCAAAAUGGAAAAUCAAAUCCAAAUUGGAAAAUCAAACGGGGAUUUCUUCGGACCCCGAAUCAAAUUGGAAAAUCAAAUCUAAAUUGGAGAGUCAAACGGGGAUUUCUUCGGACCCCAAAUCAAAUCCAAAUUAGAGAAUCAAACGGGGAUUUCUUCGGACCCCAAAUCAAAUCCAAGUCAGAGAAUCAAACGGGGAUUUUUUCGGACCCCAAAUCAAAUCCAAUUGGAGAAUCAAACGGGGAUUUCUUCGGACCCCAAAUUAAAUUGGAAAAUCAAAUCCAAAUUGAAAAAUCAAAACGGAGAUUUAUUCGGACCCCAAACCCAAAUCGAGAUAAAAAGGAGAUUUCUUCGGACCCCAAAUCAAACCAAAAUCAAAAAGGAAUUUCUUCGGAUCUGAAUCAAGUUGCAAAAGAGGACUGCCUCGAACCCGAAAUAGAAUUAAAAAGAAAAUCAAGUUCACAUAAGAACCCAAACUCGAACCCAAAUAAACCCAAACCCAAACCAAACCUAGUCCACAAAUAAACCCACAAAUAAACCCAAACUCGAANACUCAAGUUUUCUUAGUGGAUUUUCUUUGCGUGAUCGGUCCCGUGGGUUUUUCACUCCGAAUUGGAGUUUUCCCACGUUAAAUUCUCAGUGUGCUGUUUUAAUUUCCGCUAUUUCGUUUUGUUUGCAUCGAGAUUUUUCGAGUUUGCCGGAUUUACACCUAUUCACCCCCCUCUAGGUGUUACUUACCUUUUAGAUCCUCGGGAUCCAUAUCUUACAGCCCGUACCUCAAAUGCCAUAAUCUUGAUUCUUUUUUAAAUUCAGAGUGGUAGCACCUUUCAAUUUCUGACUUUAUGUUCAUAGAAAACAUUUGAUUCUUUGACAUAUGCACUUUUGCUAUUAUUUUACCAUUCUUAUCCUUCAAAGUCAGAGUAGAGCCUUCCAGAUGAACAAUAUAUCCUUUCUCCAAUAAUUGUCCGAUGCUUAGUAUGUUGCUCUUUAAUUCUAGCACAUAAUAUACAUUCAAGAUUAAUUCUUCUUCACUACUCUUCGAUCUAAACAUAAUUUUUUUCUCUUUCUUUAACAGGUACUUUGGAUGAAUCACUAAAUUUCAUAUUGCCAUCAGCAUUCUCAUCCAUUUCAACAAAUAGUUCUUUCCUUCCACAUAUGAUUUGAAGCAUCGGAAUCCAGAAACCAUACAUAUUGUGGAUCUUUAACUUCGUCUUGACAUGAAAGUAAUAGUGAGGUUUUUGCAACUUCAUCUUUUAAAGUACCAUCGAUAUAGUGAUUCACUCUUUCAGUGUUCCUAUGCCAGCAAUCUUUGCUAUAGUGACCAUAUUUUUCACAAUUAUAACAUUGGAUGUUCGAUCUUGCACCACCAUAAGACCCUGGGCGAUUGUUAUUACGUUCGCCUCAUUUUGGUCCAUAUCUAUGUCGUGAAUUGCGACCCCUGUUGUUGCUACUCUGUCAGUCAUUUUUAUAUCUCUUUUGAUUCUAUAUUUAUUGUAAUUAUUUUCUCCAUGAUUUUUUCUUUUUCUAUUAUCAAGUUUCAAUUUUGACUUGAGAGCUUGCUCAGUCGAUUCAUCUUCAAGCACCUUUUAUAGUCUUUGCUCAUGUACUUGGAGAGAUCCUGUAAAUUGGUCGAUAGAAAGAGUACUGAUAUCUUUUGACUCUUCUAUGGUGACAACAAUAUACUCAAAUUUUGAUGUGAGGGAAUGAAGAACCUUUUCUACAACUCGUUCACCAUCGAAUUCUUCUCCAUUUUGCUUCAUUUGGUUUACAAUUACCAAAAUGCGAGAAACAUUGUCUGCAACACUUUCGGACUCCUUCAUACGGAUUGCUUCAAAUUUCGCUCUAAGCUUUUGUAGACAAAUCCACUUUACUUUGUCAUCUCUUUUAAAGAUGGUGGCAAGAGUCUCCCAUGUUGCUUUGCUCGAAGUUGUUUUGUCAAUUUUCUAGAACGUCGACUCGUCUACUGCUUGGUAAAGAUAGAAAAGGGCCUUUUUGUCCUUUUUGCUUCCUUCAAAUCGUUUCGACAGGCUAUAAUUAAUGUAGUUUCUUCUUGCUCUGUGUAUUCUUGGUACUUAGUUUUAACUAAUGCCCAUAGGUCUUGAGAACCAAGAAAUGCUUUCAUUUGAAUGCACCAAUUCUCGUAAUUGUCUUUUAAUAGUUUUAGGGUUUGGGUCUGGAGAAGUUGAGUGGCCAUUUUUUAACUGAGUUUCUUUCUAACAGCCUAGCUCGAUACCAAAUGUAGGUAGGCAAUUAUAUAUCAAAGGAACUACAAAAGUAUUUAAAACUAGAACAAUCAAAUUUAUUAAAUAUAACUAAACUUUAGUACACAAAAACUUAUUAAUACAACUUGAUCCACACAAAAACAACAAGUAACAUACUCUCUAUUUAUAGAGUACGAAAUAACACAACUUUUUACUAAAACAAGCAUCCUUUCACUAAACGACACAACUCUAAACUAAAAGACGCAACCUUAAAAUAAGAGACACAACCUUACGAAGGGACAAAUCCUUUUAUAAGGUACACAACCUUUCAUCAAAAGAAGUAAAUAACAAAUUAAUAAAUAAACUUAUAAUCUAACAGUGAGCAAAUCCAAUAAUGGCAAUGAAUUGACAACCGAAUGAACCUCUUCUCACCCUCCCAUCCAAUAAGAAUUCAGCAAAAGAGUCCUCCCACAAAUAGAAAGGAAGGUUUAAACUAAUCCAAUACAAAAACUGCACUAAUGCUGAAAUUGAAGCCAAAACCUGAAGUUUAACCAAAUGUGGAUUAUUCUACCUUACUACCAGCUGAAAUAAGGUGUUCGCCAAGCCUCCUAGUAGUACAACAAGUGGAAAGGAAUAUGAAAAUGUCCCACCAACCAGGGAUUUGCUGAAAAAUCCAGAAAUUGGAGUCAAGAAACUUAAUGAUGUGCAUUUUCGACUUCGGAAUCCAAUUAACAUAAGAUUAGAUCAAAGUACAUCAAUACUCAGUUGAAAGGAACUCUAAUAUAGCUAGAAUUGAAGUCAUGACCAGCAAGAAAACUGCAAUUGAUUUACUAGAAGAGAUCGGAGUUGAAAAAUCAAUGAGAUUCGUCAAUAACUAAAAUUUCAGCAUUGUAGUAAAAAUCUACCAAUUAAAGUCUUUCUAACCUAAAAUUUGCUUGGAAGAACAAGCCUACAAACUCUUCUUCCUCACUAGAUCACCCACAACACUACAAGAAAAGACGGUUGUAGAGGCGAUUGUAUAGAGACGGUUCCUACAACCGCCUCUAUGUGUUGUAUAUUAGAGACAGUUUAGAGACGGUUUUUAUGGACCGCCUCUAAAUCCCCAGGAGGGAGGAAAAAAAAAAGAAUAAAAACCCUAAACCCUAAAAAAUAGGUUGAUCAAUCUAAUCUCCCCACUUCUCUCCCCUUUUCCCCCACGAGCCGCCAAACCUAGAGGCCGCUCACCACACUGCUCUACCUCCGACUCCUUCUGUAAGGUACCAGACUUCUAAAUUAUGAAGUUACGGUACACAUUUAAAUGGUUCCAAUAAGGUUGCUGUGGAAUGUAACAUACCGGAUUUUAAAUAUAAAAGUGAAAAUAAAUAAAAAUAGUAUGAGAUACUAUUUUAUUGGAUUUAGAGGAGUGAAAUAUAGGUUGAGAAUGACCUGUGCUGAAAUCAGAGCGAAAACAGAAGAUUAAGAAUUUUCUGUGUGAAAUAAGGCAGAUAAAUUAGCAGAAAAUGCACAGUGUCAGAAAAUUAUGAAAACUAGAGGAUAUAUCAGAAAUAUUUUUAUGAGGCUAGAUUUGAAGUUUCAUUUCAUUCUGACACCCAGAAGGUGAAAAAUAAAAUCGAACUGCUAUCUGCUAAAGAUUACAGUUCGGCACAGCUUUCAGUAACCAAACGGAGUCGAAACUGAGAACUUAAGAUAUAUUCUUGCUCAGUACGUUAAACCGAGCCUGCCUGUCAAAUUUGAGCUCAAACGGACAUUCAAAAGAGCUCCGACUGUUCUGAACUGCUAAACUGCAAGUUGUAAUAGGUGUGAGAGGGGGUUUUCUGCAAUUGUUGCAGCCCCAUAUGUGUGCGGCUCCUUGGCCGAAUCCACUACACGCACACACACAUUCUCUCCCUCUCCCUCACACUUGCAACCAUGGAAGAAAAACCCUCUCUUUCUCUCUCUUGAAGGUGGAAUCAAGAGAAGGAUUUGGUAGAGAAGCAAGUUUGGAAGUUGAUCUUCAUCUUCAUCGUCUUCUUCCUCUCCAUUGGAGCUUGUUUGAGAGGUGAGCUUUGAUGCCCUCUCAUGGUAGAUCUUUAAAGCUUUAUUUAUAAUCUCUAUAAAUGGUAUUUUUGGGAUCCUAGGAUGCUAAUGAGAUGUUUACUACUUGAAUCUAAGGUUUAUAUUGUAUAUUUUUACAAUAGAUGAAACAUAGGGUUCAAAUUGGAGUUUUUCGAAAUAUGAAGGUUUGAUCUCAAUUGACCCUCUGUAAACCUAAUUGCUAGGUAAACGAACGCGUUGGCGAAGUCGGUUCGGCGAUUCGCCGAGCCGUUGAGAAGAUAUUAAAGAAAUGGAUGUUUAGGCUUCGUUUCCGCCUGGAGGGCCGAGGCGACGUUCAAAAAUCGUGGAAACGGAUUUGGAGCACCGUAGCAAGAAACCGAAGACCUUUAAUUUUCGGAUCGCGGAUCGGGGGUUGUUCGGUGGUCGCGUACGCAUUGGGUCGAGCGGACCGGCGUGCGCUGUGUCGAGCGGACCGGCGUGCGCUAUGGGAGGCCGAUUGCGAGUGACUACAAGCAAUCGGAACGCGAUAACAGGUAGGUUGUGCUUACCGAAGCGACUAGGUCGCCCCGCAUGUCAAAGCGGAUUGUGAAUUCUUAUUGAUGCAUAUAUGUAUGUGCAUACGGGUAUUUUAGUAUUAUGUAAAUGCAUGCUAGCAGGUAGAAUACAUGCUAGUGAUGAUUGCAUAAUAAUGCAUUGAAAAGUACAUGCUGGUGAGUAGAUGCAAGUGGCGUAUUAAUGCAUUGGAAAUAUAAUCUAAUAAUAGAUUCAUGUUGACAUGUACUAGAACAUGCUAGAGAACAUGAGAAUACAAAUGAAUGUUAACAUGUUGUUAGUUGUGUGAGUUAUGAGAUCAUGUUAGAGAGCAUGCAUAUUAACAUGUUGUUGAUUGUGCUUGAUUAUGAUGCAUGUCGGCAUUGUGAGCGUGUGUUAGAUAUACAUGAGAAUGUGAACUAAGUCGAUGAACACUAUAUAAUAGAGAACUCGAUAUGACAAAUAGGAUGUCAAGUAGAUCGAGUGGCAUUAACCUAGUGUUAAUAAACAUAGGUCGGACAUAGAUGACACUGAACCUAGUGUUGUUGAACCUAGGAUAAAUAACGAGUGGUAUCUAACCUAGUGUNCGAAAAAUCCAUCGACCGUGCGAGGUGCGUCAUUCGUGGUGGCAGACAAAAUGGCACGCCCGGUGGGACAUAGCUUCUCUUUCCAUCUUCGAGACCUUAAAACAAAAAAAAAAGAAAAAAAAAAAGGGUUCCUAACUUCUACCUUUUUCCACAAGGAAAUGGCACCAACAUUAAAGAGCGUUGUCGCUGCAUCAACAAACUCAAUAAUAUUGAAGGCUGGUUCGCGAGUCUGCUUGCGCACGUCCGUCCUUACAUUCGAAACUGCAGGAACCUCAAUCCAAUUUGGCACCAUUCCCGAAGAUGUUCGAGCUGCUGUCAUGGCUUAAAUUCUUGCUGCUACUGGGGGCAUGACCACUCCCGCCGCCUCUUCAUAGGAUGUAUCCAAUGUGGUCAUUUCUCGGCUACCAUCUCGAGGAAGACGACCCAAUGUGGUCAUCCCCAACCCUCCUCGCUGACCCAUAGGCGAACGACUCACUUACCAACCUGCAUCCAAGAGCAUGGAGUCUGAGGGAAGACUGAUAUUCCCAAAUGGCAGAGUGCAGAAAGCAUCAGUAUUCGAUAGGCUGGCGCUUUCUAAUGAUACUACAACCACNCCACACAUACAUAUAAAUACUCAUCUGAAUCAUGAAUACUACCCCACGGCCCGAAAAAUCCAUCGACCGUGCGAGGUGCGUCAUUCGUGGUGGCAGACAGUUAUUUCAAGACUCCAUAAAGAAUCCAGAGCCAAAUCGAAAGUUGGUCCAGUUCAGGCCAAGAAACCAGCAUUGAAUCAUCUUUGAUCAACAUAGAAAGUAGAGCUAUUGACUUGAAAUCCCAUCUCAAGAGAAUGAUUUAGUAAAGGCAGCAGCAAUUGAAAGAAUCUGACAUCCAAAGGAACAAUCAAUAAUAAGAUCAAAAAAAUAAACCGAAAUUAGCAUGAGGUGGAGUUACUUUGAAGAACUCAUAGAAGAGAUCAUUGAAAAAGGCAAUUGGGGCAUGGAAAGCUUCAGUUUUACAGCAGCUACACCUGACAUUUCUUAUCCAGAACUUACUAAAUAUCAACAGCGACCUAGUAUUUGAAAGGGGAAAAAAAACGUGAUGACCGAAUUAAUCUCAAGAUUUGAAUGUUCGGAACAUUUCACUUUAGAUGUGUUAUGCACCUAGAUAUGAAAUCGACAACAUAUAAACUAAAUGAUAUAAAUGUAUAAACAUUUCACUCUAGAUGUGUUAUUCACCUACAUAUGAAAUCGACAACAUAUAAAUUAAAUGAGAUAAAUGUAUUGAAAGCUGAAAUGUACUUGCAAACCAGAUUUAUAGGGCCAUUAAGGAAUAUCAAGAGAUAAGUAUUGAUACGAAAUAAAAGGAUAUAAUUAUUCAUGGUCAAUUCAAUUCAAGAUAACUGGCUAGGAUUUUUAAGCACAUACGCAAGUAAGCAUCUUUUGGUUUGGAGGAUCGAUGGGUUUAUUCUGAUUUACCUUAAUUGAACGGACCAUUGAACUGGAGUAGAGCCGGUGUGCUUCCACAAUGAAAGACGCUACAGCUUUUUUAUGCCCACGAAGUGUAGCAGCUGGCUCAAAGCAGCGUUUAUCUGGAUUAGGCUUCCAACCCCAAAUACUUCCACCUUACUUAGAUAAAAGUUCAGGCACUGGGAACAAAACUUGAUAGAAAAUCAAUCCUCACAGAAGAACUUCGCAGUCAAAACUCUGCAGAUCAAAUCGAAAUUGAAUUAAAAUCAAACUCCAUAGGAAAAAUUGCAGAAAUUGAAAUUGACGAAGAAAUUGAACUGCCACACCAAUGAACCCUUUUUUUUUAACAUGUAAAGUAUAAGGAUGUGAGGAGGCGCCUUUUCAAAUAUCAGAUUUGGGAGCUCAAAAGAAGCGCAGGCAAACAGCCAAACUAAACAGUCAGGGGGGAAAAAACACUAUAAUUAUAUUUUGCUAAUUCAAACUCUGAUGAUUCAAACAAUCUUUUAAAAAGUGGACCCAAAAGUAGCAGGAACAACAGCACGUACAAAUUAGCAUUUAACUUGACCUUUUUUUACAUGUAUUCUAAGUCUCAUACAUGUAAAUCAGCAUGCAAAAAAAUCAUUUAUGAGACUUUGAGUAAAAAUAUUUUUGGAAAUCAAAGAAAGUCUCAUAUAGGCAAAUUAGCAUGAGUAAAAAUCACGAAAUCAAAGGAAACAAAAAAGAACAACAAAAACUGCUUCUAAGAAAGCUAAAAAGCUCCAUAGUAAAUCAGCACAUGGAAACCAUACCAAACAACAUACAUGGCUGCAUACUAAAAUAAAUGAAGAGUAGAAGCGUAGAUUCGGAAGUAAAUUAGGCCACCAAAAGCAUACAAAAGAAAGCUGAAAAGCUCCAUAGUAAAUCAGCACACGGAAAUCAUACCAAACAACAUACAUGAAUGCAUACUAAAAUAAAUGGAGAGUAGAAGCGUAGACUCGGAAGUAAAUUAGACCACCAAAAGCAUACAAAAUAACCGAGACAAAUUUAGUCGAAAAUAGUCUAUUCAUAAGCAUAGAACGGUAGUAAGAACAAAAUUUGGCAGGCAAGGUACAUACAUUUUGCUCAGGCCUCCCCCAUUUAUCAAGCAUUGAUUGGAUCAGCAGUAAUGUUGUUUUCUUUUUUUUGGCUUAGAAGUGUCGGAACCAAAUAAGCUGCAGCACAGAUAAGAAGCGCUGGUUGCCUGCAAAGCAUACCAUCCAUAGCGUCCGAACUGUUAAUUAAGAAGGGCGCAUUCGAACGGAACUAUCGAAACCAACUGACACUCAGGGGAAGUAUCAUCAUAGCAUGCAUAAGAACAAUCAGAAGCAGCUGCCUAUGAGUAGGCCGGCCAAACCUCCAUAUCAUCACAGACUUUUUUUAAAAAUAGGAAUUUUGAAAGAAGUAGCAAGGAAUAAACGAAGCCAAGUAAUGUUAGUAAAAUAACAAUGCAUCAAAGCAGAACAGUUUCAUUCUUUUCAUAAAGCAAUAAUAUCUGAGGGGAAACCAAAAAAAGAGGGAAAAUGCAGUGAGGAACCAGCGGGAGAAGGGUAAAAAAUUGCAGGGAAGAGUUUUUUUUACCAAACAGCUGAAGAAAUCAUACAAAAGACAUGUAAAACGCAACCGGAAACAGCACAAAAUAAGAAAAUGCGAAAACUUGGGAAUAAAAAACGGACAAAAGUGUAUAUAAAGCUGCAAAUUUCUUAGGUACUUACAUAAAAAAAAUUUGUGCAUUUAAAAAGGGGAAACAAUUUUAUUAUAGUAUCCAUGGUUGGGAAAUCCCCAAAUCCUUGACUAGACUAUAAAAUGAAUACUCAAAAGAAAGAUGUAAAGCUCUAUCAAUCAUCAUCAAUAGAUAUAUUAAAAGUAGAACUUUACUGUGGCCACGUGUCGCCUCCUCAGUGUGGAAAUCACGCCAAAUACUAUACAUGAAUGAGAAUCCAAAUCUCCAACUGGACUAUAAAAUGAAUGGUCCAAAGAAAGAUGUAAAGCUCUAUAUAAAAUGAUUCUAUGGAAAAUAACGCCAAAUAGUAUACAUGAAUAAGGAUUGACUGUUGCAUGUAGCAGUUUUGCUUAAAUGUUUGAUGCAAUGCCUACUUGGUUACUACUACAAACUGCAUAAAUGUGCGUAAACUCUUAGUGCGGCUGCCACCAUAAUGCGUGUCAAAAUUAUCUAAUGCUUUACCUGUGUUGACUUUGAUAAAAACUAACAGAGGAUUGAUGGCCUGUUAUGCAGCGAAGAAAAUGACAGAGGAUAGACAAUAACAGUGAUGAGAGUACAAAAUAUAUCUAUACCACAAGUUUAGUUAGGACUUGGAUCAUUAUUAAUAUAUCCACCUAAAAGUGCAGAUUCUGAUGGAUCAUCUACAUGCUUACAUGAAAAUGAAACGAAAUCAACAUAAUAUAAUAAUAAAUAAUUAAGAGGUUAUCGACAUAUCCAAGUAUAACAUAAUUAACCAUCUAAUUAAACACCAGUGUUUUUGUAAUCAUCUAUAUUUCCAUAAAUGCAUUCAUUAUGCACCACUUAGAGUACAAUCUUCAUAACCAUGUAACCAUAGCCGAAUACGCAUAGCCACAGUUCCCCUAGAAAUAAGGACAUGAGUAGUAGCCACGAAGUAUAAGAACAAUAGGAAGUGGUUGCCNAGUGGCGCGGCGGCGCGAGGCAAGGGCAUAGCUCCAUAGAUAGCGCCCUACCCCAGAGACCAGAGAUAGCGGUACCCCGAGUCGGCAUAGCCUAGGGGUAUAGGAAAGGGAAAGGAACACAAUGUAUCAAAUUUGUAAUAUUAAUUGUAAUAACUUAAUUGCAUUUGGAGGUUGAAUGUGAUGUAAAAAUGAAUCUAAUGUGAAUGUAUGUAAUAACAUAGGAUAUGUUAUGUUGUUGAUACCUUUCCAUUUGCAAUCUUUCUUGAAUAUUGUUCCUGUUUGGAACCUCUUGUAUUAUUUUUGCUUGAACGUACAGGGGAGACUCUAUCCGCGGUACAGGGGAAACUCUGUCCGUUCGGCGAUUUGUCAGCGCGCCCGAACCUGACCAAAUAGGCGGGGCUCAGGGCGUGACACCUUCGGCACCUUCGCCGUCUUCGAACAGCGGCCGUUUGUGAGAAAAGUCAGUUAUUUGUUCUUUAGUUGGUUCAUUUGCUCAUUGGAUUCUUAUUCUGAAAAUAAUAUGAAACAGAAAUUUAAAUUUUGAUUAGUUCCUUUGCAAACUAUCUGUUAAUGCCUUUUAUGAUAACCGUGUUGAAUGUGUAGUUUACUUUAGGCAAUUGAGCAUUUUUUAUAUAUCAUUGUCAACUUCCUUAGCAUGUUAACACUGUUUUUUUUUUAGAAAAGAGGUAGCACGCUACCCGCUUCAUUCACUGAUAGGUGAAUUAAGCUACAAGUGUGAGGCAACCAGGCCCCGAACAAAAAAAAAAAAAAAAAAAAAAAAUGUUAGAGCUCGAGCAGUAGGUCCCACUCCUUCAUAAGCUGCUUAAGUCUGUGGACCGCCAACCUAGGGUUAGGAAGGAAAUUCCGAAAUAUGAAGUCGUUUCUUACCUUCCAAGUGAUCCACCAACAGCCCACUAGGUCGGUAAAUCUGGUUCGUUUCUCAUGGUAUUCCUUCCUGGCCAUCCACCUAUCCCAAAUGAGAUUCACAUCGUCCCCCGGAUCUUGGGCAUGGAUAUCUUCCGCCCCUGUCACUAAGAUAAAUUUACUGAAUACGCACCGCGUGAACAGGUGAUCCGCUGAUUCCUCUUCCGACCAGCAGAGCACACAGGUAGUAUCAUCUAGCCCCCUUCGCUUGUUGAGUCUAUCACGUGUCAGAAUCCUUUUCUUAAGAACCAACCAGAUGAAAACUUUUACCUUUAACGGGAUUUUAAGACUCCAGAUGUGGUUAGCACGCGCAUCUCUCGUCCCUCCAUCCAUCAAUGCCGAAUAGGUCGAUUUGACCGUAAACUGUCCAUCAAUACUCCAACGCCAAAGUAACCUGUCCGGUCUCUGCGCGACGGUGAAACUGGAGACCUUAUCAACGAGUUCCGAGAGUCUCGGUAUUUGCCCAUGCACUUGACCCACCCCGUUUUCGAGGAUCUUAGUCCAGUUCCAAAUACCCAUCGUAAGGCAGUCCUUUACACUAUAACUUUUCCCCCCGGACAAAAGGUAAGCUUCCGGAAACGAAGGUUCAACGUUUUCUCCCCAUACCACCAAUCCUGCCAAAAAUCAAUAGUACUCCCGUCUCCUAGUGCAUACGCCGCUCCCCACUUAGAAAUGGUGGUGACGCUGAGAAUACCCUUCCACCAGUUAGAGAAAGGUCGAAAAGAUCGACCUUCCCUCAUCGGUUUUCUUCUACGGUAGUACAAUUCUUGGAUUAGCUUAUUCCACUGAAGUUCGAGUGCUAUGUGGAAUUUCCACCACCAUUUGGUCAGGAGAGCUUGAUUCAUGAACGCUACAUCUAAGAUUCCUAGACCGCCUUCCUUUUUGGGCUUGCAAACAUUUUUCCAAGCCACCAGACACCCCAUGCCAACGCGGUGGCGACUGCCACUCCAGAAAAAGUCUCUUCUUAGUGCUUCGAUUUGUUUAAUCGCCCAAGCGGGGGCCUUGAACAUCGAUAGGAAAUACAGCGGUACGCUGGUAAGUACCGUAUUAACCAGAAUAAGUCUGCCUCCCCUAGAAAGGAGUUUGGCCUGCCAACCCUCUAUCCUAUGCUGAAGCUUCUAUAUGAUCUCCCUCCAUGCCUCGUUGGAUGGUGAUCUUGGCGAUAGAGGUAAGCCCAAAUAUUUUGACGGGAGAUUACCCACUCUACACUCGAGAAUGUUAGCUAAUCGAGCACCUUUACCGUCCUCCUGCCCCAGAUAGUAAAGCUCCGACUUCUCCCUAUUGAUUUUCAUUCCCGAUGCCCAUUCAAAAAGACGCCAUAAGAACCUAAGAUUUCUCAAGUGCCUGUUUCUAGCCUCACAGAAGAAGAAGGUGUCGUCCGCAAACUGAGUGAGAGUGACCUGCUUGUCCCAAUCGGACCGAUGCCUUUGAAGAGGUUAUUAGAGGUCGCCUCAUUGGUCAAACGAGCCAGACAUUCCGCCACCAAUAAGAAUAGAAAAGGCGAGAGCGGAUCCCCCUGCCUUACACCUCUCUUCGUCUUUAUCAAUUUGGUCGGUUCUCCAUUCACCAGAAUCGCCACUUUCGCGUUGCACACGCAAGCGUCGAUCCAACCGCACCACUUAUCAUUGAAGCCCCACGAACGUAAAAUUUGGAAGAGGAAUGGCCAAGAAAUCCUAUCGUAGGCCUUUUCAAAAUCCACCUUUAUCCCCACUCCAUCGACGACUUUCUUACUCCCCCAGCCAAUAAGUUCGGAAACGGAAGCGAACGUGUCGGCAAUGUUCCUACCUUUCAGGAAGGUUGACUGUGAUGGGGAUAUCAAAUGCUUCAUAACGCGUCCUAGCCUAUUGGCUAGGACUUUAGACAGGAUUUUUUGGAUCCCAUUCAACAAGCAUAUAGGUCGAAAGUCAUUUGCCCGCAUCGUCCCCUCCUUCUUAGGAAUAAGGCAAAUGAAGGUGUAGUUGAUGGCGGCCGUGGAGAGCCUCCCCUCAUACAUCUCUAGGAAUACACUCAAAAUGUCCUCCUUAACAGUGUCGCAAAACGUUUUGGUAGAACUUUAAUGGGAAACCGUCCGGUCUCGGCGCCUUGUCGCUCCCCAGUUGGAAAACAGCUUGUUUAAUUUCUUCUAAGUUGAAGGGUUCGGUUAACCUCGAAAGGUUGAGGUCCACCACACGGUUGGACCGAAAAAGCCGCUUCCAGUCCCCAAAGGAAGUAGGGUUCGACGCCUCGGGCGAGAAAAGUGACUUGAAGGAAUAGUAAAAAUAGUUCUGUUUAUCCUCUUCGGAUUGGUAGCUAAUAUCAUUUCGACGAUCGUGCCGAUCCAGUUGGCUCUACGUCUGGCAUUCACUACUGAAUAGAAGAACUUAGUGUUACCAUCCCCCUCUCUCAGCUAGUGUUGUUUGGACCGGAUUUUCCAAAGGGAGGCUUUAUCACUUAAAAUUGUUCUCAAGUUUGCCUUUAAGUCCGCCCUCUUAGGACUUAAUUCGUGCGAAAUGUCGCUCGCUUCUUCUGCUUUAUCAAUGCUCUGUAUUUCCUCCAUAAGAAGAUUCUUCUCCCUUCUAAUACUGUAGAACUCAUUAGUGCACCACUCCUUCAUCCUAAUACGGCAAUGUCUCAACUUCGCAGUGAAAUUCAAGAUCGCCGAAUUAUUCUGAGUCCCCCGAGAAACCUCCCUCCACCAGCCCGGGAGUUUAGCGAUGAAAUCGUCAUGAUUCAACCAAGCUUGCUCAAAUCGAAAGGUCUGUUCUUUAUCCUAACGCCUUUCUCCGCAGUUAGUAAGAUAGGGCAAUGAUCGAAAGUAAUUCUAGGUAACGCUUCUACUCUAGUGAGUGGAAAUUCCUGAUCCCAAUCGGUUGAAACAAGGAAACGAUCCAGUCUCACAAACAUCGGGAUAGCUUGCAGGUUAGACCACAUGUAAGUUUGGUUGGACAUUGGCAAAUCAAGCAAGGCGAGCUCCUUGAUCAGAUCAUUGAACAGAGCUGUGGCUUUGAUGCUCCAACGCUUACCUCUCCUUUCGUCUUGCCCCCUAGUGCAGUUGAAAUCGCCGCAGAUGAUCCACUUAUCCACACAAUAAUCCUUUAGCUGGGCCAAUUCGGCGAAGAAUUCUUCCUUGCCAUCCCACGAGGCCGGUCCAUAGAUGUUGGCGAGGAAGAACUUAGUCCCACACGUGAUGGAGUAAAGGAGAGUCGUAAUGGAGUUAGUCUUGACAAUGACUUCCGAACAAGUGAAGAAACGGUCACUCCACCCCUUGAUAAUUCCUCCUGAAGCACCGACGGCCUCAAGAAAUACACAUUUGUUUAGAAAGGGACCCCCGAUACUACUAAGAAAAAACCUAGAUACAUGAUUGACUUUCGACUCCUAAAGACACACCACCGCGUUACGCAGUUUCGACACUACGGCCCUAACGGCACAUCGCUUAGAGGGAUCAUUAAGCCCUCUAACAUUCCAACUACAAAUGCGAAACAUAAAAAACCGACAGACUCUCACCAACAAAACCCAAAACAGAGUCUACAGUAUCACUACACUCCCUGCCUACUUGCACUCACUAAGAAACGCAGAGAAGUUCUUAGCCUCACUCUCAUCUAAAUCCACCCCGCAUAGGCGGCUUGUGUAGGUGAUCUUCGCUAUUGAGGCUGAGCUCCCGGUCGCUUGCUCGCCUUCGCGCAGACGGAUCUUCCUUAACAUAGCCUUUGACAGCAUCGUUCUCUUAGCUGCCGCCACGAGCGUGUUAACACUGUUAGAAGUUCAUUAUUUAGGAGUUCCCAAACCAAAACAGCACUUCAACAAGGAGAGAAAAAACUAAAGAUAUGUCUAUAUUUAUGCAUUUGAAAGGCAUUCCCUUAGUGAGAGCUAAAUAGACGAAUUGUUCAUUUCUGCUUCCAUAAGCAGGAUUCUGAUUUGGUUGUCCGAUUCCACAAAGAUGUAGAAUGCUGAUCCCAAGCAGUAUGUCAUAUCAAUUUGUAGUAUAAUAUUAAAAUAUUUAAAACAGAAUUUCUAGUGCGGCCCAGGAGUUUUUUUUGUUAUUCGUUAGGCUUAACUGCUCUUUACCAUUCAAAAGUUCUCAAAACAAGCAUCCUAUAUUUUUGAUUCACUAUUCUAAUUGCCUGAAAUGGUAUAUAGCACUUUUGUAGAAGGUGACAUUCUAUUUGACUUGGUGAGAGAACAAUAGUAUUGAGAUCUGUAAGUCUUAUUGAAGCAUAAUAGACCGUACAUAGAAUGCACGUGUACUAUUUAACUAAUGGCAGAAACUAUCAUAUUUUUUCGUUAAGUGGAUGAGAAUUUUAAAACGAACAUCUGCACCCUACACUUGUUUUUCAUAUCCUCAAUAACGUUGUCAGCUCUGUAUUUUCUCUGGCAUGCUAUGAUCGACGCAUCAGCUGGUUUAACUGCUAAUCAUUCUAAGUCCUAUUUUGUAAACGCUAUGCUGCAUAAUGCAAUUAAUUGAUCCGUCCCUUCUUUUAAUAAUGUAGGGUUUGGCCGUUAUACUAGUUCAAGCCCGUUUAUAACAACUGGUUUGGCGACUCUCGACUUCAUUCAGGUAAAUUGGUAGUGUCCUUAGUACUUUCCAAAAGUAAUGAAUCAACUAGUUUUCAUUCAAGUUGGUUAUUGCAGUAGCUAGUCCUGGUAUUGCAAGCAACUCAAGUCAACUUCGAAUCAAAUCAAAUUGGCCUUUAAUCUUAAUGCUAGAUGGGGUGAUCUCAAAUAUAGACCAGUGACUUGUUUGUUCUUUUGAUUUGUUUGUAGAGAUUUCUUGUUGUCUAUUUUAAAUGAUAAAGCCACCCUUACAUUGUGUAUGUGAGAUCCGAGUCAUGUUUACGUUGUCACUAAAUAAAUUCUAGUUUGCGUUCUUUCUUUAAUCCUCUUUAAUUCUAAUAUCAGAGAUUCUAAUUUGCUUGGAAGAACAAGCCCGCAAGCUCUUCUUCCUCACUAGAUCAACCACAUGAGCCCAAUUUUAUAGCUAACAUUUCAGGUAAGGGAAUUGGAUGGAAAAAACUAUUGAAAGAACCAAUAGAAAGCAGAAUUUCAGCUUACACCUCCGAAUUCGCUCUAAUUCAAUCAUAUUAACUUGGAAGUUCCACCUGGUAAUAGGUUCAAGAUAAGCUCCAGCACUCCCUUCUCCUCCAGUAGACCUUCAAUUUCGCAAUUGAAGUCCCAAUUGGACUCAACUAGAUCUCUCCACAGGAUUGCUGCUGGUGCUUGCCAGGUUGCUGCUGCCAAGCUGCACCAUGUUGGCAGCAGCUGCUACUAUUGCUGAGAAGCUGAGUUGCUGCUGCAAGUGGCCAACCUAGUGCUGUGGUUCAAGUUGCUGGUGCUGACUGAGAGGAGGAAUGAUAGAAAAUGAGCUGUUGCUAGCUGCCCUUGCUGCUGCAAUCUGCCAGCCUGCUAAUGCUGCUGCUAGCUGGUUCUAUCGGCUGCUGCAGGUGGUGAAGUUGCCACCUGCUGCAGUGGGGGCUGAUGCUGGUGUAGCUUGCAGCAAUACUUGCUAGCUGUGCCACCCUGCUGUUUUACCACUCCUGCGCAGCACCUGAGGCUACUGGAGAAGGUUGGUUGCUGCCACUGCUUGUUGACAGCCAGCAGAGAGAAAUCAGCAGGGAGAGAAAAGAAAGAGGAAAGGAAAUGGAAUAGGAAAAUGAGAGGAAGGAGAAGAAGAGAAGGAGAGGAAAAAAGAGAGUUUCAGUUGGAUUGAUACUACAUGCCAAAAUGCUCAUUUAAUUAGAGGUGGUUGAGGGUUAAGUUGCAGCUUUGGCAUCACAUUAGUCCACUAUCAUAUUCCCACGAGAAAAAAUUCACAUUUCGGAUUUGUUUGUGACAUCAAUUUUGCAUCAAAACAAUUCUAGGUUGUCCCGACACUUUAUAAAAGUAUCGAUAAGUCACCAUAAUUGUAAUCAUUCAGGCAAAUAAAUUUUUCGGAACUCUAUAGGAAAGUACGUGUAUGAUAAUUAUAUAAAUUUGUAGAAUUUUCAGUAGUAGUGAUUUAUGGUUUUUGGGCUACAUCACAUGUAAAAAAAUGACUUAGGCUGAUGACUGGAAUGUAUUGGUGCAUAAAUUGUACAUAUGAAGUUUCCUUCGGUAACUUAAGAUGUUGUUUUAAAUUUUAGAUAAUUCUACAAUGUAGAAAUUUUCUUAUCUAUUUAUUUUUGAAUUAUACAAAUAUUUGCUAAAUGUUCAACUGAAAGGAUAGUACUGGAUUUAUUUGUUGAAACAUUGGUACUUUGAAUUGCAGCUUCCCACGUGAAACAACUUAGUUGUACCACUAGUUUUGUCUACUCAAAUGUAUAAGUUACUGUAACGAUCGGACCCGCUAACAAUAAUAACUCAUUGGAUCAAACCACUAGCCCAAAAUAUUUAAACUUAGUUAUUUUUUUGAUUAAACAGGGAUAUACCCUAUUUGAUAAAGGGAGUACAUACUAAGACAGCGAAGCUAGCUCGGCUUUCCCCAAGAAGGCCCCUUGAGCUGACUUCAGUUAGUACAUCUAAACCACUAAUUAACUAGGUAAAAGAAACAAAAGGAAUCUCACUUAGGACCCCAAAAUGGAUUCCCAGAGCUUUAAGACGGAAACAACAAUCGUUCCCAAUUGUUCGUACAUAGAGUGGUGGUUGCUGAAGAUCCGUGAAUUCCGCUGUUUCCAAAGUUCCCAACAAGCCCCAACAAAGCAUCGGUCGAAAAGUGCUUGCUGCUGCCGCCAAUGACUCUCUGCCGCGCGUCCAUCUGGUCGAGACAUCCCCAACUAGGUUGACCAAUAAUUCAGCAGCGAGCAGGGUGUUAGAAAGGAGCAGAUUCCACAGGGACCUCGCAUAAUUGCAUCCAAAGAGAAGAUGAUCCAGAUUUUCUUCAUUGGCGGAGCAUAACACGCAUAUGGACGGUCCUUGCCAGCCUCGUUUCUCUAGAGAAUCAGCUGUCAAAAUCCUAUUCCUCGCUGCCAACCACAUAAAGACUUUGAUCCUGUAUGGCACCUUGAGUUUCCAAAGUUGAGGUAGUUUGCAGUCGCUGACUCCGCUGAAUGUAACGAAGUCAUAUGCGCUCCGUGUCCGGAAACGUCCAGUUGAGUUCCAUCUCCAAACAACAGUGUCUUUUGUAUCGACGUUUAAAUUAGUGUUGGAAAUUAAUACCUCCAAAUCGCGGAGCUCUUCUUGUAUUGCGGUGUUGAAAGGCGGCCUGAAUCCCAAUGUUGUGUGUGCGGCAAAGCGGCGAAACCAACUUUUGACCGAAACGUGCUUAUGUGUCGGUAGAGCAUGUAGUUUUGGAAACUGCUUUUGCAGAGGAAGUUCGCCACACCAUCUAGAAUUCCAGAAGGAUGUUAUCAUUCCAUUGCCCAGAGUAAGGUUGACCGAAGUAGAGAACGGGGCUGCAGUACUAAGAAUCGCCUUCCAAAUGGGGUAGCAAUGCGCCGGUUUAAUGCGAUCAAGCCGAGGUGGUCUAUACUUGUAAUGUUUAAUAUUAGGAUCUAUAGUCUCUUAUAUUUUUAAUCCCAACCUUUUUUCCAUCUGAUGUUGGGCUAUUGGGGUGUAGGCAGACUCCCUCUAUUUAAAUUCUAAUGUUCUCAUCAGCCAAUCACACACAUAGCUGAAGAUCACCGGGUGAUGUAAGGCCUACAUGACAUUUCCAACUAGGAACAGGCUCUGAUACCAAAUACAACGACCUGACCAACUGGUAAUAAUAACUCGUUGUGCCCAAACUGCUAGCCUAAAUGUUUAAACUCAGUUAUUGUUACUAUGGUUUAUGAUCCCUUAUAUGUCUAAUCACAAUUCGAUUUUCAUCCCAUGUGAGACUACUGAAGUGCUACAGUUAUAUUUAGUACUGCAAAACGAACAUGCUAUAGUAUUCUUACUAUUCUAAUUUGAGCCAUGUAACAGUAACAAGCUACUUUUAUUUAUUGAGAUAUCUAAAGGAUAUAUUGAAUCUUCAGCUACACACAUUUGCGCUACGGAUGCCGAACCCUUUUUACAAUUAUCCACUAUCUCUGUGAAAUUGAAAAUAUGAUGGAAAAGGAUAAAUCAAAUUAAACAUUAUAUGUGAUGCGGCUAUCAAAUAUUUCUACGUAUGUAGAUUGAUACAUUAAUUUGCAUUUUGUUUAAUUUAAAAUACAUUUUGACUUACUGCAACGUUAUCUUUCCUAUGACCAUUACUCUGGUAUUAAUUAUUUCUGUAUCCAUUUUUUGUCAUUUGUAUUUGAUUCAUUUGCAUACAAUUGCUUAAAAUUUUCGUUUAUUUUUUAAAUUAUUUAUGCGUUUGUUAAACGUGCACAUGUACAGCAUAGGCACGUUUACUAGUAAUUAUGCAUAUGUUUAGUUGGAUGUAGUAGAUAGUGUUACUAUUGUUAUAAAUAAUUUGUUUAGUUAUAUGCUGUUGAGAGCCGUAUUUACUAACUUUAUUACUUCAUUCAUAUGAUGAUGAGAAUAGUCUGAACGGUGAAAAAGAAUAUAUUUUUUUUAAAUAAAUAUUGAGAAGUUUCAACCUAGUGGCAGAAAGCUUAAUGUAGAAUUUCGGUUAAAUGUUUACGAUCCAUGAGCACCUACUCCAACACCGUGUACGGCGUCGAAGCGCAACUUCAUCCCUUACCAAGAGGAAAUCAAGAUCGAGCUUAAGGUGGGAACUCGCAACCUCCGAGCUCUUCAAGCUCUGGCAAAAUGAGCACGUCCUUACUCAACAAGGGAAGUGACUUUCCUGUAAAGUAUAAUAGGAUAUCUAUUAAAAUAUCCAUCAGAGGGAGUUCAAAUUGCCAUGUCACAAAGAAAAAACAAACAAACAAUAAAAAAAACAUCUCUCUCUUUCGUACGAUAUUUUUUGUUCUAACAAUUAUAACAUAACAUAAGGGAAAUGGAGAGAGAGAGAAGAGAGACUAGGUGAAGGCGGAGUGAAGAGGGAUGUCAGGAGCAGUUAAGGAGGGCCUUUUGCCGAGACGAUGAUAGAGUAGGGAAGAAGAAGAAGACGCUGAAGAGACUAGCUUGGGCGGACGAGGUAGGUGGAGAGUUAUUGAAGGUCCACAGAGACCAUGAUGACGACGAGGCGACCUUACCUGCUUCCGGCAAAGGCUCCCCCCGAGAGAAAAAGGUGGAGUUUAAUGAUGAACACCAUUCAGGUUUGCUUCGGGCUUCGUUAAAAGGCUCAAGGAGUAGGAGGUGGACCAGGGUGGAAGGUAGUGUCAUUAACUACCCCAAGCUUGUAACAGGGUCCUAUAAGGAUGCGUUGAUGAGGAGGCCGAGAAACCAUCCAUCUGCAUACACUUCCCAACCAUCUCAUAAACCUUCUUCUAAUAGCCGUAGGGGUUAUCCUGCGUGUAGACAAGGGAAGAGGUGUUUCCGGUGUCUUGCGAGCGACCACAGAGUCUCGGAGUGCCGCGACCCUGUACGGUGCUUCAGGUGCUGGAAAACUGGGCACCGAGCCUACAGUUAUGGGGGAAAAACGGUGAGAAGAGACGUUGAGAUGAACAGGGAGGUUCACCGUAGAGAGCGUGCCCCCUACCAAAGGUGUACGUUCCGUACAUUGAGGAAUACUUGCAGAGAGUUGAAAUGCGACGUAAUGCCAUCCUCGCGAACGUAAUUCAGCAAGCUAACCUCAGACCGAAUCCAAUUACCAUCAUCAAGAGUGCCCUGGCUAGUCGCUUCGGGGGGUAUACUGAAGAUUUUUGUAGUACACUGAACUUUGGCAAAUUACGAAGUUCGAGUGUGGGAAUAGCAAUUGGAGCUAUCCUACAUCUUUCUAAGGGUUGUCGAGAGGUUCGGCAAGUUAUUGGAGUGAGCAAUAGGCCGGAAGAGCAAAAGUGCAUUGCAAAAUGCGAAAAUAUGUAUUUUGGCACUAUGUACCGGUGACAACAUGAUGGGGUACCGAUACCAGCACUGCAGCUGCGUGGCAGCAAUGCUGUUUUGGUCAUUUUACUUUCUAAGCUUGUUCUUAUUAGCUUAGCUCGACCCCUGAGCUUGUCCUUAUCAUAUUGGAGCUCUGGAAAACAGGGGUGAGUUUCUCUCUCUCUUUCUCUCUCUAGAUUUUCCCUUUUGAGAUGGAAAACUAGUGUUUUAAGCUUGGUUCUUCCUUUUCUCUUGAUGCUAGCUGAAGUGGAAGGCUUUGAACCUAUAUUUUGCUGUUGGAGAGGGAUGUUUUGGGAGGUGUUUCGCAGCCCUGGCUCAGCAAGAAGUUGAGUAAAAACUUGGUAAGGUGAAGGAUUCAACUUCUUUUUAGAUUAAUGCUAUAGUAGUGAAGUUGAACUUGUUUUGGUUUCUUUGUCCCAGCUGGUUUUGGGAGGGCUUAAAACAGCAAUAGAAGUGAUGUUUUGUUGUUAUUCUUCAACUCUAAUCCAGGGAAAACUGAAUUGAAGUUUUGGGAAGGUAAAUUAGCAACUCUCUUCUCUAGUUUCAUGUAGUAGUGGUUAUAGUAAUGGAUUGUGAGCUUGUUUUUGCUCUAUGAUGCCAGCUGGUUGGAGGAGCUUGGUAGCAGCUGAAGAGAAGGUGUUUUGGCUGUGAUUCUUUAAUCUUAACUCAGUAGAACCUGAGUUGGAUCCUUGGAAGGUGAGUUAGCUACUAUUUCACUAGAUUUAAUGUUGAAAUAGAUGUUUUAGUAAAGUUCUUUGUGAACUCGCAGCAGGCUGGUGUGAACCACUUUGGCUGAGUAUUAGUGAUCUUUGUAGAUCGAUUUUGGUGUGCUUCAACCUGAGUUGGAGCUGCGCAAGGUAGGUAACCUAUCUUCUUUCAAUUUGGAUAUGUUGGUAGUAGUAUUGAUGGAUUUUAAAGUGUAUGUUCACAGCAGGUUACAGCGGGGUAUUGGAUUCCUGUUGGCUGAGUUUCUGUGACUCUUAAAGGUUGGAUUGGGUGUAUUCCAACCUGAAUUGAAGUGAACUUCAAGUGGGGAUUCUAUUCUAGGUGAAAUUCUUACCUAAACUAAGUGAUUAUGUGAAGGUUACAUGUGGAAGCUUGGUUAAGCUCCUAGCUAAUUUUAGAAUGUUUAUCAGGGUACUUGGAAGCUUCGGAUUAUCUUCAUUUGCGGGAUCGACGAGAGUCGAUAGUAAUUAGAUGGGUUUGACCUUACCGAAAUGGGUGAAUUCCCUCUAUGUCUUCUUUGACGUUAUAGGACUGGAAUUGUUGCAUCUUCAUGUGAAUACAUGUUUAUUUGAAUGAAUCGGGGCAGCACCAAUAUGUAUAUCAUAUCGGACAUAAUAGAACCUCUAUGUAGUAGAGGUAGGAUUAUGAAAUUGAUUAUUUGACAUAAAUCACUUGCUCGAUUACCAUGUAUUUAAGAUGCAUAUCAAUUUGUGUAGACAAGUUAAACAGGACAUCAUUCAAUAAGGAAUAGCUAUAAAGCCAUGAAUGAUGUAUUGUGAUGAAGCAUCUUUGAGUUAAACCAUGCAACUCUAUGUCAUAGACAUAACAUUAGAACUCUUAGUAUAUCAUGUAUAGUGAGGUUAUUUACACCUUUAUAUGGAAUCAUGUAAAGAGUAUGAUAGAUGAUGUUUCGCAUGCUUGUGUUGGUAAGUGGUUAUUGUUUUCAUUUGAUAGAACUAACAUGAACUUCUUGCUUGUUAUGAUAUAGUAAGUAAACUAGAAUUGGGCAUUAUAAUAUAACAUGAAUGUUAUACUAUUAAAAAUGAUCUAGUUAAAUAACUAGAACUGGACAUGAGGAUAUACUUGUGUAGUCAAGUAGAAGUACUUGCCUAAUAUUUGCUUACUCCAAGUAGUGGAGGUUUAUGUAGAACCAUAGAAUAUGUAAACCACUUUUCUUAUGUAUAGGGAGUAGUGAGAGGACUCUAUGUGAGUGUGCGGGUAUAGCCCAUUAGAAACAUCCAUAUGAUGUAAAGCAUAUACUUGUUUAAGUCAUACUAUCUAUUGGUAGAAUUAUGUCAACAAAUAGUUGAGAGUGGAUUAUGACGUAGUGUUACUGUGUCGACCUUGUGUCGAGUUGAGAUUCCAUGUUAGAGACAUGAUGAACUUGUGACACCUAUGCUAUAGAUUAUGUUUUCUUGCCAUUGUGCUCAUUCGCACAUGCUUGUGAGGGUCGCGCCCCACAAGCCGGCACUCCGGAGUUAGCCUAGCGACAGAUUGCUCGCUUUUAUACGAGAUUGAGCGCCGAAGUGGAUUGCUGUGGGUAGUGUUGACUUCCACAGGGCCAUUAGGCACGGCACGGGCUGGAACUUUACUAUGUGUAAGUCUCUUGUUAAUUGGGUUAAUAUAAGUGACUUUAACCUUAGAUGGACAUAGUAGUAAAGAUACUUUAUGUCAUUAGUUGAAUAUACCUAGUAGUGAACAUAUUAGGAGGUUGACAUUCCUGAUAGUCAGUAGUAUAGUGACAGUACCUGAAUGUUUACACUCUUACUAGUGUAGGAAAUAGCUACAUGAUGGCAUUAACUAGUAAAUAAUGAUGAAAUCCUGCAUACAGCCUGACAUAUAGCUAAUUUAAUUGUUAAUUAGCAUGACUUAUAAAACUGGUUAUGAUAAAUUAGUAUAUAAGACAUGUUAGAAAACAUGUCUUUUGAGGCAUGUUAUGGUUGAACUACUUUGUUUACUUAUUGCUUUUACUUUGCUUAUUUAUUGUUGUUUAUUCAUGCCUCAGUUGACCUAGUGGUGUACUUCGCCACUCUCAGCGGCUUACCCACUGGGAACUAUUGUUUAAUAGUUCUCACGCCCUUUUGUUGGUUGUUUUAUGCAGAGCCUUCCACAGCGGGAAAGGCUGGGGUUCCUGGCGAGGGGUCAGCGGCUAGCUAGAGCCUUUUUGAUGUUAAAUAGACGAACCUCUACCAAUUUAUGCAAUUUAGUUCAGUGUUGUGUACUGGGAUUAUGUAGAUAGUACCUUGUUCUUAUCAGUUGUAAUUAGCUUAUGGGUUGUGUAAGUUAUAAACUUUUAAGUUUUGCUCUGAUUACCUGAUUAAGUUAGUAGACUUUUACUAUGAUGAUUGUAGAUGCCUGGUGUACUUGUGAGUUUGUGAUGUACACGACGGGUCUGUGCACGCGACUGAUGAGCUUCCGCUAAAGUCCAGGGCGUGACAAUUUUGUAGUCGCACAAUGCAGGGAGGGAGACUUUGCAAUCUUUCUGCCGGAAUGGAUCCCGACUACGGUCCUGGCUAGAAGGGAAGUACUCACCCUCAAUAGCUUUUGGUUAAGGUGCUUCCCCUGGGGCUAGUAUCGUAACAUUUGCCCACACCAUGUCCGAUUUCGAGCUUGGAUUCGACUGAUAAACCUCCUAUUUGAGAUUUGGUCUGUGGCACGUGUGGCGGCACUAGUUAGUGGAUUUGGGCGAUUCAUCAAGGCGAACGGAGUGACCAAGGCGAUGACGGAUUUUUGAGUCUUUCGGUGUCAAAUCGGCCUCGACUCGCUUGGUGCUAUCCCCCAGAAUCUGUCGGUCAUUAUCAGUGACGAACUGUUCUCGGUUAUCGUCCAUUUGGAGAGUUGGGAACGGUUGGAGAACGCGGGAGAUCCGGCACCCCUCGCCCCCACAGAAAGGACACGAAGACGUUGGCGCGCCGGUCGGAGAUCGGCGCCAAAGACAACCUGACAACGAAGGACACGACCAUGCGCACGAGGAGAUAGAGGACGAGGCGGGAGAGCUGGAGGAAGUUGAGCCAACUCCGUCGACUCACAGGGGGUGGAGGGGCUUGACGGCAUUAAGACUCCCCAUGGUAGCCAAUCAGGUUACAGCGGCGGCGAGGGUCCGGGCGGCGUACGGACGGAGGGCCUGGGUAGCAACGGGUCGAUGAGUCGAAGCGGCGUGGGGAUUGAGACCAUGGGCGCACCUGAACCGAGGCAAGCUGAGAGAAGCGGGUCCUCCGAGAGUUGCACGAAGUUGGAUUAUUGGUCGAGUGGGUGUAGGGAGAAAGGCAUUACUGCUGCUUCCUUAGCAAGGCCUUUUUCUCUCCACAACUCACUGACAAGGGGCUUACCUCGGGAGAAGAUCUUUUCAACCUUAGUGGUUGAGGGGUCCACUGACUUUAUUGCUAUGGCGGUCUCUGCCAUGGGUUUGUGCAGUGCCGAGGCUAAGUAUGAGAAAGAGGGGAUUAGUGCACGACAACCGAGAAUGAUGAGGAGUUCGAUGAAUUAUGUUCUAAUGAAAGAUGGGUUGUGGAAGAUGAGUUCGAAGCUUCCCCCUUCACCUUUGCUUUUUAGCUCUAUGACAGAGAAGAUGUCUAAAGAGAGGGUGCCUUCCACCUUCGAUACCUCGAGAUUUGAGCCUUUGGUUGACUUUAGCCAGUCCUUGGGAACCAACCUAUUACAGCCAUAUGGGAUUACACGGUCACUGUUGUUGACUCAGGGGGUUCUUGUGCUACCCUGGGGAUUCGGAGACUUCUUGUGGCGCGUGGGCCGGCUUGCGAUGGUAAAGGAGUGUUGGGCCCUGCCUCAUUUUCUGAACUCGAUCUCGUGCUCUGUGGUGUUUCAACAUAGGGACCGCGGGCUGGGCCUCUAGUUAACCUCCUUUGGAGUGGGCAGUACAGCCCAGUUUGUAAAGGCCUGGAAGCGUAUAGAAGACAGUGAAAGUAUGGAAGGAGCAGAUCACCAGAUCUAUGGGCGGGCUUUGGAGCUCUUUAAUGGGUGUAAGCAGCUUUCUGACUCAAUUUUUGAAUUGGGAGUGGUGGAUGGAGGCAACAUAGAGCUGUCUCCCCCAACGAUGGAUUCGGUUGAGACGGGGGCAUCACCGAAUCACUACUUGUCCCGUACCUGCCAGAGUAGCCCCAGUCAUUCCAUCCGCCGCUACAGCGAGCGUCUUGGCAGUGCUGACAAGAGUUCAAUACUACACAAAGCAAUAUCGAGGAAGGCUAGAUAGCGCGAAGGUGAGGGUAGCAAUGUGGUCGACCAUAUUGUUAGGAAGAUCAUACGUAAGAGCCGGUCCUUCGGGGUGAAUCUGGGAGUUGCGGAGGCGGAAAGUUUCGUCGAGUUUGCGGCCUACUGCGCAUAGGGUGGGAUGGUUUUCUGGUUUGGAGUAUGUCUUUUUGGAUUUUUUUGGGUUUGGGUGUCUUUGUGCUUUUGUCGAUGUUUCGUGUCUGUAGCUGGAACGUUAGAGGGCUCAACGACCAUCUAAACGUAAUGCCGUUAGGGCGGUAGUCUCUAAGUUAUGUAAUGUGGUAGUGUGUCUUCAGGAAUCUAAAGUUAGUCAUGUAUCGGGGUCCCUUUUUGCGGAGCUUUGGUGGUUCAUUCGUCGACAAAUGUGUUUUUGUGGAAUCUAAUGGUGCGUCUGGGGGCUUAAUCACUUGCUGGAGUUUCCGUGUCUUCAUUUGCCACGAAGUGAUUAUGCGAAGAUUUUCCAUUACGGUACUGCUGACUCACGUCAUGUCUAAAGCAAAGUUCUAUGUUACGUGUAUGGACUGUCUAUGUGGGAAGGUAAGAAGGAGUUCUAUUCAGAGGUGGUGCAAUUGAAAGAGUGCUGCAUAGGUAAAUGGAUUGUUUGUGGAGACUUUAAUAGUACUAGAGGACAAGAGGAGCAGAGGGGGAAAACCUGGAGCUCGAAAGCAACUCUUUUGUUCAACGAUCUUAUUAAGGGGCUAGCACUGAUUGAUCUACCUAUGGUUAACCAAUCUUUCACGUGGUCUAACAUGUAGAAGAGUCCGACUUUAGCUAGACUUGACCGCUUCUAGUCUCGACGGAAUGGGAUAUGGACUUCCCUUUGACCAAGGUUGAAGCCCUGCCUAGAGUAACGUCGGACCACUGCCCUAUUCUGUUAACUGCCAAGCGAUCCGAUAUGCUGAAGAAAAAUAAGCUCUUUCGUUUUGAAAAAGCCUGGCUGAAUCAUGGGGACUUUGUAUCCAAACUCCCGGGCUGGUGGAGGGAGGGUAAUCAGAAAAAGUCGGCGAUACUAACUUUUGUAGAGAAGCUUAGACACUGCAGAACGAGAAUUAAAGAGUGGUGUGCGAAUGAAUUCUACAGUAUCCGUGGACUUAGAUCUAAACUUAUGGGAGAAAUCCAGGAAAUCAAUAUAUUUGAAGAACAGCUAGAACUUACACAAGAUCUAUAUUUGAAGAGGGAGGAGCUUAAAGAAAAACUACGGAGGGUUUUAAAUGACGAAACGGCCUUGUGGAGAACACGAGCCAAACAGCAUUGGCUGCAGGAGGGGGACGGCAAUACAAAAUUUUUUCAUUCCAUAGCUAACGGCAGGAAAAGAGCUAAUGGAAUUGGCAUGAUUAACGACGAUGGAGGUGUGUUCCAAACAGACGACGAAAAAAAGAAUUACUUUUAUCUCAAAUUUAAGGAGCUUUUAACUCUAGAAGUGAGGACCACGACAUCCUUCAGGGAUUAGUGCGGCCUCUUCACUACGAACCGGGUAUCUAAAUUCAAUAUUGCUCGCCUGACCGAACCCUUUAGCACCACUGAAAUUAAGAAAGCGGUCUUCCAACUCGGGAGUGACAAGGCGUCGAUUAUUGUCGAUUAAGAACCCUUUAGCACCGCUGAAAUUAGAAGGGGAUAUAUUGGCUCUUUUUCACGAGAUGUACGAGGGAAAGCUAUCCACUAAUCCUAUUGAUUAUUCGUUCAUCUGUUUUAUUCCCAAAAAAGAAGGGGCGGAGCGGGCGAACGAUUACCGGCCUAUAAGCUUACUAAAUGGCAUCCAAAAGAUCCUAUUGAAGGUCUUGGCUAACCGGUUGGAACCGAUUAUGAACGACCUGAUUUUCUCUUCCUAGUCAGCAUCCUUAAAGGAGAGGAGCAUAUCCGAUGCUUUCGUCGCAGCCUCCGAAAUACUCGGAUGGAGAUGUAAGAAGGCUAUAGAGGGGGUCGGUGUGAAAGUGGAUUUCGAAAAGGCUUAUGAUCGGAUCAGUUGACCUUUUUUGUUUCGAAUUUUAGACUUGUGGGGCUUUGACACAAAAUGGAGUGAUUGGACCAAGCUCUGUGUGUGCUCUACCAAAAUAGCCGUUUUGGUUAAUAGAGAGCCUAUUAAGUGGAUCAAGACAAAAAGAGAAGUUAGGCAAGGGGACCCGCCGUCCCCUUUUUUUUCUUGCUAGUGGCAGAGUGCAUAGCCCGAAUGACUAAUGAGGCAUCUACUAACAAUCUACUCAAAGGUCUUGAUCAAUCCGAGGCGAGCAGAGUAACUAUUAUCCAGUUUGCAGACGAUACAUUUUUUUUCUGCGAGGCUAGGAAAAGGUAUAUUAGAAACCUUAAGGUCUUGUGGCAGCUGUUCGAAUGGGCCGCAGGAAUGAAGGUUAAUAAGGAGAAGUCGGAAUUGUUCUAUACUGGAAAAGUUGAAGGAAAACCGAGAAGACUUGCGGACUUACUUGAGUGCAGUGUUGGUACGCUCCCAAGUACCUUGGCCUUCCUCUCUUUAGUAGAGCUCCUUCCAAGGCGGACUGGAUGGGAGUAAUCUAGAAAAUCCAAAGUAGAAUUGACGGCUAGCAGGCUAAACUCUUUUCAAGAGGGGGUAUAAACUCAUACUAGUUAAUGCGGUCUUAACCAACCUACCUAUAUACUACCGGUCUACGUUCAAGGCGCCCAAAUGGGCGAUCAAACGUAUUAAGGCACUUCAUAGAAACUUCUUUUGGAAAGAAGGUAGCUGCUCCCCAGGCAAGGGAAGUCUAAUCGCCUGGAAAAAUGUAUGUAUAAGUAAGAAAGAAUGAGGGCUUGGCAUCUUGGACUUGGCUGUUAUGAAUCAAGCUUUACUUGUCAAAUGGUGGUGAAAAUUUCACACGGCGCCCCAGCUACAGCGGAAUAAGCUUAUUCAUGACCUAUAUUACUGCAGAAGAAGACCGUUGAACGAUGGAAGAUCUUCUAGGCCUCUUUCACAAUGGUGAAAAGGAGUUCUAAGUCUCUCGGAUAUCUUCAAAUGGGGAUUAUUCUAUUGGGAAAUGGAUGCACUAUUGAUUUUUUGUCGGAUCGAUGGUGUGGGGAGAAGGCUUUGCAGCUGGCCUUCCCGGAGGUGUACGACAUGGCGGAAUGCAAGACCGUUAAAGCUAAGGAUUGUUUGGGAAGUGAUGGCUGGAACUGGAAUGUGAUCCUAGGAGGCGAUGGCGUUGGUAGGCAGGGCUUGUGUUCUACCUGGUCAGAGUUUAAGGAUCAAAUCUCUGCCUGCACAGGAGAUCAGAGCCCUGAUAUGAUCCUUUGGCGGUGGGACCCCGGGGGGCGCUUCUCAGUUAAGUCGACGUACUCUGCGCUGAGGGAUGGAGGCACGAGGGAUGCCCGCGCAAACAAGCUUUGGAGACUUUGAAUACCUUUAAAAGUUAAGGUGUUCUCCUGGCUCGCCCUAAAAAAAGGCUACUUAUGGCCGAUAACCUACAAAAAAGAGGGUGGAGCGGUGACACGGCUUGUGUUUUGUGUGGGUCUAAAGAGGCAACCGUGGAUCACUUGUUCUCUGCUUGUGUCUUUGCUAAAUUUAUCUUUGUGAUGGCAGUGGAGGGUGUUCAGAUUUGAGAUUUGGCAGACAGCGUUCAAGGGGUAUGGGAUAGAUGGGCGGGUACGAAGAGCCCGCAUUCUACGUCUAACAGACUUACGGAACUAGCGGCUUGUUGGUGGAUCAUCUGGGAGAGCAGGAACGAUGUGAUCUUCAAAACGACUCAGCUGGACCCUCUGCGAGCAGCCCGUAAGGUUAAAAAGUUGUCGGUGGCUUGGGAACAAUCUUUGUCGGCUAAUCAGUAGUUUUUUUUUUUGUUUUUUUUUAUUUUUUUUUCGAACCCAAGCCUAGCUGCCUCACUUCUGUAGCUUAAUUCAUCUUUUCAAUGAAUGAAGCGGGUAGCAUGCUACCUUUUCCUCAAAAAAAAAAAAAAAAAAAAAAAAAGUAAUAUCCAUCAGAGGAUAUGUUGUUUAACUAAUAAGAAAUAUAUAAUUUAUUUUUAUUCUUAACUUAUUAGAAUAAAUCUCAAUCCAUAUUCUCUUUUUUAUAAAUAAUCUAUUUUGAGAUGUCAAACAAAUAACACAUCAAGCCUAGAGGAAAUUUUUUAAUAAAAAAAAUAUGGCUAAAUUACAUAAAAUUUUCCUGUCAAAAUUCAAUUUUUCACUUUCCCGGCCCUGUCAUUUAAAAACCUACACUUUGCCCCCUUGUAAAAUGAAAAAUGUUCACAGGGGGAUACGGUGUGUAAAAUGACCAUUUUGCCCCUCACCAUUUUCGUCUCCUCCCUCAUCUUCCUCAACCGCCGCCUCGAUCGGCCGCGAUUCACACCUCGACCGGCCGCGAUCUCUCCAUUUUCUUUUCCACCUGCUCCCCUUCUCCUCCUACACCCUCGCUGCCUCUCGAUUUCAGCAACAGUAGAGAGGAAAUUGAGGUCGGCGCUGAUGGAGAGGUAGGCAAGGGCAACGAGGGCGAAGGCAAGGCGGCAGAAGAGGGUGAAGGGGAUGUGGGCGAGAGUGAGGGCGAGGCAGUGGAGGAGGGCAAGGCGGCGAGGCGACGGCGAAGCGGCGAGCCGGAGGGAGGCGAAGCAACAGGGAAGAGGGUGGAGGGGUAUUGUUGGCAUAAAAAAAUAUUUUAUAACGGAACCCUAACGGAUCACUAACGAUAAGGGAUGAGUGAACAUUUUUCAUUUUACAAGGGGGCAAAGUGUAGGUUUUUAAAUAACAGAGGGGGAAAGUGAAAAAUCGGAUUUUGACCGGAAGAUUUUCUAUAAUUUAGCCAAAAAAUAUCAACAACAAUCUUCGAAGACCCUUCAUAAAACCCAAGACAUUUCUCACUUUCACCAUCAUUUAUUGAAGGUAAAAUUGUACAAAAUUUAUUUCAACUAUAAAAUAUUUUGAGUCGAUUAUUUAAUUUUUUUAAAUUUUAAUUUUACUAACCAACCUUUCAAUUUGUUUGAUUUUAAACCAGUCAAGACAAUUUCACUUCAAAAUUUAAACUAAUUGCUUACUUUAUUGAGUUCAUAAAAUGUACUAACUAAACAUGUAAAAUUAAACAACACAUUAAAAUUUUGAACUCAAAAUAUCGUUGACCGAAUCAAAUCAAAUAAAUUGAAAAAUUAAGUAGUAAAAUCAAAUUUUAAAAGAUUAAAUAUUUGACUAAAAAAUGGUACAUAGUUCGGAUAAAUUCUAUAUGUUUUUUCCUCAAUUGAAUAGCCUAUGAACUAUGCAUCACCACCAAAGUCCACAAAUCCAAUUCUCCAAUGAGGAAAUCAACAAGUGAACUUACUAUCUAUCAAAUUACAAGGAAAUAAUAAUAUGCACAAGGAUACAUGACAUAGUUCAAUAAGAAUUUAACACCCUCAAGCUAGUAAAAGAGAAUCAGAUGUACUAAACCUCCAUUUCCCCCUCUCUAAACACAACAAACUAUUAUCAUGAUCACCAUAAACUUGCUCCAAACUCUGCUGCCAAAGUGGCGAGGACCUCAUCGGCGGCGAGGACCCGACGCAGACGUCGAGCCGUGCCCUAAACCGCUCGUCCCCAGGGCGGAGCAUCGCGGGGAGCGGCAACCGCACGCCUCUCUCUUCGCAUGCGAUGUGCCUCGGCCGGAUCCGGCCAUCGAGGCCGAACGAGAAGUAGUGCGGGAACUCGCGGAGCUCCACGGGGCUCCGGCCCAUCGCGUCGAGCAAGAACCCCAGCUUCGGCCGCAGAUUACCCUCGAUGCUGUAGCACAUCAGCUGCGGGAACCGCCGCGCCAUCGCUCGCGCCUCCUUGCGAGAGAAACCGGCAGACUCCAAGAACUCGAGCCGCGGGAGGAGCUUCUCCUCUACGCUGCAGGAUAGCAGGGUUGCGUGGCGAGAGAUCGGCGAGAUACCUGUUGAGUAUGAAUGAUUAAAAUCCUGUUCUCUAAUAGUUUAAGCGUUCAAAGAAUAACUAUAUAUUAUUUCGAUUAAAUAUAAAAAAAAGCAGGAGAUCAUGAGUUAGUUACAAAUGCAAGAGGACUUCUUGUGUCAUUUAUUAAUUUCCUCUUAUUUGCCUUUAACUAUAUGCCAUUUUGAAAUAGGCCUCUAAUACAAAUAUAUUUUCCCCCUCUUUUAUUGAUAAUAUAUAUAUGAACUUACAAUUGUCUUGAUUUGAAUUGUUUUUCUGAAUAGAAUUAGAUAUAUAUAUAUAUAUAUAUAUAUAUAGUAAUUAACAACUUUCUUAGCUAAAGUAGUUACUGACUAAUGAAUUUACAGUUCUAUAAAAUUAUAAUACAUCCAAAAUAUAUAUAUAUAUAUAUAGUAAUUAACAACUUUCUUAGCUAAAGUAGUUACUGACUAAUGAAUUUACAGUUCUAUAAAAUUAUAAUACAUCCAAAACAAUUAAUUUACCAAAAAUUUUAAUUUAAUUUAAAAAUAAUAUAAAUUAAACCGUAAACUUCGUUUAGCCUCCGUGUGGUCUAGGCUGCGCACUUUCACUUCGCCAACUUCUAGUCCGAAAACUUUUUACUUUACCAUUCCGUGGUUCGAAAAGUUUUACUUUGCUACCAUGUGAUUUAUUCUUUGUUUCACUGUAAGGACCUCUCGUUAAAUAGGUAGUAAAGUGAUAGAUUUCACAACCACAAGAUCACUAAAUGUAAAUUAUUGGCUAGUUAUUAAUACUACUAUUUGCGCCCCCCUAUGGUUUGUAUAUUGUCCAUUUUACUGCCCCGUGGUUUGCACAUUAUAGUAUUUUUAGUAUCUCAGUUAAUAGCAUAUCUUUAAAAUAAAACAAAGAGAAAACCACGUCAUAAUAAAGUAAAACUUUUUAAAUCAUAAAAUGGCAAAAUAACAAAUAAUCAAGUGUUUAGGAGUGUCAAUCAGAGACAAUCGUUGAAGGAUCUAUUUUAAAACGACAGUGUUUACCGGUUUCUGUGGCUUAACAAAAACAAUAAACUUAUUUUAAUACUCUAUUUAACAGUAGGUCCUUACGAUGAAACGAAAAUGAAAUUAGAAUAGUAAAGCGCUACUUUUUUCAAACCACGUGAUGGCAAAAUAAAAAUGUAAGGGCGUUUAGAUUACUGCUACUGUGGUUCAGUUGAAAAUUAAGCUUGCUAAGAAUAAAACUAUUGAUGCCGAAGAGAUUCAUCGUCUAAUCGUAGAUUAGAUUUUGGAUCUUUCUAUGAAUCUCCUUUUCAGAGUCUACGUGAUAAGUAAUAAGACUAACAUUUUAACUCUUAAUAACUUAAAUUACAGCAAAAUCCUGACUUCAUCAAUCCAAAUGCCACUAAAACCACCAGAAGGCAAAUUGAAGUUUACCUUUAGGAUCUGUUUGUUCCCAGGUUUGUAAUAUUUGAGAAAUAUUGUAUAUUUUAUAUUUGGAAUGAUAAAAUUAUUAUUAACUUAUUAUGCUGCAUGGGGUGGAUGGUUGUUAAGAAUUAGUAUAUUCCUAUUAAUAAGCUACUAAUAAUUCCCAUGAAGCAUGAAAAUGAGAAUUUCUCCUAACUCAUAAUAAUCUAGUAUUAAUUCCUACCAUCUAAGAAUCUACAAUGGUUCCACAACAACCAUAUUUGGAUGUCGGAAUAAGUUAUUCAAGAAUUAUUUAUUCCACAUAAAGAUUUUCUAAUAUGAUUGUAAAUAAGGUGACUUUUGUUCCUUCAAACAUCAAGCUAUCCAUGAUUUGGCAGGAUAGCAUAUUUCACCUAUAAGAUUAUUUAUCUUGUGGAAAACAAUAAUUUAAAAGUAUAGUAUCCAAUUCUAAACAUUUUGAUAACACUCCCUAUCAACCAAAGGUACAAAGUUUUAAAAUAAAUUAAGGCUCUAUUUGAAUGUCGGAAUAAGUUAUGAUUGUAAUUAAGAAGUCUAAAUUUUGUUUCUGUCUUGCUAUCUAUAACUUUGUGGGAUAGCAUAUUUUAUUCACGAGAUAAUUUAUUAUAUUCUAAAAAUAAUUUGAAAGCCGAAUAUGAUACUCUAUUUUAUAUAUUUGAUCACACUCCUUAUCUACCAAAUUUAGAUAUUUCUUAAAUAAAUCAAGAAAAUAUAGAGCUAAAAAAAUAUAUCGAACAAGAUAUUCAUAUAUCCAAACAGAGCUUACGCCAUUUCCACCUUUUAUAACUACCCACAAUAAGUUGAGUAUGUAUUGAUUUGAAUAUUUUCAAGAGUCCGACUAUGGUGCUUCCGAAAGCACCCGUCGUAUGGUAUUUCUAAUUUUUUAACCCUUGGAACAACCUCUUUGAUCAUUUCUAGUUCUUGAAUUAAUAUUAUUCCUCUAGAAGAAGAGAACCAUUAUUAUCCCGACCCUACAAUUUUUAAUCCAAAGGUCAAAAAGUCGGAAGUAUCAACUCCUUCGUUUUUUCGGAAGCACAGAAGCUCUACACUAUUUUCAAGAACAAAUAUGGAGAAUCACCGGAAUAUUACAAACCACACACAAACAUGAAAUUAAGCCUUUGAGAGAAAUCGGGAAAAUCUACGCACCUAGGGUUUGGAGGAAGUAGAGUGUGGGGCGGAGCCGCCCGGGGACGGAGGAGACGAGGAGGCGCGGGCGCCGCCGGAUCACGCGGGGGAGCGCGGCGGCGGGGACGCCGGCCUCGCGGCGGAGGAACGCGGCGGCGGCGGCGAUCGUCUCCGGCGCCGCCGCGAGGAUCUCCGGGCACAUCCCGGCGCUGCGGCGGAGCUCGCCGGGCCCCAGCCCCAGCUCCACCAGCGCCGCCGCCGCCGCCCGCAUCUCCCCGAUCGGCGCGCGCGCCACCGCCGCCGCGGCGGCGCCGGAGGCGAGGUCGACGCCGAGGGAGUCGAGGAAGAGGAGCUUCUCCUCGGAGGAGGAGGAGGAGGAGGAGGAGGAGGAGAGGGGUAUUUUGGGAAGAGAGGGGUGUACUUUGGGAAUUGGGGCGAUUGGGGGAACGGGGGCGUGGAGCUUCGCCCUCGCGGCUGGGAAGCGGGGGCGAGGAGGACGACGACGAGGACUAUUUUGGGAACGGGAGGGUAAUUUGGGAAUGGGGGAGGAGGGGCAUAAUGGGAAUGACAAUAUUUCCUCCAUUGGUGAGCCACUCGUGUGUCGAUGCUACAUUGCUGCGUAGGAAAUAGAAAGAAAGGAAAAAGAUAGAUAGAGAGAGAGAGAGAGAGAUAAGGCGUUGAAGAGCAGAGACAGAGAGAGAGAGAAAUUUAUGGGUGCACUUGGUGUAUCGGUAAAUCUCGUGCACCGCACUUCAUUUGAUGAUCUAGGCUUCAUAAUUGGAAAUUACUACCUAUAUAUCUCUACAUAGACCGAGAGAGAGAGAGAGAGAGAGAGAGAGAGAGAUAGGUUUUAUACUUUCGAAAAUGUGAAAGCCUCCGUCCGUGCAUAUAAGUUAUUUUGGAUGAUGGAACAUUUGAUUCGGCGAUCAAUUUUGUUAGACAUUAUCUAUGCUAUUGAAACUAUCUAAAAACCAAAUUUUAGAAUUUUUUUAUUUCAUUUGCUUAGUGAACAAGUAGUUUAAAAAUAAACAAUUGAAAAUAAAAAUCUCAUAAAAACAAUGAUAAAAGAUAAAUUUUAAAUCAGAAAUAUUAAUCUUACUAUUGAUAUUAAGUAGAAUUUUCUAUUAUAAUUUUUAUAUAAUUUGGAUUGUUCUAUACCGUUCAACAAAAAAACGUGCCACAUCAACCGUUAAAAUAGUCAAUUUUUGAGACCUUUUGAUUACGUGGUAAAUAAUAUUGAAAAAUUAUGAAAUUUUAUUUUCAGUAGUUCCAAUAGCAUCGAUUAUGCCUAUCGGAAUUAAUCGAAUGUCUUAUCAUCGAAAAUAACUUAUAAGCACGGAGGGCUUCAUACUUUAGAAAGCACAGAAGAUGUACUCUAUAUGUGUGUGUGUAAGUUUUAGACCUUGCUUGAUGUGUAGUGUUCACAAAAUCAUUUUAGCUUUUUAGUAUUAAAAAAAAUAGGGUAAACUUUAAAUACCACCACUUUCGCACUUUCUUACUUUAGUACUUAUAGUUUAAAGUAUAUCAAUAUAGUACACUAUGGUAUCAUUUUUUUUUUUUUUUGUCAGCCCCUCCGUUAACUUUUCAUUAAAUCAUAUAUAAAAAACUUCAUAUGCCCACCUAUAGUUUAUCGAAUAUUCAUUUUAGUAUAUUUUAGUUUUAACUUUGUCACUGAUUUAAUGAAAAUAUAUACCACAAAAGGUUAACAUUUAUUGAAAUAUAUUUAUAAUUCACUAUAUUUGUAGAGACCUGUAUGCAUUUUAAAUUAUAGAAAGCAGAUAGUACUCUAUGUUAGUAGAGAAGUGACAUAUCUUAUACAUAAAUUAUAGGGAAAACUUCAAAACCCCCCUGUGGUUUCGUAGUUUCUCACUUUGCCCCCCUGUGGUUUAAAAUGUAUCAAAUUGCCCCCCUGUGGUUUCGUUUUUAUCUUUUCGGUAGCUUUUUCGUUAAUAUUUUAUUAAAUUAUAUACAAAAAAUUUUAGAUACUCAUCUAGAUUUAUCAAAUAUUCACUUUAGUACCCUUUAAUUUUAACUUUAUUACUGAUUUAAGAAAAAAAAAUAAUGAAAUUGAUUAGAAAAAGAGAAAAAAGAAACCACAGGGGGACAAAUUGAUAUAUUUUAAACCAUAGGGGGGCAAAGUGUGAAACUAUGAAACCACAGGGGGGUUUUUUGAAGUUUUCCCUAAAUUAUAUCUAUUCAUUUGAGCCUUAAAAAAUAGGCUCAAUUUUAAGAAGACCCCUUGCACUUUAAUGCUUUUCUUAAGCACCCCCUGCAUUAAAAAUUACAUCAAUUACUCUCCCACAUUUUGUCAUUAUCUUAAAUUGGUCUAACUAUUCCGAAUAAUUAUUGAAUUUAGCUAUAAAACUUUAUAAAAAUAAAUCGGCUGGCAAAAUUAUCUUUAGAUAAUGCAAUAGAAUUAGUUACUCGACAAAUGAUCAAUUUUGAUAGAAUUAGCAAAAUAAAAAAAAAUUAUCUAAUUUUUUGAUAUAUUUUUGAGCUGCAAACUGAAUAUAUGUUGAGAUGCGGAGCAAUGUGAUAUACCAACUCAUUUUAUUAAAAUUUUCAAGCCUAAUUUGUUAAAACUUUUUAAAUAUUUUGGAUUUAUUUAAGAUGAUGACAAAAUAUAGCAUGCUAAUUGGUGGAAUUUUUCAUGUAGGGGGAUAAUUGAGAAGUUGAUAAAGUGUAAGGGGGCUUUUUAUAAUUUAGCCCUAAAAAUAUUCUAAAUUUAACACCUCGUGACCUCGUGUAGGUUUAUAUUAAUUAUUAAUUAUGGUGCGGUGUAUGAGAUGUAGGGAUACACCAGGUUCAGCCAACAGUACUUGUGUGAGCACACUCCAGGGAGUGAGAGAACCCACUCAAAAUUUGGACGGUUGAGAUUUCGAGUUGAGAAUCUGACGGCCCGUGGAUAGCUGGGAAAACCCCAUUCCACAAAUUUUGAUGCGUGGUUUUAUUGAUUUCCGAAAUUAAAAAAAAGAAAAAAAGAAAAAUGGGGUAAUUUUUGUGACCACAAAAUUUAGCGGGCAAACCACGACCACAAUCGGGCUUUUUGUGAAUGAAUGGCGCCACCAACAACCUUGUAACAUGCACGCUUCACAUUUUUCUUCGAAUUUAGGCUUCGUUUGGGAUUACGGGGAUCGCGUUACGUGUGGUGAGAUAGAAAGUACAUUGAAAAAAUAUUCUGUUUGUUUUCGUACGUAAUAUUGCGUUCCGCAUAUCGCGAUGAGUCAGUUAAGAUAUAUUUUCUGUGGUCCCACCGGAGAACGCAGAAGUAUAUCCCUAUAUGCUUUUUCCUCAUCUCUAUUUUAUCUAAUAGCGUUAGAUAGGUCUCAAUACUAAACUAAGCCUUAGUAAAUUAUAAGGCAUGUACCGGCGCUUUGCUGUGGGUACGAUAAGUAUAUUCUUAAUAAAAUUUGUAAAAUAUAAUAUAUAUUUUUAUUUUAUAUAUUAUAUAUUAUUGAUAUAUAAUAAUUAUUAUACUACAUAUAUUAUUAUAAUAACUUAUAUUUGUAAAUUAAAUAUAUAAAACUUAUAUUAUAUAAAUUGAUGUAUAUAAUAUAAUAUAUAUACAAUAAUAUUUAUAUAAUACUAUAUAAUAAAAAUAUAAAANCAAAAUUUUCUGAAGUAAAAGAAAAAGUUUGUAAUAUGCUUAUUUUUAGGUCAGUUUGUCUGAAAGAUAUAUAUCCUUUUUUGUGUUUUUUUAAAAUUCUUAUUCUUUUAACUCUAUUCAGAUUAUUUUUGUCGAUCUAUACAAGCAAUAUCGAGAAUUAAAAAUAUUAUGAUAAAAUAAAAAGUAGUUACUUGAUUCAUAGGUUUUUAAUUCACCGGCUUUAUAAUUUUUUUAGAAUUUAUGAACAUAUAUUUAAUUUUCUGCAGGGCAAGAAUUUGUUUGUAAGAAAUUUUUAAAUUUAGCACAAUUACGCACCAACGUGAGAAAUUAGAUAUGAUUUGAUCUAAAAUUUGGACUUAUAAUAGAUAAAUGACAAAAAAUAGAGGAGUACUCUAAUUGGUUUAAUAGUUGGUAGGCAAUGAAGCAAAUCAAUUUAGAAAAAUAGCUCAAAAUUUUAUAUACUUUAGGAUUUAAAAUUUAAAAUUUGAAGUUGAAAAUUUGGGAAUAAAUUAAAAUUUUGAUAUCCAAAAUUUGAAAUUUUAUAAUAUAAAAUUUUAAAACUCUGUAUAUCUAUACUUCUAUACUAUAUAUACUAUCUAUACUAUCUAUCUAUACUAUCUAUAACCCUUAUGAAAGCCCGUGUUCCCUUUGUCCACGUGGCAGCAUUAGCUUAAUUUUACUUUUGUGGGCCCUACCUGUUAUCUUAAAAUAUUUUAGUAAUUAAUUAGUGGGUGGGUCCUACCCAACCAAAUUUUUUUUCAUAAUCUGCUUCCAUUUAAUUUUCCCUAUUCCAACUCCGCCUCCUUCCCUGCUUCUAAUUAACUUCUUCUUCCAACUUCACCUCCUUCGCUCGCCCCUCUAGGUGCCGCUCCGACUCCUGUUCCCUCCCGUUCCCUCUCUGGACGGAAUGUUGGGCGAGUUCAUGGUCGGGCCUUCUUCCCGUCGCGACGCUUCGUUUCGUUCGCUCCUUAUAUGCCGCUUCGACUCCUGUUCCCUCUCUAGACAGAAUGUUGGGCUGGGUUCAUGGUCGGCGCUUCUUCCGGUCGCACCGUUCCCGUUAGCGACGCUUCGUUUCGGCUUAUUCAUCCCCUUUGAUCACGAAAAUGGUAUGGAUUCAUUCUCUGUGGUCCCUUCUUGCUGUCUAUAUAUGUUAAAAUCGGAAUGGCGAAAAAUAGAUCCAGAAAAUAAUUUAAUGCAAGAAAAGAAAAGAUAAGCGGAAAGAACACACCGAUAUUUACGUGGUUCGGCCAACGGUCUACGUCCACGGGCGAAGGCGGAGCAAAUAAUUUAUUAAUGUCGAAAAGGCGGAGUACAAAGAGAAUCUCCCAAAAGACCAAAACUUAAUUAGAUCUGAAACGGCGCAACAAGCAACUUCGGAAAAAAGCUUCUCUGUCAAUCCGUACGAACCAAGCCAAUGCCGACUCUCUACUGGUGUGCAUGCCUUAAUUAGAGCUGUGCAUAAUUAAAGGCUGCGGCACCUCUCCAAUGCACACCACGAAGUUGCCACGUAACCACCAGCACUUCUUAGGCCCUUUAAUUUGAGCUCCGUUAAUUAGAUCAUGGCCUCUUAAAUUUUGUUGCGAUUGCUUCGUUACCGUACGGAUCACCAACAACUUAAUUUCAUGGCUCUUAAUUUGGUCGCGGCGAUUAAUUUGGCCGUGACAUGUAUAUAUAAUACAUGUUUCCUAAUUAGAGUCUAAUUCUAAUUCAAUUAGAAUUAUACUCCUAAUUAUAAUCCAUAUAUGCCAAAUUAAAUCUAAAUUAUAUAUAAUCCUAAUUAGAUUAGGAUUUAACUCCAAUUUAGAUAACUGCAAAUCUAAACCAAAUAUAACAAUAUAAUAUGCCUCUGUCAAAUUUUUAUUUGCUGCAAAAAACUCUCUGAUUUUUUCCAUCGAUUUGGUAGCGAGGCCUCCGCGGGCUUCGAUUUCACCUCCAGGAAGCGGAUCGAGCAGCCGCCCGGGCCCACGCCCGCACGAGGGCACGAGCCGACACGGACGCGAGCCGGCGCGGGUGUGGGCGUGGGCGUGGGCGUGGGCGCGCGCAGGGGCGCGAGCGGCGUGGGCUGCGCGGGUUGGGUCCGGACACGGGCGCGGGAAGUGAUCUCCGCGCUCUCUCCCUCGCAGGCACCGUGCCCUCUCCGCGCCCUCUCCCUGCCGCCGGGAUCUGCAGUGUGAUCUUCACUGGUGCCGCGCCCUCUCCCUGGCACCCUCUCCGACCUCCCGCUCGCGAACCCCAAUGCCCUCUCCCUGGUGCCCGCGCCCUGUUCAACGAAAUGCCGAGCUUAUUUAUAAAUGACAAUUUCUCAAUUUGCUGAGCUUUUUAAAUAGGUUUACUCAGAAGAAUCUACUCAGAAUUUAUCCAAAGGGAACGCGAUUCAAUUCAUCAAACUAUAACCCGUAUAUCGGUUGGAUGCAUGGUGCUCAAAUGGUUGCAUUCAAUAUGCAGGUUAGCCUCUAUGCUUAAGAUACAUAGUGAAGUAUAUUUGAUUCAAUUUCCUAAUCUGUUCAUUUGAGUUGAUGUGCCCUUGCAUUUAUCUCAUUGCUCCAAGUUUAUGAAAUCUGGUUUCAUUACUCCAAGUGUAUGAUUUUCUUAAAUAUUUUAUCAUCUAGAGAUAGGUAAAUUGGCUUUCUCAGAUCUGGUUUCUGUUGAUUAAGGAUGUGAUUUAUAUAUUAGUUUCUUAAAUAAAAUCCUAUGCAUGUUUUGUUGGUUCUUGGGGCGCAGUUGUUUAAAUCAGCUUAUAAGAAUUGUGCUAUCAUUUUCAUCUUUGUUCCAUUUUUUUGUCGUAUUGGCAACUGGGAGGCGCAUAUAUAUUUUUUCUCUUAACAGCUUGCUCUUACUUCCUUUUAGGGGUAUGGAAGAUCCUUAUGGUUAACGCAUGGGUUUUACGAAGCCAAUGAGGGUUGUGGUUAUGUGAAAAAACCUGAUUUCCUAAUGGGGAAUGGUUCACAUGGUGAGAUUUUCGACCCGAAAGCAAAUUUACCUGGACUGAUGACCAACGAGCAAUAGAAUGAUAACAAAAUAAGAUAUUUGCUUUUUUUCCCGGAGAAUUAAAUUUCUAAUCUCUAUUGGCUUUUAUUACCUAGCAUUCUAUGGAGAAAAGAUCCUACUCUCUUUAGAAUAUAUUAUGCUUAGAAACUGCACAAUGCCUAUCAGAAGCUGUCACUCAUGACUCUCAUUACUCUAUUAUAGUUUCUGACCCUACUUUCGUCUUUCUAUAAGGAUGAUCACUAGAUGUUACAUUUUAUGAAAUUAAUCCCUCUUUUGGCUUCCAUUUUUUUUUACUUAACUUCUUUAAUUGGUAACAUACACUUAUGAAUUGCGGUCAAAAAAUCUAAAGCUCAAUUUAAUAUCCCCAACAUACUUUUUCAGUACUUUACAUAUUCUGACUUAUGCAUUUGCAAGUCCAAGACUCUUCGCAUUAUCAAUUUUAUUUCUCUUUAUUUAUUUCUUUUCUUUUCUUUUCUUUUUUAGUCUGGUAAUUAAGCCUUUGUAAAUGUCUUAUAUGCAGAUAAUAAAAUGAGGAAUUAGUUGGUGGAGUUGGUCUCAUAUGUUGAUAAACUGAACAUUGAGUAAGCUUAUAUUUUUCCUUUAUAUCUGAAGUGUUCUAUAGCUUAAUUAGAUACCUAGCCUCAUAUGUAUAAUCUCUUACCAUGAACUCAACAUAUGUUGUUCUGGGUGGAUUAGGUAAUGUUCUAUGAGAAGAUCCGAAUAAAUAUAAUGCUGUGUGAAAAAAAAAGAGUUGCUAAUUAUUAAGACUUCAUUUCAUUUCAUUAUAUUGACAUUUCCUCCUUAAAUGUUGGAUGGUUUUGAUGGUUGCGAUCGACCCGACCCUUCUUAACUGGUGAUGAGGACACUUUGGAUGGCCUACUUUGUAGGCAGUCGGUUGCUCCCUGCUAUGUAAAAAAAAAGACUUCGGCGGCGAUCUAAUACGCAAAACAAGACUUCGGCGGUGAUCUAAUAAUGUUCGAUGGAUAGGGAAGCCUUAGCAAAGUAUAUUUAUUUUCACUAUCAGGUUUGCUUUCGCUCCUACUCUAUAUUUGUAAAGAAUUUAUUUUCAUCUCGAUUCAUUUAGUCUAUUUGGUAUGGUUUUCAUGAUCUGAUUUAGUUUCCUAUGCUUUUCAUUGUUGUCCUAUGUGGUCUACGUUAAUAUUUAUGGUGGCCUUCCCCUUGAAUGUCAAAUCGUUGUGAUAAUUGAGAGGGGCCUGGGCCUUCUAGACUGGUUAUGAGGGCACUUUGGAUGGCCUUAGUACUCGAUUAAUAUUCCAGCUGCAACUUUGAUUGAUUAAACUCUUCUUUGUUCUCUCUAGGUUUCUGGAUAAUCACUAAAUUUUCUACUCUUUGUGCCAAGCUGUGGUGUUCUAAUGCAAUUGUAUAUGUAAAGCUUAGUGCCUUAGCACAUAUUAGUGUAAAGUUGCAUGAGUUAACUCUAACUUAAAUUGUUGCAUGAAUGAUUGCAUAUUACAUUCACUUUAGAGAACAAAUUUGAGUUUUAGUUGGAUUCUUCAUUCGAAAAUUGCAUCUUUAGAAUUUGAGCUGAGUAUAAUAGCUACAUGUGUAGCUGAACAAGCCUUUCUCACUGAGUAAAUCAUGUAAAAUAAUGCAAUUUAGGUAUGAAAUUUGGCAAUAUUCUUUUUUUUUUUUUAUGCAGUGAGUAAACUUGCAAGCAUUGAUUUUAUACUUCAAUUUCCAGUUUUGGUUGUUUGUAGUGAAUUUUUUACUCUGGAUUAUCCUCUUUCUUUUCCUUUUUCUUUUUCAGCCAUUUUAUAUGCAGCAUGGUCUUACACUUUCUUUCUUAUACCUCGAGAUUGCUUUUGCUUUCCAUUUGGAUGGCUUGGUAAGUAUUUCUGUCAAGUUGGGGUGUUUUUCAUUUAUGUCCAUGCAAAAUCAUCAUUUACAUAUAUACUUUUUACAAUCUGAAUGUUAAUAUGUGCUCCCCGAAAGUGAAUUUUGUCCAAAGGUAUCCUUAUCUAAAGUGAGGGAGCCAUCUAAUUUAGGUGGCAAUUGCAUGAAGUUAAUUUUGUAUCACCGAAGGUCUUUACUGAGAAUCAUUUUUGGUGGCAGAAGGGUAUAUCUAGAAAAAAGUAAGUUUUUGAAGUAGAUGAAAUUCAGUUUAUGGAGAGAUGCGUAGAUAACUUUUUUGAAUAAUUUGAUAAUUGAAAUUGUCUUCUACAUUCAGAUUAUAUCAAACACCACAAUUUCACGGCCAAAACCUCUAGAGAAGCACCAUUUGGCUCCAGAACCUGGUGGUUUAAAUGGGAAGCCACUCUUUGAUCUAUCUAUUCAUACUCAAGGUGAUGUAUAUGCUCACUCAAGGAGAUGUAUAUCCACACACAAGGUGAUGUAUGGUAAUUUAUUUUGGAUUCUUUAAAAAAAAAAAAAAAAAUAAAAAUCAUCAUCUCAAGUUUGUUUAAUUUGUAAACAAUGCAGUGAUGAAGAUGCAUACAAGAAGAUCCAAUCAAGUGCAACCCUGGUUUAGCUUUAUACUGGUUUUGCCUUUGGGGGACCAGCACUUAUUCCCUAGAUAAAGGUCUUUAUUAGUACUAACCUACUUUUCAUCCUAUAAUAUAAUACUUUGGGUCUAUAUUUAAAUGUUAGGACUUAAGUUUUUCAUAUCAUCAUUUAAGUGUUGGCUAAAACUAAUAAUAUAUCUAAGUCAUCUUGAUUUACUAAUCAGUCAUAAAUGAGUUGUGUUUUAGGCGAGCUUGCGAGCUUGAGAAUGUCAAUAAAGUUCAGACACAACCUUUUAGUGCUACUCUACCUAACUAAGUGAAGAAGGUCUGUUCUAAAAACUAAACUGCAGUUAACAAGGGAGGUUGCCCGACGUAGUUGAUGAGCAUUUUGAACUUGCUCCUGCCCUGAGAGGCGAGCUCCAAAUGCAUCUCCAUAGUCAUGGCGUCUGCGUUCUGUCAUAGCUUUCCGAUCGGCAUGGUGCACUGCUCCUUGAGCUCCCUGACUAUCGUCGCUGCCCUUACCCACCACCCUAGCUCUGCAUGCGGUGCCGCACCACCACCUCUGCCACUGCAUACCGGGGGAAAAAGGGAGAAAAUUAUAUACUAUAUAGUUGAAAUGGUUGUUGUUCUUAUUAUUAUGGUGUAACUUUUGUUUUGCGAGGAAUGAAAAAAUGGCAUACUACUCUUUCUAUUACUUUUUACUUCCAAAUUUUAUGCGAGCUUAUUAUUAUAUUUGAUAUUUGGAAGAUUUUCAAAAUGUUAUGCUAUAAAGAAAAGAUUUUGCUACAACAAUAUCUACCCGCCGCAUCGCGCGGUUAUUACACUAGUUAUAUUAAUUCUCAAUAAAAUAUGCCACGUGACGAUAUUUUUCUUUCACUUGAGUUGUUAGGGUUGUGGGCUCCACCUUUCCAUCCCCUCAUCUCUUCCAAAACGUAUGCCCCUUUACUUUCCUUCACAUACUUUCAUCUUUUCUCAAAACGUACGCCCCUUCAUCGUUCUUCAUACUUUUUCAAAACGCACAUUCUCUCAUCUCCCCACCCUUCAUUCUUUUCAAAACGUACGCCCUCUCAUCUCCCCACCCUUUAUAUUUUUCAAAACGUACACCCCCUCAUCUCCCCACCUUUCAUACUUUUUUAAAACCUUCAUACUUUUUCAAAACGUACACCCUUAAUUUGAAAGUGUAGAUUUUUACAUAUCAUUAUACUUUUUCAAAACCUUUAUAGUAUUUUAGUGUAGAUUUCUAUCUUAAACUUUUCAUUUUCUUCUUCUUGUUUUUUAUCAUCAUCCCCUCCUUCUCUCUCCCCAUUAAUCGAGGAGUUAGUAAUCGUGUAAUUUUUUGUGGACGUGGUACAGAUUGUUAGAGCAUUCGCUGCUAUGCCAAGAAGUUUCGUUAUGACCCCUAUGUUGCCCCUCACCAUGGCCUCCUCUCCGUGGGCUGUGAUUACAGCGCUCGUUUCCCUACCUCCUCUCAAACCUCCUCAUUUGUCGCCUUUGAUGUUUAAUUCGACUCCGUUAUUAUCGACAUUAUAAAAUUCUCUCUUUAUUUUUCUAUGAUUUUUUUUUCUUUUUACUCAAAUCCUUCUAAUAUGAGAUUCGUUUCUUUGGAUUUAGAAAAAGGUCUGCAAGGCUAUCGACAUCGGGAUUGUUUACCAUGCACGCCAGCUGUUCGAUGCAUUAUCUUUGAAAAUUAAAAUAGCAUUUAUAGGUUCCAAAUUAUUAUUAAUAAUUUCUAAAUGCUAAUUAUUAUAAUUUUGUUUUGAUUUAGUGUAGAGAAAAAGCAUGUGACAAUGAAUCAAAGAGCUAUAAAUCCAAAGCCUUCUUUUAGAUGAGAUUUUAUAUUUCAAUAAAUUUAAAAAAUAUUUUUUUCCUCUAUUUCUUUCUCUACUAAUUUUAUUUUAUUUUAAUUGCUAUUUUUUUAAAAAAAAUUGCUUUGAUGCAGAAAAGAAGAAAUGGAAGCUUGUUAUAAUUUGUCGAAUAACAAAACCAACCCCAAUGAAAUCACCUCCAAUUUUAUUUUCUCUUUUUUAUUCUUGUAUUAAAUUAUUUUUUUAAUAUCCAUCUAUGCAACAAUUUUUAUUCUCCUAUAGUUCUUUUUUUUUAUUUUCUUUCUUUAUUCUCCACUGGAUUGUAUUCUCAUUCUAAUUAUUUUUAAUAUAUUUUUUAUAUUAUUAACCAGUCUUUUUUUAUAUAUUUAAUUUAUAAAUUUUUAUUAUAAUUUCUAUCCGCCGCAUCGUGCGGCUUUCUAAACUAGUAUAUAUAUAGGUAGGGAGAGAAAGGAGGGGAGGGUUUUGGGGGACACGUGUCAUCCCCAAACCCUCCUUAAUGUAGAAGAAAAGAAUAGAUAGAAAUAGACGAGACGCAUCCAAGAUUUUUUCAUAAAUCAUACAUAUGUCCCCAAUCAAUGGUCUAUGGUGCACCGGGUGUACCGAGUAGUUGAGUCGGACCCAUGUCAAUAAAAGAAGAAUACCCCACGCACUUUAGUAUAUAGUAAUAAAUAAUAGAUAAUAGAUUAAAUUAAAUUAUAAAUUUUUUUUUAACAAAGUGAAGUUUAUAAAUAGUUUGGUUAAAAUAUUGCAAUUUUAGACAUAGGAGCAGCAUGAAAAUUAAAGAGCCUACCAAAAUUAUAACUGAAUAUUAAAUAAAAGGGGUAAUUGUUUAUAUAUUCCUGAAAAAUUUUCGACUUUUUUAUUUACUCCGCUUAGAAGGUUAAUAUUAAAAAUAUCCUUUCAACAUUCUAAGCUUUUUCAAAUUUACUUUUAGAGUUAGAUUCUAUUAGUGAACUGUUAGGAACAACCGAUAUUUUUGUAAAAUUAUUAUUUUGUCUUUUCAAAUAUCAUUUCUACCGUCACCAACUUUUCUUAUUUGUCAUUAAGUUAGAGGUAAAAAGAAGUAUUUUGAUUUAUUCCUUUCAAAUAUAUUCUUCUACUAUCACCAACUUUUCUUAUUUACUGUUAAGUUAGGAAAAAAAGAUAUUUGGACCUUGUUUCUAACUUUGGUAGAAAUUUAACUGAUAUUUGAUCCCAGAUGAUUUAACGGGUACUAACAACAAGAAUACUUAAUAAAUAACGGAGAAAUAUACUAGGAGUAUAUUUGAUACAAAAAAAAAAGUAAAUCAAAUAUUUCAAAAGUAUUGAGGGGUACUAGACGAUUAUCUCUAAAUAAAAAAAUUCUAACGGCAUAUAUGAUUUCUUUUUUGAAAGAAUGCCAGAAAGAUUUUCAUUGAUAAGUAAACAAGCACAGAAUAACAAUAUGUCGGAUUGUUGAAGCUAAUCAUUAAUCUCAAAAACUCGAACUGUUAAAAAGAUACAACUAAUUCACUUAAAAUGUACAAACACAGUGCCCAUGGGGCAGGAUGCUAGCCUCUUUUAAGUCAAGACAAUAAAAACAUUACAAACGGACUCAAAUUUUUGGUCAAGAUUCUACUUAAGAAGAGCAAGCGGUCCAGAAGUAAAUCGACCAAUUGACCGGACGAAAAAUGUCUGGUUUUCUCUCUAGGCCAGAUAUUCACAAAGUAAUCUGAUAGGAUUAUUAGAUGUUUCUGAAUUAAUGCUCCUUUUGUUUUCAAGACAUAUAUUUUAUAAUUUUUUUAGAAUAGUAAAAUAUAAAUACUAAAAGAUGCGGAAAAUAUUAAACGAGUCUAAAUCAACAGUAAAUAUUUGAUUUUCUUAUAUAAAUCAACAAUAAUAAAUAUUAUAUGAUGAUACCCUCGUCACACAGAGGCCUCCUAUACCUUAUCAAAUAAUUUAAUAGUUCCCUCCUUUAAGGGAAGUUACAAAUUACAUAACUGUAUUGUUUAAGUGUCUGUUAAAAAAAAAACAAAAAAAAAAAAAGACAAAAGUUGAAAGGGUCUCAAACUCUCUGUACAUUUUUUUUUUUCAUUUUUAAAUAAUUUGGGACCGUAGUCCGGUCCGGAGCCCACUAAAUUGGUUUGGGCUAAGUUUGGGUUUAAAAUGGCCCGGACCAGUUCCACCCCUAACGAAGAUAAAGAUCUAUUUGGCCUAGAUUUUGAAAAAGUAAUUUCUAUAAAAUUGAUACUGGAGAAUUAUUUUUGGUUUAUAUGCUAUUUUCAUUAGCGAAAAUAUAGUAAAAGUAUGAAGGCCUCCGUACUAAUAACAAUAAAAUAGUUAAGGCUACAAAACUUUGACUAAUAUUUUUGACCAAUUCCUGCUUGAUAUUUGAGAAAUGAGAACUAGUCAAAAUUACUAUAAUAUAUUAUUAUAGAGAACUUUGAAUAUUAAGUUGAUAAUGAGAAGAGCAAUGUUUACCCCUAUGCUACAUGUACAGGAGAUAAGUCUUACACCCUAGGCUCCGAAAAGCCAAAAUUUACUCAUUUAUCUAACCAAAAAACACUAAAAAAAUUUUAAAAAAAAUUUAAAUAUUUGAAUUAUGGAGUGUGAGAUAUAUAGUUUUAUAAUGGGGUGUACAAGUAGCAUUUUUCUAACAAAGAUAUGUAGAACUAGAAAUAAUAGAUUUAAUUGCACCGUUCGUCCCUAAUUUUUAUAAGCUUCUUGCUUUGGUUCCUAACCUUUGUUUCGUUAUUAGGUUUCUAAUUAGAUCACAGUUAUCUAAAUUUUUAUUAAUUUUGACAAAAUAUGCCACUCCAAUUCUAUUGUAGCUCUCGUGCGUGACUCAUAGAGAUUAAGGCUGUCAUGUAACUCCCUGUAAAUCUGGGCACCGUCCUUUUCAAAUUUCUUAAUAAAGAGUUAGGUAGUAUGUCUAGCUCGACUAGAAGAGUGCCAAAUUUUCAAAGAUGUCAUAACGUGCGAGGUGGAGAUGGUUAUGGAAUGAAGAAUGAACUAGAGGUAGAAAUGUCAACGGAUUGGAUUCGGGGCGGAUUUUUAAAAAUCCGAAGCCGAACCCGACUCCAAACCUGAGAUCCGAAUCCGAACCCGAAUCCGACGGAUUUUAAAAAUCCAUAUCCAAACCCGAACCCGAACCCGAAAAUUUGUACCCGAAACAAUUAUUUCUUUUUUCAAUAUUUCAAAAUAUAUUAUAUUAAAUUUAAAUUUUUAAAAUACAAAUUCAAAUAUAACAUCAAAUAUAUAUAUAUAUAUAUAUAUAAUACAAAAUAAAUUCGGGUUCAGGUCGGGUUCGGGUUCGGGUCGGGUACUAUCAAAAUCCAUAUCCGAAUCCAUAUCCGUUAGGUUUCUAUUUUUGAUAUUCAUAUCCAUAUCUAUAUCCAUCGGAUAUAUACUUUUUAUUCGGGUUCGGAUUCGGAUAAAAUUUCGGGUAUCCAUAUCCAGUGACAUUCCUUCCAUACCCAUUGACAUCCCUAACUAGAGGGUAGUGAAAUUAGAUUUGACGCGACAUGUGUAUUGAUAGGAGAAGAGGUUAAGGACCAAAGUGUUAAAAUAGAUAAAGGUUAGAAACCAAAUAAAUAAUCGAGUAACGGUUGGGGACCAAUGAUGUAAUUAAUCGUGUGGACUUUGGAUACCAUGGAAGAAACAUAUUAUCUAAAUACAUUAUCAUACAGUGCACAUCUGACACCCUAUCAUCUAAUGAUUUAAAGUUUUAUUUUUGAAUUUUUAAUAUUAAAAAAGCUGAUGAGACAUGUGAUAUUCUGGUUUAGUCUUAUAUCGAGUAGAAAGCUUUUGGAGCAUUUCUAAAACUAAUUACCAAACUUAAAUAUUUUGGGCUGGUGGAUUUGGCCGAACAGAUUAUGGGCCUAAGAUAUUUAGUUAACAGAGUUGUGGGCUCUAUAAUAUGUGGAAAAAGUCUAGAAUGAACUAGUUAUACUGCAGACGACGAGGCAUUGCUAAGCAAUAAGAUUGUAUCACUUGAAUUGAUCUGUCCCAUCAUAAUUAAUAAAAAAAUAUUAUUAUUAUAUUUUUUUUAAAAAAAAAUAUAUAUAAUUGGCUUAUUAUUAAUGAUGUGGCAUAAGUGUAACAAUAUUUGACUAAGUCUGAGGUAAUGAGAGAUUAAUGUGUAAAAAUUUAGUGUUUUUGGAAUCUAAUCAUGUACAUGCCAUAUCUUUCAAGUAAUCAAUGAUGAUCAUGAUCCAAUAUAUACAAUUGAGUACAUACCAAAACUAGUUAGUAAUCAAUGGCGAAAAAAAUGACAUGAUUUAAUAAACAUAUCCUAAAUAUAAAAUUGAACAAAUUCAAUGAAGCUAUAAUCUUAAUCCAUUCUAUACCAGGCUCCACCCUCCCAUUUUUAUACUAUACUAGUGCAGAAAUCCGCGCGAUGCGGCGGGUAGAUAAUAGAAUCCCAAAUUUAAAAUUUUAAAAAAUAAAAUUAUAUUUAGAAUCCUAAUUACUAAUUUUUUUUAAAUUAUAAAAUUUGGAAUGAAAGUUAUAUGGCUCCAAAAUAUCACUAUUCUUCAAUAAAUUGUGUCUAGAAACUUAAAAAUUUUACCAAAUUCUAAAAUUCAUACUAUAAACUUCAUGCUAUAAAGUUCAAAAUAAAAUAAGUCUCUUACACAUAUCCUUCAAAUUAUAGAAAUGAGAUCUUAUGAUAGUUUUGCUGAAAAAAUCUUCACUUCUCUUCUUCAUCGGAAUCAGAAGACUGGAUUAAACUGCAAAUAAGAGUACACAUUCAAGUUAUUUAAGGCAAUAUUUCAAAACUUCUUAUGAACAUAAUUUUGAAAAGUGUGUAUAGAAAAUAAUGUUAGUAAUUAAAUUUUUCCUGAUGAAACAAUUAAAAUUACUAUCUACUUUGCUUUUAAAAAAAAUUUUCAUAUUACCUGAGCAUCUUUUUUUUCCUCUUGAUUUCCUCGCAGUUUCUCCAACUUGUUAUUUGAGCUUCUUUCAUGUUUAUAAUUUCAAAAUUGUAUAUACAAAAUAAUUAAAAUAAAUAAACAAUUAAACUGAAGAAGAUGGAUUAAUUAGAAGUCUUGUGGAGGAAAAGUGAGGGAUCGUAAUAAAUUAAUUAGAAAUAAAAUGGUGAGAAUUAUAAUGACAGAGGGAACAUUUAAAACAUUAAUUGGAAGUUUAGCAGUGGGCCAUUUAGAUGUAUUAAAUAGAUACGUUAAUUAAACAUUUAAGGAGAAUUUAAAUACAUUAAUUGGAAGUUAGUAUGUGGCCAUUUUAGAUGUAUUAAUUAGAUAUGUUAAUUAAAAAUUGAUGAAGAGAAGGGAAGAAUCACAUGGUGGUGAAGGUGAAGAAAACUUGAUAGAGAACAUUUAAAUACAUUAAGGGUGUUUGGAUUGACGAAUUUGAUCAAGUAUAGUCAAGUGUAGUGUGUGUUUGAGUUUCCCUGAAGUUGAUUAUUUUUCUGUUGUUUGUUUUGACGUAAUCUACCACUGUAAGUUAAAUUCAAUCACUUCUGCUGUUUAUUUUGAUGUAACUUAUGUGAUAAAUUAGUUUUUUAAGUUCCGUUGUUUGUUUUGAUGUAAAUAAGUGGAUCCCAUUAUCUCCUAAAUAUAGUAAUAAAUUAUUACUAUAAAAUUUAACUAUUAUAUAAUUAAUUUUUUAUUAUUAUUUAAGAUAAAUCUUAAUUUAUUAUAAAUAAGGAAUUCUAACUUAUUAUAAAGAAAGUAGAGUUUAGUUUUAAUGUUUAAUAUAAUUGUUUAUGAGAAGGUUGAUUGGGUGGAAGUCCGAGUUCAGUAACUAAUUAGAGCCCGGAGAUCGAGCGUAGGUGAAGUGGAAGCUCUAAACGUAACUGAGUUACAUAUAUUUUUCACUGUACACCAAAUACAAAUACGAAAGUGAUGGAACACUUGAGGUUCAGAUCACUUCACUUGCACCAAAACAAAUGGGCCCUAUAUUGGAAGUUAGUGUAGGCCAUUUCAGAAGUAUUAAUUAGAUACGUUGAUAUAAUCAGCUUUAAGUGUGAGAUAUUAAUAACAUUUAAUGUACAGAUUAAUGGAAAGUUAAAUACAGUCGAUUAAUUUAGGAAGACGCGCCAGGCGGCUGCGCAUCUCGGCGUCGCGCCCUUUCGGGUCCCAUAUAUCGGGCCGGGUGGCGGACGGAUGUCGGGUCGGCCUUCAGGGCCGCAGCCGGGCAUUCAGAUGUAUAAUUAGAUACGUAAUUAAAAAUUGAUGAAGAGAAGGGAAGAAUCACGAUGGCCAUGAAGGUGAAGGAAAACUCAUGGUGCCCACAUGGCCCAAAACAUAUUGAGGAUUUAUAUAUUGUAAUAGACUAUAUAUUAUAUAUAUAUAUAUAUAUAUAUAUUAUAUAUUAAUAUAUAUAUAUUAUAUUCCCCCAUAUGCAUAAGAUAACAUUUUCUCAAAAGGUGGUGACCUUGAAUUUUGAGGGAAUUGGAGUAGUUGAGCUCCUCUGCUCUCUCUCUCUCUUCUCUCUCUCUCUCUCUCUCUCUCUCUCAAACAUGGCGAGCUCAGGAGGUGUAUCCAUGGCGAAAUCCGAGGAGGAGUGGCGCGCCAUACUCUCCCCAGAACAAUUCCGGAUCCUCCGAUUGAAGGGAACCGAGUAAGAUUAAACCUGGAAUGAUCUUAAUUUCUCUCUAUUUUUAAUGCAAUUUUAGAUGACUUUGUUUGGAUUUUUUGGGUUUUCAUGAUGACCCAUGAGGCAAAAGUUCCCAUUCAUGUAGGGUUUUGGUUUAAUUGAGUUGUUCUUGGUAUCAUAGAUAGAUGUGAAAAAUUGCUCUUUUUUCAGCGAAUUUUAGAUGAUUUUCUUUGUUGCAUUUGUGGAAAGUUCCCAUUCAUGUGAGUUUGUGGUUUAAUUGAGAUUGGAGCGUCUUUGGGAUGGCUCUAUUAUUAUUUUUGGCGAUUUUUAGAUGAUUUGAGUUAGGUUUAUGGGUUUUUAUAGGCUUUUUUUAUAAAAUAACCCUCUAAAAUUUUAAAAUUGAAGAAAUAAUCAUGUAAAAAUUUUAUUUAGAAAAAUAACCCUCCUUUCGCCACGUAGGCGCCACGUCAGAUUUUUGCUAUGAAUGCGGUGAAUCAUUCACCGCCUUCACAUAUAUAUAUAAUGAAGACGGUGAAUGAUUCACCGCCUUCAUAAUAUAUAUCUAAAGACGGUGAAUCAUUCACCGCCUUUAGUGCAAAAUAUCUCAAAUUUAUCGAAAUUUGUUUAAGUCCUAAAGUUAAAUACAGAUAAGACGGUGAAUCAUUGAUUCACCGUCUUCACAUAUAUACUAUGAAGGCGGUGAUGAUUUACCGCCUUCAUUAUAUAUAUGUAAAGGCAGUCACCGCCUUUAUAACAAAAAUCCAACGUGGCGAAAGGAAUUUUAGUUUUCCAAAUAAAAUUUUGAUAGGGUUAGUUUUCCAAUUUGAAAUAUUUGGAGGGUCAUUUUACAAAAAAGCCCGUUUUUAUAUCACCCAGGUUGUUUGCUUAUAAUCUAUUUUGGAUUAAAGUAUUUUGCACUUGAUUAAUUGACAUGGGAUUUUUGGGUUUUGAUUUUAAAUUGCUUCUUAUGAUGCUCCUUUGUUUUGCAGGUAAUAGUGUGUUAUAGUGUUCCAAUUUUUUUUUUUUAUUAGAGUAUUGAAUAAUACCAGCUUUGCUACAUUUUAUUCUGAGUUGCUUUAAUUAAGAUUGGUUUUUUCCUGUUAUGAUUUUACAUAAAAAAUAAGAGAGGAAAGAAAGAUUACUGUUAUUAUUUCAUUUUGGUUUGGGAUCUUUCUAGUAAUCAAAGAUAGAAGUAAAAAAAAAAUUGCUCUUUUUUCAAUUUUUAGAUGAUUUGGAUUAGAUUAUUUGGCUUUUAUGAUGACCCAUUUGGGGAAAGGCCCCAUUUUUGUAGGUUAUAGUGUUUCCUUUUGAGAUUUAAGUAUCCAAAAAUAUCAGCUUUGAUAUAUUGUGUUCUUGGUUGAUUAAUUGAGAUGAGUUUUCUUUGUUCUUAGUUUUACAACUAAAUAUUAAGAAGAAUAUGGUUUAUUAGUUGAAAAUUGAGGGAGAAAAAAAGUUGAUUUUAAUUUAUAUCUAUUGUUGCAUGUAUGGGGAUAUUAUCAUGAGCUUUUUUUUUAAAGGUAAAAAUGCAUAGAACUUAUCUGACCUGUGGAAGACCAUUUUAAUUCGACUACUCAACCUUUUAGAAUAUUGAUUUUAAUACGCAACAUCUCAAUUUGUCGGAUUUGAAUCAUUUGAUGACUCUUCCGAUGCAAAAUUUAAUCGAAUUGCUUAUUUUACUAAAUUUAUAGUCAUAUGAAUUGUAUAAAAUUUGCUAGUUAAAUCCGAAAAGAUAAAUGACGUCUUCAAAAAUUGAAGUCAAAGAGUCAGUAAUUGAUUCAAAUCAAACAAAUUAAAAGAUUAGAUAGUAAAAUUAGAUCCGAAAUUGGUGAUUACUUGAGGUAAGUUUUUUACAUUUUUACCUUUUCAGAAUAUUCUAGUGCUGUUUUGGUUGUCGAUUGACCCAAAUUAAGAAUGUGGAGUCCAGUUGCAUGCUUUGACCAAACAUGUGGCCACCCAAAUUAGACCAUGUAAUUUUAAAUGUAAUGUUUAGUUUUAUAUUUGGCUUGUUGCAAAUUUUUUAUAUUAUAUAUCUUUUAUAUUAAUCUUCUUUGGUGUGUGCAUUGCAUAGAAUUCAAUACUUGAUAGGAGACUAAGUCUUUGAUAGAAGAGUAAUACUUUGUUUAAGCUUGUAGGCUUUGAAAAUGUUCACUCUCAAAAUUUUAUAUCAUUUAUAUGCUGAAAGAGAUCAUUACAAAGCUUUGUCAGUAAAACUUUACAUAGACCCCCUCGGCUACCAGGCCAUUUUGAAAAUAAAUCAUUUUUUCCCCUCUGAUUCUGACAAAAUCCUUUUUGAUUUUAAUUAUUCUCAUUAAUUAAAUUCUGGAUUUUAUCAAAUCCAACGGCCAUUCUACUGAAUUUAACUGUUUUGAACACCUUUUUAUUUUUAUUUAAUGGAACUACAGUCUUAGUUAAUUGGAGCUAUUGAUUUUAACGAAUUCAAAAAUUUUAUUUAUGAAAAUAACUCAGCGAAACAAUCAAAUGGAGCAGGGGUCUAGGAAAGCAUAAUAACGUUGCAACGCUUAUUCAAAAUGCCAUAUUGUUCAUGGGUUGCUCUUUCGUUUUUUAUCCCUAUCUGCUGAGUCAUAGAAUCUGAAAAAAAAAAAAACAAACAAACAAACAAACAAACCAAAACAAUCAAAAGUAGAGGCGUCGUCACACUGGCUAUUGUUUACAGUUGUCUCCAUACAUUUUUGCCUAUUUUGUGUGCUAUUUGCUGAAUCACAGAAUUUGUGCUCUGCUGUUUUGAUAUUAUAAUUUUCACUACUUUGGGAGCUCUUUUUAUGUUUAAUGCUAAAGUCUUUAAUUUUACCUGCUAAAUGGUAUGCGUGCAAACUGUUAAUUUUGGUGGUAAAUCUAUCAUUUGCCGAAAAUUCUCUAAUUGCGUAAAAGAUUUUUGAACUUUCGUUGCCCCCGUCGUUUGUUUAAUUUGCAUCUCACAGUAUGGAUAGAAACUUCUAUCCCUAGUGUCCCCUACAUGCUUAGUUAGUGCUUUUAUGGGGAUUCAUUGAAGAUUUACAUGUACAUAGUGAUGGAUGAAGUGAAUUACAAUUAGAUGAUUCAUGACAUGAUUCUUUAUGGUAAAGACGUGGAGUUCUUUAGGUGAUUCUAGGACCGAAAGCUGAUUCGAGUCCAACUGCUUUGAGCUGCAGUAGAAGUAGAAGCUUUCAAUCAGAUCUUCUGCUUUUGUGGCUUUGAAUGGCUUUGAAGCUAAUUCUACUUCACAACCGAAGCUCCAAGCUUGUUAUAUGCCAAUCGGUUGACUGCAGUGCUCACUAAAGUUAAAGAAAAAUACUAACUCCUGUUCUCCGUUUUUAAUAUCUAAAUGAUAUGCAUAAAUGAGUUUAGUCAAAAUCGUACCUACAAAUUAUGCAUAAAAUAAGUGGUAUUUUUCAGGCCUCCAGGGACAGGUGAAUACAACAAGUUUUACGGCGAAGGCGUUUACAGCUGUGCUGGUUGCGGAACUCCUCUUUAUAAAUCCACUACCAAAUUCAAUUCUGGGUGUGGUUGGCCAGCAUUCUUUGAGGGACUUCCCGGGGCCAUAAACCGAACGGUUGUUUUUCUUUCCUCUUGCGUUUUUCUUUUGCUAAUAACACAUUUUUUGUCCCUUUUCGGGUAAAUUGCACGUUUGGUCCUCAACUAUGGAGCACAUGAUAGCUUAGUUCUCAAACUUUAGUUUGUUGUAAUUUUUCGCUUAAACUUUCAGAAUUGUUGCAAUCAAAUUCCACGGUCAAAUUUAGCUGACUAAAUUUUAAUGAUUGUUGAUGUAAAAGUGAUAUGGUAUCUUAAUUAUUGGUGAUAUUCAAUAUUUAGUCAACUAAAUUGGGUUGUUGGAUUUAAUUACAACAAUUCCGAGAGUUCGAGCGAAAAAUCGAAACAAAUUAAAGUUUGAGGACCAAAGUGUCACCAGCUUAACAAUCUGUGGACCAACUAUGCAAUUUACCAUUCUUUUUUCAUACAGGCAUUACGAACAUGCUAAAUUGCAAACACCCUUCCGAGUUGGUUCUUGCUUGUAUGCUACUCGAAACCAUACACGCAAAGUUCGUUUUGCUUAAUUCCCUUUGCUGGAGAACACACGCAAUUACUAACUUGUGUUGGUGUAAUUACUUAAUUUUUCUUAUUUGCAAGGGUAUAAAUGCGGAAAAGUUCCUACAAUUUACUCCUUGAUGAUGUAUGCUUUUGUUUUUCCUUGGGUUUUAUUUCAGCCCGAUCCCGAUGGGAGGAGGACGGAGAUCACCUGUGCGGCGUGCGGCGGCCACUUGGGCCACGUGUUCAAAGGCGAGGGGUUCAAGACGCCUACCGACGAACGCCACUGCGUCAACAGCGUCUCGAUCAAGUUUGCUCCCCCGUCGUGAGACAUCUCUCUAGUGCCCAGUUUAUUACUAUGUUUCGCGGACAAUAAUAAUAACAUGUUAUGUUAUUUACUGAUGAAUAAAGUUUGUGUGUUAUGAUUGAUGGAAAUAAUCUCUCUCCGACGGCCUUGUGCAGUGAUUUAGUUUGUUGCAUCAGUCAGCUCUUACUUGUUUCGUAGAAUCAAUCCUACAGGAAUGAGAACCUUGCUUGAGCCCUGAUGUUGAAGUUCCAUGAAACAAAGUGAAAACAUUGUUGUUGAUAUGAGUUGGAACAGGAGUACUAUUUCUGAACGUACGGAGACCUUCGUGCUUCCACUUUUUUCUUAAGAUGACUGAAUAUCUGAAUUGCCGAUUAACAUCCGUAAGCUUCGACUAAAAGAUUUGAAGUUUCUAGGAUCUAAAUUUCAUGGAUUGAUUGGUCUAAAAAUGAACAAUCAAAAGUGAACAAGCUCAGGAAAAUAGAUGGAACAAUUCUUCAAUUUCUGAUCAGGGAAUUUUUUAAGUACUCUUAAAAAUCAUGUUCUACCAAAUCUUCGGCUAGUUUUGAUUGCUUGUAGAGAUGUUAACGGUUGGAUUCGCGAUGGAUUUUCAAAAAUCCAAACCCCAACCUGAUGGAUUUUAUCCAAAACCAAAUCGGACCAAAAAUUCGAAACUCGAACCCAAAAAUUUGAACCGAAAAUAAUUAUUUCUCUUUUUAAUAUUUCAAAAUAUAUUAUAUUAAAUUUAAAUUUUUAAAAGACAAAUUCAAAUAUAAUAUCAAAAUUUUAUAUACAUAUUAUAUAUAAUGUAAAAUAAAUUCGGGUUUGGGUUCGGUUCGGGUGGGGAACGGUCAAAAUUCAUAUCCGAAUUCAUAUCCGUCGGAUUUUUAUUUUUUGAUAUCCACAUAUGAAAUCAUAUCUGUUUAGUAGCGGGUAAAUCCGCUCCGUUCGGGUUCGGGUUCGGAUUCGGAUAAAAUUUUGGAUAUUCGUAUCUAUUGACAUCCCUAAUUGCUUGUCAAUCAUUAAACUCUCAUUUUUGAGAUCGUUUGAUUGCCUUUGUUGAAAUAGUAUAAAAUUAAUUUGUAUAUUGACAUAUUAUUAUUGAAAAUAAAGUGGAAGCACUCCAUUUCAACUCAUAUAUUUUGGCUUUAUGUUCAGUAAUCGAAUUUGAGUCUUAUGUGAUUGAUUUUAGUUACAAAUAAUUUAUAUCUUUUGAAAACUUGGACUGGAGAAAAAAAAAUGAAACAGUUUGAGAAGUUCAAUUUGCAGGUAGCUAGAGUGUUUUGUUUGUUGUUCAUUCUGCAUGAAUUUGAUCCUUACCAAUUUAUACUUUUAUUAAAGCUUAAGUUUCUGGAGAAUAGUAUGUUAUUAUAUAUUUUAACACUUUCUUACAAUCUCUUAAUUUGAACUCUGUUGAUCUUAAUUUCCAAAACUGUAGAUUUUAUAGCUGAAGAAUGAUCAAAGGGAACUUUAAAGACUCUUAAAAUUUAGAAUUUAUGAUGCAACAAUGGGAGGAAAAUCUUGCUAAAACCACAUUUCAAAAUACUCGGAACUACUAAAAGGCAAAAGAUGAAAUUAACCACAAAUUAAAUUAAUUUUUUUUUCAAAAUUAUAAAAAAACAUCAUUUGGAUUAGGGAUAUAGUCCAAUCCAUAUUUCUUGAAAUAAAUCAAUUGAUUUUUCAAGUAUUAUAUUUAGAUAUUUGGUUCCUCCAACAAACUUCUUGAACAUUACAUUAGAAUCAUUCAAAGUAUCUUUGAGUUGUUUGCUUUCAAGUGGGAGCUUUUCAAAUUCUCUCCCAUUGUGAAAAAAUUAUAUUGGUCUAAGAUUAGCAACUUCGAGCUUCUUCUUUAAUAUUUUAUUUUCUUCAUCGAAAACAUUAGUGCACUUUUCCUUUAACAAAUCAAUUUUAUUUUUUCAAAAAUUUAUUUUCAAUAAAUAAAGAAGAGUUUGUAGUUGAUGAUUUUAAUUUUUUUCACUUCUUCCGCUAAUGAAGCAUUUUGCUUCUUUUUAGAAAACUAUAUUCAUCAUAUGAAAGGUUUUUUUAUCUUAUUUUCGAGUGCUAUUAAGCAUAAGAUAUGAAUUUGAUCUUCAUGACAUAUCUUUGCAACUUCGCUUUCCGACUCAUCACUGCUAGGCUCGUCGGGCCCAAUUUAGGGCAUUCAAUACUUUCUUCUUGCUUUUCUUAGAAGCUUUAUUUGCAGGUGGACAUUCACUUUUUAAAUGCUCCGGUUUUUGUUAUAAUUGUAACAAAUGAUUCUCUUUGUAAAUCAUUCGACUUUGAGCCCUGCUAUUUUGUGUCUUCUCAAAUUUCUUUGUUUGAUUAGUCGAUCAAGCUUCUUAAUUAGAGAUCAUAAUAAUCUCUUUACUCGAGCCAUCACCCGAGUCUUCUCCGUUUGAGUCUACAACACCUUUAUUAAGUGCUAUAUUCUUUUUCUUUUCGAAAACAUCUUCAUUAUCAUACUCCUUGAGGCAUUGCUCAUGAGCCAUAAGUGACGCUAUGAGCUCCUCAAUUUUCAUUUUAUCAAGGCCAUGGGCCCCUUGAAUUGCCAUAUCCAUUGGUAACUAACUCUUGAAAAGAAUUCGAAAAAACUUGCGCACCAAGUCUGAAGAAAUGAAGUCUCUCCUUGAAACUUUUAAACUAUUUAUGAUGUUAGUGAACGUCGUAAACAUAUUCGCAAUGAACUUACUUUCGUCCAUUUUGAAUAGUUCUUAACUUCACAUUAGUAUAUUUACUUUAGAUUUCUUCACCCGAGAAGAUUCCUCAUGAACAACUUCAAAUUUCUCUCAAGUUUCUUUUGUCGUAGUGCAAAUAGAAAUUCAAUAAAUUUUUUGUCUCUAAGAGCACAAAGAAAUGAGUUGAUAGCUUUGGCAUUUGAUUGAAAUUAAAGUUUUUCGUUACCAUUUCAUUCGGCUCUUAGUUUCUUUUGAGGAAUAUGACUAUUUUCAACUAUAUUUUAUAUAUCAAGAUCAAGAGAUUGAAGGAAAAUUCUCAUGCGAACUUUUUUAAAGGAAUAAUUGAUUCCAUAAAAAAUGGUAGCUACGCAAUGGAUUGUUCUUCAACAUUCUUUCCAAAUAUUACCAUUCUCGUUAGAUGUUAAUCUAAAUAAUGUGAAACCUCGCUCUGAUACCAAUUGAGGAUCGAAAUGGAAACCUAAGAAGGGGUGAAUUAAGUUUUCAAAUUAAAAUACAAAAAAAACAAUCCAAGAAAUUCAUAGUAAAUGAUAACAAGAAGAGUUGGAAAAAUUCAAACUCAAAAAGUACGCAAUCAAUUUGUUUUUGAGAUUCAAUACUUUGCCUACAUCCUCGACAUCUUCUUAAUAUAAAAGAAUAUUGGAUCUCCAUUAGAUGAUACUUUUACAAGCAAACGCCGAGCCUCUACACGAAGAAACUCUUUUCUCCCCAAAAAGAUCUCACAAUUACUUUUUUUUCCUCUCUUUUAUAAAUUGUAUCUUGUUACAAUACUCACUCAAGCUUAGAAAGAGAGUAGAGAGUUAAGAGUAUUGCAUAAUAGCAAUUACAAGUUCAAGGAUCUUAAUUUUAAGGGUUAAAUGCAUACAGGUCCUUGCAAACAUACCCAAUUGCGGAUAUAUCCCUGCAAAAUGGAAACUCCAUAAGUUGUCCCUGCAAAAGUUCAAAGUUAUGCAGAAUUGUCCCUACAGUUAACAUCCGUUAGUGAGCUGUUAAUUUUCUAACAGUGGAUUCGUGAAAUGACAAUUUUGCCCCCACAAAUAUAUCCCUCCAAAAGUCCUAACUGAUAAAUAUUUGCAAAAAUAUCCUCGCAAAAAUACAAACGUGAAANCGCGGGCGGAACACCUGAGGGCUCUCCUGGCAGUUCCAAUCAACUAGGGUUAAGGGCCCACUAUGGUGGUUAGUUAAGUUAAUAGAAUAUAAAAUAACAUAAGAGGGGCAAAAUAGUCAAUUCACAUUAUUAACUAUUCAUGGUUAAGUAGUUUAACUCUGGUUAACAAACUUUCUCUAACAGACUCUAACAGUAGGGACAAUUCUGCAUAACGUUGAACUUUUGCAGGGACAACUUAUGGAGUUUCCAUUUUGCAGGGAUAUAUCCGCAAUUGGGUAUGUUUGCAAGGACCUGUAUGCAUUUAACCCUAAUUUUAAUCACUAAAGCUCUCUAUUUAUAACCAAAAUCCAAAAACUAAUGGUUUCAGUAAUUAUGCACUUUUGGGCAUCCCAAACAUGUUUUCGGGCAUUUGUUUCCAUAAUGAUAUUGCUCCUUAGAGUAAUUUCAGAUGCCCGAAACAGAUUUCGGGUGUUCUGCUCUGGUGACCACUCUCACCUACUCUGCAUAGUGGAAAACAAUAUGCAAUCCUUUGAAAUCCAGGCGACCGAAAUAUCUUUCAGGUGUCCGAAAUAACCGAUUUCAUGAUUUCGGUUCCAAAAUGUGGAGUUUGAAACAACAAUUAGUUCAAAUUCAAAUUUGAUGGUUUUCAAACGCUGGAACAAAUUUCGAAUUCCCAGAACCAUUUUCGGGCGCACCUACGUAGGAUCAGGAUGCCUAGAUCCAACCAUUUGAUUUUCCUUCUUCUAUCCAGACAUUCGAAAUGUGAUGCGAGCAUCCAGAAGCUCUUUCGGAUGCACCUUCAUGCAUUCCAGAUGCCUAGAUGGAUGGAUUCGAAGUCAGAACAUUUCCGGAUGCUACUUUCGGGCGCUCGGUCAAGAGUCCGAAAUCUCUAAUUUGCUGAAAUUUGGUUUUGAAUAGAAUUGGAUGCCAUUGAAUUUUGAUAAAUAGAAUUUUUGGCAUUCUCUUUUAGCACAUAUUAGAUCAUGUUCUAUUUUGGUCUACUAGUGAAGUUACACGCGCAUUGCGACGGGCUGAUGCUAUAGAAGACAAAAGAUUAGAGAUUACAAUAGCUGUAUUCAUGUUGUCUAUAGUCACGGUGUAUAACCCUUUCUACUUAGGGCGAAAAAAAAGAAAAAAAGAAGAGAGUUAUCAUUAAUCAAUGUAAAGAUUAAGAAAGAUUCAAUCUAUAGUAUGCUAUUACUACAAUCUGUUGUUGUUGCUGCUUCUGCAAUCUGUUGCUAUUGCCAUUGCUGCUGCUGGUUGCAAUCCUGCUGUUGGUGCCAUCUGCUGUUGCUGUUGCCGCUUAGAUCUGCUAUUGCUAUAUGUUUUUCACUUGAAACCAUCCCAAUUUUUAUUUGUUUUGAUUCAAAUUAUUUAAGGCGAUCGUAUUAAAGUUUUUAAAAUGGAUGUAUACAAAUAAAAAAAAAGAGGGUCUUCUAAAACAUAGCAAUUGGAUGGCAAAAAUUAACAUGAAUGUAUGCAUGUAUAUACACAUCCAUAUAUGCAUGCAUGGAAUGUAAUCAAAAGUUGUUCCACAAAGCAACCUCUUAAAAGAACAGAAACAUAUCACAUGAGAGCUAUAAUCUGCAUUUUGUACAUAUAUAACAAAAAAAGGUUUCAUAUUGGAGCAUUGCACUCCAAGUCACUUUUAUAUGUACACCACCUGAAGAGAUAAAAAAUAUAGAAGGUACAAAGGCUAACCUAUAUAAAGCUUUUUCUUAUAAAUUUGUCCCCAAAUCAAUCUGUACCUAAAGAGAUAAAAUUGGAACAACAUAAGAUGCACUAAAGCUUAGUAUCCAUGCUCAAUUCAUAUAGAUCCCUGCUUCCAAUAAAAAACUUAGGUUCCAUAAGAUAAAGACAGCAAAAAGAUUAAAAUUCAUAAUAAUUUAAAGACCAAAUUUUAACCGAUAGAAAUAGAAGAAUGUUUGCAUAAAAAGAUUGUACACAUAUGCCCAUGUAUAAUUAUCUACUUACAAGAACAAAGUGUGAAAUUUUUUGACUUAAGAAAAAGAAAUUUCUAUAAGAAAAUACACUUUCGCAGGGCUAAAUAGAAAUAUACUGCUGCCAUUCAAAAAAUAAUGACAUUGGUAUGCAUUUAUUGUAUGUAUUUGUAUAUAUACAUAUAUAAUUAAACAUACGUUAUUCUAUAGAACAAAAUUUUAUGGGAUCUUUACAUAAUUCUUUGAUUCAACAAUUGGAAGUCAAAUUAUUGUGAAAGUUUCAUAAAAAAUUUGAGUGGAGUAAGAAGCAUUUACCUGUUGCGUGUCAGCUGAUACAACAAAAGAUUCAGUAGUCAAUAAUCAAAGGAUUUUAGAUAGAUAACUCUCAUUGCAUUCUCAGUUAAAAUCUAAAUGUAAAAGUAUAUUUAGAAAGUCAAGAUGAUGCCUAACAAUUUGGUUGAACUUAAAUAAUUAACCAAUAAAAGAAGCUUGAUACAAACCAACAAAUAUAAGAAAUGAAUAGUAGGUUGCAAAACAGAAAUGAAAGGCUUAGAUCAUGAUAUAUUCUUGCAUCAUGAGACUCAUUUCUUUUUUCCCUCAUCCAAAUCAAUAUAUUAAAGGACUGAUAGCUGCAACAGUUGCCUAUGUGGAGCUACCAUGCCAUCUAUCAAUAUUGAUCUAAAAAUAGCUAGAAGAGAGGAGAAGGGGCCUCCGUUUGAGAUUAUCUCAUCAAUAUGUAAAAGUUGUCAUCUUUAUCAAUCCUUUUAAGGAACAAUGGUCGGUUAUUGAUCAUCAUCGCUUAUUAGACAACUGUACACAAAGAUGAUCUUGCAUAUCCGCCUUAUUCAAUUUGCUUAAAUUAGCAAGAUGUAUUGGCAAAAAGAGUCAAUAGGGCACUUAGGAAGAUUUGGGAUUCUAGCAAUAGGGAACACGGCAAAGAUGCAGGAAGCAAGCACAAUGUUAUUCUAUACUAUUACAUUAGUAAAGAAAAAAUAAUUGAAAUAAAAUAUAUGAAAUCACUAAAGUAAUUUGGUUAUGACAUUAGUGACAUGUAUAUGAAGCAUAUAUACAGAGCAAGACCAACAUGCAAUAAUAAAUUGUUGAAUUACUUCAAAAAAUAACAUAAGCUUAGGUUUUUUUUCAAUCCAGAAAAUUAAUUAAUAAAUAGAUAAAGAUAUGUUCUAUCUAUAUACAUAUAACUAUAUUGUUUAUUUGUUUGGCUUAUUUCAACAAAUAUCUCAAAGCACUCAAGGAAUCGAGCAUCUUUGCAAGCCUGCAAAGCCCUCCGAUGGCGAUCUCACAGACAUCGCGGUCGAGGCGGCGGGGGGAGUUGGCGCAACAGAGCCAGAAGAAGACCUUGGCUUAUUCGAGUUCAAACUAGUGGGGUGCGAUAAGCAUGGCGAUUGCUUGCCUUCUAAUUUAGGACAAGUAAGAGAUAUUAUUCCAAACCAAUAGAUUAUUCAAAAGAUGUGAAGAAAUUUAUAGAAAUGAACUGAGGAUUAACGAAAGAAGCUUCAUGUUUCAAUAUGUGAUUGUUUCAACAUGAUAAGGAAAGUACUGCAUUUUCGUGAGCAAAAUAAUUUGCAUCUUCGACUAUCAGGAAUCAUAAUAUGGCCAAUGUAAAAUUUUCAAUCUCCAAAUUUGUUUUAAAAUACUACCCACUGCAAAAUACCGAAGCAAGGAAAGAUAAGAACUUCUAAACAAAUUGAAGAGGAAGAUAUGUCAAUUCAGCAAAAAAAUACUGAAAAUUAGCAUUACACAGUUGGUUAUGAGAUUGAAUAUAAGAAGAUGGAAACAAUCCAAUAUUUAAACUAAUAUAAAAUGGAUCUUUUGAGCUAAAUAAAUUUAAAAAAGCUAUGCAAUUCCAAGAACUAAAAGAAAAUAUCAGCCCAAUUAUUCAAUAUUGGAAGAAAUUCAAAAAGAACUAAGGAAAAGUCUCUCCAAAAAAUGCCAAAAAAAAGAAGAAAAAAAUUUAAAAAAAAACUCUGGGGGCAAAGUACAAUCCAAAUCUUGGAAUGCAAUAGCAUCUAUAAACUCAAGAAAGCAGAAGUACAUUCAGCAAUCUCAUAUUCAAUUAGGGCAUGUUUGGUUCAUGAUUGGAAUAGGAAUAGGAAAUGGAAUUGGAUUGCUUUGGAAUGGAAAAUGAAAUGACAAAUCAUCUAAAAAUAUUUGGUUCAUUAUUGGAAUGGAAAUCGGAAUGAAAAUUUAAAAUUUUUGAGAGAGGGUUUUGAUUAAGAGAGAGGAAAGUACUGAAGGGAGAGGAGGUAGGUGUUGAUGAAAGAGGAUUUUGAAUAGUUUACUUUAGAAUGAGCCAAUUCAGAAUUCAAAGCCGGAUUAGAUCAUAAAUGGAUUUAGCCAUUCCCAUUCCGAAGUGGAAUGAAAAUCGGAAUCCGAUUCCUAUAAAACAAACAGCAACUAUCAGAAUUGUUGGAAAUAAUAGGGCAACGAAAACUUACAAACCGGAUAGCCAACGUAUCCGGGAACCGGAAUUGGAUCGUAUUGCUUAUUUUACAAGCCUUCUUGGAUCGUCCUUGUCUCGAUGCUUCUGGAUCUCCCACGUUUCUCGCCUUCUCCCAUGCAUACGCCUUACGCCACGGAUCGGAUGCGGAUCUGAUGCGACGGAUGCCAAUCGAAGAGGGCUACCAGAGUCCUCUUCUAUGUCCACACUCCAAAACCCCAAGAACGUAGGUGGAAAUCCCACUGAUGAAGAAGAGAGAGAAUAAGGAAGAUAUUUCGUGGGUUCUUACCAAUUUGAUCGUAUGCGAUCAUCUUUUUUUCCGGAGAGAAAAGGGGGCGUCUAUAUAGAAUAACGGAACCCCUAAAUAUCCUGAAUCUCAUAUAGAUUAGGAUAAGGAUCAGGAUAUUUAUUAACAUAUAAUAGAUAUCCACUAGUAGAUACGUUUCUUAACUAAUAAGAAAUAUAUGAUUUAUUCUUAUCCUAAACUUAUUAGGAUAAAUUCCAAUCUACAUCUUAAGUGGAUCGGGUUAAAUUAAAACCCGCCAAUGUAGACACACCACAUGGCUACAAUCUUCCACUUGGCCACAUUGGCCAAUUCUCUCUUAUUCAUUCAUCUCUUCAUAUGGGUAAUGGAGCGUGUGACCUGAUGAAAGAAACACAUGCAGGAGUGCUAUAUUAAGUCACCACCCAACUAACAUAGCACAUCACUGACUUAAUUCGUCUAUGCCUUAGACGUUUCAACACACAUCUGAUCAAGCAUCACAAAGUCCCUCUCCUGUAAUGACAGGGCUCGACCCCAUCGUUAUUUCUCGUACUCAUGAUUAUCUCAAGUAACACAACCGGGAUAAUCGCCAAGGCAAUGAGUCACAAGACGUACGUGGUGUGUUAUUGAAACAUCUUCCUCAGCCCCUCACGUUAAUCCAUAUUGGUCCAAGUACUUUACUAGACAUGCUCCGCGAGAUCGUAUUUUCUUAUGACCCUGAGAUACAUGCUAAGUUAGUUACUUUGGACCUCCACUUCAUAACAUUAUUCUAAGUCGAGGGCACAAAAGGGUUAGUGCUCACACAGUGACAUGGAGGGAAGAACUUAUGUCACUCUACUAACUGGUCGACAAGCACAUACAGUAUGAUAUGUAUGCUAUGGCGGAGCUCCCAUUCAAUGGGUCAUGUCACACUCUGAAAAACGCCAUAUGAACCUUGGUCUAGGUACCACUAAGGUAUCUAACCACCAUAACUCAAAUCAUCUCUCUAACCUAAGCACUUAGGUUCGGCUACUAUACAGGCUCGAUAUGAAAUUCACAAAAACUUUCAUAUCUGACUCUUUAGAGUCUCAUCUUAAACUAAUUAAGGCGACUUUAAAUUAUAUCAACACUUCAUUCAUAACAUAUAUAAACAAAGUAAUCAAAUUACAACUACUCAAGUUUAAUAUGAUUAUCUAGUCUCAUCCUGCUCACCACUUAGGUGCUAGGGCGAUCACCCGUGUGAGUGGGCAAAUCUGAGCCUGGUGACUUAACGAAUAUGUGCCUACUAAUAUCAAUUACGCUAUCUCAUUAAAAGAAAAAAUAUAUUUUCAUUAAUAAAUCGUAAGAUACAAAAUAAUGUCCAUAUCAAAACCUACGCAGACCCAAACUCUUAACGUGGGUCAGGAACAUAUCCCUAGCUAUCGGCUUGGUCAACGAAUCAGCCACCAUCCUAGUGGUGGAAAUAUGUCUAAGAAUGACCUCGCCUAGCCUAAUCAUCUCUCGAAUGUACUGAAAACGGAUAUCUAUUGGUCCUGCCAUGAUACUUGGGAUCUUUCACAUACUCCAGGGCAGCCAUGCUGUCAGAGAAUAUCUCAACAGGUUCACUUGCUCUAGUCACGAUGUCGAGGUGCUGGAGAAAUCUCCUCAGCCAAACAGCCUCCUGAACGGCCACUGAACAAGCAAUGUACUCCGCUUCAAUGGUUGACAAGGCAAUACAGCUCUGCUUCUUACUACACCAGGAAAUUGCCCCACCUCCAAGCAUAAACACGUAGCCUGAAUUGGACCUGCGCUCAUCUCUAUCACCACCCCAAUCAACAUCACUAUAUCCUUUCAAUCUCAAGUCCCCAUCUUGAAAACACAGAACGAGAUCACUGGUUCCUUUUAAAUAUCGAAGGAUUCUCUUAACCGCUUGCCAAUAAAUAGGUCCUGGGUUGCUCUGGUAACGACUUACCAAGCUAACAGCAAAGCAAAUGUCAGGUCGAGUACACAUCAUAGCGUACAUCAACUGCGAAUUGCACUCGCAUAAGGAACCCUACUCAUUUGCUCCUUUUCUUUAUCCAUUUUAGGGUACUGAUCAAGACUCAGAGUGUGAUUCUUUUCCACUGGAGUGUCAGUGGGUUUGCAAUGAUGCAUCCUAAAAUGCUCUAGAAUCUUUUUAAUAUAAGUUUCUUGAGACAAACCAAGAAGCUUUCUAGAGAGAUCACGGAUGACCUUCACUCCAAGCACAUAGCUCGCCUCACCUAUGUCUUUCAUUUCAAAAUUGAGAGAUAACCACUCCUUAGUGGUAUUAAUUAACUCUAUGUCAUUUCCAGCCAAUAGUAUACCGUCGACGUAUAGAGAGAGAAACAAAAUCCCAUUCUCUAUCUUCUUGACAUAUACACAGUGGUCCUCCUCUAUCAUGGACAUACCGAUAGAGGUGAUGGCUUUAUGAAACCUGAAAUACCACUGUCUUGACGACUGCUUGAGACCGUAAAUGGAUCUUUUAAGAUGACAAACUUUGUCUUUUUAAUCUUUGAGUACAAAAUCCUCAGGUUGAUCCAUAUAAAUCUCCUCCGCCAAUUCUCCAUUGAGAAAAGCUGUCUUGACAUCCAUUUGGAACAAUUCCAAAUCUAGGUGUGCCACUAAGGCUAGAAUCAAAUGAAUAGAGGCAAAUCGCACAACGGGAUCAAACGUCUCGUUGUAAUCCACCCCUUGCCUCUGAGUGUAGCCCUUAGCCACGAGCCGAGCCUUAUAUUUAUCGAUUGAUCCAUUUGCCUUGCGCUUAAUUUUUAAAACCCAUUUAUUUCCAAUAGACUUGCGCCCAGGCGGAAGGUCAAUCAAUUCCCAUACUUGGUUCUUGCUCAUGGAGUCCAUCUCAUCUUUCAUAGCAGCCAUCCACUCACUGCAAGCUGACGUCUGUAGUGCUUCUUUAUAAGAAGCAGGUUUAUCAUCAUCGAGCGGAGUGCACAUAAAAAUAUCCCCUUCGAUCUCAAAAUGUCGACGGGGAAUAUGUCCACAUUCACUUCUACGUAAUGGAGGGUCUAAAUUGCCGACUUCCAAGGGUAUGCUCUCAUUCAAGGAAGCACUCCCACUAGCCGAAGGAUCGCUACCACUUCCUUCAGCGACUUCGGGAAGUGAUCGAUCACCCUCAAUAGCAGAUGGGGUAGCGUCGUCCUGUAACUCAUACAAUCCGACGUCUCUUCGCAUUUCACCAAUGCUUGGAAAAUUCCCUUCUAGGAAUUCCACAUCACGAGACUCAAUCUCGGUCAUACCACCAUCUGGGUGUUCACCAUACAUCACAUAGCCCUUCGAAUUUUCAGGGUAUCUGAUGAACACAUGCUUGCUUGCUCUAGGAAGUUUCCCGAAUUUAUGUGAGAGGCUGUGAACAUAUCCAGCCAAACCCCAAGGGCGUAAGUAGUGUAAACUUGGCUUUCUACCACUCCACAACUCAUAUAGGGUGGUAGGCACUAAUUUGCUAGGGACUCAAUUAAGGAUGUAGGCUGCAGUCAAAAGAGCAUCUCCCCAAAAAUUUAUAGGAAGUUGCGCUUGCGCCAUCAUCGACCUAACCAUGUCUAAUAGAGUACGAUUCCUUCGCUCUGCAACACCAUUUUGUUGCGGAGUACCAAGAAUAGUGAGCUGUCUACUAAUGCCCUUUUCCUCACAAUAAGUCUUGAACUGAUCAGACAAGUACUCACGACCUCGGUCAGUGCGAAGCACCUUUACACUUCUUUCUACUUGAUUCUCAGCCUCUUCAACGAAGCGCUUGAAGCAAUCGAAAGCUUCAGAUUAGCGAGAAAGCAAAUACACAUAUCCAUAACGGGAAUAAUCAUUAAUGAAUGUGAGAAAAUAGCACGCACCAUGUCGGGCCCUCACAUUCAUUGGCCCACAAAUGUCAGAGUGGAUUAGCUUUAAAGGAUGAGAGGCAUGAGUAGCCUUACCAAAAGGCUUUCUACAUGCCUUCCCUGCCAGACAAGACUCGCACACAGAUAGGUCAACUUUGGCGAGAGACCCCAAAAGGCCUUCUCGAGCCAGUCUAUUCAUUCUUUCUUGACCUAUAUGACCCAAUCUGGCAUGCCAUUUAAUGGAUUCAUCACAGAGAAUAGAUGAAGAAGAAGAAGAAGAAGCAAAUGCAAACAAAUCAUCCUCCAAAUCUAAUUUAAAGAAAUCAUCAACUAAUGUACUAUAUCUAAAUAAAGUACCAUGAAAAGAAAUAUUAAGGCGGUCUCUGUCAAAAUGAAAUGAAUAUCCUAGAUGCAACAAAGCUAAAACUGAACAUAGAUUACAUCGAAUUCCGAGUGCAUAUAGCACGUCCUGAAGAAGUAAAGUGCGGCCACCACGCAACUUGAGUUGGUACGAACUGACUCCUAGGACUUCUUCCUUCCUGCCAUUCCCAAGGGUGACAAACUGUGUGCCAGACGGUACUCGAUGAUAAUCUACGAACCCCACUCGGUCACGAACUACGUGUUUGUUUGCUCCUGUAUCCACAAUCCAAUCAGGAAGAGAAUGAGCUACUAAAGCAUGAGAGCAAACAAAACAGUGUGAGUUGAGUUAUAGGGUUACCUUUUUCAGCUCAGGACAAUUCCGAGCGAAAUGACCCUUCUUUUUGCAAUUGUAGCAUUUUAGCUUUGUAGCAUCCUUAUUGCCAACGCGCUUGCCUCUGCGACACUUUCCAACUCCACCCUAAGGAGCUUGAUUCUAUUUUUUCUGCACUCCAUUGUUGUGAUGCUUUUUGCGCUUGGGUGCAAUCCCACUACGCUUCUCGGAGCGUGCAACAAGAGCGACAGAACGGUUCACUUCUAAGCGCUCUGUCUCGAGCUCGAGAUGGCGCGAGAUGUCAUUAAACGUUUUAAUGUUCUCGCUAUGCGUCAUCAGGAGCUUCAUCUGGGACCAUUCAGUAUCAGGGAGUGAACGAAUCACUGCUAGAACUUGUUGCUCAUCAGUGAGCUCGUUUCUGGCAGCCUUAAGGUCCCGAAUCAUGGCGCUCAUCACACGAAGGUGCUCAGCCAUUGAAUGCUUCGGGUCUUUAAUGUACUGUAGAAACUUGAGAUUUAAGGCACGUAGCCUCGUAGAUGAAGUUUGACCAAAAGUAAUUUUCAAAUUGUCCCACAUGUCCUUGAAAGUUUUAAAGAUCUCAAACUGUCCAAUGAGGUCGUCUUGCAUGGCACACAACAUAGUGUACCGAGCAGUUCGAUCCUCCUUGAUCCAUUUGUUAUAGAUCUUUUUCAUGCUCAGAAGCUGUGCCUUCGGCAGACAUAACUCUUUUGACAGAAAGGGUUUCAAGAACCCCUUGUUCAUUAAGCAGGUAUUGCAUUUUCCUAUGCUAAAUAUCAUAAUUCUUUCCAUUUAACUUAUCACCCCUGGUGAGAUCAGCUAUGAUGUUUUUAGAAGUCAUUUCACUACAUUCAAAAAAUAGGUUUGGACAUUAGGCACAUAUUCCUAAAAAAAUUAACAAGAUUGAAACAUUAUCCUCGACACAAUGGGAUCGAAAACUUCGCUAUGCUCGUAAUCAUCACCCAGUGUCGGUUCAAAAUAUUGCAAUCUUAUUAAUUUUCUAUUAAUUUUGAAACUUAUCCAAAAUAUUGAAACUCAUCCAUUUUGAAGAACAUAUCCUUUUCUUGAAAAAUAUUUAUAUAAGGAAAACUUAUCUCAUAAUAUCAUCACACAGACAAAAAUUAAGUACUUAUGUCAAAAUUUAAUUUGAAAAACGUUUACGCUGCUGCGCAAAACACAUUCCUUUACAUGGCCAUAAUUAUUACAUCACUUUUGCAUAAUUAAAACCUACUACAUCACUACAAGAUGUACAUCAGAAAAAUAAUAUUCUACAGGAAUGCUGCACACGUCGAACUCGUUUUUCCAAAAUUAAAUUUGAAAAAACACCGAAACAACACAAGUACUUAUAUGCCAAAAGAUUUUAUACAAGUAUAAUAUGCUACAUAAGCAUAAAAAAAACAUCCACAUAGGAUAGAUUAAACAAACAACACAUGCAUGUUAUAAAAAUGGCAUACAAGCAUAGAAAAAAAAAAUAUGUAUUCAAAAAAAAAAAUUAUCAUGCAGGAAAUAUAAAUAUCCACAUAGGAAAUUUUAUUUUAUUAAAAAAAAAAAUCUCUGCACUGCGAGCCGGGCCGGGCACGCAGGGUCGCUAUUCUGCGCGCAGCAGGCCAGGCCGGGCCUGCAAAAUCGCCGGCAGAACNCGCCCGCAGCACGCGGCGGGCUCGGGCCGGGCCCGCAGGCCCCCCACACUGCUGGCGGGUACCGACUCGCAAUGAGCCAGGGCCCGCGCUGUGCGGGCGGGUGAGCCCCGCUCCCGCAGCGGGCCGAGCCGCGCAGUACGGGCGAGUGCACCCCGCUCCGCAGCGGGCCAGGCCACGCGGGUGCAGGCGGGUGCGCCCCGCUCCCGCAGCAGGCCGGGCCGCGCGGUGCGGGCAGGUGCGCCCCGCUCCCGUAGCGGGCCGGGCCGCGCGGGUGCACGCGGGUGCGCCCCUGUGCCUGCAGCGGGCCAGGCUUGCGCGGUCUGGGCGAGGGAUCAGACCGCCCCCACAGCGCGGUGCACCCGGGUGCGACCCGCGCCCACAGCGGGCUGGGCCCGCACACGCAGCAGGCCGAGCCUGCGCGGUGCGCGGGGGUGCGCGCCCUAGCCCGCUCCCGCAGCAGGCCGAGCCUGCGCAGUGCGCAAGGGUGCGCGCCCGAGUCUGCAGCGGGCCGAGCCCGCGCGGUGUGCGCCACCGUCCGCAGCGGGCCGCGUUGAGCCCCAAACGGUCGCAAACAGCGAUUUUAUUAUAUAACAUGCAUUAAAAAAAAAUCACAUGUCCUGAUUAAUUUAAAGAAAAAAUUAAAACUAAUUUAAUUUUUCUUUUCCAUAUAUAUUUUUUUUUAACCGAUUUCACUUAGAAACUGAAAAAAUUGUAGAACCAAUGUACAUAAAAAAUUGAUCGAUAAACAUGCGAUCCAAAACAAAUAUGCAUCACAGACAUGAUCAUAAGGCGAAAACAAGCACACAUUCUCUGAUACCAACUGUUGGAAAUAAUAGGGCAACGGAAACUUACAAACCGGAUAGUCAACGUAUCCGGGAGCCUGAAUCGAAUCGGAUUGCUUGUUUUACAAGCCUUCUUGGAUCGUCCUUGUCUCGAUGCUUCUGGAUCUCCCAUGUUUCUAGCCUUCUCCCACGCGUACGCCUUACGCCACGGAUCGGAUGCAGAUCUGAUGCGACGGAUGCCAAUCGAAGAGGGUUACCAGAGUCCUCUUCUAUGUCCACACUCCAAAAUCCCGGGAACGUAGGUGGAAAUCCCAGAGAGGAAGAAGAGAGAGAUUAAGGAAGAUAUUUCGUGGGUUCUUACGAAUUUGAUCGUAUGCGAUCGUCUCUUUUUCCAGAGGGAAAAGGGGGAGUAUAUAUAGAAUAACGAAACCCCUAAAUAUCCUGAAUCUCAUAUAUAUUAGGAUAAGGAUCAGGAUAUUUAUUAACAUAUAAUAGAUAUCCACUAGUAGAUACGUUUCUUAACUAAUAAGAAACAUAUGAUUAUUCUUAUCCUAAAUUUAUUAGGAUAAAUUCCAAUCCACAUCUUAAGUGGAUCAGGUUAAAUUAAAACCCGCCAAUGUGGACACACCACAUGGCUACAAUGGAAUCAAUGAAUUCCGUUCUGAUUCCAUUGUCUAAAAUAGGUGAACUAAACAUGUCCUUAGUUCUUCCUUGAAAAAAAUACAACCACUUUCUCUCAUAAUUAUUUUAGAUCUGCAACUUUCCUAUGUACAAAUUGAGAUCCUCAACUUACAAUUUGAAUCAAUAAAAUAGCAUCUUUUAUUUCUAGUAGAAAAUUUUUUAGAAACAAAAUAUUUCUAAUAUCGGAUCUGACCAAAAUAUGAAGAACACAUGAAUAAAAAGAAAAGGAGAACCAAACCCAAUUAGAAUUUUCAAAGAUUGAACCAAUCAGCCAUGGGAAACCAAAAAUUUUGGAGCAUUAUGUUCAUUUAAAGAAGGUUUGGAUAGUAAAAAUGAAAGCUAAAAAAAAAAAGGAGAUCCAAUGUCAAUACCAUCGCCAAAAGCCAGCCAACGUCUCUAGCGGCUACGGCGAGAUAAGAUGAUGACAUUUAUUGCGUUGGGGUGAGAAGCGAAGGAGGCGCCAUAGCUUUGGUGACCAACAACAAAUCAAACGGCAAGUUUGAUGAGAUUCGGAUCCAACCUAUGAAACGGAAAGAGGAGAGGGAUGAUGCGGCGGAAAGGGGAGAGGUAAUGCCGUAUCGAAACGUUGAGGGAAGAGGGAACGCGCGGUGGAGAGGAGAGAAAGAGAACAUGCUGCCGAGAGAGGAGAGGUUUACGAUCCGUACAAAAACACAGAGAUGAGAGAGAUUCACAGGAAAAAUGACAGUCCGGUUCAGAAGCAUGGUUCGGUUCAGAGAAUUGUACAAACAAUACGGAGAGGAGAGAGCAGCAGUUCGGUUCGGGGACGGUUCAAAAAGGGACAAGUGAGAGAGAGGAGAGAAGUGGUCCGGUUCAGGAAAAAAACGCGGUUAGGAUUAGAUAAGCUGUUUGGUUCAAAAGAGGGGCAAGUGAGGGUGAAGGAUAGGCUGCCACAUGGCAAAAUUAAGAGAAAUAAUAAUCAGGAAUAGAUAGAUGUGAGCUUUUAGAUGGUUAAAAAAUAUUUAAUUUAAUUCAGAAAUUAUCAACUCUAAUUAAAAAAUGAAUAAAGCUACAUUUAAACUCUAAAAGGAUCAAAUGUAGUCUCUUUGACUAUAGAUGGCUUCAAAUCAUGAAACUCAAUUCCUUAAAAUUUGCCCUCCUGGAGUUUUUUCCAAAUUUGAGAGAUUUCUAAACAAAAUCUAAGUGUAAAGAUUUAGUCCAAAUUUCAUAUUAUUUUUAAUCAUCAAAACUUAUAGAUGAGAGGGCCACUAGGCCAACAUUUGGCUCGUUAAUAAAUAAGCCAAACACGAAUUGAAUUUUUGAGCUUGAUAUUUUAAAGAGUUAGCUCGUGCUCUGCUCGAGUUGAACACGAGCUUAUUCCAACUCUUACGUAUGUUCGGCUCGUUGCUAACCCAGUUGAACGUACACAAGAAGACUCAUUUGCAAUAGUUGCAACUGCGCCAAAUUGGGCUGCAGUUUCUAUUAUAGUAAUCAAAAGGAGUAAUCUUUGAUGGAAUGUAAAUUUGACUCCCAUAUCACCUUGAUAUAUAAUAUAUAGGGUUAAUUGCAUACACUUUCCUAUAAAUAUAACGAAUUGCAAAUAUAUUCCUGCAAAGUUUAACUUUUUUAUGUUAUCCCGGCAAUCUUAAUAUUUUCGAAUAUGUCCCUACUAAUACUUAACCAUGAUUAGUCAAUGAGGUAAAUUGACAUUUUUACUCAAUCAAAUUCUAACAAUGAGACUUUUCUUCUUCUCCCUCUUCCUCUAUCUCCUUCCUGCUAGUUUCAAACCCGUAACUAAAAUUUUUUUGUCCCCAUUCAUCCACAACGCGAGUUAAGUUGUCCAUAUCGAACGUGUGUUGCUUCUCCAUUCAAUCUCCUCUAUAAUUCUUUUUCUUAUUUUGCUCAAAAGAAAGGGUUUAAGAAAAAAGGAGUAAGAGAAGAGGUUGCAAUAAUGAAGGAUUGGGUUGAAUUUUAAAGAGAAAGAAAAUGAUCAUUGAAAAUGUUUGGGAGGAUAUUUCUGCACAAUUAUAGCAAUUGGGUCUCAACCAGAGUGACAAAUAUGAAUAUCACUGGACUUUGUAGGAACAGUAUAAAAAAGUUAAACUUUGUAGAGAUAUAUUUGCAAUCGCUUUAUUUACAGAAAACUGUAUGCAAUUAACCCUAAUAUAUAUAUUUGUAUAGAAAAUUGGGAUAUUGUUACUACUGUACAUAUAAAAUAUAAAAGCAGUAAAUAAAUGUUUUAGUUACAUGUAACCAACCAAAUUAUUUAUAUUUGAAAUGCUUUUUAUUAUAUCUAAUCAAAACAAAAUGCAUAUUGUUAUUGCUGUUAUAUUUUUAACUACUUAUAUUUUUUUACUAUAUUGUAUUUAUAAUUAUAUUCAACUACAUAUAUUUUUUUAACUACAUUGUAUUUAUAAUUAUAUUCAACCAAGUGGCUUCUUAGCUAGAUAUAUUUAAUUAUAGAACUAAUGUGGAGGAUCAUGCACAUUGUAACUAUCAUAGGGCCCACAAGUUAUGUAAUUUUCUUAUUGAUAGCUUGCUCAAAUAAUAUAAAAAUCCACCCAAAAUUAAGGAUAAAUUACAAGUAUAUUUUAAUAAAUUUCACAUUAUUUCUCCUUCGCUCACAUCCACAUCAUUCUAAGGAAAAAGUAUUGUAAAGUCAAAAAAAAAAAAAAAAAAAAUCAAUUGUUGCUUUCCAUUUCCUCAGUUAACCAAAUAGUUCAAACCCCCUUUUUUUUUUUAAUUAAAAUAAUGUGAUCGGAUUGACAUAUAAUUAGAAUGAGAAUAAAAAAUAAAAUUCAAUUGCAUUGAAAUGAAAAUAUAGAACGGGGAAUCAUCUAAAAGUGUUUGAUUCAUUAUUAAAAUGGAAAUUCGAACAGAUGCUUUGAAUUUUAAGAGAGGAUUUCAGAUAAGAGAGAGGAGUAAGAUGAAAGGAUAGGAGGAGGGGGUGUUUGUGAGAAAGGAUUUUAAGUAGUUUAUUUUUGAAUAGACAAAUUCAGAAUUCAAAGUCGGAUUAUCUUGGCUUAAAGAAGUCAGCAUAUUGGGCCGAGUCACGUUCAAAAUAGCAUGAGGCCGGAUCAAAUCGAGUCAUAAUUAAAAUGGUGUGAGGUAGGUUGGUCUGAGUCACAAAUCGAAAUCCAUGGUGCUGUCUCUAUGCGCUUUAAGUGAAUUAGUUGUAUCUUUUGAACAGCUCGAUCUUUUAGGAUUAAUGGCUAGCACCAACAAUCCAACAGAUUAGAUCAUAAAUGAAUUAACCUAUUUUCAUUCUAGAGUGGAACGUAAAUCUGAAUCCGUUUUCUAUAAAACAAGCAACUAUUAUCACAAUCGGUGAAACUCAUUCUAAUUUCAAAGUCUAAAGUAGAUGAAUCGAACAAGCCCAAGCCCUUAACGACAACCUCACCCACAAGCUCAUCAUUUAAAUAAAAAAAAUAUUGAAAUAAAAAAAUUACACCGUAAGGAAUCUUAUUAUGUUUUGUGCGAAAACACAAUACUUGCACACGUAGCUUCCAAACGCACGCAACAGAAUAAAAUUAUUUUUAGUUGCAAUGCUCUUCAGUAGAUACUAGCCGAAUGUACGUACAAUGGGCCCCUAUCCAAUCAUUUACAUACUAACAAAAGAACAUUCAACAACUAUCAUUUUAUAAUGACCAUUAUUAUACCCUUACAUGAUGCUAAACCCUAACACCCAAACCCUUUAAACUGGGGCAACACAUAUUGCAUGGGAGUUCACACAUAAGUAGCUCAUAGUUCUAUGUUUUUGGCUAAAUUAUGAAAGGCUUUUUUAUACUUUAGUUUUGGCCUGAAUUACUCAUGGCAUUGAAAAUUAUAGUAAUUACCAUUCUAUAUAUAGUUUGUCAUCAUCUCAAAUAGAUUUAAAAAUUUAAAAAAAAUCGAUAAAAUUGACAGUAAAACUUCACUGAAAGAAAUUGGCAUAGUCUAUUGUUCUAGAUCUAAUAUCUAAUUUGCAACUCAAAAAAAAAAAAAUAAAAUAAAAUAAAGAAGAUCUCUUAUUUUACUAUCGAAAUUGAAAGUUUGUGAAUUUAGUUUUUAUGCUUCUGUUGCAUUACUUAUAUAUAACUUUAUCUGUAAAUUUAUUUUUACAAAGUUUUAUAGCUGAAGUAGUUAGAUGUAUUUUAUUUUAGAUAAUGAGGAAAUGUAGGGGAUAAUUGAUGCAAUUUUUUAAAUUAAUGAAGAGAAAGAGGAAACUUGGAUAAAUUUGUAUAGUUUUAAUUAAUAGCCAUUUGAAAGAGAUAACAAUCAAUUUUCAACGGUCAAUUGAAGAGAAAAUUUAAAUUUACGAGGCUACAAAUAUGCAUAAUAAUAAAGAGGACCCAUUUUUUCGUUAUUACUACGCAAUUAAUCAUACCCCAAAAAAAACAAAAAAAAAAAAAAGAAAGAAAAAAAACAAAAAUAGAGAAAAAAAAAUCACUCUGCUUAUAGAAAUUAUACCAAGCAUUAACUUGUAACAUUCAAUAAACUCUGAUUCUUGCUAUAAAGAUACUAUUUUUAUUCUAAUUUGAAUACAAAAUUAUUCCCGGAAAAAUAAAAAAAAAAAAAAGAAAAACUCGCUCCUCCCAAAAUUCUCACACAAAAUUUUCUAAAUUCUAUAUAUGGACUCCAAAUUCACCAAUUUCACUUAUUCUUACGCAUAUUCGCAUUUUCACUAGUUGAAAAUGCUGCAGCUACAAACAUUACAUAAAAUUUAUACGAUCAGCGGCGAAUGUCAACCGUCGCCCAGCUUUAAAUUUCGUGCCAUUAAAGUGUAUACGCAUUUGUCGCAAAUUGCACACAAAGUCCUUGAACUUUGGACCAACUCUUCUUAUAUUGUUCCGAAUAAAAGUUUCGAAUUACAAAAUUUUGAAAAUAUCUUUAUUUUUAUUAUUCAUAUUUGUUCGACACGCCCGUAUGUAAUAUCCGUGCAUCAUAUGCAAUCUCAUAUUUACUUCAAUCUAUUACGAGGGUGGAUUGAAAAUAUAAGAUGAAUAGAAAUUUCAUAACUAUAAUAAUAAUAAUAAAAUAUAACUAUCUAAAUUCUAAUAUAUAUAUAUAUAUAUAUAUAUAUAAUUUUUUUUUUAUUAUUUUUUUUUUUUUCUCCAUCUGAUUUUUUAAUUUUUUAAUUUUGCAUUUGGGGAUAUGAAUGAAAAGUGCAAACUCACGCCCGGCGCCCACCGUAAGCCGCCGUCCCCGCGUCACGCCGUGGUGAGGCAGGCGGGCCCCCCCCACCAGGCUCGGAUCCCGUCGCGCCCGCGCGCCUCUUCUUGGCUCUCGUCGCCGCCGCCCCCACCCCACCUCCCCUCCUCAGCCUCCGCCUCCGCCUCGGGAUCCGUGGCGGCGUCGUCAUCCGCUCGGGAUCCGCGUCGUCGUCGGCGACGAGGUCAAUAUGAGCGUCCGUCGGCGGCGGGAGGCGCGGAGGAUGUCGGGGGGCCGUUCGAUCCGACCUCCGUGAUCACGACCCUCCCUCCCCCCUCGUCGCCCGCAGGAACCUCCUCCUCCCCCGCCACCACGUAUCGGCGGCGGAAACCCUAACCCUAACCGAUCCCCUCCCCCCUCUCCUCCCCCUCGUCUCCGACCCCUCCUCCUCCUCCUCCUCCCCCGCCGCGCCGCCUCCGCCUCUGCCAUUACCUCCCCCCGUCGCAGCUCUCCGAUCCGAGGCUCUCCGUGCACAGCCGCAGAUCCCCCGAUCCAGCUCUCGAGCAGUCCCCUCGCCCCGCGUCACCCUCUCCUCCGCCGCCGCCGAGGGCUCCACACGGGCCUCGCCGCGCGCGGCGGAGGAGGAGGGGGACGGCGGAGGGAUCCGCCGCGCGCGGCGGCGGCGGGGCGGCGGAGGCGAAGGAAGGCGAGGCCGCUCCGCGUCUUCGGGGCGGGAGGCUGCGGCACCGUGCCGGCGCGGCGAAGGCGAAGGCGGAGGCGGCGGCGGAGGGUGAGCCGCCGCGCGAAGGAGCUCCGGCGAUCGGCGGGGUGAAACCCUAGGAGCAAGGUAUGGACGCUCCUGCAUAUACUCAGCAUAGCAUUUGAUCCCCACACCCCUUUUGCCUCUUUUCCAAUUAUUUCUUUUUCCAAUUUUAUUUUAUUUUUUACUAUAAUAAUAAUAUUUAUAUAUUUUUUGUGGAAAUGAGAAACCGUUGCCGUGUGAUGUGUGCGAGUGUGAGAGCGGAGGUGGAAGGAGACGCGGUCGUAUAUAUAAAGAGGGGAGAGCGAGCGCACGGAAACGGUAAUAAUUGCCAAAUCAUCUCGUAGACCGGGUCUAUAGACCGGUACGGUCGAGUUUCAAUACUCAGCUCCAUUUAGAGUGCCGGUCUAGGGAUGACGUGAUACACCAGGUCUAGGGCGUUUCGUGCACAUUCUGCGGAAUAUUUGGCGAAAAUGUACGACGACACCCUCAAGUUUUGACCGGUCCGAAAUGGCUCCCUCGGCGUUAUAUUUUUUAUUUUUAUUAUUAAAGUUUAAUUGAUCAAACUUUGUACAUGAAAAUAUUAUUGGAUGUGAUUUGAAUUAAUUUGCCAAAAUAUGUAACGGUUUUAAUAUAUAUAUAUAUAUAUAUAUAUAAACAAAUUUGAUUAUUGUAGAUUGGAUUUGACAUAGAUUUUUAUAGUUUCACACAUGUAUUAAAAAAAAAAAACCAACUGUUCAUGAGAAUUACCCCUUUUAGUUUCAUUGCAAGUAAUAAAAAUAAGGUGGAAUAGGAAAAAUAAAUUGAUAAUGAAAUUCAAUCAAGUUCUAUUUAUUUAAAAUAAAAGAAUUUAUGACAAAAAAAUUAAUUCAUUUGAACUCAAGAAAUUGCAAAUUUAUUCAUUUUACUUGGAAUUGUUCAUGCUUCUAAUUAUUUCUCAAAAGUUGUAUUGUUAGCAAUUCUUCUAUGAAAUAAUAAUUUUACAUUUAAAAUAAUCUAAUAAAAUUAAUUAUCAUUGUUAUAUCUUUAUUUAAAUUGUGGUAUUAUUCUGCAUAAAUUAUGAAUUUAUAGAUCCUAAAAAAGUUUUAAAAAAUUUUUUCUUACAAAGAUAUAAUGGUUCUCACAAGGAAAACGUAGUCAGUUAAUUAAGGGAAGUCAACAUGUAUGGAAAAAAAAAAUAAUAUAUUUUAAAAUUUUGAAGAGAUAAAUUUUAUAACUAAAACAUUUCAGGACAACUUUGGUUAAUUUUAAAAUUUUAAAAUUUUGUAGGAGUACAUAAGAAAUUGUUUGUGGGUAAAAAAUACUUUUGGUCCUCAAAACAUAAAAUGCGCGGCAAGUCUCACAAUUUAAUUUAAUUAAAUAUUGACAUAUUACUUAUGUAAAAAUUAUAUAAUAUAUCUUAUUUAUCAUAGCAAUCACAAUACUACUAUAUAUUACUUUUAUAUUAGUGACAUAUCUGUUGGAAUCGGUAUUUAUGCUGAUACCGUUUGUUGGAAGCGUGAUUUUCUCUGAUAUCAAUUAUUGAAACUAGGAUCUAAAAUAAAACAAAAUAAUAUGAAAAAGAGAUAUUAGAGGAGGAAAAAGAAAACUAAGCUAAUAAUUUGUUAAUAAAAAAAAUUUAAUUACACACUAGGCGACAACCCUCGGCCUUCUAUAUCUAUUUUGGCUUAUUUCUCUAAUUAACUCAUACCUAACUACAUAUAGCUAUCAAGUUAUAACAAAUGAUAAAUUCAAUUUUUAUUUUGAAUAAUUACAAAUGCUAAUCAUAAUCAAAUAAAAGGCUUAAACUUAUCUCUAAAUUAUAUUUUAAUUAAGUUUGAAUUAUUAUUCUAACAAUAUUAGUAUCUACUUAUGAUAAUUCAAAAAAUUUGAAUCAAAAAAUUAGAAAUAAAUUAAAUUUUAGGACAAAAUGUCGCCCGCAAAUAAUUUGGGGGACCACAAAAGCAGUUUAUCCAUUAUUUUAUUAUUAUUAUUAUUAAUUAUUAUUUAUUUAAAAAAAUGAGAACUAGAGCAUUGGGAACAGCGAAGAAGAUUAUAACCCUUCUCUUCUCCGAGAAGGCCAAAAAUAGAAGGUGAGGUGUCUCGAGAUGGGGCUCCCCCUCGUGAUGACGUGGCGCGCGGGGGAGUCGUUAAUUGUGCUGUCGCUUUCAGAAAAGUAUGGGACUGCAGAUGACGUGGCACUCGUCGCAUAGAAAAAUUCUUAAAAUGCAAUAAAUAUAUUUGUCACGUGUCAUAACAAAUCAAUCAAAUAAUUCCUUUUAGAGAUAUAUAUCCUAUUAUGUUAUAAAAAAAUAUUUUUAUUGUACUUUUAUUUCAAAAAAAAAAAAUGAUUAACUUAUUAUUGAUGAUAUAGUACAAGUGUAAUAGUAUAGAAUUCUUCCGUCGCAUAGGUUACUCAAAUUCAUCUGUUUCAUUAUUUUUUAAAAAAUAUAUUUUUAAUCUGUUUCGUUAAAAAAAAAAAAAAGAUUGACGGGUUUUUCGUCCUAAUCAGCUCUUACUAUCUUCAUUGGCCAUUUGAUUUUACAUAAUUAGAAAUAUAAAAUAGUUAUAAAUGUACAUAAUUCAUAGCUAGUUAAUUCGGAUUCGAUAAAAAUUGGAUAAGAAUAUAAUACGCAUAAAAUUUAUUUUUUAAUUUUUUAAUUUUUUAAAAAAUUUAGCUUCAAAAAUAGAUUUGAUAUAAAAUAUAAAAUAUAAAACAAUCUAUAUUUUAACAUAAAAAUUAUAAAUUUUUUCUUCAGAUUUUCAAUAAUUCGGGAAUAAUUCGCGAAUUAUUCAGCUGGCCCAAAAAUUCGUGAAUAAUUUUCUUUUUUUUCAAAUUCGUAAACGGACCGUUUAAUUCGAAUUUUCAAUAAUUUGCGAAUUAACUAACAAAGAUAUAAUUAGAGUAUAAUAAUUAUAUAUAUAAAUAGGAUUACUUAGAUGUAGGGAUGUGUGGUUAGGAUGAUAGUGGUCCCCUAAGAUUGAAUCGGUGAUUGACUGAAUAGUAUGAUCUGAUAAAAAUAGUUAAAGGGCUAUAUCUAACGGCGGAAAACUAAAUAGUACUAAGCGUUUGUGUAGUGUUCUAGAGCUUUGGAUAGAAUUGGCUUCAGUGUUAAUGACUGGUCGACACAUUUGGAGAGUGUCGGACUGAGUCGGAGUCAUUUCUGAGCGAAAUGGGUGCAAAAAAUGGACUCGACGCACUCAAAUAAGCAAAACUGGAGUUUUGCCAGUUUAGGGCGCCCAGAACUUGGUUUGGAGCGGCCAGAUUUUGAGUGCUGGUUUGAGCAAAAUUGGAAGACAAUUCAGAUCCUGUUCCGGGCGCCCAGAAGUGGGUCCAGAAGUUUACUUUGGAAAUAUCGCUGACGUUGACAUGUGUUUGUGGUAGGUGAGGUCCGCCGGACCAGGAUAAGGGUGCAGCACACCGCGGGCAAAGGAACCGAAGAGGGCUGUUUGUGCAGGCUAGAAGUUCUGGGCGCCCAGAACUUGGUUUAGGGCACCCAGAACUUGGUUUUUCUGCAGCAGUGUAACUUUGUAUCCAAUGUUCCUGAGGCUUAUCUGACCAUUUGAUCACCCUAUAAAUAGGUGAGAGACGCCCCCGGUAAGCUCUUUUCCUCUCUUUCUCACAGGGAAGCUUACAAUUGCAUUCCAACCCCUCCAAAACACUCAAAUUGCAUCGAAAAUCCACAAAUUCAGCUUGAGAAGUGCUGAUUCUGCAGUUUUCCAGCGACGACCUUCAGUGUUUUAGCUCGUGUGCGACAUAGGAAGGUCGGCUUGCGGUGAAACUUGGUUUACUGGAUUUUAGACUUCCAGAGGAAUCCACGAAACCCAGAAUUGCAGAUUUUGGUUGAGUUUAGCUUGGUCGAUUCUUUAUUUUUCUGGACAGCUGGUGACUUUGAGAUGAAAAUCUGAUUUUUGAGUUUUCUUUGAUGCUAUCUUUGGAGGCAGGGGGAUUUUGGACCUGAGCUUGAUAUCUCAAUAUACUCCAUUGGAUUUGAGACCCUCCUCACCAGAUUUGGAUGUAAUUAGUGAGUUUUGACAUUGGAGUUGGGUUAAUUAAGCUUAAGUGCUGAAAUUGUAGUUGUAUUGAUGGAUUUUGAUCUUGUUAAGGUUUGGAGUUUGGUGAACUCUUAUUGCUGGAUUUGGAGGAACUUCGGUUGAUCCAGCAGGGAUUCUUAGUGGUUCGAGACCUCCUUGCUGCCAGGAAUUGCUUUUGAGGUAGGUGUUUCAUCGGUUUUGCUCCUAAGUGCUUGUAGUCGAUAUGUAUGAUUUCGGUUAUUGUAUAUCAUAUUAUAACUCAAAUUCGUUGAUUGUAACACGUAUGAAACUGAAUUGGGAGCAUGAUUAUUAAUUAGAUGAAUAUACAUGUUAGACUUGGAACUUGACUUAGGAGAAAACCAGCCAUUCGGCCUGUCAUAUGAUUCUACUAUCUGAUUUUAGCUUUAGGAGCCGUGGUUUGAUUGUAUCACUGCUGUAUCAGCGCGGUGGAUACCCGGGGUAGUUUAGAAUGCAUUUACGCUCGUGCUGGGAUGCCGAGCUUAUUUUUACAGCAGAGUCUAGGCUGUUUCAGGUUGUUGGGUGCCGUCGGGGUAGACGGUAGACCUAGAUUUCUGUUUUUGGUCUCUGAUUGUGCCGAGGGCACGUGGGUUUGGUUUCUAGACUUGUUUUGACCCUAGCUCUUGACUUUGGCUUGUUAGAGCCUGAUUGAGCUCGAUAGAGAUACGCUGCAUAUUCAGUUGGAUAGCUCACACGAGUGCCACUCCGAAAACGGGCGCUGUGCUUUGCGUUGGUGUCGUUCGUGCAGGUUGGACUUGCUCUCCACGGACUGGUUUGUGUGGAGGUAGCUGUAUAGUCGCAACCGGGCGGGACGGGUGUGUUCACAGUCCUAGGGACGGGUAUGAUGCAAUAUACCGAACUUCUAAUUCAUGAAGUUACGAUGUAUGUUAGCUUAGAAAGCCAUUGGAAUCAUUCCAGCGAAGUUCGGGAGCAUUCGGGUGCUUCGGUGCGCAUAGGGCGCGAAAACGGGACCCGAAAGGCUAUGUUGGACCAUGGACUAAAUCCGGUAUUAGCGUGGAUGAAAAGAUGAUGAAAACAUGCUUGAAAAUACGUUUGGAGAGUCUCGAUUCGAUUUGAAAUGAAUCGGAUGUCAAACGAGCGAAAACGAGUGAAAACGGAGCGAAAACGGUGAAAAAGUUGAUAAUUUGGCUAAGUCCUUGAAGACUGAUUUCUGGACCUUCGGGGACCGGUCUCUCAGUCAAAGGACCGGUCUCUCAGGGACCGGUCUCUCAUCGCAAGGACCGGUCCCCGAACCCCGAAAAUGCCGAGUUCGAGCUGUUGCGAGAGAAGCAUUGUUGAGGGACUUAUUGGCAUUUUGUGCAUGGGUUAUGAGUAAAGAGAGGAUUAGAACCUCUCUCUCUCCCUCUCCCUCACCGUAUCACACCAAAGCCUCCUCUCUAUCUCUCUAGAAAGGCGGUGCCCAAUGUUCCCUGACACAUUGAAAUGAUUAAUUCUCAACCUUCGGAGUCGAGUACAAAACAUUUAAGAUUAUGACUCAAAUCGGGCAAAAGUUAUACAAGGUGCGUCUAUUCUCAUCACUCGCGUUUCAUAUUGUCGUACGCCCACAUGAAACACUCAGUUGAGAAUAAACCACAACUUGAAUCUACCUCUAAUCUCCUUUUUAGAGGUUUACAAAUAACCCAAUCCAUUAUCUUUUCGCCACAAGUCACAAGUCCUCGUCUCUCACGACCUUAAUCUCCUAUGGUUUACUAUCCUAGGGUCUCCUAGGUCAAGCUAAACAUUUUCUUUAAACUCUUUAUGUCCUUUUUAUGCUUCUCUAUAUUCUCUUUAUGUUCUUUUUAUCUCUGAUAACCAUCUUAUCUGUCACGCCCCGAACCGACUCUUUGGUCGGAUUCGGGCACGCCAACAGACCGCCGAACGGACAGGGUUUCCCCUGUACGCGGACAGAGUCUCCCUGUACGUUCAAGGCGUCGCAAUCAAUACAAUGUACGAAGUUCCAAACAAGAACACAUUUCAACCAAAGAUUGCAUAAGGAAGUAUCAAAACGUAAAUCUACUUGCUAUUACAAGCAUUCAUCUCACAUAUUACAUUUUUACAUUCUUAGAUUUCAUCACAUUUGAUUCCUUGAAUUCUUACUUCCAAAUACAAUCAAAUUAUUAUACAAAUUAUUACACAGUUGAUACAUCUUGUUCUUUCAUUUUCCAUAUCCUAAGUAGCCGACUCAGGGUGUUGGCUAUCUGGUCUCUGUGGUAGGGCGCUAACUACGGAGCUAACGCCCUUCCUCGCGCCGCGCGCGCUCGGUGUGAACUAUAACACCCCGAAACAACGUGGGGUGAGAAACUAACUCCAUAGUCCCAGUGGGUACGGCCACCAAUGGAAGAGCUCAGAACCAUCAGUCCAACAGGAGGCAAACAACAUGUUAGUCCAAUAGAUAGAUAUGAAAUCAUAAAUCAUGCAACUAACAUUACAUGCUUUUUCCUCACAACAUGCAUCAUGUACAUUAUGAAUUCAUAUAGUGGAUUAAUUGCUUCAUACACUUAUUCUUACCAUUCUUUACUUUUACUCAUAUUUUAGCUUUAUAGACUAAGUCUAUUAUUUAGCAUUAACCUGUUCUAUUCUUUAUACUGUCUUUCGUUUAGCAUUAACCUUCCUUAUUCUUGAUUCUUUAUUCUUUAUUCUUUACGCUUUACUAAGGGUACUCACACCUUAGUAAUAUUUCUUUCUUUGCUAAGGUUACUUUAUUUAGCCAACUUUGCCAUCCGACUCGGUCUUGAGCCAAUCAACUGCAGAUAGUCCGGCGCUCUGUCCGGCUUGAGGUGAAGGAACUCUCACAUACACCUCAGCCUUCAUCACAAACCACAUCGCCAACGGGUCGCCAGAGCUGCGUCACCGGAGUGGUCAGGGACCCCCGGUGGAGAGGAACAGCAUACACCCGCAGCCCGAGAUCCUCGUACGGGAGAGGAACAUGCCACAUGCACCCUAGCGCUCACGCGUUGCUCAUUAAAAGCCUCUGAAGUUUUCCGGUGGGAGAAGGAACAUGCCACAUGCACCCGCGGCCAGAACUAUCGAGCUUGUAUGUUGCACUAGCAGCCGCGCACUAGCAGCAGGGAUUCCGGAAUCUACUUCACAUUACUCGAGGGUUGGUCUCACCCUAUGUUAUCGACCUAUCUCAGGUCCAAGCCUUUUACUCACCUAAGUUAAUACAUUAGGUUCAAUGUCAUUACUCUCAUAAGUCUAGGUUCAUUGACACUAGGGUCCAAUUUCUUUAUCACCUAGGUUCAUUCGACUCUAGGUCCAUAUCAUUACGUUCACCAACCUAGGUUUAUUUGACUCUAGGUUCAAUACCACUCAUGUUCUUGUUUUCCUAGUGGUCCAUACUUAGAAAUCAUACUUGACAUGCCAGUCUUGAAUAACCUAUGUUCAAUGACACUAGUUCAAUGCACUCGUCAUCCUAGUUAUUUAUACUUAGGAUCUUUACAUAUGACAGCUUGUCGAGUUCUUUACUUUACUUAGAGUUCAUUGACCAAGUUCAACCUUCAUAUCCAUUCUAACAAUUCUUCAUUAUGAAAUCAUGCAUUUUAUACCAUCAGUCAGAUAACAUACAUCUUAUAAUGUCUUUAACAUUUAACUCAUGCUUCAUCUAUAGCAUUUCUAUAAUAUGUCAACAUGCAUUCUUACUUAGCAAUUCUCAUCAUGCAUUCUUACUUAGGCAAUUCUUAUCAUGCAUUCUUAUUUAGCAUCAUUAUAUUAUGUCUAAUACACAUUCUUUUAGCAUUUCAUCAUGCAUCAUUUCUAAAACAUGCAUCUAGCUCAUGUUACUUAGCAUUUAACUGAUGAUCUACAUAUGUCUUAGAUAUUCAUUAGCAUUUAGCUCUUGCAUUCAUUACAUACUUCACAUGCACUUAGCAUCUUUAUCAUGGGAUUAUAUACAUUUAUUAGCAUCAUUAUGGUGCAUUCUUACUUAAGCAUUCUUAUCAUGCAUCAAUAGUGGAACACACACACUUUGGCAUGAAGGCGACCCAGUCGUUUCGGUAAACACAACCCACCUCUUAACGCGUUCCGAUUGCUUGUCGUCACUUACAAUCGGCCCCCCGCAGCCCUGAUCCGGUUGCCCGAACUCUCGCGCGACCACUGACGGCCACCAAUCCGCGAUCCGUCUUGUUCGGGAGUUUAUUCCCCGACACCACGAUGCUCCCGAUCCAUUUUCAUGAUUUUUGGAGGCUUAUCCCGCGUGCGCGGAUCUGUACCAAAACAGACUGUUUCGUAAAUAACUUCGCGUACACUCGUCGGAUGUCGAACGAGCGCACCAAUGCGUUCGUUAUACCCCCAAUUAGGUUUAUAUAGGCGUCAAUUGAGAUCAAACUCAACUAUUUACAAAAACUCCUUUUUGGAGCCCUAGAUGCUACUCUAGCAAAUCCUCCAUUUCGUCUCAUGACAUCAAGCAUGGUUCAUCUAUUUAGCAUGAUAGGAUUCCAUUAAAAUCAUCUUUAGAGUAUAAGAACUUAACCCUAAAGAUCUUACCAUUAAAGCUUCAAGAAGCUUACCUCUCUAGGUUUGCUCCAAGGUGAAAGAAAAAAUGAAGAGAUAUGUGAGGGAAGCUCUCCACUUGCUUCACCUUCUUUUUCCCUUUCUUCUUCUUCUUCUUCUCUUCCUNNNNNNNNNNNNNNNNNNNNNNNNNNNNNNNNNNNNNNNNNNNNNNNNNNNNNNNNNNNNNNNNNNNNNNNNNNNNNNNNNNNNNNNNNNNNNNNNNNNNUUAAGCUAAUCAAUCAUAGGUGAGGAAAACUCACCUCUAGUGCAAAAAUCUCCUCUAAAGCUCCAAAAUGAAGCUAGGGCUCAUCCAAUCCAACCUAAUGGAAGCCUCUAAUCCACUCAAUCUAGCUUCAAAAGCCCUAGAAUCAAAAUGCCCAAAAAUAAGCCCUAAAUCUCCAAUUUAGGGUUUCAUCACAAAAAUCUCAAUAAAACUCUAAUCUAGAGGAAGAGAACAAGUGGAUUACCUCUUAGAAGCUUCAAUCCAAGCUCCAAACUAUCCAAGUCCCAAGAUCUUCCCUUUACCAAGCUCCAAAACCAAGCUCCAAUGGUGGAAAAGCUUCCAACAAGCAAAAAGGAGCAAAAAAAUGAAGGUUUAAUCUCUUAAAACCCCAACCAAAAUCAAAGAAAUCACAAAGGAAGGUGUGGAGGGCUUCCUCACCUUUCUCCCUGCAGGUUCCAAGCUCAGGAGAUGCCCUAGGGGCGUGGGGUUACUAAUAGAAGGCUACAAACGCGCAAAACCCCCUGCAGUUUCAUUCUGCACGAAAUCUGCCUCCUUGUACCGGUACACAGGUUCUUGUACCGGUACAAGGUCGACGAAAUUGCAAACCCGAGGCUCGGGUCGCGCGGUCUGCGGCUCUGUACCGGUACAAGCCCGAUGGCUGUACCGGUACAACCAUCAACCCUUGUACCGGUACAAGGCCAGUCUGUUCCGGUACAAGCCCUACUGCAAGCUACCCGAGAGCUGUCCAAAAAUUUCGAUUUUGGAAUUUUGGUGCCAAGUCUCACUCCAACAUCCUCGGGAUGCGUGCCAGGGGUCGGAACACUAUCAACGACCCUCCAAAAACUGUGGGAAUGCCCCAAACACAGAUCAAACACUCGAAUCUAGCAUGUUUGUUGCACAUAAAUAAUCAUACAGGAUUAUCACUAUAUUCAUGUACAUAUUCUAUUAAUAAGCAACUUACAUAACUCACGCUUUNACACUCGAAUCUUGCGAUUUGCUAAGAUCCAGUGUAUUACAGGAGAUCGGCGGAGUCAGCGGCCGAACCCACUGGGAACUAUUCGUAGUUCUCACUCCACCAUGUUACAGGUCCGAGCUCGAGCGCCCCCGGUGAGGAUCGCGGCAAGGGCGUAGCGCCCUAGCGGCGUGGUAUUAGUAGAUAGCUUUACUUUCCCCUUGCAUUAGCUCCACCCUAUGCUUUAUAUUUUGAGAGUAGAUGUUGUAUAGGGUGAGGUUUGGAGAGUGGUUGUACGUAAGCUUGAAUAAAUGUAAUCAAAGUAUUCAAGUUAAAAGAAAAUAAUUGUAUAAAGUUAAAUGAGCUUAAUAGUUAAGUAUCUCUCUUUUAUUCACUUGUAUGAUUGUAUUACUCGUGAUGCUUGCUCUCGUAAUGUAUAGCACUGGUUGUGCUUUUGUUGUUAUUGAAUGAUUUUGUAUGUAUUCAAGUUGUUUUCCUGGAAACUUGUUGUACACAGUCUCGUCGUUGGAGCCUUAGGCGGACAGGGGAGACUCUGUCCGUUCGGCCUCACGCCCGCCGCCCUCGAAUCGGACCAAAUUGGUACCGUCUUCGGGUCAUGCGUUCGGGGGCGUGACAACUAUGUUCAACAACGAGGUCAUUCAUUCGAUUACCCAAUCUCUCGGCGAACGCAAGGCUCGCUCACAGUCUCACGUGUGUAAGUCUCAUAGGGGAGGAGGUCAACUACUGGACUACCCCCGAGACCGCCUGUGGACAGUUAGCGGCUGUCCGGGCAGCUAGCGGCUACCCCUCAAGUGACAAUACUCCGGAGUGCACAACUUGUGUGGAGCUACCACCACAAGUGCAGACAGGCUGCGCGAGCUCGAUCCAAUCUCAUGAGCUAAGAACAUCCUACCCGACCAGGGGUGAUAGCAAUUUAGACUCAGGUGUUCUAGUAGUCAAUCACCUAGUAUCCCAACUAUACUAAUGUUCUCAUGCCACUCUGGGUCAUAUUUAAAGUCAUUAGAUGCCACUCGUCCAAUGUUUAAGAUUAACUAAAUGCCACUCGUUCCCCUGACAAGUUCUCGAUACACUAGUUGCAUUUUACUAGGUUCUCAUCCACAUAAGCAUAUUCCUUCCUUAUCAACUAUCUUUUCAUUCUAGGGUCUCAAGUCACUUGACACUAUGUUAAGCAUACUAGAUUUAGGUAUUAAGCAAAUUAACUCUACGCUAUUCUACUAGCAUGCAAGAACGUGUAACAAUUACAUUUAGCACCCUACAAUGCAACAUUACAACAUGUAAUCGAUCGACUUGAUAAACUUAGAAAUAGGGAGCAGUUCAACUGCUUUGGGAUGGCACUCCCCCACCUCGUGGCGAUGUCGCGAUUCUUCGAGCACGAUUCGCCGACUUUACGACGCCUCGUUGGCCUUCUAGGCAGGAACGAAGCUCCGAGGGUCUCCUUUGACGAUAACUUCGCACCUACUCGACGGAUUGACGAACCGUCUUCGCCGACACGUUCAGGAACCUAGCAAUUAGGUUUGCGACCCAUCAAACGAGAUCAAAACCCUAGAUUUGCUAAAAUCCCAAAUCGGGGCCCUAGGUCUCAACAAUGGAGAAAUCCGCGGUGCGAGCUUCAAUCUCGAGCUCGAACCAUCUCCUUAGCUUCAAUAGGUUCCAUUCGAACCAUUUCUAAGCCAUAAAACCCUAUCACAAUAAAUCCACCAUUGUAAGGUUGAGGCUUACCUUCAAAACCCACUCCAACAAGAGGAAGAAGAUGAGGAAGACGAUCUUCACCUUUGUCUUCUUCUUCUUCUACUUCUUCUCCAUCCUCUCCUCCUCUUUCUUCUUCUCCUUCUCUUGCUUCUAGAGAGAGAGAGAGAGAGAGAGAGAGCAAUGAGAGUGUGGAAUUGGGAGAGAAAUAAGAGAAUGAGAGAGGGAGAGGGGUCCUCAAGCCCUCAUAAAGGCAGUUUUGCAAAUAAGCCCCUCAACUUUCCUCUUACGAAGCAGUCCUCACUGGGCCACUUUCGGGUACGGGGACCGGUCCCUCUCAGGGAGGACCGGUCCCCCGAGAGCUGCCCAAAAAUUACGCGUACGGGAACCGGUCCCCACACUGAGGGACCGGUCCCCGAGAGCUUUCUCCGAAAAAUUGGGGCUACGGGAACCGGUCCUCUCCCAGAGGGACCGGUCCCCGAGAGCAUGAAAUCUGCUCCUUGAGCAGAUUUCGCUCCAAGCUCUCGCGGGUCCGUCCUCAAUAAACUUUCGACGUUUUUGAUGUUCUCGGACUUUCCGAAGCACACCAACUCGACAAUUAGUCGAUUUUAAACAUAGUCAAAUCCUCGAAUUUCGAGAAUUCACCUCCCUUACAAUAUAUCCCGCUUGAAUUCCUCCCACAACAUUGGCGGAAGAUCGGAAGGCCGAUCCCGCUUCACGCACUUCCACCACACCUUCGCCGCUUUCUCCAAGCAAUGGGUGGCGAGGUACACCUUAUCCCUCUCCAAGGUACGCAAAUCAUCGAAGAGGGUUUCCAUCGAGUCGAUCCAAGACUCGACCAUCGCCGGCUCCACCUUCUUGCCCUCAAAAGUUGGCGGAUGGAACUUGUUAAACUUGAUAAGAGCCGCCAAUGCGCGCUCUCCUUCCACAUCUUCGGCCGUCACAUCGGGUGUAGCCGAUCCCGACGCCGCAAGAGGAACAAUUGUCGGCGGGGGACGCGCCGCCACCGGAACCGCCGCUAUACCCUCACCCUCAGCUGGCUCAGGCACGCGAGUCAAGGGUACGGGCACCUCGCAUCCAUCCGUCGCCGUUGCGACCGCCGCCGCAGCCUGCCGCUCCAAGAGCUCCUGGAGCCGCUCGAAUCGGGUCUCCUGGCGCUGCACCACAUCGGUCAGCGCAGUCACUUGCGCUUGCAACCGAUCCAUCACGCUCGGUUCAUCCUGCUCGGGCACCUCAGAAGUUGGUGCUGGGGCAGAUCUACGAGUGUAGCGUCUUGGAGACAUUAGUCCCUGAAACGCAAAUACUUGGUCAGUCAUCUUAACCAAUUACCUCGUCGAACUUACGACACAAGACGACUCCCUAACGAAAUCGAGCGGAAGCAUACAAGCAUACUCGUUCUAGAUUCUUGGCAUCACGUCGUCGGCCGCCGACAUAACCACCUCAAAUCAAGAACUAAUACCACUUGAAUCCGUCUCUAUUCACAACUAGAGACAUAUUAUCAACUUCGACCCAAUCGAAUUAACUUCCGCCAUCGUUAUAGGUUCACGUUCCGCUCACGCACCUAUAACCUUAGGGCUCACCAACUAGGGUCUCCUAGGUCAUCCUAGACUUUCUCUCUCUACUUGCUCUUGUUGCUCUGAUACCACUAUACCUGUCACACCCCGCCCCGAAACCACUACCAGUUUGGCAUGAUUCGGGCGCGGCGGCGGACCGCCGAACGGACAGCACCUCCCCUGUCCGCCCAAGGCUCAACAACGGGAAUGUGUACAAGAAUUUACCCAGGAAUUUAAAUUCUAAACAUACACAUUCAACGAGGGCACAAACAGUGCCAACAACAAGAAGAGCAAGCAAUCCACAAGAAUGACAUGUGAAAUAAAGAGAGGACUUUACUAACUAUUACAAUAGUUUGCAUUCUUUUUCAUUUACAUCAUUUUCUCAAAAUGUAUACAUUUGAUCCUCAAAAUACAUAGCCCUCCAACCUCACCUACAUGAAUCUCUCUCAAUACAUAGGUGUGCUAAUGCAAAAGGAAAGCUACUAUACUACCGCGGUCUCACUGGUCGGCGGAUCCUUGCCCCGUCCUCUCUCGGCAACCUGUACUACACUGGAAUAGAGUGGGGGUGAGAACUACUUUCCAUAGUUCCAGUGGGCUCGGACGCGACUCUGCCGAUCUUCCCCACUAGGUCAAGUGGGCACAAGCAAAAAAGAUAGAUAGAUAGAUAGAUAUCUGAAAGCUGUAAAUGCGAUAGUAGGAACAACUAUGCUAACUAUGCCCAAAAUCAUGAAUAUGAAUGCAUGCAUCAUAUAAUAAAGGUUUGCUACCAUGCUAACAAAUUCGAUACAUGUUCGAAUAGUAAUGUUCAAUGACAUUUUUAAACGUUUAUCUUUCCAUUUACCCAAUCUGUGGCGAGACCCUGGGGCUCGUCAAUGACUCACCUUUCAAUCCCAAAGUAGGGAGGGAGCUCCAAGUGCACCCAAGCCCGGGACCGUCUGCGGACCUCCAUGUGGUCCGGACCUCCAAGUGGUCCUAAUCGCACGACACUCCGGAGUACUCGACGACAAUCCCCUCCAUGUGGGGAUAGGAUGGCUAUACCACCCCAAAGCAGACUGUGAGCUAGAUCUAUCCUCUCCAAGUGAGGAUACACUACACUAGGGUCAACAACCCAAUCAAAUCCUCUCCAAGUGAGGAUGCUCUACAACUAGAGUCAACAUCUCUCGCGGAAUCAUUUGUUCCCGACAUUCAUGCAAUGCUAUUUAGCUUUCUAAAUUCAUUGUUCACAAGGCAUUUUCUAAGGGAUCCACCUAUCCCUAGGUUCUCAAACCUCUAGUGUUAUUUACACUACAUUAAUGCCACUCAUCAUCAUUUAACGUUUGGAUGCCACUUAUGUGUUCCUUGACACUAACCACUACUUUCUAUGUCAUCAACACCCCCAUUGGGUUCAUCUCUUUUCUUUCGCAUCAUAGGAUCCACGUUCCGACCCAAUCCUCACCUAUCUAAGUUACCAAGCGUUCCAAGUACACUAGGUUAUCAAUUAGAAAGCAUAAGGAAAGGUACUA
Molecule: long non-coding RNA, 245948 nt
Filed under: Ananas comosus (pineapple)
Lineage: Eukaryota; Viridiplantae; Streptophyta; Magnoliopsida; Poales; Bromeliaceae
Source: RNAcentral